UUGAUGCAACUGUACUCUUUCUGGUAGGUCUGAGAUGGACUGAGCAUCCUAAGCUAGCUACUUGUCUCCCUUAGGUUUUACAGCAAGACAAAUGCACUGGACUACAAAGAGGAAAAUUCUUGCAGGUUCGUAAUGAAUCUGUUUUGGUUCUGGCAUUCACACCAAUCAUAAAGCAGUGUUUGUUAGUAGCGGAGUGGUAGGCAGACGCAAAUCAAACCAUCAUUUUUCUUCUAAAUACACUUGUAAAAGCAUCGAUGCAUCUCCGUCGCUUAAUUUUAUUUGUCAUUCUGUUCAGUACCUGGUUUGGUUUAGGAAGAGCUCUUUUUCCUAUGCAAAAUGUAUAACGUGUAUGUUUCUAAUUCCGAUUGCAGGCAUAUUCAUCGCGCUUGUGUUUUGACGUGUUGCGGGCAACCAAGAGUCGUUCAACAGUGUGUUGCUGGGGUACGCCACCGGUCUGACAGUAAAAGGUAGCGCUGAUGAACUGGUUUCAAGCCGAGCUGAUCAGUUCUGCUGUUACUAAUAUAUCAUGGCAUCUUGCGGCUCUCGGUCGAUGUUCUGUCAUCUAUGAGGAGAGAGUUUCCAUUUAAUCUAGUUGCUAAUGCUUUGUAUACAAAAUUAUAGAUGCCUACACAAUACAAAAUCAAAAGUUAUUUUCUUAGUCAAACUGGAAAAUUCAUAGAUUUGCAGGAACAUCUGUACAUAAAGCCUUUUCCAUCAAAGUAUGUACAUACAUUGUCUAUUUUAACAUAAGAAUGUAGGACUCGUUCAAAACUAUUUGACUAUUCAUACAAAAAAAAUAGAAUUUCUUAAAAUAAGGGAGCACAUCUUCUCUGGUUUGAUCACUGAAGUCAUCAAUUGAGCAGUCCAGGUUCACCUAGUUAUCUAUUUCAAAACUUAGGGAGAACAAUUUGGGUGAUACUUUUUCAAAGUACAAGGCACAUAUUUAUAGUUCAUUGAAAUGCACCUAUAUUUUGACCUCAUUAAUAUCUCAUCCUUCAUAAUAAAGUAUGGCCAAACAAACAGAGAAACCGCUAGUUUCUUUCAUGUUCCCCAGACAAUAACACCAUAGCUAUUACUGUCAUUCCCCUUCUCUCUUAAUACCUUCCAUCCUUUCCAUUAUAAUUAAUGAAACUGAAACAUAUCAUUCUCUUGGUUGUAUUUUUUUCCUAAAAUGUUUAAGGUGUAUGUGUCAUUGAGUGAAUAUAUUAUGUUGCAAAGUUUCACGAAAUUUAGUAUGCAACCAGUAUGCAAGAGAAAUAAAGAUUAAAGUAAAUUUAGUUAUUUUUAUUAGCCAUUAUUGUUUUUAGAGAAAACAAUAGGCAAGUCACUUUUUCAUGAAAGCUGGAGACAAAUAGUGUAUUCUAACAUAAAAAUGGUCAAUUUUCCUCACACACACACACACACACAUACACAUAAACUUAGAAUUUUUGGAAAUAAUGGGAGCAAUGGCCAUGUGAAAAUAUGAGGUUUAUAUCUUGUGGAUUUCCUUUCAGUGUACAAGGCCUGCAUGUAGAAUGGAUAUUUUUUUUUCUAUAUUUGCUUCCCUAAUUUAAAUCUUAUCCUUCAUCAUCAAUUAUGACUAAACAUAAAUAGUAACUGCUAGUUUCUCUUAUGCUUAUGAGGAGAUAAGACCAUGGAUAUUUUAGUCAUUCCACUUUGCUAUUGAUUGUUUCUGUUCUUUUGCGCUAAAUAGUAGUCAAACAUGUUAUUCAUGUAUUUCGUAAGGAUAAGGUCAAGCCUCAUGAUAAGGAUAGGGUCGCGCUAUUCGUCACCCUGGGUGAGGCAUUGUUAUUUUUCACCCACUUCUAUUUUAUCAUCAAUGCACCGUAAAUUUACGUUUCAUAAGUUUUGUCUUAUUUCCGACGCAAAAAGGGACCGUAAGAAAAUAUAUAAUCGCCAUAAAAAAUAUUUUAUGUUAUAUAAAAUUACAAACAUAAAAACAUAGUCUAAAAUACACACAAACUGCAAAUUUUCUUGUCUUAUAACCUAUAUUUUUAUUUUUUUAUGUCAAAUUUUACGUAGUGAAUCAAUAGAAAUAUAACUAUUUGAAUUCGAAAUGUAAUUUAAUUAUGAAAUGAUCGUAAGAUUACCUCGGGUGAAGAAUAACUUAUUCUGCACCCUGAUUGAUGAAUAAUAAAUUUAAUUAUAUUAUAUACAUAUAGGAUAACACUAUUCUAAUCCUAGAAUUAGAAUAGCUAUUUGGAUCACAGCCAGCCCGACCACAUCUUAGUGAGAUCGCGCGAGCAAAAGAAAAAACCCAAAACGCCCCGCCCCGUUUAUCCCCUUGUCGCUCCACCACCACCCCCCGACCUCUGGCCGCCGCCCACCCUGCUCCGGCGCGCCUCCCACCCUCGCCUCCUUCCGAGCGCUCCGCCGGCCCCGCCUUCUUCCAGGCGCGCCGCCGGCCCCGCCUCCUCCUGGCGUGCUGCCACCCCCACCUCUUGCAGCGCGAGGUCGCCGCCACCGCCUACUUCCCGGCGUGCCGCCAGCCCCGCCCCCUUCGGCGCGAGGCCGCCGCCCCCACCUCCUCCUGGCGCGCCGUCGUCCCCUGUACCUGACGCGCCCCCCGGUGCCGCCGGCCCGCAACCCGCCGCCCAGCACCUUCCCGUCGCGCGCCUCCCAACACCGAGGCGCCGCCGCCCACAGGUUCUGUAGAUGCUGACCUGCCACUGCACCGCCGCUGCAACCUGCUGCUCACUCUUCCUCGCACAUGUGUCAGCAACACAAAAGUGGGUCGCUGCAGUCCACCUCCUGCUACAGCAGCAGGACGACUCCUUCAGGACGCAUCUCACACUCAUGGAGGCGGUGCUAUCUCUGGCGAGCUCCUCCAUCCCCGAGCGCGAUGCUUCCACUACUGCGUCCUCCUCACGUUCCCUUCCCCAUCCUUGUGUAUGCUUAUUUCGAUGUGGAAAACUCCAUCAACUAGUUCGCAUCACGUAUCAGGGCACGGCCAUAACAUGCUAGCAAUAUUAUGCUUUGGCUGCUAGUAAUGUGUUUGUGCUAAUGUCUAGUAGGAACUCUAGUUGUACUGAUAAAAGAGAACCAAACCAUCAUAUAAGGGAAAAGUCGCAUCUCUCUAUCUUUGAUCUCUCUAUGAUACAGAUAUGGACGUAUAUGGAAUUAGUAAAAUUCCUCUUUUAUAUUGCUUGUUCAUUAAUCAUUCAUGCAUCGUGUCCUAAAAGAAAUAUAGUGUGCUCUGUUUGAAAAAGCAUGUGGUCAGCACAUGUUUGUUAUUAUAUGGAUCUAAAGGUUUAACAAACAAACACAUUCAGAUUUCUCUUUAUUCGUAUAAAGGUUGGAGUGAGGUAGCGCUUAUUUCCUAUAUAGCUGCUCAUUUUGGAUGCAGUUUGAACAAUCAGGCUAGGGAGCGGUGAGCGUGGGUAGGCUGGCCAAACCUUCCCUCCACUGGGUCAACCGGCAGCGUCGCCCACCACCGUACUGUCCUACGGCAACGGCCCCAACCUGGGCAGGCGUGCUUUCUGCGACAUGCUCCUGCUCAUGGAUGUCUUGGUGAGGUAAAAACUUCUGUUAACUUAACUUAGCUACCUCAACUGAUUGAACUGCAGGGGUUGUGUGCAGUCUGAUGUGGUUCUAGUGUUUGAUUAAUGCAAUUUGGAAGAACUUGCGUCUCUAAAAUUCAAACUCUGCAUUUUGGUGUAUUUUUAUUUAGAAGUUCAGGUCAUCAUAAGUUGCUUCGGUUUAGCUAGUUACUGUUGUGAAAAAGUUCAGCUCGUCAUAUUUGAACAUCGGAAGAAGAGCUGCUAUAGUCUCCUGCUAUAUGCUUGUUAUAUUCCUAAAUAGUACAGGCUCAACCAAAGCAAGUAGUUAUAGUCUCCUGCUAUAUGCUUAAAUAGUACAUUUUUUCUGUAUUCUUGUUCGGAAGUUCAGGUCAUUCAAAGAGACCAAAUAGUACAGGCUCAACCAAAUAGUGAAAAGUCUACUAGAGUCGAAAAAAUAUAAUGAUACAAAAAUGCAACUCUGCACUUUCCUCAAAAUGGUCAUCAUAUUCUUAAGAAGAUUGGGAUUGCACUAUUUGUUUGAGCUAGUACUACCAGACUGAACAAAUUGCAGAGUUGGAUUUUAGAGCCUGGACAUUUUCAGACAUUUUCAAAAGUGGUCAAUUGAACCUGAACCAAAAAGAUUGACCUGAAAUUCGUUUGGGCUAGUUACUACCAGACUGAAAAAAUUGUAAUAGGUGGAUAAGUGGUAUUGUACUAUUUUCUAUUGUGUGGUAAUGCUCGUACCCCAUGGCCAUGGAAGGUUCAGAUGUUGUGCUCUUCUUUUCUAGCUGAUUCAUGUUCUAUUUGGUAGCUUUAAUGAUAUUCUAUACACUGAUGGCGAGAGUUCAACCAUGGCUAUACGCCAAGUUCUACUAUGGCUAUAUGUCGGCCAUCGUGAAGUCCUACUAUAGCUAUAUGCCAAGUUUAAUUAUGGCUGUAUGCUUGUGCUUCCAGGCUACUAUUGAACGUGUCUUGGCCUUCAUUUUUACGGGUUAUAGUCUCCUGCUAUAUGCUUGCUUUUGCUAUCAGCAUGUUCAUGCAAGUGCCUCUGAAUAAUCUGAAAUUUAAACUUGUACCUAAAACUGAACUUCUACCUCUUUGCUACAGGUGCGGUCGUCGGAGUCCUUUAAGUGCUUGCACUAGUGCUUCUAACUUGUCCAUGAAGGCACUGCAUGGUGUGCCACCUCCCGUCUGCCGCCGCAGCUGCCAUGUGUCCUUGCGACCUCUGCGGCCAGUCACCAACGCCCUAUGAGUGCGCCCUAAGUGUGGCAUGGGGAACAUGCUAAUGUGUGUGUUUCUGCACUGGUGUGUGCGUGCAUGCUCACGUUUAUGCGUGACUGAGUGUGCUGCUUGUGUGCUGUGAUGUAUGUUGUAUAGAUUUUUAUGAAGUUCAUGUUGUGAACCCAACUUAAUUAGAACACAAAAGUUUAGAUCGCAGCUGCUUUGAAUUAUGUAGUGUUUCUAAAUAGCUUCUUGUCUGAAGUUCAGUCGUACAUGUGGGUGCAAGAAAGUUAGUGUCGGAGCCAGAAAAACUGACUUUGAGCAACUGUUGGGUAUUUAUAUAAAAACAUUGUGUGUAGCAAUUCGUUGUGUUUAUUGAAAAAUGAAAAGACAGAAGUUCACCAUGCAAAACUUUCACAGUCCAAUUGGUAUUAAGAAGGCAGAAAUAUAAAACAACAGUGAAGUUCACUAAAAAUGCAACUUUUCACAUUGCGAAGAAACAAUAAUUAACUUCUCAGUGUACAAUUUAGUUUUUGUUUCUCUUUUCCAAAAAAUAAGAAUAGAAGUAAUAUGUGGAAGCUAUUUGUGUUUAUGUCUCAAAUUAGAAUAAUUAUAAGAAUUGCCUCUAUAUGUGCUAUGUGUUACACACCUUUCCGAAUCAAAAGAGAUUAGAUUCAUCCAUGAGUAAGGUAGGUACAAUUAUUUUUAAACAGUUCAAUUGCUCGAUAGAUGUAUGUCCAGAAAAAUAAAAGAUAGUUCAACACAAUAUAAACCCAUGAGAUUGCAAAAAAUCUUUGGAUUAAGUGGAUGAGAACCAAUAAGUUCAUAUAUGAAACCUUGGGGAGUUCAAAAAAAGUUAAAAAGGUUCGAUGUUUGUUGCGAAGCUAGGAUUUUCUUCAUUACUAAUGAAUAAAUCAAGAAGUUCAAAUUAAAAAAGGAUGAGCGGUUCGAUGUUUAUUACGAACCUAGAAUUUUUUCCGUUACUAAAAGAAAUAAUACCAACAAGUUCAAAUUAAAAAAAUCGAGUAGUUUGAUAUUUCUUUGAAAACUCAAAUUUUUCCGGUUAGUAAAUAAUAAAACCAAUAAGUUCAAUUCAAAAUAACGAAGAAGUUCAACUUUUAAAAGCAAAGCAAUUUGAUAUUCAUUUAAAAACUCAAUUUUUUCGGUUACUAAAGAAUAAGACCAACAAGUUCAAUUCAAAGUAACGAAGAAGUUCGAUGUUUCUAACAAAACUCCAAUUUUCACAUUUCUAAAAACUCCAAUUUUAGGUGAGCCCAAUUUUUGUGUGGAUGUGUUGUGCAUGUGCUUGUGCGUAGUACAUUUAAUAGAACAAAAACACUAUUAUGGGUGCCCUCUAAAUGUUUGUCCUAUUGCUUAUGAGAAUUGACCCGAAUUUUCCUAUUGUUUUUGCACAUGUUGGAUUCAAGGGAAAAUGUGUAUAAAACAGGUGUGAUUUCAGAAGUUCAGGUGUAACGAACAUCGAAGUCCAAACCAAAAGAAUGUAAACAAAAAAAUCAUGGAAUUCAAAAGAAUAAAUACUAUCGAGUUUCAUGAAAGAAAAUAGCAUGCGAAGUUCAUGUUUCAGAAAGUUUGAAGUUCACGUGUACCACAUACAGAAGAAAAAUGAUCAAAUGAAAAAAGGGACCGCCUAGGCCAUUUCACCGAAAAGCAAAAAAUGCAUAAAAUGUCACGACAAAAUUCUAUAAGAAGUUCCAAUUUAAAAGCCGAAGUAGGUCAACGUUAAAGAAAAUGAAGUUUUUAAUAUCUAAAAGAAAAUUUUGGAAGCUCAACAAAUUUGUGCAAGGAGUUAAAAAAAUUAGUUGAAAAAUAUUUAUAACGGAUUUUCCCCGUGUAUAAAAAAAUCAGAGAAGUUCAAAUUAAAAAGAGGAGCAUUUCAAAAGAUUGUAUAAAAACUGAUUUACUCAAAAUAGAUAAAGGUGAAGUUCAAAUUGAAAUAACGGAGAUGUUCGGAGUUUAUUAAAACCUAGAAUUUACCUGUUCGAAAAAUAAAAAACACAACACCAUUUUUUUGCACUUUUAGAGACAACUCAUAAACGAAAAAAUGGUUGCUGGAAGUUCAAGUGCUCGGUGAGGAAAAGUUCAAAAAAUUCUUGUAAGAGAGGUUCACCGUGUAUUUAGAUGUCCAAAAUACAUAAAAAAUAUGUUGUUUUUUGUGUUUUAAAAUAAUUCUCUCAAACCAGAGAGAAGUUCAAAGUGAUAAUAGCCGGAAGUUCACGUACUACAUGGUGUGUAUUUCAUAUAAGAAAAAUAGAAUAAAGUGAAACAGAGUAAAGUUCAAACGGACAUGCCCUAGAAGUUCAACUACUUCACGUAGUGCAAAAAAAUAUCACAUCAAAAAUAGAGUGAGGACAGACAUGCCUGAGAAGUUCAACUACUUCACACAGUGUGUUUCCAUUCGCAAUGAAGGCAGAAAUCAUGAUCUCGUCAUUUCUCUAAUUUACUUCAAAACGAUAGGAAUAUCAUUUGUGUAAGUUCAAGUCCUCGGUCGGAGAAAGUUAAAAAAAUAUUGUGAGAGAGGUUUGUACAAAAAGAAUAUCAUUUGUGUAACACUGACGAAAUGGAUGAGAAAAUUACAAACAAAAAACGUCACAGAAGUUCAACGUGAAAACAACAGGAAGUUCGACUACUAUAGUGAAUGAAUUUGAGAUGAAAAACUUUUAAAAUCAUCGCGAGUAUGAAAAAACGAUCAACACGGGAAAGUUAUGUGCUUACAGCAGCUUUCCACCGGUAUAUCACUUUCUCAAUUCCGGUGAGUGGAUGGAGAGUUACGAGCAGUGGAUGGAGACCUACGAGCAAAAAAAUCACGUGAAAAACAGAGUGAAGUUCAGGUACACGCGCCGAGAAGUUCAGGUUCUUCACGCGGUGCAUUUUCGAAGAAUCUGUUUGACGAUAAAGGCAGAACGCAUGAUCUCGCCAUUUUCGAAAUUACUUGAAAAUGGCUAGGAAUCAGAGAAAACCAUCAACAUGAAAAAGUUUUGCAAUUUCCGUAGCUUUUCAGCGGUAUAUUAUUUGCCCCAUUCCGAUAAAGUUUGUAGAAAUUACGGCGAAAAUACGUUUUUCGCCAUUUUCGAAACUGACUUAAAACUGUAAAGAAUUGGGAGAAACAAUACAUACCAAAAAGUUUCACAUUUGUUCAAGAUUUCCAAAGCCAUAACAUUUGCUGCAUUCGGACAGACGGUUAAAAAAUUAGAUCAAAAAUACGAACUCGGUAGGACUAGGACCAUUUUCUAAAUUACUCUUAAACCAUUCAAAAUUAGAAAAAAACUUUCAAGAUGAAAAAGUAGCGCAUUUUCAUAAGCUUUACAAUGCCGUAUCAUAUGCCUCUAUUGGAUUAGCCGUUUAGAAAUGACAUCGAAAAUACGAACUCAGCUGUUCGAUUUACGAAAUUUUACGUUUUUUCAAAUUACUCUUUAACUAUAGGGAAUUAAAGAAAACUUUCAACAUGUGGAAGGAGCGGUUUUGCAGCAGCUUUCCAACGCCAUAUUAUAUGCCUCAUUAAGAUAAACGGUUUAGAAAUGCGGUCGAAAAUACGAUUCACGUUUUUUGUGCGAAGAAAAAACGGUUUUCAAAACUGCUCUUAAACCGCUUAUAUUUUGCCAAAAAUUUAAGUUGGAUAAUGAUACUGAUGUUCAAAACUUUCCAACGGUAUAUAGCAAGCCUCAUUUGGGCAAUGUUGGCGGAAGUUCAACCUAGUUCAUAGGGAAGUUCAGCGUACUACUAGCGGGGCAGGUCAGGUUGUGAUCAGAAUAUUAUUCUGAUCCCGUGAUUAGAAUAGUGUUUAUAUAUAUAUAUAUAUAUAUAUAUAUAUAUAUAUAUUAUAUUUGCCACAUUAACUUUAAGAGUUCAAUAUUAAUAUUUUCAUACAUAUCAAGUGAUAUUGGCGACCUUUUUUACCAUCAAAUCCUCGCGCACACACGCUAGUGCAUAACAAUAUGAAUUAUAUGUAUUAUAUUUGCCACCACAGCUGUGGGUAUUAAUUUCAUGUAAAUCGGUCAAUCACAGCUCCCAGAAUAUGCGAAGGAGGUGGCCUGAAUCGGCGUCGACGCCGUCCAGUGCGGGCCACGGGCCCGCUUCACUAGUAGAAAAAGGGCCUAUUGUCCCGGUUCGUAAGGGCCUUUUGUCCCGGUUCCUGAACCGGGACUAAAGGAUCGGUACUAAUUCCCUGUCCCUUUAGUCCUAGUUCAAUCCAGAACCGGGACAAAUGGGCCUCCACGUGGCCUGUGCGCGGAGCCCAGGCAGGAGGGCCUUUGGUCCUGGUUGGUGGCACCAACCGGGACCAAUAGGCAUCCACGCAUCAGCAUUUCUGUGGCUGGGGUUUNNNNNNNNNNNNNNNNNNNNNNNNNNNNNNNNNNNNNNNNNNNNNNNNNNNNNNNNNNNNNNNNNNNNNNNNNNNNNNNNNNNNNNNNNNNNNNNNNNNNNNNNNNNNNNNNNNNNNNNNNNNNNNNNNNNNNNNNNNNNNNNNNNNNNNNNNNNNNNNNNNNNNNNNNNNNNNNNNNNNNNNNNNNNNNNNNNNNNNNNNNNNNNNNNNNNNNNNNNNNNNNNNNNNNNNNNNNNNNNNNNNNNNNNNNNNNNNNNNNNNNNNNNNNUAGGUGUUUCAUAUAUUGUGUUAGCUAGCUAUAAUUAAUAGAGAGAAGUGUCCUCUCUUAUGUCCAUGCUUGGUCGGCGCUACGUACUAUACAUACGUAUAGAGAGGACUAGACAGGCUAGCUAGCUAGUUAGAAAACGAAGGAAACAGAAGAUCGUCAUGAACAUAUAUGCAUAGAGAGAGAAGUGAUAUCGACCACCUCUCCUUCUCCGAGAGAUUGGUCGAACAACAAGUUCUCGUAUAUCUAUCCGACACUACCGGCUACAUAUAUACAAUAAUUAUCUCUUACAAAUAUAAUCUCCUAACAUACGGACUCAUGGUCCACAUAGUAUUCUCCGUCUUCAGCGAUCACGUGGUCAAGAAAGAAUGCCGACAAUUCCUUUUGAAUUGCUCGCAUGCGAGCUGGUGCUAGGAGUUCAUCUCGCUUCCGAAACAUCUAAUUUGAAGAAGGGGCCGGGGUCAAUACAUAUAUAUAUGAAUGAAUGAAACUAAACACAAAUGAUGGUAAUAAAAUAAAAUUGUGAAUGUUGUUAUUUGCGCACUUCAUAUUGUUCAUCAGAGUAGCCCCGCUCACAGGCCGUGUGGUAGAUGGACUCGCAAACGUAGUAUCCACAGAAAUCAUUCCCUUGUAACUGCCACAACCCCUUUACAAGAAAUAGAGGUCAAUCAAACUGAUAAGCAAGAAUGCCAAAUGGUAUUGAUGAAACUAGCGCUUGAAUCAAUAGGAGAUGCGCGGAACAUGCUACUAUAGUACUUACUUUGGGGUGUCUAAAUUGCAGCUUCUCCGGGAGUCCCGGAGCUUUUUUGGUGAAUUUUUUCCAAACCCUGCCAGACAAAGAAAACAGUUACUUGAUAUAUCAGGAAAUGAACAAAGUUGCUGAUAUGGUGGAUAAUGAUCGAUUUAACUUACUUCUCGAGCAUUUGAGUCAUGUCCGCAUAGUCCUGGGGAUCUUUUCGUCUUGAGUCUAAGACGGUUACUAGUCCCUGCUCAAGCUUAAUCUCUAGGAGAAUAUAGUGGAAACUGCACACGCAUGCAUAACUCAUCAAUUACAUUACUAUAACCUUGACUAAUAUAUAAGGGAAACCGAAUAUGCACAAGACAGUAACACUCACUUGAAGUUGUAAGGAAAAAGUAUUAUAUCUUUGUUUUCAUUUAUUACCAACGAUCGUAGCAAGUUGGCCUCGGUAUCCGCGACAUGAAAUUUAACCUCAGUUGCAUCUAUGAUAUUUGUGUUAAUGAACCCAAUAUCACCGAUUUGUCUUUUCUUCAAUUCGACGAUCUUCAAUCUGCAUAAUAUAGUGAGGAUAAUUAUAAAUACAUGCAAUGAAAGAGCUGAGCUAUAUAGAGAGACUUAAUGACAGAAGUAGUACUACUUACAGACAGUAGCAGGUGACCGUUGCUUUAUCGAGGGCCAAUUGAUUGAAAAACUGAAAGAACUCCUCAAAUGGAACAGGUAACAAACACUAGUAGAAAAAGGGUCAAACGUGAAGCACAUUAGUGCCGGUUUGUAAAAAGACCGGCACUAAUGUGAUCAAUAGUGCCGGUUCGAAUGGCUAUGCAUUAGUGCCGGUUCGUAAUGAACCUUUAGUACCGGUUCAUGCCACGAACCGGUACUAAAGGGGUGGUGGCAGGCUGGCGUCAGGCCAGGCCCCACGAGCCCCUUUAGUGACGGUUUGUGACACAAACCGGUACUAAAGGUCUAACCUAUAGUACCGGUUUGUGUCACCAACCGGCACUACAAAGUCUUAACCUAUAGUCCCGGUUGAAGACACAAACCGACACUAUAGGGCAAUUUUCAAACUCUACCCCCCCCCCCGUGUAUCGCCAUUUCAGUUUUGAAAAAAUCAAAAGAAAAUGAUAAAAACUUCAAAAAAUAAAAUCCUUCGAGAGGUAGUUAUAUUACUACAUCUACUAGUUAGGAAAAUUUGAAAACUUAAAUUUGGACAUGUUUUGCAAAAAGUGUAGGGAAAAUGUAAAACGGCUAUAACUUUUGCAUAUGAUGUCGGAAAAAACGUAUAAUAUAUCAAAAAAUUCAGCACGAAAAUCCUCAAAUUCCAAAAGGAAAAAAAGAUAUGGUCAAAUUUAAGUUUUUUUUAAAAAAAAUUGGUUAAAUCUGGUCAAACUACUUAUUCAAGAAGUGUUAAUGUUACUACAUAAUUAUUCAAGAAUAUUAGUGUUACUAAAUAAUUAUUUCAAUUUUUUGAAUUUUGGUCAAAUCUGGUCAAACUAUGGUCAAACUGUGGUCAAACUAUGGUCAAACUUAUUCAAGAAAUAUUAGCGUUACUAAAUAAUUACUGUUUUUUUAGAAUAAUAGUUUCAAACUCAAACGGUGAAAUGUGUGACUUCAUGCUCAAGCUAAACUCCUGAGGGUUAAUAGGAUUAACAUCUUACUAUCAUCACGAAAACAACAAGUGCAGACAUGGAAACGAAGGAGAAUAGAACCCGAAAGUUAAGCGUGCUCGGGCUGGAGUAGUGAGAGGGAUGGGUGACCGGUCGAGAAGUUAGAUGAUUUGGAAUGAGUGAUCCACACUUGAGCAGUUAAGAGAGGUGAUUAGAGACUAAAUCAUCAAAUAAUUUAGAAAAAUUAAAAAAAUCAAAUUAAUUUUCAAAAAAAAUAUUCAAAAAAAAAACCAUUAGUACCGGUUGGUAACACCAACCGGUACUAAAGGUCCCCCAUACCAGGGCGUGAACUCACGCCACGUGGUGGCACUUUAGCGCCGGUUCGUGCCGAACCGGUACUAAAGGGGGGGGGGGCUUUAGUGCCGGUUCCAUAACCGGCACUAAAGGCACUUACAAACCGGUUUUAAAGCUCCGUUUUCUACUAGUGAAAUCAAUUCCAACGAGGUCAUGCUCCUUUUUAACUCUCACAUACAAAGUACUCCUCCCCUAGACUCUCUGCAGAUUUUCAAGUACCAAUCAUGCAAUCUUUGCAUCAUCGUUGAUAGAGAUCUUUCAUCUUUGACGAGAGGCUUCCCGUACUCGUAUCUUUGUAUCUGCACCUCCAUGAAAUCAUAAUGUACAUCGUCGGGCAGGUAAUCUCCAAGAUUGCUAUAACCGGGCACCAUCCUCGGAUCAUUAGCGACGAUGUCGCUAGGUACCUUGAGCGGGGGGGGGGGGGCACGAUUGCUUCCCUUGUUCGCCAAGCUGGGAAAUUUGUUUCCCAACUCGUCGUUCUUUCAGCCUUUGAUCACUGACAGUACUUCCCGACCGCUCCGCUUCGGCAAAUUCCUUUCCAAUAAUGCGCUCAUAGUUUCCUUUCGGUGGAGACUUGGGUGGUUUUGUUAGGGCAGCCAGAGUGCGCUUCGCUUUCACCGGAUCUACCUUCUCCUCCAGAGGUGGAUGUUUCUUUGCUUUCACCCCUUCAAAGAAGUUCCUGACUUCUUCUCGCACGAUCUCGGCGUUCUCCUCCGGGGUCCUCUCGUAUGGUAACUUCUCUGGAGUCUUUAGAGAAGGACCGAAUCUGUAUGUCCUCCCGCCUCUGGCUGUACUGCUAGACGCCGGCAGAGCAGACGGAGCGGUUGUCUUCUUUACUUGCUUACGAGGCAGAGGAGAAGGACUACGACGCACCAGAGCAGCCGGAGCGGCCGCAGGUCUCUUCCGCCCUUGCUGACGAGGCGGAGAAGGAGGAGGCUGGCUGCUCGGGCGCGCCGGCGCAGGCGGAGAAGGAGGCGGAGUGCCGCCACGCGCCGGAGAAGGAGCCGGCCGAGUGCCCUGAUAGUCACUCGCCAGAGGAGGAGGCGGUGGAGGGGGCGGAGUGCCCUGACUCGCCGAAGGAGGAGGAGGAGGCGGAGGCAUCCAAUUCGGAAGGUUCAUGACCUCCUUCCGCCAUAGGCAUGGAGUCUUCAGAGCAGAACCCAGCCGAGUCUCCCCUUCACCGGUAGGGUGGUCAAGCUGGAGGUCCUCAAAUCCCUCCGUUAUUUCAUCCACCAUCACCCUAGCAUAUCAUUCUGUAAUCGGCCGGCAGUGAAAAGUUGCGCUGGGUUCAGUAGGAAAAACAGAGCCAAUAGCCGCCUUGACCUUCAUAUUAACCCAUUGCGUCAUAAGGUGGCAAUUAUGAGACUCCGUGAUAGCAUCCACGGGAUAGCUGGCAGGAGCCGUCAAGACAUGCUCCUGCUGAAGCAGCUCGGUGGAAGCCAUGCUGCUUCUCCGCUGAGAUGGCGGGGUAGCUUCGGCAGUUCGUUUUGUGCGAUUUGCUUCUCGUUCCUCUAUUGCUUGUACCCUAGCGUGCAGCGCCUGCAGUUGGGUCUGCUCCACUUUCUUCCUCCUCUCGUGGCAUUUGUAACCGCCUGCGUCCGGAAACCCAGCCUUACACGGAAUGGAGCCUGGCGUGCCUCAUGUCCGUCCAGGGUGUUCAGGAUUCCCGAGGGCCAUUGUGAGCUCGUCGUUCUCUCUGUCUGGAACAAACAUACCUUGCUGCGCUGCUUCGAUAUAGUGCUUAAGCCUCUUGACUGGUAUUUCCAUUUGCUCGUCCGUCCAAAUGCACUUUCCUGAUACAGGGUCCAAGGUUUCACCAGCCCCGAAGAACCAAGUCCGGUAACGGUCUGUCCAGUUAAUUGUCUCUGGUUCGAUCCCUUUAUCAACCAGAUCAUUCUCAAUCUUGGCCCACUUAGGCCGAGCUGCCAGGUAGCCACCUGACCCCGUGCGAUGGUGAUGCUUCUUCUUCACAGCAUUUUGCUUGUUUGUCGACGACAUCUUCUUACUCUUUUCCGAUGUCUUGUGGGCCACAAAUGCGGGUCAGUGAUCUCUGAUCUUCUCAUAUCUGCCCUUGAAUUCCGGUGUCUCUUUAUUUUCGACAAACUUAUUCAGCUCUUUCUUCCACCUCCUGAAUAGUUCUGCCAUCCUCUUAAGAGCAAAAGACUUGAUUAAUUGCUCUUUAACUGGCUUCUCCGGAUCAUCCUCUGGCUGUAGGGUGAAAUUUGACUUCAGCUCAGUCCAAAGAUCAUUUUUCUGCAUAUCAUUGACAUAAGACACCUCAGGGUCUUCUGUAGCCGGCUUUAACCAUUGCUGCAUGCUGAUCGGGAUCUUGUCCCUAACCAAAACCCCGCACUGAGCAACAAAUGCGCUCUUUGUCCGGAUAGGUUCAUUCGGUUGGCCCUCGGGCGCGAUUGCUAUGAUCUCAAACUUUUCAUCCGAGCUCAACUUUUUCUUCGGGCCUCGUCUCUUUACCGAAGUUGUGCUCGAUCCGGAGGGCUAGAAAAAAGAACAAAGACUUAAUUAAUAUGUGUACAUACCAAAACAAUGAAUGCAUCAAUUAGCUAGUCAGCAGAAGCUUAACUAAUACUAGAUCAUUGAUGGUGCGUGUUGUUGCGCCCAUCUAUUUUGGAUCUUGGUUGUUAAGGAUAUAACAUUGCUAGUAUACAUUUCUUGCAUUGUUUUAAAAUAUUAUGCUUUCUAUAGCAUGUACUUCUCUUUAUUUUCAAAAUAAUGGUAUGUAAAUCAUCUUCAUUGGGGCAACAUUACAACUUCCAUAUCAACAUAAGCUUAGAUAUAAAUAGGGCAGUGCCAUAAGCCAACCUAUCCAUAUCCACGUUAUAAUAAUGGAUGGCUAUGUACAUUUUUGUUCAAGCAUAGUACAAGCUUGUUGCAGUUGCAUAGGAACAUAGACUUAAACAUAAUAUAAACUUGAAAUGUAUAAUGAUGGAAGAAGGCGGCAUGACAGUAUAUUAUACUUGGAAAACAAAUUGUACGAUGGAGUAGAGCGAACUGGAGAAGAUGUAGACCUCAAAUAGGCACCAGAAACACUGCACCAAAAUUUCUAUGAUUAUGGAUACAUCCAACAUGGCGGACGGUCAGAGGGCAUGAGAAGUAUAAUCAUAUACUAUCUAAGAAAAUCAAGACUCUUGAUUAUUACAUCAAAAGCAAGGCACAGAACAAGCUUACAUAUCGUAUUGUUCGUGCUAACACAAAUAAUAAUAUCUUCUAACACACGAAUGUAAUUUGGCCAAAAGAUAAUUUCUUCAUACGAAUUCCAACGUCACUACAUUUUUUUUCAUUGGGGCUUAAAAAUUGUUUGACCGUUUUACAUGAGAUAGAAAGAACUGACUGAACCGAGCAACAAAAGGCAACAAAAACACAAAUCAGUUUCCUCUCAUUCUCUGCCUACAUCAUAUUUUUUUUCCUGUAAAUAUAUCUUGUGAUUCAUCAUUGUUUCAGACCGUAAGGGCCGGAAGCUCUACCUAAGGCGGCUGCCAUACAAGGAUACACACAGCUUCGCCUUAAACACCCUCCUUGUGGCGAUGCUUAGAAAGGGAAUAACCUCAUGUAUUACCUUGCUCGGAAUAGCCAUGUUUUCAAAUCCCAACUAAUCCACCUUAAUCCUAACAUCAAAUGAACACAACAUUAACUUGAGAUCAGACGCUAUGGAGUCAGAGUGAUUGCAUGACUCGAGGCACAAGGCAACAGGCUGGGGUGAAGGCGUGGCAGCUGCAUGCCACCACGAAACACCGGCGAGCAGAGAACCGGAAGAUACAUAAUCGUUUAUGUCUUAUGAGUUAAUUUCUCCACUCAUUGCACGCUACAAAACAUUAGCGAGUAUACAUAGGAUGUCCCUUUCUGAACAACUACAUAAUAUAUAAAUUCCAAUUGCAUUAGGGAUUUCAUCUAGAGUAUAUUCCCUGAAUUAUUUGAAAUGAAGUAAUGGUUUUUCUAAUCCUACUUUGACCUGGAGCAUCACUCUGAAACAUCAGGGAACACACACAUCUUCAGAAGUAGCAGCAGUAGCUAAUGUGAAAAGUUCACUGGAAUGCUAGGAUACUAAAAAAGCUAGUACAUCCCAAUAGCCAAAGAACAUAACAAAAUUUGGCAUCAUGUGUCAAGUAGCUCACAGUGGGCAUAAAUUUGUACAUUAUAUGUCCCUUUAUUAACUCACUUGUCUCUGAUUUUUAACUAUUAGGAAAUAAUAGUGGUCAUCAAAAUUAGAAUAUAUUGUAAUGCUCUAGAAUAGGAUCUAAUUGUUGGGAGUUGUUACCUGAGGGAAUCCUUGCGGGGAGCUGAGCAUAGGAACCAAUGCUGUUCCGCACUGUCCACGUGACUGACCACCGUGCUGCCUCCAUGAGCCGAUGUGGAACUUCUACCAACAAGUGAUUUGUACAUGACUGCUCAAGCAAACUAAACCACUAAAUCCAAAGGGGAUUCGUUCCAGAAAGGUGCAACACCUUGAGAAAUCUACGUGUAGAAUUGAAGAGGGGAGAGUAUCAGGAGGUAAACCUAGAGAACCUGCAUAGUUUGUGAGUACAAAGAACAGUAUGAGUAAAAUAAAUUUCAAAAAUUGGAUUAGAUGAAGAAUCAGGUGAAGAGGAGAUAAAGGAAAGAACCAUCACCCAUUGCUGCACGAGAGUGGUUUUCAGAAGUAAGGGGAGUAGGGAAGGAGCAACAGCACUUUGGAUCGUAUAUUCGUAUAUGCGCGCGAGUGAAUUGAAGUAAAAAGCAUGAAUCAUCAGACCUGCAAUAAUCUUCAGUUUAGCCGGUUCAUCAAUUGCCAUUAAUCGAUCCUGAUUAAAACCUCAACGAAUCGAUGGCUAGUGAAUUUCAAUCGACAGCGGCUGUUCGCGGCCCUGACCAUCUCCCUAUUGCGUCACCGACCAGGACGCCGUUCGGUCGCUCGGCGAGGAGCGCCGUGUCAGUCGGACCUGAAGCACAGUGGCCAUGAGACACCAUCGGUCGCGUCGAUCCGACCCCAACACGGCCGCCAUCACUACUGCCCAGAUUCUGCUGCCAGCCGACAGCAGCAACCGUGCGAAACUGCGAACCAAAGGAUCUGGCGACGACGCGCCUGAGAACUCUAGAUAUGGCUUGAAAACCAGAAAUAUGCUUCACGGAUGUAGAGCGUGUUUGGUUGAGUUCCAGGAGCAAAAUUGCCUGGCCUGAGACCUUCCUGGGUUGUGCCUGCUUGUUGUUUGGAUAGUAGCCUCAAAUCACAGGCAUGUUCCUGGCCUGGAGUUGACAUGCACCUGAUUAGCCUGGGUAGAUCACAGGCAGCUUGAUUAGCCUGGAUGAGGCCAACGGAACCAGACGCCUGGCCUCCAGGCAGAUGCGUUUUGCGUCAAUUAGCAAGUUGUAUACUGUACUUUUUGUCAACUCAGCCGUCCCAUCUAAUUAUUUAAUAUUUAAGUACGUGUCCCAGGCCAGGUUUGCAACCAAACAUCACAUGCACACAGCAGCCUGGCCAGGCAAAAAUCCUCCUUCUCCCAGGCUACUAUCAGGCAUCAACUUUUGCUAGGCAUCACACCCAGGACAUGAACCAAACAUGCCCGUAGUGCGUCACUGACCUGGGGAUGAGCUCGUCGCCGGCUCGAGAAAAAGUCGCUCCCUGCUGCGCUUUUGGGGAAGAUAGGAAAUGUAGAAGAAUGAGCCAAUCUAGUGAAUCCCGUGGAACUUAAUGGAACCUGCACUCAUUUGGGAGCACAAAGAACAACAUCAAUUGAAAAAAAUUCAUGCAGAAUUUGGGGGAGAGUAGAGGUACCAACGAGGGAACACUUGUAAAAGGCCAGUAGCGGAGACUAAUUAUCGUCCUGUCAACCAUGGCAGCCUGCAAGUAAAAGGAGGAGAAUGAGGAAGGAGAAGCUCCACGAUGGAGAUUAAAUGGACGCAAUUGAAUGGAUGUUGUAACUGAGCCCAGUUAUUGGCCACCGGUGAGUGCGCCUCAUCGAUUGCAAAUUUGCCAUUAUAAUGGUCCGCUGCAACUAUGAAUUGAGUCCCGAAUCGCGGGCAACUGGAGGCAACCGACAGGGGACGAUCCGUUGCCCCGGAUACCUCCUGCUGGCGUCGCCCAGCGAGGCAACCCGGCCGGUCGCGUAGGUCGAGGCACAUCCGGUCGGUCCAAUCGACCUCGCAUCGGCACUGUUUUUUUUUCUCGCAUCAGGACUGGAUGAACGCUCAUCGGUCGCUCGUGUGUAACCCUAGUCGAUGGAACCGCACAAGUGGACCUUCUUCAGCGAAGCCCGUGGGCUGGAAUGGGCUGGCCGACGGCCCAGUUAACCACAGGGCUACGUUUUGGCCUGCGGAGCAGAAGCCCCAGGACAGCCGGCCCAGUUUUUAUCAGAUGUGGGACAGAUUGCUUUAAACAGGAGAUCCGACGACCAAAAACGUCUAGAUCGUGCAAACGGAUGGUCAGAAACGCGAAGCGCUGAGAGAGCUCGCUUUAGGUGCAGUUGUAUUGUACUUAAUAUAUACCUGGCCGGACUCGGUUCGGUCACCAGAGACGUCAUCACGGUCUCCUUCUUGCACCGGCAUUGUGUCACCGGAGCCGUCCUCACGGUCUCCUUCUUGCACCGGCAUUAGGUCACCGGAGCCAUCAUAAUCAUAGCCAGCUGCUUCCAUACCAUCGGUGUCGUUGAGAAACAACGAGCAGACGGCAUCCCUUCCUCGUGCGAUUAUGUCCCCCAACAACUCUUCUUGUACUUCGUCUCGGGCGGUGUCCAUAGUUUCUACAAAUAUUUAUAACAUGGCAAUUAUUAUUCAAACAUGACAGAUGGAUAUAUUAGUGGCAAACGUAGAACUAAUAUUAAUUAGUGGCCUCGACGCUACUUCUCUAGGGUUUGGGGUGGCCUCGACGCUGCUUCUCCAGGGUUUGAAGUGGCCUCGACAACGCUUCAAGGAUAAAAAAAGAAGAGGAAGAAGAAAAAAAGGGGAGAAGAAAGAAUAGAUCCUCUUUUUUUUUCUUCUUCUUCCUCUUUUUUUUUAUCGGGAACGAGGGUCGUCGACGCCCACGUCACUUGUGGGACGUGGAUGUAGUGUCCGACACCGAUGGCCACAUGUAUCUCACACCCACGAUACUUACUAUUUAGGGUUUCCUCUACCGCUCGGCGACCCUGACCCUCGACGACCCUCGUUUCNNNNNNNNNNNNNNNNNNNNNNNNNNNNNNNNNNNNNNNNNNNNNNNNNNNNNNNNNNNNNNNNNNNNNNNNNNNNNNNNNNNNNNNNNNNNNNNNNNNNNNNNNNNNNNNNNNNNNNNNNNNNNNNNNNNNNNNNNNNNNNNNNNNNNNNNNNNNNNNNNNNNNNNNNNNNNNNNNNNNNNNNNNNNNNNNNNNNNNNNNNNNNNNNNNNNNNNNNNNNNNNNNNNNNNNNNNNNNNNNNNNNNNNNNNNNNNNNNNNNNNNNNNNNNNNNNNNNNNNNNNNNNNNNNNNNNNNNNNNNNNNNNNNNNNNNNNNNNNNNNNNNNNNNNNNNNNNNNNNNNNNNNNNNNNNNNNNNNNNNNNNNNNNNNNNNNNNNNNNNNNNNNNNNNNNNNNNNNNNNNNNNNNNNNNNNNNNNNNNNNNNNNNNNNNNNNNNNNNNNNNNNNNNNNNNNNNNNNNNNNNNNNNNNNNNNNNNNNNNNNNNNNNNNNNNNNNNNNNNNNNNNNNNNNNNNNNNNNNNNNNNNNNNNNNNNNNNNNNNNNNNNNNNNNNNNNNNNNNNNNNNNNNNNNNNNNNNNNNNNNNNNNNNNNNNNNNNNNNNNNNNNNNNNNNNNNNNNNNNNNNNNNNNNNNNNNNNNNNNNNNNNNNNNNNNNNNNNNNNNNNNNNNNNNNNNNNNNNNNNNNNNNNNNNNNNNNNNNNNNNNNNNNNNNNNNNNNNNNNNNNNNNNNNNNNNNNNNNNNNNNNNNNNNNNNNNNNNNNNNNNNNNNNNNNNNNNNNNNNNNNNNNNNNNNNNNNNNNNNNNNNNNNNNNNNNNNNNNNNNNNNNNNNNNNNNNNNNNNNNNNNNNNNNNNNNNNNNNNNNNNNNNNNNNNNNNNNNNNNNNNNNNNNNNNNNNNNNNNNNNNNNNNNNNNNNNNNNNNNNNNNNNNNNNNNNNNNNNNNNNNNNNNNNNNNNNNNNNNNNNNNNNNNNNNNNNNNNNNNNNNNNNNNNNNNNNNNNNNNNNNNNNNNNNNNNNNNNNNNNNNNNNNNNNNNNNNNNNNNNNNNNNNNNNNNNNNNNNNNNNNNNNNNNNNNNNNNNNNNNNNNNNNNNNNNNNNNNNNNNNNNNNNNNNNNNNNNNNNNNNNNNNNNNNNNNNNNNNNNNNNNNNNNNNNNNNNNNNNNNNNNNNNNNNNNNNNNNNNNNNNNNNNNNNNNNNNNNNNNNNNNNNNNNNNNNNNNNNNNNNNNNNNNNNNNNNNNNNNNNNNNNNNNNNNNNNNNNNNNNNNNNNNNNNNNCGGGACUAAAGGGGGGCAUUGGUCACGGUUUGUGCCACGAACCGUGACCAAUGCCCCCUUUAGUCCCGGUUGGUGCCAUCAACCGGGACCAAAGGCCUGCGCCUGCCAAAGCCGUGGUGCGGUAGGAUGUUUAGUCCCACCUCGCUAGCUGAGGAGCGGCCGCACCUGUUUAUAAGCGCUGCACCUGUUUGGGCCUAAUCUCACAACGCUAUGCCUGCUGGGCCUUCUGCGGGCCUGAAUCCUGGCCCAUGGAUGGGCUUCUAGUCGUAUUCAGGCCGUGGUGGCCCAGUAGGUGGCAUUUUUUAUUACUAUUUGAUUUUUCAUUUCUACUUAGAACUAAAUACUUGUAGUUUUUUAGUGAUUUUUUUCUUUUAGGUCACAAAAAUUAUAAACUUUCUAUUAUUGCCAUUAGUUUUAAAAUUUGAAUAGUUUAAUUUUGAAUUUUUUAAAAUUUGUGUGAAUCACUAGUUUAUGAAUAACUUUACCGUAAAAAUUGAUUUUUGAGUCAUUUUUUUCCUGCUAUUUAAUAUUACUGUGUUUUAUCAUUAUACUCAAUUUGGUAAUUUUAGUUAGUCAUAACAAAUAUUAUAGGCAUUUUUUUCUUUUUUGCUAUUUUUUUUCAUUUCUACUUAGAACAAAAUACUUAUAGUUCUUUAGUGAUUUCUUUUUUCUUUUAGGUCACAAAAAUUAUAAACUUUCUGGUAGUUCCAUUAGUUUUCANNNNNNNNNNNNNNNNNNNNNNNNNNNNNNNNNNNNNNNNNNNNNNNNNNNNNNNNNNNNNNNNNNNNNNNNNNNNNNNNNNNNNNNNNNNNNNNNNNNNNNNNNNNNNNNNNNNNNNNNNNNNNNNNNNNNNNNNNNNNNNNNNNNNNNNNNNNNNNNNNNNNNNNNNNNNNNNNNNNNNNNNNNNNNNNNNNNNNNNNNNNNNNNNNNNNNNNNNNNNNNNNNNNNNNNNNNNNNNNNNNNUUAAUUCUUUUUGCUUUUCGUUUUAGAAAAAUUAUAAACUUUCUGUUAGUGCCAUUAGUUUUCAAAUUUGAAAACACUUUUUUAGUUUUUUUGCUUUCUUUGUUGCUUUAUUUAUUUUAUUUUGUUUCUACUUACAAAAAAAUACUUAUUGUUGCUAUUUUUUUUCAGUUUUUGUUUUGUUUUCUUUAUUAUUUAUUUUCUUUUGUUUUUUGCUUUAAUUUUUAAUUCUUUUUGCUUUUAGGUCAGCAAAAUUAUAAACUUUCUGUUAGUGCCACUAGUUUUAGAAAAAUUAUAAACUUUCUGUUAGUGCCAUUAGUUUUCAAAUUUGAAUAGUUAAAAUUUGAAUUCUUUAAAAUUUGUAUGAACCACAAGUUUGUGAUUAACUUUACUAAAAAAAUGAACAUAGAUGCACCUAUAGAGAAAAUUCGACCUAAAUUCAUAGUUUUCAAAUGAACUCUCAAAAAGUUGGCAUAGCAUACUCGUGUGUUACAAAGUUGGCAUGGUAUCAUCAUAAUAGUUGCUUGAGAAAGUCUUCACUUUUUCUUCGCUUGUGUCAUUUGCUUAUUGCGCCGUAACCAUGGAUAAUCUUCAUCGUUUAUCAGGAUGCUUGGGUCAGCCUUGACAUUGAAGGGAGGAAUUUCAUGAAACUUUUCAUAAUCUUCAGACAUGUCUGUCUUGCCCUCCACUCCCAGGAUAUCCCUUUUUCCUGAAAGAACUAUAUGGCGCUUUGGCUCAUCGUAUGAUGUAUUCGCUUCCUUAUCUUUUCUUUUUCUCGGUUUGGUAGACAUGUCCUUCACAUAGAUAACCUGUGCCACAUCAUUGGCUAGGACGAACGGUUCGUCAGUAUACCCAAGAUUUUUCAGAUCCACUGUUGUCAUUCCGUACUGUGGGUCUACCUGUACCCCGCCGCCUGACAGAUUGACCCAUUUGCACUUAAACAAAGGGACCUUAAAAUCAUGUCCGUAGUCAAGUUCCCAUAUGUCCAUUAUGUAACCAUAAUAUGCAUCCUUUCCGCUCUCGGUUGCUGCAUCAAAGCGGACACCGCUGUUUUGGUUGGUGCUCUUUUGAUCUUGGGCGAUCAUGUAAAAUGUAUUCCCAUUUAUCUCGUAUCCUUUGUAAGUCAAUACAGUCAAAGAUGGUCCCCUGGACAACAAGUGCAACUCAUCACAAACAGUGUUGUCACCUCUGAGACGUGUUUCCAACCAACUGUUGAAAGUCCUGAUGUGUUCACAUGUAAUCUAGUCGUCGCACUGCUCCGGAUGUUUGGAGCGCAGACUGUUUUUGUGUUCAUCGAUAUACGGGGCCACCAUGGUAGAGUUCUGUAGAACUGUGUAGUGUGCUUGAGACCAAGAAUAUCCGUCCCUGCAUAUUAUUGAGUCACUUCCAAGAGUGCCUUUUCCAGUCAGUCUCCCCUCAUACCGCGAUUUAGGGAGACCUAUCUUCUUAAGGCCAGGAAUGAAGUCAACACAAAAUUCGAUAACAUCCUCUGUUUGAUGGCCCAUGGAGAUGCUUCCUUCUGACCUAGCGCGGUUACGGACAUAUUUCUUUAGGACUCCCAUGAACCUCUCAAAGGGGAACAUAUUGUGUAGAAAUACGGGCCCCAGGAUGACAAUCUCGUCGACUAGAUGAACUAGGACGUGCGUCAUGAUAUUGAAGAAGGAUGGUGGGAACACCAGCUCGAAACUGACAAGACAUUGCGCCACAUCACUCCUUAGCCUUGGUACAAUUUCUGGAUCGAUCACCUUCUGAGAGAUUGCAUUGAGGAAUGCACAUAGCUUCACAAUGGCUAAUCGGACGUUUUCUGGUAGAAGCCCCCUCAAUGCAGCCGGAAGCAGUUGCGUCAUAAUCACAUGGCAGUCAUGAGACUUUAGGUUCUGAAACUUUUUCUCUGGCAUAUUUAUUAUUCCCUUUAUAUUCGAUGAGAAGCCAGUCGUGACCUUCAUACUGAGCAGGCAUUCAAAGAAGAUUUCUUUCUCUUCUUUCGUAAGAGCAUAGCUGGCAGGACCUUUAUACUGCUUCGGAGGCAUGCCGUCUUUUUCAUGCAAAUGUUGCAGGUCCUCCCAUGCCUCGGAUGUAUCUUUUGUCUUCCCAUACAAGAAGCCUACCAGGUUCACACAAAGGUUCUUCAUCACGUGCAUCACGUCGAUUGAAGAGCAGACCUCUAGGUCUUUCCAGUAGGGUAGGUCCCAAAAUAUAGAUUUCUUCUUCCACAUGGGUGCGUGUCCCUCAGCGUCAUUCGGAACAGCUAGUCCGCCGGGACACUUUCCAAAGAUUACAUGUAAAUCAUUGACCAUAGCAAGUACGUGAUCACCGGUACGCAUGGCGGGCUUCUUCUGGUGAUCUGCCUCGCCUUUGAAAUGCUUGCCUUUCUUUCGACAUUGAUGGUUGGUCGGAAGAAAUCAACGAUGGCCCAGGUACACAUUUUUCCUGCAUUUGUCCAGGUAUAUACUUUCAGUGUCAUCUAAACAGUGCGUGCAUGCGUGGUAUCCUUUGUUUGUCUAUCCUGAAAGGUUACUGAGAGCGGGCCAAUCAUUGACGGUCACGAACAGCAAAGCCUUUAGGUUAAAUUCCUCCUGUCUAUGGUCAUCCCACGUACGUACACUGUUUCCAUUCCACAGCUGUAAAAGUUCUUCAACUAAUGGCCUUAGGUACACAUCAAUGUCCUUGCCGGGUUGCUUAGUGUAGGGGAACAUAGUAAUUUCAAAAUUUUCCUACGCACACGCAAGAUCAUGGUGAUGCAUAGCAACGAGAGGGGAGAGUGUUGUCUAUGUACCCUCGUAGACCGAAGCGGAAGCGCUGACACAACGUAGAGGAAGUAGUCGUACGUCUUCCCGAUCCUACCGAUCCAAGCACCGUUACUCCGGCACCUCCGAGUUCUUAGCACACGUACAGCUCGAUGACGCUCCCCAGGCUUCGAUCCAACAAAGCUUCGGGGAUGAGUUCCAUCAGCACAACGGCGUGGUGACGAUGAUGAUGUUCUACCGACGCAGGGCUUCGCCUAAGCACUACAAUGAUAUGACCGAGGUGGAAUAUGGUGGAAGGGGGCACCGCACACGGCUAAGGAACGAUCACGUUGAUCAAUUGUGUGUUCUAGGGUGUCCCCUUGCCUCCGUAUAUAAAGGAUCCAAGGGGGAGGGGUUCGGCCGGCCCUAUGGAGGCGCAGGAGGAGUCCUACUCCUACCGGGAGUAGGACUCCCCCCUUUCCUAGUCCAAGUAGGAUUGGUGGAGAAGAAAGGGAAAGAGGGGGGUGCAGCCCCUCCCUCCUUGUCCAAUUCGGACUAGGGGGAGAGGGGGCGCGCGGCCUGCCCUGGCAGCCCCUUCCUAUUCUCCACUUUAGGCCCAUGAGGCCCAUUAACACCCCGGGGGGUUCCGGUAACCCCCCGGUGCUCCGGUUUUAUCCGAAACUUCAUCGGAACCCUUCCGGUGUCUGAAUAUAGUCAUCCAAUAUAUCAAUCUUUAUGUCUCGACCAUUUCGAGACUCCUCGUCAUGCCCGUGAUCACAUCCGGGACACCGAACUAACUUCGGUACAUCAAAAUGUAUAAACUCAUAAUAACUAUCAUCGUAACGUUAAGCGUGCGGACCCUAUGGUUCGAGAACAAUGUAGACAUGACCGAGACACGUCUCCGGUCAAUAACCAAUAGCGGGACCUGGAUGCCCAUAUUGGCUCCUACAUAUUCUACGAAGAUCUUUAUCGGUCAGACCGCAUAACAACAUACGUUGUUCCCUUUGUCAUCGGUAUGUUACUUGCCCGAGAUUCGAUCGUCGGUAUCCAAUACCUAGUUCAAUCUCGUUACCGGCAAAUCUCUUUACUCGUUCCGUAAUACAUCAUCUCACAACUAACUCAUUAGUUGUAAUGCUUGCAAGGCUUAUGUGAUGUGCAUUACCGAGAGGGCCCAGAGAUACCUCUCCGACAAUCGGAGUGACAAAUCCUAAUCUCGAAAUACGCCAACCCAACAUCUACCUUUGGAGACACCUGUAGAGCACCUUUAUAAUCACCCAGUUACGUUGUGACGUUUGGUAGCACACAAAGUGUUCCUCCGGCAAACGGGAGUUGCAUAAUCUCAUAGUCAUAGGAACAUGUAUAAGUCAUGAAGAAAGCAAUAGCAACAUACUAAACGAUCGGGUGCUAAGCUAAUGGAAUGGGUCAUGUCAAUCAGAUCAUUCAACUAAUGAUGUGAUCUCGUUAAUCAAAUAACAACUCUUUGUUCAUGGUUAGGAAACAUAACCAUCUUUGAUUAACGAGCUAGUCAAGUAGAGGCAUACUAGUGACACUCUGUUUGUCUAUGUAUUCACACAUGUAUUAUGUUUCCGGUUAAUACAAUUCUAGCAUGAAUAAUAAACAUUUAUCAUGAUGUAAGGAAAUAAAUAAUAACUUUAUUAUUGCCUCUAGGGCAUAUUUCCUUCAGUCUCCCACUUGCACUAGAGUCAAUAAUCUAGAUUACACAGUAAUGAUUCUAACACCCAUGGAGCCUUGGUGCUGAUCAUGUUUUGCUCGUGGAAGAGGCUUAGUCAACGGGUCUGCAACAUUCAGAUCCGUAUGUAUCUUGCAAAUCUCUAUGUCUCCCACCUGGACUAGAUCCCGGAUGGAAUUGAAGCGUCUCUUGAUGUGCUUGGUUCUCUUGUGAAAUAUGGAUUCCUUUGCCAAGGCAAUUGCACCAGUAUUGUCACAAAAGAUUUUCAUUAGACCCGAUGCACUAGGUAUGACACCUAGAUCGGAUAUGAACUCCUUCAUCCAGACUCCUUCGUUUGCUACUUCCGAAGCAGCUAUGUACUCCGCUUCACAUGUAGAUCCCGCCACAAUGCUUUGUUCAGAACUGCACCAACUGACAGCUCAACCGUUUAAUGUAAACAUGUAUCCGGUUUGUGAUUUAGAAUCGUCCGGAUCAGUGUCAAAGCUUGCAUCAACGUAACCGUUUACGAUGAGCUCUUUGUCACCUCCAUAUACGAGAAACAUAUCCUUAGUCCUUUUCAGGUACUUCAGGAUGUUCUUGACCGUUGUCCAGUGAUCCACUCCUGGAUUACUUUGGUACCUCCCUGCUAAACUUAUAGCAGGGCACACAUCAGGUCUGGUACACAGCAUUGCAUACAUGAUAGAGCCUAUGGCUGAAGCAUAGGGAACAUCUUUCAUUUUCUCUCUAUCUUCUGAAGUGGUCGGGCAUUGAGUCUGACUCAACUUCACACCUUGUAACACAGGCAAGAACCCUUUCUUUGCUUGAUCCAUUUUGAACUUCUUCAAAAUCUUGUCAAGGUAUGUGCUUUGUGAAAGUCCAAUUAAGCGUCUUGAUCUAUCUCUAUAGAUCUUUAUGCCUAAUAUGUAAGCAGCUUCACCGAGGUCUUUCAUUGAAAAACUCUUAUUCAAGUAUCCCUUUAUGCUAUCCAGAAAUUCUAUAUCAUUUCCAAUCAGUAAUAUGUCAUCCACAUAUAAUAUCAGAAAUGCUAUAGAGCUCCCACUCACUUUCUUGUCAAUACAGGCUUCUCCAAAAGUCUGUACAAAACCAAAUGCUUUGAUCACACUAUCAAAGCGUUUAUUCCAACUCCGAGAGGCUUGCACCAGUCCAUAAAUGGAUCGCUGGAGCUUGCACACUUUGUUAGAUCCUUUCGGAUCGACAAAACCUUCCGGUUGCAUCAUAUACAACUCUUCUUCCAGAAAUCCAUUCAGGAAUGCAGUUUUGACAUCCAUCUGCCAAAUUUCGUAAUCAUAAAAUGCGGCAAUUGCUAACAUGAUUCGAACGGACUUAAGCAUCGCUACGGGUGAGAAGGUCUCAUCAUAGUCAACCCCUUGAACUUGUCCAAAACCUUUUGCGACAAGUCGAGCUUUGUAGACAGUAACAUUACCGUCAGCGUCAGUCUUUUUCUUGAAGAUCCAUUUAUUCUCAAUUGCUUGCCGACCAUCGGGCAAGUUAACCAAAGUCCAUACUUUGUUCUCAUACAUGGAUCCCAUUUCAGAUUUCAUGGCUUCAAGCCAUUUUGCGGAAUCUGGGCUCACCAUCGCUUCUUCAUAGUUAGUAGGUUCAUCAUGAUCUAGCAGCAUGAUUUCUAGAACAGGAUUACCGUACCACUCUGGCGCGGAUCUCACUCUGGUUGAUCUACGAGGUUCAGUAGUAUCUUGUCCUGAAGUUUCAUGAUCAUUAUCAUUAGCUUCCUCACUUAUGGGUGUAGGUGUCGCAGAAACAGUUUUCUGUGAUGUACUUCUUUCCAAUAAGGGGGCAGGUACAGUUACCUCGUCAAGUUCUACUUUCCUCCCACUCACUUCUUUCGAGAGAAACUCCUUCUCUAGAAAGGAUCCAUUCUUAGCAACGAAUGUCUUGCCUUCGGAUCUGUGAUAGAAGGUGUACCCAACAGUCUCCUUUGGGUAACCUAUGAAGACACAUUUCUCCGAUUUGGGUUCAAGCUUAUCAGGUUGAAGCUUUUUCACAUAAGCAUCGCAGCCCCAGACUUUAAGAAACGACAACUUUGGUUUCUUGCCAAACCAUAGUUCAUAAGGCGUCGUCUCAACGGAUUUUGAUGCUGCCCUAUUUAACGUGAAUGCGGCCGUCUCUAAAGCAUAACCCCAAAACGAUAGCGGUAAAUCAGUAAGAGACAUCAUAGAUCGCACCAUAUCUAGUAAAGUACGAUUACGACGUUCGGACACACCAUUACGCUGUGGUGUUCCGGGUGGCGUGAGUUGCGAAACUAUUCCGCAUUGUUUCAAAUGUACACCAAACUCGUAACUCAAAUAUUCUCCUCCAUGAUCAGAUCGUAGAAACUUUAUUUUCUCGUUACGAUGAUUUUCAACUUCACUCUGAAAUUCUUUGAACUUUUCAAAUGUUUCAGACUUGUGUUUCAUUAAGUAGAUAUACCCAUAUCUGCUUAAAUCAUUUGUGAAGUUGAGAAAAUAACGAUAUCCGCCACGAGCCUCAAUAUUCAUCGGACCACAUACAUCGGUAUGUAUGAUUUCCAACAAAUCUGUUGCUCUCUCCAUAGUACCGGAGAACGGUGUUUUAGUCAUCUUGCCCAUGAGGCACGGUUCGCAAGUACCAAGUGAUUCAUAAUCAAGUAGUUCCAAAAGUCCAUCAGUAUGGAGUUUCUUCAUGCGCUUUACACCGAUAUGACCUAAACGGCAGUGCCACAAAUAAGUUGCACUAUCAUUAUCAACUCUGCAUCUUUUGGUUUCAACAUUAUGAAUAUGUGUAUCACUACUAUCGAGAUUCAUCAGAAAUAGACCACUCUUCAAGGGUUCAUGACCAUAAAAGAUAUUACUCAUAUAAAUAGAACAACCAUUAUUCUCUGAUUUAAAUGAAUAACCGUCUCGCAUCAAACAAGAUCCAGAUAUAAUGUUCAUGCUUAACGCUGGCACCAAAUGACAAUUAUUUAGGUCUAAUACUAAUCCCGAAGGUAGAUGUAGAGGUAGCGUGCCGACCGCGAUCACAUCGACUUUGGAACCGUUUCCCACGCGCAUCGUCACCUCGUCCUUUGCCAGUGUUCGCCUAAUCCGUAGUCCCUGUUUCGAGUUGCAAAUAUUAGCAAUAUAACCAGUAUCAAAUACCCAGGUGCUACUGCGAGCUCUAGUAAGGUACACAUCAAUAACAUGUAUAUCACUUAUACCUUUAUUCACCUUGCCAUCCUUCUUAUCCGCCAAAUACUUGGGGCAGUUCCGCUUCCAGUGACCAGUCUGCUUGUAGUAGAAGCACUCAGUUUCAGGCUUAGGUCCAGACUUGGGUUUCUUCUCCUGAGCAGCAACUUGCUUGCCGUUCUUCUUGAAGUUCCCCUUCUUCUUCCCUUUGCCCCUUUUCUUGAAACUAGUGGUCUUGUUGACCAUCAACACUUCAUGCUCCUUCUUGAUUUCUACCUCCGCAGCUUUCAGCAUUGCGAAGAGCUCGAGAAUAGUCUUAUUCAUCCAUUGCAUAUUAUAGUUCAUCACAAAGCUCUUGUAGCUUGGUGGCAGUGAUUGGAGAAUUCUGUCAAUGACGCAAUCAUCUGGAAAAUUAACUCCCAUCUAAAUCAAGUGAUUAUUAUACCCAGACAUUUUGAGUAUAUGCUCACUGACAGAACUAUUCUCCUCCAUCUUGCAGCUAUAGAACUUAUUGGAGACUUCAUAUCUCUCAAUCCGGGCAUUUGCUUGAAAUAUUAGCUUCAACUCCUGGAACAUCUCAUAUGCUCCAUGACGUUCAAAACGUCGUUGAAGUCCCAAUUCUAAGCCGUAAAGCAUGGCACACUGAACUAUCGAGUGGUCAUCAGCUUUGCUCCGCCAGACGUUCAUAACAUCUGGUGUUGCUCCAGCAGCAGGCCUGGCACCCAGCGGUGCUUCCAGGACGUAAUUCUUCUGUGCAGCAAUGAGGAUAAUCCUCAAGUUACGGACCCAGUCCGUGUAAUUGCUACCAUCAUCUUUCAACUUUGCUUUUGUUGGGGAACGUAGUAAUUUCAAAAAUUUCCUACGCACACGCAAGAUCAUGGUGAUGCAUAGCAACGAGGGGGAGAGUCUGAUCUACGUACCCUUGUAGAUCGCAACGGAAGCGUUGACACAACGUAGAGGAAGUAGUCGUACGUCUUCUUCCCGAUCCGACCGAUCCAAGCACUGUUACUCCGGCACCUCCGAGUUCUUAGCACACGUUCAGCUCGAUGACGAUCCUCGGGCUCCGAUCCAGCAAAGCGUCGAGGAAGAGUUCCGUCAGCACGACGGCGUGGUGACGAUCUUGACGUACUACCGACGUAGGGCUUCGCCUAAGCACUACAACGGUAUGAUCGAGGUGGAAUUUGGUGGCAGGGGGCACCGCACACGGCUAAGGAACGAUUUCAAGGAUCAACUUGUGUGUCUAUGGGGAGCCCCCCGCCCCUGUAUAUAAAGGAUGGAGGAGGAGGAGGCCGGCCAAGGCAAAGGUGCGGCCAGGAUAGGGAGUCCUACUAGGACUCCAAGUCCUAGUAGGAGUCCACCAAAAGGGGAGGAAGGGAGAAGGAAUAGGAGGAGAAGGAGAGGUGGCCGGCCCCCUUUUCCCUAGUCCAAUUCGGACCAAAGGGGAGGGGGGGCGCAGCAGCCUUUUCCUCUUCCCACUAAAGCCCAUCAAGGCCCAUUACUUCUCCCGUAACUACCCGGUACUCCGAAAAAUACCCGAAUCACUCGGAACCUUUCCGAUGUCCGAAUAUAGUCGUCCAAUAUAUCGAUCUUUACGUCUCGACCAUUUCGAGACUCCUCGUCAUGUCCCCGAUUUCAUCCGGGACUCCGAACUCCUUCGGUACAUCAAUACUCAUAAACUCAUAAUAUAACUGUCAUCGAAACCUAAAGCGUGCGGACCCUAUGGUUCGAGAACAAUGUAGACAUGACCGAGACACGUCUUCGGUCAAUAACCAAUAGCGGGACCUGGAUGCCCAUAUUGGCUCCUACAUAUUCUACGAAGAUCUUUAUCGGUCAGACCGCAUAACAACAUACGUUGUUCCCUUUGUCAUCGGUAUGUUACUUGCCCGAGAUUCGAUCGUCGGUAUCCAAUACCUAGUUCAAUCUCGUUACCGGCAAGUCUCUUUACUCAUUCUAUAAUACAUCAUCCCACAACUAACUCAUUAGUUGCAAUGCUUGCAAGGCUUAAGUGAUGUGCAUUACCGAGAGGGCCCAGAGAUACCUCUCCGAUAAUCGGAGUGACAAAUCCUAAUCUCGAAAUACGCCAACCCAACAUCUUCCUUUGGAGACACCUGUAAUGCUCCUUUAUAAUCACCCAGUUACGUUGUGACGUUUUGUAGCACCCAAAGUGAUCCUCCGGCAAACGGGAGUUGCAUAAUCUCAUAGUCAUAGGAACAUGUAUAAGUCAUGAAGAAAGCAAUAGCAACAUACUAAACGAUCGGGUGCUAAGCUAAUGGAAUGGGUCAUGUCAAUCAGAUCAUUCAACUAAUGAUGUGACCUCGUUAAUCAAAUAACAACUCUUUUGUCCAUGGUUAGGAAACAUAACCAUCUUUGAUUAACGAGCUAGUCAAGUAGAGGCAUACUAGUGACACUCUGUUUGUCUAUGUAUUCACACAUGUAUUAUGUUUCCGGUUAAUACAAUUCUAGCAUGAAUAAUAAACAUUUAUCAUGAUAUAAGGAAAUAAAUAAUAACUUCAUUAUUGCCUCUAGGGCAUAUUUCCUUCAGUCUCCCACUUGCACUAGAGUCAAUAAUCUAGUUCACAUCGCCAUGUGAUUUAACAGCAAUAGUUCACAUCACCAUGUGAUUAACACCCAUAGUUCACAUCGUCAUGUGACCAACACUCAAAGGGUUUACUAGAGUCAGUAAUCUAGUUCACAUAUCUAUGUGAUUAACACCCAAAGAGUACUAAGGUGUGAUCAUGUUUUGCUUGUGAGAUAAUUUUAGUCAACGGGUCUGUCACAUUCAGAUCUGUAAGUAUUUUGCAAGUUCUAUGUCUACAAUGCUCUACACGGAGCUACUCUAGCUAAUUGCUCCCACUUUCAAUAUGUAUCCAGAUUGAGACUUUAGAUUCAUCUGGAUCAGUGUCAAAAACUUGCAUCGACGUAACCCUUUACGACGAACCUUUUUGUCACGUCCAUAAUCGAGAAACAUAUCCUUAUUUCACUAAGGAUAAUUCUGACCGCUGUCCAGUGAUCUACUCCUAGAUCACUAUUAUACUCCCUUGCCAAAUCAAUGCAGGGUAUACAAUAGAUCUGGUAUACAGCAUGACAUACUUUAUAGAACCUAUGGCCAAGGCAUAGGGAAUGACUUUCAUUCUCUUUCUAUCUUCUGCCGUGGUCGGGCUUUGAGUCUUACUCAACUUCACACCUUGUAAUACAGGCAAGAACUCUUUCUUUGACUGCUCCAUUUUGAGCUACUUCAAAAUCUUGUCAAGGUAUGUACUUAUUGAAAAAACUUAUCAAGCGUCUUGAUCUAUCUCUAUAGAUCUUGAAGCUCAAUAUGUAAGCAGCUUCACCGAAGUCUUUCUUUGAAAAACUCCUUUCAAACACUCCUUUAUGCUUUACAGAAUAAUUCUACAUUAUUUCCGAUCAACAAUAUGUCAAUCACAUAUACUUAUCAGAAAUGCUGUAGUGUCCCACUCACUUUCUUGUAAAUACAGGCUUCACCGCAAGUCUGUAUAAAACUAUAUGCUUUGAUCAACUCAUCAAAGCGUAUAUUCCAACUCCGAGAUGCUUGCACCAGUCCACAGAUGGAUCGCUGGAGCUUGCACAUUUUGUUAGCACCUUUCGGAUUGACAAAACCUUCUGUUGCAUCAUAUACAACUCUUCUUUAAUAAAUCCAUUAAGGAAUGCAGUUUUGUUUAUCCAUUUGCCAGAUUUCAUAAAAUGCGGCAAUUACUAACAUGAUUCGGACAGACUCAAGCAUAGAUACGAGUGAGAAGCUCUCAUCGUAGUCAACACCUUGAACUUGUCGAAAACCUUUUUGCGACAAUUCUAGCUUUGUAGAUAGUAACACUACUAUCAGCGUCCGUCUUCCUCUUGAAGAUCCAUUUAUUCUCAAUUGCUUGCCGAUCAUUGGGCAAGUCAACCAAAGUCCAAACUUUGUUCUCAUACAUGGAUCAUAUCUCAGAUUUCAUGGCCUCAAACCAUUUCGCGGAAUCUGGGCUCAUCAUUGCUUCCUCAUAGUUCGUAGGUUCAUCAUGAUCUAGUAGCAUGACUUCCAGGAUUGGAUUACCGUACCACACUGGUGCGGAUCUCACUCUGGUUGAUCUACGUGGUUCAGUAGUAUCUUGUCCUGAAGUUUCAUGAUCAUCAUCAUUAGCUUCCUCACUAAUUGGUAUAGGUGUCGCAGAAACAGUUUUCUGUGAUGUACUAUUUUCCAAUAAGGGAGCAGGUACAGUUACCUCGUCAAGUUCUACUUUCCUCCCACUCACUUCUUUUGAGAGAAACUCCUUCUCUAGAAAGGAUCCAUUAUAAGCAACGAAUGUCUUGCCUUAGGAUCUGUGAUAGAAGGUGUACCCAACAGUCUCCUUUGGGUAUCCUAUGAAGACAUAUUUCUCCGAUUUGGGUUUGAGCUUAUCAGGAUGAAACUUUUUCUCAUAAGCAUCGCAACCCCAAACUUCAAGAAACGACAACUUUGGUUUCUUGCCUAACCAUAGUUCAUACGGUGUCGUCUCAACGGAUUUAGAUGGUGCCCUAUUUAACGUGAAUGCAGCUUUCUCUAAUGCAUGAUCCCAAAACGAUAUUGGUAAAUCGGUAAGAAACAUCAUAGAUUGUACUAUAUCCAAUAAAGUACGGUUAUGACGUUCGGACACACCAUUAUGCUGUGGUGUUCCAGGUGGCGUGAGUAGUGAAACUAUUUCACAUUGUUUUAACUGAAGACCAAACUCGUAACUCAAAUACUCUUUUCCACGAUCAGAUCGUAGAAACUUUAUUUUCUUGUUACGAUGAUUUUCCACUUCACUCUGAAAUUAUAUGAACUUUUCAAAUGUAUCAGACUUCUAUUUCAUUAAGUAGAUAUACCCAUAUCUGCUCAAAUCAUCUGUGAAGGUUUAGAAAAUAAUGAUACCCGCUGCAAGCCUUAAAUAUUCAUCGGACCACAUACAUUUGUAUGUAUGAUUUCCAACAAAUCUGUUGCUUGCUCCAUUGUUCCGGAGAACGGCGUUUUAGUCAUCUUGCCCAAAAGGCAUGGUUCGCAAGCAUCAAGUGAUUCCGAAAGCCCAUCAGCAUGGAGUUUCUUCAUGUGCUUUAUACCAAUAUGACCUAAACGGCAGUGCCACAAAUAAGUUGCACUAUCAUUAUUAACUUUGCAUCUUUUGGUUUCAAUAUUAUGAAUAUGUGUAUCACUACGAUCGAGAUCCAACGAACUUGUUUCAUUGGGUGUAUGACCAUCGAAGGUUUUAUUCAUGUAAACAGAACAACAAUUAUUCUCUGACUUUAAUGAAUAACCGUAUUGCAAUAAACAUGAUCAAAUCAUAUUCAUGCUCAACCAAAUAACACUUAUUUAAGUUCAACACUAAUCCCGAAAGUAUAGGGGAGUGUGUGAUGAUGAUCAUAUCAAUCUUGGAACUACUUCCAACACACAUCGUCACUUCACCCUUAACUAGUCUUUGUUUAUUCUGCAACUCCUGUUUCGAGUUACUACUCUUAGCAACUGAACCAAUAUCAAAUACUGAGGGGUUGCUAUAAACACUAGUAAAGCACACAUCAAUAACAUGUAUAUCAAAUAUACUUUUGUUCACUUUGCCAUCCUUCUUAUCCGCCAAAUACUUGGGGCAGUUCCGCUUCCAGUGACCAGUCCCUUUGCAGUAGAAGCACUUAGUCUCAGGCUUAGGACCAAACUUCGGCUUCUUCACUUGAGCAGCAACUUGCUUGCCGUUCUUCUUGAAGUUCCCCUUCUUCCCUUUGCCCUUUUCUUGAAACUAGUGAUCCUGUCAACCAUCAACACUUGAUGUUUUUCUUGAUUUCGACCUUCGUUGAUUUCAGCAUCACGAAGAGCUUGGGAGUUGUUUCCGUUAUCCCUUGCAUAUUAUAGUUCAUCACGAAGUUCUACUAACUUGGUGAUGGUGACUAGAGAAUUUUGUCAAUCACUAUCUUAUCUGGAAGAUUAACUCCCACUUGAUUCAAGCGAUUGUAGUACUCAGAUAAUCUGGGCACAUGCUCACUAGUUGAGCGAUUCUCCCCCAUCUUUCAGCUAUAGAACUUGUUGGAGACUUCAUAUCUCUCAACUCGGGUAUUUACUUGAAAUAUUAACUUCAGCUUCUGGAACAUCUCAUAUGGUCCAUGACGCUCAGAACGUCUUUGAAGUCCCGAUUCUAAGCCAUUAAGCAUGGUGCACUAAACUAUCAAGUAGUCAUCAUAUUGGGCUAGCCAAACGUUCAUAACGUCGGCAUCUGCUCCUGCAAUAGGUCUGUCACCUAGCGGUGCAUCAAGGACAUAAUUCCUCUAUGCAGCAAUGAGGAUAAAACUCAGAUCACGGAUCCAAUCCGCAUCAUUGCUACUAACAUCUUUCAACACAAUUUUCUCUAGGGACAUGUCAAAAUAAACACAGGGAAGCAACAACGCGAGCUAUUGAUCUACAACAUAAUUUGCAAAAUACUACCAGGACUAAGUUCAUGAUAAAUUUAAGUUCAAUUAAUCAUAUUACUUAAGAACUCCCACUUAGAUAGAUAUCCCUCUAAUCCUCUAAGUGAUCACGUGAUCCAAAUCAACUAAACCAUAACCGAUCAUCACGUGAGAUGGAGUAGUUUUCAAUGGUGAACAUCGUCAUGUUGAUCAUAUCUACUAUAUGAUUCACGCUCGACCUUUCGGUCUCUGUGUUCCGAGGCCAUAUCUGCAUAUGCUAGGCUCGUCAAGUUUAACCUGAGUAUUCUGCGUGUGCAAAACUGGCUUGCACCCGUUGUAGAUGGACGUAGAGCUUAUCACACCCGAUCAUCACGUGGUGUCUGGGCACGACGAACUUUGGCAACGGUGCAUACUCAGGGAGAACACUUCUUGAUAAUUCAGUGAGAGAUCAUCUUAUAAUGCUACCGUCAAUCAAAGCAAGAUAAGAUGCAUAAAAAGAUAAACAUCAUAUGUAAUCAAAAUAUGUGACAUGAUAUGGCCAUCAUCAUCUUGCUUCUUUGAUCUCCAUCUCCAAAGUACUGUCAUGAUCUAUAUCGUCACCGGCAUGACACCAUGAUCUCCAUCAUCUUGAUCUAUAUCAAUGUGUCGUCGUGUGGUCGUCUCACCAACAAUUGCUCUUGCAACUAUUGCUAUCGCAUAGCGAUAAAGUAAAGCAAUUACUGGACGCUUGCAUCUCAUGAAAUAGAGAGACAACCAUAAGGAUUUUGUCAGUUGCUGAUAACUUCAACAAAACAUGAUCAUCUUAUACAACAACUUAUAACUCAUCACGUUUUGACCAUAUCACAUCACAACAUGCCCUGCAAAAACAAGUUAGACGUCCUCUACUUUGUUGUUGCAAAUUUUACGUGGCUGCUACGGGCUUAGCAAGAACCAAUCUUACCUACGCAUCAAAACCACAACGAUAGUUUGUCAAAUAGACUCCGUUUUAACCUUCGCAAGGACCGGGCGUAGCCACACUCGGUUCAACUAAAGUUGGAGAAACAGUCACCCGCAAGUCACCUAUGUGCAAAGCACGUCGGGGAAACCGGUCUCGCGUAAGCGUACGCGUAAUGUCGGUCCGGGCCGCUUCAUCCAACAAUACCGCGGAACCAAAGUAUGACAUGCUGGUAGGCAGUAUGACUUAUAUCGCCCACAACUCACUUGUGUUCUACUCGUGCAUAUAACAUCAAACCAUAAAACCUAGGCUCGGAUGCCACUGUUGGGGAACGUAGUAAUUUCAAAAAUUUCCUACGCACACGCAAGAUCAUGGUGAUGCAUAGCAACGAGGGGGAGAGUCUGAUCUACGUACCCUUGUAGAUCGCAACGGAAGCGUUGACACAACGUAGAGGAAGUAGUCGUACGUCUUCUUCCUGAUCCGACCGAUCCAAGCACCGUUACUCCGGCACCUCCGAGUUCUUAGCACACGUUCAGCUCGAUGACGAUCCUCGGGCUCCGAUCCAGCAAAGCGUCGAGGAAGAGUUCCGUCAGCAUGACGGCGUGGUGACGAUCUUGAUGUACUACCGAUGUAGGGCUUCGCCUAAGCACUACAACGGUAUGAUCGAGGUGGAAUUUGGUGGCAGGGGGCACCGCACACGGCUAAGGAACGAUCUCAAGGAUCAACUUGUGUGUCUAUGGGGUGCCCCCUGCCCCUGUAUAUAAAGGAUGGAGGAGGAGGAGGCCGGCCAAGGCAAAGGUGCGGCCAGGAUAGGGAGUCCUACUAGGACUCCAAGUCCUAGUAGGAGUCCACCAAAAGGGGAGGAAGGGAGAAGGAAUAGGAGGAGAAGGAGAGGUGGCCGGCCCCCUUUUCCCUAGUCCAAUUCGGACCAAAGGGGAGGGGGGCGCAGCAGCCUUUUCCUCUUCCCACUAAAGCCCAUCAAGGCCCAUUACUUCUCCCGUAACUACCCGGUACUCCGAAAAAUACCCGAAUCACUCCGAACCUUUCCGAUGUCCAAAUAUAGUCGUUCAAUAUAUCGAUCUUUACGUCUCGACCAUUUCAAGACUCCUCGUCAUGUCCCCGAUCUCAUCCGGGACUCCGAACUCCUUCGGUACAUCAAUACUCAUAAACUCAUAAUUUAACUGUCAUGGAAACCUUAAGCGUGCGGACCCUACGGUUCGAGAACAAUGUAGACAUGACCGAGACACGUCUCCGGUCAAUAACCAAUAGCGGGACCUGGAUGCCCAUAUUGGCUCCUACAUAUUCUACGAAGAUCUUUAUCGGUCAGACCGCAUAACAACAUACGUUGUUCCCUUUGUCAUCGGUAUGUUACUUGCCCGAGAUUCGAUCGUUGGUAUCCAAUACCUAGUUCAAUCUCGUUACCGGCAAGUCUCUUUACUCGUUCUAUAAUACAUCAUCCCACAACUAACUCAUUAGUUGCAAUGCUUGCAAGGCUUAAGUGAUGUGCAUUACCGAGAGGGCCCAGAGAUACCUCUCCGACAAUCGGAGUGACAAAUCCUAAUCUCGAAAUACGCCAACCCAACAUCUUCCUUUGGAGACACCUGUAAUGCUCCUUUAUAAUCACCCAGUUACGUUGUGACGUUUGGUAGCACCCAAAGUGUUCCUCCGGCAAACGGGAGUUGCAUAAUCUCAUAGUCAUAGGAACAUGUAUAAGUCAUGAAGAAAGCAAUAGCAACAUACUAAACGAUCGGGUGCUAAGCUAAUGGAAUGGGUCAUGUCAAUCAGAUCAUUCAACUAAUGAUGUGACCUCGUUAAUCAAAUAACAACUCUUUUGUCCAUGGUUAGGAAACAUAACCAUCUUUGAUUAAUGAGCUAGUCAAGUAGAGGCAUACUAGUGACACUUUGUUUGUCUAUGUAUUCACACAUGUAUUAUGUUUCCCGUUAAUACAAUUCUAGCAUGAAUAAUAAACAUUUAUCUUGUGCUUGUGAUCUCCAUCUCCGAAGCACCUUCAUGAUCACCAUCGUCACCGGCGCGACACCUUGAUCUCCAUCGUAGCAUCGUUGUCGUCUCGCCAAUCUUAUGCUUCCACGACUAUCGCUACCGCUUAGUGAUAAAGUAAAGCAUUACAACGCGAUUGCAUUGCAUACAAUAAAGCGACAACCAUAUGGCUCCUGCCAGUUGCCGAUAACUUGGUUACAAAACAUGAUCAUCUCAUACAAUAAAAUUUAGCAUCAUGUCUUGACCAUAUCACAUCACAACAUGCCCUGCAAAAACAAGUUAGACGUCCUCUACUUUGUUGUUGCAUGUUUUACGUGGCUGCUACAGGCUUAAGCAAGAACCAAUCUUACCUAUGCAUCAAAACCACAACGAUAGUUUGUCAAGUUGAUGCCGUUUUAACCUUCGCAAGGACCGGGCGUAGCCACACUCGGUUCAACUAAAGUUGGAGAAACAGUCACCCGCAAGCCACCUUUGUGCAAAGCACGUCGGGAGAACCGGUCUCGCGUAAGCGUACGCGUAAUGUCGGUCUGGGCCGCUUCAUCCAACAAUACCGCCGAACCAAAGUAUGACAUGCUGGUAGGCAGUAUGACUUAUAUCGCCCACAACUCACUUGUGUUCUACUCAUGCAUAUAACAUCAAACCAUAAAACCUAGGCUCUGAUACCACUGUUGGGGAACGUAGCAAUUUCAAAAAAUUUCUACGCACACGCAAGAUCAUGGUGAUGCAUAGCAACAAGAGGGGAGAGUGUUGUCUAGAAGCGUUGACACAACGUAGAGGAAGUAGUCGUACGUCUUCCCGAUCCGACCGAUCCAAGCACCGUUACUCCGGCACCUCCGAGUUCUUAGCACACGUACAACUCGAUGACGCUCCCCGGGCUCCGAUCUAGCAAAGCUUCGGGGAUGAGUUCCGUCAGCACAACGGCGUGGUGACGAUGAUGAUGUUCUACCGACGCAGGGCUUCGCCUAAGCACUACAACGAUAUGACCGAGGUGGAAUAUGGUGGAAGGGGGCACCGCACACGGCUAAGGAACGAUCACGUUGAUCAAUUGUGUGUUCUAGGGUGCCCCCUUGCCUCCGUAUAUAAAGGAUCCAAGGGAGAGGGGUUCGGCCGGCCCUAUGGAGGCGCAGGAGGAGUCCUACUCCUAUCGGGAGUAGGACUCCCCCCCUUUUCCUUGUCCAAGUAGGAUUGGUGGAGAAGAAUGGGAAAGAGGGGGGCGCCGCCCCUCCCUCCUUGUCCAAUUCGGACUAGGGGGAGAGGGGGCGUGCGGCCUGCCCUGGCAGCCCCUUCCUCUUCUCCACUUUAGGCCCAUGAGGCCCAUUAACCCCCCGGGGGGUUCCGGUAACCCCCCGGUGCUCCGAUUUUAUCCGAAACUUCAUCGGAACCCUUCCGGUGUCCGAAUAUAGUCAUCCAAUAUAUCAAUCUUUAUGUCUUGACAAUUUUGAGACUCCUCGUCAUGUCCGUGAUCACAUCCGGGACUCCGAACUAACUUCGGUACAUCAAAAUGUAUAAACUUAUAAUAACUGCCAUCGUAACGUUAAGCGUGCGGACCCUACGGUUCGAGAACAAUGUAGACAUGGCCGAGACACGUCUCCGGUCAAUAACCAAUAGCGGGACCUGGAUGCCCAUAUUGGCUCCUACAUAUUCUACGAAGAUCUUUAUCGGUCAGACCGCAUAACAACAUACGUUGUUCCCUUUGUCAUCGGUAUGUUACUUGCCCGAGAUUCGAUCGUCCGUAUCCAAUACCUAGUUCAAUCUCGUUACCAGCAAGUCUCUUUACUCGUUCCGUAAUACAUCAUCUCGCAACUAACUCAUUAGUUGUAAUGCUUGCAAGGCUUAUGUGAUGUGCAUUACCGAGAGGGCCCAGAGAUACCUCUCCGACAAUCGGAGUGACAAAUCCUAAUCUCGAAAUACGCCAACCCAACAUCUACCUUUGGAUACAUCUUUAGAGCACCUUUAUAAUCACCCAGUUAUGUUGUGACGUUUGGUAGCACACAAAGUGUUCCUCCGGCAAACGGGAGUUGCAUAAUCUCAUAGUCAUAGGAACAUGUAUAAGUCAUGAAGAAAGCAAUAGCAACAUACUAAACGAUCGGGUGCUAAGCUAAUGGAAUGGGUCAUGUCAAUCAGAUCAUUCAACUAAUGAUGUGAUCUCGUUAAUCAAAUAACAACUCUUUGUUCAUGGUUAGGAAACAUAACCAUCUUUGAUUAACGAGCUAGUCAAGUAGAGGCAUACUAGUGACACUUUGUUUGUCUAUGCAUUCACACAUGUAUUAUGUUUCCGGUUAAUACUAUUAUAGCAUGAAUAAUAAACAUUUAUCAUGACAUAAGGAAAUAAAUAAUAACUUUGUUAUUGCCUCUAGGGCAUAUUUCCUUCACUUAGGGCCUUGGAUGAGAACUGGCAUCAUAAUGAACUUCCGCUUCAUGCACAUCCAAGGAGGAAGGUUAUACAUACAUAGAGUCACGGGCCAGGUGCUGUGAUUGCUGCUCUGCUCCCCUAUAGGAUUAAUGCCAUCCAUGCUUAAAGCAAACCAUACAUUCCAUGGGUCGUUUGCAAACUCAUCCCAGUACUUUCUCUCGAUUUUUCUCCACUGCGACCCGUCAGCGGGUGCUCUCAAUUUUCCGUCUUUCUUCCGGUCCUCACUGUGCCAUCGCAUCAACUUGGCAUGCUCUUCGUUUUUGAAUAGACGUUUCAACCGUGGUAUUAUAGGAGCAUACCACAUCACCUUCGCAGGAACCCUCUUCUUGGGGGGCUCACCGUCAACGUCACCAGGGUCAUCUCGUCUGAUCUUAUACCGCAAUGCACCGCAUACCGGGCAUGCAUUCAGAUCCUUGUAUGCACCGCGGUAGAGGAUGCAGUCAUUAGGGCAUGCAUGUAUCUUCUCCACCUCCAAUCCUAGAGGGCAUACGACUUUCUUUGCUGCGUAUGUACUGUCGGGCAAUUCGUUAUCCUUUGGAAGAUUCUUCUUCAAUAUUUUCAGUAGCUUCUCAAAUCCUUUGUCAGCCACAGCAUUCUCUGCCUUCCACUGCAGCAAUUCCAGUACGGUACCGAGCUUUGUGUUGCCAUCUUCGCAAUUGGGCUACAACCCUUUUUUGUGAUCCUCUAACAUGCGAUCGAACUUCAGCUUCUCCUUUUGACUUUCGCAUUGCGUCCUUGCAUCGACAAUGACCCGGCGGAGAUCAUCAUCAUCGGGCAGAUCGUCUGGUUCCUCUUGAUCUUCAGCAGCUUCACCCGUUGCAGCAUCAUUGGGCACAUCGUCUGUUUCCUCUUGAUCUUCACCAGCUCCCUCCAUUGCAGCAUAACCGUAUUCAGGGGGCACAUAGUUGUCAUCGUACUCUUCUUCUUUGCCAUCUUCCAUCAUAACACCUAUUUCUCCGUGCCUCGUCCAAACAUUAUAGUGUGGCAUGAAACCCUUGUAAAGAAGGAGGGGGUGAAGGAUUUUCCGGUUAGAGUAAUACCUCGUAUUCCCACAUUCAGUGCAUGGACAACACAUAAAACCAUUCUGCUUCUUUGCCUCAGCCGCACCGAGAAACUCAUGCACGCCCUUAAUGUACCCGGAGGUGUGUCUGUCACCGUACAUCCAUUGCCAGUUCAUCUACGUGCAUUAUAUAUAAUUAAGUGUCCAAAUUAAUAGAAGUUCAUCAUCACAUUAAAACCAAAGUACAUACAUAGUUCUCAUCUAACAACAUAUAGCUCUCCAGAGCAUCUAAUUAAUUAAACCAUACAUUGAAACUAUGUAAAACAUUUCAAUGCGAAAACAAAUGCGAUCAUAAUUGCAACCAAGGUAACAAUUGAUCCAACGGCAUAAUGAUACCAAGCCUCGGUAUGAACGACAUAUUUUCUAAUCUUUCUAAUCUUCAAGCGCAUUGCAUCCAUCUUGAUCCUGUGAUCAUAGACGACAUCCGCAACAUGCAACUCCAAUAUCAUCUUCUCCUCCUCAAUUUUUUUAUUUUUUCCUCCAACAAAUAGUUUUCUUCUUCAACUAAAUUUAGCCUCUCGGCAAUAGGGUCGGUUGGCAUUUCCGAUUCACAUACAUCCUACAUAAAUAAAAUCUAUGUCACGUUGAUCGGCAUAAUUUUCAUAAACAAUAAAUGAACCAAUAGUUAUAAAGAUAAUAUAUAUACCACAUUCGAAUCAUAGACAGGACGAGGGCGACGGGGGCGGAUACCAAAACCAUCGCACUAUAUAAGAUGCAAUAAUAAAAGUAAGAAAAUAAUACAAGUAUCUAUGUAAACAUACAAGUAAGAAUAUUUUUCCUUUCAGAAAGAAGAUAAGAACAAGAGGCUCACCAUGGUGGUGCCGGCAAGGCCCACCUUGGUCCAUGCGGGGAUGCACAAAAUAAGCUAUGUGCGGCCCAUGCGGGGAAUUUUGGUUACGCAUGGCCCAUACAUAUGGUGAUCCAGCCGUACGUGACCAAAUAGGAUGGACGGACAAACGAAAACGGACAAAAAUUAGGGACCAACCAAUUAGUACCACCUCGCGUAUAUGUUUUAUAUUUAAACUGAAAGCGUAAAUUUUCAUGAAAAGAAAUGUACUGUGACGGUGAACCCGACAAAGUCAAUCCGUGCUUUAUUAUUAGGGAAAGAUAUACUAAUUGGAGGCACCUUUGGAGCGUCUACGUUAAUCCACGUCAUUAAGAUUAAUAUAGCCGUUUGAUAUUAAAUUUAAUGGUUAAGAUAUGCUAGAAGACUAUGCCUUAUUAUAGAAGAAAACAACAUGUACGUAGGGAUGAAAUCCACGCAUACAAAAAAAAACUCAUGUAAAGAAAAAUCAAUUCUCACCACAUAGAUGAAACUCAUUAAACUUGCACAUGCAAAAAAAGUCCUAAGCUCCCACGUCCAUGAAAGAUUAGACAUGCACAUAAAAAAAGAGUCCUAAAUGCCCACGCCCAGGUUCCAAGAAAAAGUACGUGCCUACUCCUUGCAAAAAGAGGACGCGUGGCAAAACUAAAAAAUAUGAAUAUAAUCAUCUCAAUCUCUUUCUAAUAAUAAAAUAUGAAUUGAUUUUGUCAGGUUCGUCGUCACAAUACACUUUUUCCUGUAAAUUUACGCUUUCACUUUGAAUUUAAAACAUAUAGGUGAGGUGGUACUAAAAAACUGUUCAUUGGUCGCGUACGUCAAUUAGUAUAAGUCGCUUUUUUUAGUCCCUCCGGCUCGCUAGACUGGGCCGUGUUGAUCAUUCCCGUGAUGACUGAACUGGGCCUGGUCAAAAAGAAAAAAAACGAUGCAAAAAAUAAUUCCCCAUGAGCUUCGAACCAAGACGAAGGCCCUCAGUCACAAAGGAGAACGCCAACUAGAUUGCUCUAUUUUGUUCUGCCAAAUUGUGUCCCUGUAGAUAUAAUAGUCCCACAUCGCUUCUUUGCACUGUAUCUUAUCGAUUUUUAUACAUCGGCGGACUUGUCCUAGCAGAAGUUAAUUGGAAGAGGAAGCAAGGAAUAAAGAACGAACGCAGGAGGAAUUUGGCCAGAAGAAACAAGGUCGGGGAGCGUGAGGUUUAUGGUGAAUAUUCAGAGAACGGCAGCUGCAUUGUUCGAAUUUAGUCUAUCUUUGGACAUGUCUUUUCCGGGGAUUCGACACCAUGUUUUGUGCGCGAAUGGUUUUAUUAGGGUUUUUGACUGUUCCAAGUUAGAAGAGGCCAGAGUUUUCUCUGGUUCUUCAGUGGCCUGAAGCAACCAUGCUUACGCUUUUUUUUUUCAACCAUUCAUUGCCCAUUUUCAUUAAUUUCUUAAAGAAAAUACAUCAACCGUCCUUGCAGAAAGAACGAGGCAGCUUCACAGCUGGAAAUCAAGAGUGCGGUGUCCAGUUUUACGGGGAAAAGAAUUCUAUGAGACCAGGUCUCACGCGAGACCCAUCCUAAUGAAUGCCACGUGCUAUCCAUCAGAACGGGUCUCACCUGCUAACCGUGAGACUUGGUCUCAUAUAUUUUUUUUCCGUUUUACGGGGAAGCAUCAUCAGAAAUCUAGCAAAUCAUUCGCAUUAUUCUCUCACAUACAGUACAGAUCCUUCGGAUCGCCACAUCACAGCUGGACUUCAUUGCUUUGGGUGUCUAAUUAAGGGCUUGUUCGGUUAAUCCUCUCGCGAAGAGGAUUGGAGGGGAUUGGCAAGGAUUGGUUCGUAUUUUGACUUCUAAGAGGUUUAAGUCCUCCUCAAACCCCUUCAAUCCAUUCGGAUUCACACGCAACCAAACAAGGCCUAAACGGGAUCCGCAUCUGAACUAUUAAGCAGCAAAUGAUAGUGUGCGUGAAACAGGUAGGCAAUGUCAAUGAGGACAAACUGUGAUGAUAUCGUUUGAAAACUCAGCUGUCGUCCGUAGUGUUUGGCAUGUGACAGAUAGAUCCUGUUGAUUGUCUAACGAAAGCCAACGGUGAUGUCAAACUAGACUAUUUUAACAUAGUCGGUAAGACAAAAAUGGGAAACAUAUGUAUAUAUGACUACCGAGAACACGACAUCCAUUGUAUCUCGAUUAAGCAUCUUCAAAUAUUAUUCCUGUCGUGAUAUUGACAACAUUAUUAGUUUGUACUUGAAUGAAUAGUCAAGGAACUUUUGAGUGUUCCAAGUUAAACAUCCAAAUUUGUGUCGCAUUUCAGUAUGGGAGGCGCGUAUGACUCUCAAGUUUUUCCGAAUUUGAGUAAUACGGGUCAACUAUUUGCAAAAAUAAAAUAAAAACAUGUUAUCUAGCAUAUGUUUUUACCGUGUUAACACAUUCACAAUUAUUCCAUUUUGAAAAAAGGUACCUAGGUGGUAAAUGAACUACAAACCUUGCUCGACAUAUAUCGAGAAAUAUGUAUUGACAUACACAACAGAGAAAAUAAAUCAAAAUACAUUGCGCAGAACAUUGACAAUAAAUUAGUUGGUGAAAUUAGACAAUUUAGUUGGUGAACUUAGAAAAUUGUUACAUAAGGCUCCAACUUAAUUUCUCAGCAGUUGGAUCAGUUUUUUUUUUUGAGGACCAUGGAAAUACUGAAACCAUGGUUGAUACAAACUCCCCUCUCACACCUAAACUUUGAGCUAGAUAUUUCCUUUUAGUGAGUUUAGCUACUAAUUUUAAAGGGGUUCGCUAAAUCUCAGUCAAUUGAGAUUUAAUGUAGUCUCAAUCACCUUUCCAAGCCGUUGAAUACAUGCACACUAAGAUUAUGUGCUAGGAAACUUUUCUUUGUUAUUGUGAGGUGGAACGGAAAGAGAUGUGUGUGUGCCUUUCUGGACUAUUCGAAGUGUGCGUGUUUUUCCGAGGAAAGAGCCUACAAUCUACACGAGAAGCUUGUGUUUGGGCCAAGUCCAAACAUAAUAUAAUUUGUCAAACCAAACAACCAACAUUUUCUAAAACCGAAAUCAACAUAGCAAAAACAUGUUUGCUUUCGAAUAUUAAUAAAUAACUGUAUAUAAAUAAUCCCACUUCAAUGCACCACUCCUCUCACACCCGGUGAUAGUGUGAUGUUCGUUGAGGCAACAUCGAAGGACAUGAAUGUAGUUUCAUUAAUCUUUUUCCGAAUUGUGUACACCAAAAAUUGUAUCAUCAUUAACGACGGUGGCAAAAAUGAAAAGUGGCAACAUGAACGAGUCACUGAAAACAUGCGAAGACUUUCUCCUUCCGGUGCAAUGCACGACACAUUAAAUGAUGCAUACAAAGGUUAAAGGGAACCUUCUUUUGAGAAACAAAGACAAACACAGACUCACAAACACGUACAUACAUGAACACCUAGAGAGACUGAGCUGACAAGUCUUGAGAUUGAUGAACACACCACAAGUGUCUCGCUUCGACGCGAACGUCACCAUGCACUGAAAAAAUAUUUCACCUUUGUGAAACAUGAAAUUAAGCGUCAAAGUUAGGUUUUAAUUCUUGCUCUAUUGGGUAUCACCGCCCUGCAAACCAUCCAAUCAGAGAUUGGUUCUCAGGGUUAAAGCGAAACUAACCAAUACAUUUAUUUGAUAUGAAAAAAUGAACCCUUCCAAACCAAGCAAACAACUAUCUCUAAGAAAUCCAACAUAGCAACAAUGCUUUGUAUUCAAAUGUUUUGGAAAUUCUAAAAAAAAACUUUUGGAUUAGUUUUUAAACUCUCGGUUAGUAUAGAACAUUCCAAUGUUUGUAUGUUGCACUAAAAAUAAAUGCACCACUCUUUCACCCGGUGGUAGUGCUAAGCUAAAGGAGUGCCAUCAAAGGACACCACUAUGACUAUCUUAACUCUACUCCAUGAUGCGGACACCAAUAAUCAUUUUUAUUUACCAACACGAAGGCGUUUUUUUAAGAUAGUGAGUGUUUCUAAAUGUUCUUGGUUUCAAAAAAUAUAUUCAUGUUUUAAAUAUGUUUAAACUUUUGAAGAAAUGCUGAAAAUUCCUAAAAAAUGGUUCCAAUUAAAAACCAGCUAUAAUUGUUCAAAAAAUCAUUAAAAAAAAUCAUGAAAUCGCUUGUUUAUAUAAUGUUCGACUUCAAAAAAUAUUCCAAUUCUAGUAAGAAAUUAAAAAAUAGUCGAUUUCUUAAAAAAUAAAGAAAUAUUUGUGUUGUCUUUCAAAAAGCAAAAUAUAUACCGAUUCACAUACUAUUCCAUGCACAACUAUUCUUCCAACAGAUGUGGGAAGUUAGGUUGGUUCUUCAUGUACACACUUCAAGCUCCGAACAAAAAUUAGAGUUUAACAUUAUUACUCUGGUUUAUCAGCCUUUGAUACAAGAAAUGGCACAUGAAGCGCACUUUUAUUUGCCCGUUGCAACGCACGGGCAUUUGUACUAGUAAAUAUCAAUUGAAGGAAUAUCAUUCUGCAAAGGCAGAUUCUUGAAUAGGAUUGUUUCACAACUGCAUCCAUCAAUUUUAAAGUUUACUAUCUAAUAUGAUGCUAGAUAGAUAAAGCCUCAAUUAAGUAUAACAUUGUGUUUGUUGGUUAAGUUAGGAGCACUUACUAAUGUACUAAAAGAGAAAUAUAUAUUAUAUAUGGUUUGAGUACCAUUGUAGUAGUGGUGCAUAUACAUACGCGCACCACCUACUAUAUAUCGAAAUAAUUCAUACUCGCUUUCUCCCUUAUAUAUAUAGUAGGUGGUGUCAAAUUCUUGCUAAUUUGACAUGAAGGCUUCAUUCAGACCAGUGAUGAUACUUUGCGCAACAUAAAUGGGAAAGUAGAGGCACUCUUCCAUAUAAUGAAGUUUAUAAUAUAUGUGUUUAUAUUGUACUAUAAUUGUUUGAAUAACUUACCAUAUGUUCAGAUGUAUGAUAUCUGUAAUUUAAGCGCUUGAAUUUUACAUAUAAAUAUAAUUUUAUUAAUAAAUAUGUACCCAUAUAAUAGCUAGGCCGUGUAGUUGCACGGGUAGAUGACUAGUGAUUACAAUCUUGUUUGUGAGCAAGUCAAGAUUAUCUAGUUUACACGUAACAACUUGUAGAACAUUACAAAAAUUAUGCUUGCUAAUAACUUCUAGAACACUACAACACUUGACAUGUAAAAGGAAUUUGAUGAGUCAUGGCCUACUAAAGCAAGUUACAUUACUACUCUUAUCUAUCUUAACAGACCACACAAGAUUACAAACUAAGUACCGUGACAGCCAUGCUUAUCUAAUUUAUGCGUAACAAUUUGCGGAAAAUUACAAAUUUAGUUUUAGAAAAAUAGGCAAUCUAGAUUAGUGUUUGAGCUGUAAUGUGAAUAAGAUGAGUCGUGCGUCUUGUCACACCUUUUUGGUGGUGGAAUGAUAGUGCAACAACAAGGAACUUUAAUGACCAGUCCAAGAAUACACUUGUAAGUAGUGCCACCAAACAGAACAUACCAAAUUAUGAUUUUGAGAAGAAUCCAAGCACUUUCCACACAAGCAAAUGCCAAUUGUGAAAGAGAUCAUUCCAUGGCAGCUAUAAAUAGCCCCAUAGCAUGACGCUCAUCCUUCCUCAUCCAUCAUUCUCAUAAGUAGAGUGCAUCAUUUAAGCCAAGCAAGCUGUGGUCAAUACAAAUCCACCAUGAAGACCUUUCUCAUCCUUUCCCUCCUUGCUAUCGUGGCAACCACCGCCACAACUGCAUUUAGAAUUCUAGUGCCACAAUUGCAGCCACAAAAUCCAUCUUAGCAACAACCACAAGAGCAAGUUCCAUUGGUACAACAACAGCAAUUUCUAGGGCAGCAACAACCAUUUCCACCACAACAACCAUAUCCACAGCCGCAACCAUUUCCAUCACAACAACCAUAUCUGCAGCUGCAACCAUUUCCGCAGCCGCAACCACCAUAUUCGCAGCCGCAACCAUUUCGACCACAAUAACCAUAUCUCCACAACCGCAACCACAGUAUUCGCAACCACAAUAACCAAUUUCGCAGCAGCAACAACAACAACAACAACAACAACAACAACAAAUCCUUCAACAAAUUUUGCAACAACAACUGAUUCCAUGCAUGGAUGUUGUAUUGCAGCAACACAACAUAGCGCAUGGAAGAUCACAAGUUUUGCAACAAAGUAGUUACCAGCUGUUGCAAGAAUUGUGUUUUCAGCACCUAUGACAGAUCCCUGAGCAGUCGCAGUGCCAAGCCAUCCACAAUGUUGUCCAUGCUAUUAUUCUGCAUCAACAACAAAAACAACAACAACAACAACAACAAAAACAACAACCAUCGAGCCAGGUCUCCUUCCAACAGCCCCAGCAACAAUAUCCAUCAGGCCAGGGCUCCUUCCGGCCAUCUCUGCAAAAUCCACAGGCCCAGGGCUCGGUCCAGCCUCAACAGCUGCCCAGUUCGAGGAAAUAAGGAACCUAGCGCUACAGACGCUACCUGCAAUGUGCAAUCUCUACAUCCCUCCAUAUUGCACCAUCGCGCCAUUUGGCAUCUUCGGUACUAACUGAGAAGAAAAUAACUCUAGUACUAGAUAUAUGAAACACCGUUUUCUUAGUCCAUGGUUUGGUCAUUGUAGCGGUGAAAAAAUAAAGUGACAUGCACUACCAUGUAAGAACUCGAACUAUACUAGUUCAAACUUGGGAAUAAAAGACAAACACAGGUCUUGUCUACAUAUUUAUGUUGCAUUUAUCUAAAGAUAACAAAAUGAGUCUAAAAUUUGAAUUAAAUUGAAGUAUUUUCUUGGACUUUCAAAUUGAGUAUUAUUAACGUAGUAAGGACUAUCCUCAUCCUUGGCCUGCCCCUAAUCAAUUAUUUCCAGAGAAGCAUUCAAUUCAUCAAUCAAUUACAUUGAUUUUUGUGGCUGGUACUUCUCCUCAACAUCAGUAUAUUCACCGUGGCUACUCCAAAUCGGCAAGAAUGAGGUACCGGUGCUCUGGAGCAGUGCCAACUAAUUGCUUCUCAUGUGAAGGGGUGCGGGCGCGGGAGAGGUAUUUCUGGUGGGCCAAGGGAGUAAGAAGCCACCGUGGGAGUGGUACAGACGCCCGUAAAGCCCCAUAGUUUCUUUUUGGUUUACAGGAAAAUGCACAUCCAUACCGGCCUGGGGAGUAUAGGACCGUAUUGGAUGGAAAACCAUGUCCGGAUGGUUGCGAGCGGUUUGAGGGUUAGCUUUUGUAACGCCCGGUUAGUUAUGCUAUAGCAAUUCCCUGCUAAUGAUGUCACGUCACCAAGAUUACUGUUGUUAUCCUCACAAUGAUUCAAUGCCAUUCUAAUUCAAAUUUAAAAUAAAGGCAAGCAUCAAAAGUUUUCAAACAUUAAAACUAAAAUCUUUGAGAGGUAACAAAUAAUGCAUAAGUAAUUAUGGUGGAGAAACCACACUUUAAUAAAAUGUUUAAAUACUCUAAAAUGAAAAAAACAGUGGCUUAAACUAUUAUUUAAAUGCUUUUAAAAUAGUAAAAAUGUUCUAACUAAAUUAAUUGGGUACCAACCUUUUGGUGGCAGUGGUAUAUUUAGUAGAACUAAUUUAGAUGCUAGUUAUAUGAUUUAGAAAAUUAGGGUCAAUUGAAAAAUAGGAUAAAACAGAGAAGGAAAGACAAAACAAAUAAAAGCAAAAGGGGGCAACCCCUCACUGGCCUUGGCCUAGCUGGCCACUGGGCUAGCUAGGUCGGCCCCGCCGCCUCCCUUAACCCCCUGUCGGUGUCGAAACCGGUGGAUGGUACCAUGAGUAGAUCUACCACGAGAUCGGAGAGGCUAAACCCUAGAGGCUAGCCUAUGAUAUGAUUGUAUGUGUCCUACGGACUAAAACCCUCCGGUUUAUAUAGACACCGGAGAGGGUUAGGGUUACACAAGGUCGGUUACAAAGGAGGAGAUAUCCAUAUCCGUAUUGCCUAGCUUGCCUGCCACGCCAAGUAGAGUCCCAUCCGGACACGGGACGAAGUCUUCAAUCUUGUAUCUUCAUAGUGCAACAGUCCGAAAAAGGAUAUAGUCCGGCUGUCCGGAGACCCCCUAAUCCAGGACUCCCUCAGUAGCCCCUGAACCAGGCUUCAAUGACGAUGAGUCUGGCGCGCAGUAUUGUCUUCGACAUUGCAAGGCGGGUUCCUCCUCCGAAUGCAUCACAGAAGAAUUUGAAUACGAGGAUAGUGUCCGACCCUGCAACAUAAGUUCCACAUAAUUCCAUACAGAGAAUAAUAUUUUCGCAAAUCUAAUUUGCUUACUUGUUUUGACAGUACGACAUUAUGUCAUGGCCCGGUGAUUAUUCGAACCGUUUCCUUUAACUAGCCCCGCACAUAACGCGAGGCAGUUUUUCGACAUGUCUUGUCAAAGCAGAGAUCGUGUCCCCUUAUUACUGGAUUCUCAUCAAUACGGGCGUGGGUAACCCAACCGCGCCAUCGAUUGCGGCACUUGGGGGAUGAGCUAUUUUUACCUGGCAAGUGGGGACGCUUAGUUUCGUCCGCCCAUAUAAAGGGAUAAGGAUUCACCUUUCUAUCCAUGCCUUCUUCCUCCUUUGCUCAUCCGUUUUUGCACACUCGAGCUCUAGCGCCCAAGUUCGCACUUCCCACCUCAACCUUCUCCAACCAUGUCCCGAGCGGGAGGCAGGUGGAUGGUAUCCUCCGUCACGGAUGGAGACAUCAAGAAGCUGAGGAGCGCCGGAUACCUGCCUGACGACAUCGCGCACCGGCUCCCAGAUGAGGGGCAGCUCACCCCCACCCCCAGGCCCCAUGAGAGGGUAGUGUUCCUCACCCAUUUCCUCCGCGGACUGGGAUUCCCUCUCCACCCAUUUGUCCCGGGGCUCAUGUUCUAUUACGACCUGGAUUUCCAUGAUCUGGCCCCGAACUUCAUCCUCAACAUCUCGGCGUUUAUCGUUGUGUGCGUGGCCUUCCUCCGCAUCAAGCCCCACUUCGGCUUAUGGUUGAAGACCUUUAAUGUCAAGCCGAAGGUUGUGGGCGACCGCCAGGCGGAGUGCGGAGGCGCCAUGGUGGGCAAGAUGCCCAACGUAACAUGGCUCGAGGGCUCUUUUGUGGAAACCAUAAAGGGGUGGCAAUCGGGUGGUUCUACAUCACCGAGCCGCGUGACCCUGCAUGGGCAGCGGCCCCCCGAGUUCUGAUCUGGCAUCCCCACGCGGCUCACCUCCUGGAAAGAGAAGGGCCUGUCCUGGGGUAGUUUGGAAGAGCUGACCAGACUCCAAACAUGUAUUCAAAACAUGGUGAACAAGAAGCUCAAACUCGUCAACGUGGUCCAGGUCAUGCUCCACCGCCGGAUCCUCCCGUGCCAAUAACGGGAGUUCAACUUGUGGGAGUACAACCCAGCGCAGCACCGAACUCUGAACAGGCUUUUCGACACAACUCACGAAGAUGCCUCGAGGGUGCUGUUCAAAAUCACCAAGGUCCCCCUCCCAUUACUGAGGAUCACGGAUUCAGCGUGAAGCGCCAAGCCAGUGCGGCAGGCUGCUUUACCUUUCACAGGCUACUUAUUUUUUAUAGAUUGACUCCAUGCGGGAUCUAAACUCCCGUACCUUUGACAGGACUGGCAGGAGAUGGCCGGACAGAUCGACUGUCCGGCUCCUAUGCCCGAAGGCCCAGCAGACGCUCUUCUAGCGAAGAUGCUGACUUCGGCUCCUUAUACGGUGCCGGAGAAGACCAAGAAGGACAAGGGAACCCGAAAGAGUUCCCGACGCCAGGCGUCGUCGGACUCACCGUCCGAUGACUCUGCGGCGCACUCCUCCCCCGAAGACGAGGAAGAGGAAGAAGACGCUCCCUCUCUGGCUGGGGGAGAUAAGAAAAGGAAGGCCGCCCCAACUGGGGGGGCGGAAGGGUCCAAGAAGGGAAGGAAUCUCCUUCCGGAUAGUUGCACCGCUGCCGACGAAGGCGAAGACGAGGGGUUGCCCAGGGCCAAGCCCCUGGGGAGAUCGUAAGUAUUCAGAUACCAGAGUAACUCAUAGCAUUCCUUUGUCGCACUGCUUUCCCUAACGUCAAACAUAAUUAUGCAGGUCGCCAUGAGCCAGUAUCGAUGUGUGACGCCCGGAUAAUCAUGCUACAGUAAUCCCACGCUAAUCAUGCCACGUCACCUCGGUUACUGUUGCUAAUCUAUCGUUAGGUCAAAGCUGGUCCAAAAUUCAAAUUCAAAGUUUGGUAAAUAAUAACAGUUUUCAAAAAUUAAAACAAAAAUGUUCGGUGAUUGCCGAAUAAUGCAUAGGUAAUUAUGGUGGAGAAACCACACUUUUAUAAAAUGUUUAAAUAAUCUAAAAUGAAUAAAACAGUAGAAAAACCAAAUCUAAAUGCUUUUAUAAAUAAAUAAAACACUAAACUAAAUUGUUUUGGGAUAAAGCCUUUUGUGGCAGUGGGUUUCGUGGUAUUACAAUUUUAGAGUUCAUUUUAAUACUAAGUAAGAAGUAUAAUUAAGAGAAACUAAAAUAAAGAACAGAAAAAAAAGAAUAAAUAAAAGGAAAAGAAAACACAAAACAGAAAAGAAAACUACCAAAAAAAUAUGGUAAAAGGAGACCCCCCCCACUGGACCCCUUGGCCCAACUGGGCCAUGGCCCAGCCGGCCACCCCCNNNNNNNNNNNNNNNNNNNNNNNNNNNNNNNNNNNNNNNNNNNNNNNNNNNNNNNNNNNNNNNNNNNNNNNNNNNNNNNNNNNNNNNNNNNNNNNNNNNNNNNNNNNNNNNNNNNNNNNNNNNNNNNNNNNNNNNNNNNNNNNNNNNNNNNNNNNNNNNNNNNNNNNNNNNNNNNNNNNNNNNNNNNNNNNNNNNNNNNNNNNNNNNNNNNNNNNNNNNNNNNNNNNNNNNNNNNNNNNNNNNNNNNNNNNNNNNNNNNNNNNNNNNNNNNNNNNNNNNNNNNNNNNNNNNNNNNNNNNNNNNNNNNNNNNNNNNNNNNNNNNNNNNNNNNNNNNNNNNNNNNNNNNNNNNNNNNNNNNNNNNNNNNNNNNNNNNNNNNNNNNNNNNNNNNNNNNNNNNNNNNNNNNNNNNNNNNNNNNNNNNNNNNNNNNNNNNNNNNNNNNNNNNNNNNNNNNNNNNNNNNNNNNNNNNNNNNNNNNNNNNNNNNNNNNNNNNNNNNNNNNNNNNNNNNNNNNNNNNNNNNNNNNNNNNNNNNNNNNNNNNNNNNNNNNNNNNNNNNNNNNNNNNNNNNNNNNNNNNNNNNNNNNNNNNNNNNNNNNNNNNNNNNNNNNNNNNNNNNNNNNNNNNNNNNNNNNNNNNNNNNNNNNNNNNNNNNNNNNNNNNNNNNNNNNNNNNNNNNNNNNNNNNNNNNNNNNNNNNNNNNNNNNNNNNNNNNNNNNNNNNNNNNNNNNNNNNNNNNNNNNNNNNNNNNNNNNNNNNNNNNNNNNNNNNNNNNNNNNNNNNNNNNNNNNNNNNNNNNNNNNNNNNNNNNNNNNNNNNNNNNNNNNNNNNNNNNNNNNNNNNNNNNNNNNNNNNNNNNNNNNNNNNNNNNNNNNNNNNNNNNNNNNNNNNNNNNNNNNNNNNNNNNNNNNNNNNNNNNNNNNNNNNNNNNNNNNNNNNNNNNNNNNNNNNNNNNNNNNNNNNNNNNNNNNNNGCCCCUCGGCGCCCGCUCGGCCCUCUCCUGGGUCGGGCGCCCGUAACGCCCAGCGCCCGUAACCCGCUAUGGCCCCCUGGGCAGUUGACAGAUGGGGCCCACGCCCCUGUCUUGUUAGAAAAAAAAACGAAAAGAAAAUGUAAUUAAAAAAAUGAAAAUAAGUAAUUAGUUAUUUAAUUAAUUAUGUAACUAAUUAAUUAAUUAAAUAAGUAAUUACUUAACUUAAUUAACUCCGUUUAGUACUUAAUUAACUUGAUUAGUUAAUUAAAAUUGUUAAUUAGUUGUUAGACUAUGACGAAUGGGACCCACACGUCAGUUUGACCCAGUCAACGCCCUGUUGACUGCUGACGUCAUGCUGACGUCAGCGUACACUAUUCUGGAUAAUGUUAAUUUAAUUAAUAAUUAAUAAAUUAGAAAAUGAUUUAAAAAUUUAAAAAUUAAUAUAAAUUAAACCGUAGCUCAGAUGAAAAAACUUUGUACAUGAAAGUUGCUCAGAACGACGAGACAAAUCUGGAUACACGGCCUGUUUGUUCGUCACGCAUCCCUAGCAUAGCAAACUCGCAACUUUCCCCUCCGGCUCCUCUGCCCGAAAACGCAAAACACCGGGGAUACUUUCCCGGAUGUCAUCCCCCUUCACCGGUAUCACCUAUUACCGCGUUAGGGCACCUCUAACGCCGUUACUUGUCAUGUCAUGCAUCACUAUGCAUAUGCUUGCUUAAAUAUUUAUUAUUUCUUCCCCCUCUUCUCUCGAUAGACACCGAGACCGACGCCGCUGCUACCCAGUACGACUACGCUGUUGACGACCCUCUUUCUUGCCAGAGCAACCAGGCAAGCGCCCCCCUUGAUCACCAGAUAUCGCCUACUCUCUUCUAUACUGCUUGCAUUAGAGUAGUGUAGCAUGUUACUGCUUUCCGUUAUUCCUAUCCUGAUGCAUAGCCUGUCCUUGCUACUACUGUUGUUACCAUUACCUGCUAUCCUACUGCUUAGUAUAGGAUGCUAGUGUUCCAUCAGUGGCCCUACACUCUUGUCCGUCUGCCAUGCUAUACUACUGGGCCGUGAUCACUUCGGGAGGUGAUCAUGGGCAUAUGCUAUAUACUUUACACAGUUACUUUACCUGUGGUACUGUUCGGAGAUGGGGGCUGAAGGGGCAGGUGGUUCCACCCAGGUAGUGGUGGGCCUGGGUUCCCGACGGCCCCCGACUGUUACUUUGUGGCGGAGCGACAGGGCAGGUUCAGACCACCUAGGAGAGAGGUGGGCCUGGCCCUGGUCGGCGUCCGCGGAUACUUAACACACUUAACGAGAUCUGGGUAUUUGAUCUGAGUCUGGCCAUUUGGUCUAUACGCACUAACCAUCUACGCGGGAGUAGUUAUGGGUAUCCCGACGUCGUGGUAUCAGCCGAAGCCUUCGUGACAUCAGCGACUAAGUGGCGCGUGCCGGAUUGGACCGUAAGCCUGCUCUUGUAUUAAGGGGGCUAGUUCUGCUUCCGGCCGCGUUCGCAACGUGCAGGUGUGCAAAGGGCGAUGGGCCCAGACCCCUGCGCCAUAGGAUUUAGACCAGCGUGCUGACCUCUCUGUUGGGCCUAGGUAGGGCUGCGACGUGUUGAUCUUCCGAGGCCGGGCAUGACCCAGAAAAGUGUGUCCGGCCAAAUGGGAUCGAGCGUGUUGGGGUAUGUGGUGCACCCCUGCAGGGAAGUUUAUCUAUUCGAAUAGCCGUGUCCCUCGGUAAAAGGACGACCCGGAGUUGUACUUUGACCUUAUGAUAACUAGAACCGGAUACUUAAUAAAACACACCCUUCCAAGUGCCAGAUACAACCGGUGAUCGCUCUCUCACAGGGCGACGAGGGGAGGAUCAUCGGUUAGGAUUAUGCUAUGCGAUGCUACUUGGAGGACUUCAGUCUACUCUCUUCUACAUGCUGCAAGACGGAGGUUACCAGAAGCGUAGUCUUCGAAAGGACUAGCUAUCCCCCUCUUAUUCCGGCAUUCUGCAGUUCAGUCCACAUAUGAUAGCCUUAUUCCAAUUGAUACCAAUGCAUACAUAUGUAGUGUAGCUCCUUGCUUGCGAGUACUUUGGAUGAGUACUCACGGUUGCUUUCUCCCUCUUUCCCCCCUAUCCCUUCUACCUGGUUGUCGCGACCAGAUGUUGGAGCUCAGGAGCCAGACGCCACCGUUGACGACGACUCCUACUACACCGGUGGUGCCUACUACUACGUGCUGUCCGCUGACGACGACCAGGAGUAGUUUAGGAGGAUCCCAGGCAAGAGGCCUGCGCCUCUUUCGAUCUAUAGCUCAGUUUGUGCUAGCCUUCUUAAGGCAAACUUGUUUAACUUAUGUCUGUACUCAGAUAUUGUUGCUUCCGCUGACUCGUCUAUGAUCGAGCUCUUGUAUUCGAGCCCUCGAGGUCCCUGGCUUGUAAUAUGAUGCUUGUAUGACUUAUUUUAUUUGUAGAGUUGUGUUGUGAUAUCUUUCUGUGAGUCCCUGAUCUUGAUCGUACACGUUUGCGUGUAUGAUUAGUGUACGGUCAAAUCGGGGGCGUCACACGAUGUAUCAUCGGACGGUUCCCUAGGCUCGUCGGACAUGGAUAGCGAUCCAGUCCCGACCCCCACCUCCCCUCAUCCUGCUGACGACGCCGAGGUGCUGUCUCAAGAGGCAUCGGGUCGAGGGGAGACAGUCCUGGAGGCACCUCAAGGCGACCUUCCGGACUCCGGGAGCCGAGGGGACGGGGCCCCUAAGAGCUUCGAGUUCGGCCCUCAGCCGAACACCGCGCUGGAACCUCCAGUGGUUCCGGGCUCGGUCAGGCGGCCUCCUUCUAAGAGGGGCAAGACACCUGUGCCGGUGACCUCUGUCUAUCCAGAGGCGCCGGACAAUCUGCUGGAAGCGCUUCGCAGCGCUUCCAUCGACGAGGAGCACCGCACUAUCAUGAGUGCGGCGAUCCAGAAAGUUUAGUCCGCCAAGAGCGGAUUGACUGAAGCCUGUGCCAGCCUUCUAACAGGCUUUGAGGUAAGUGUUUUAAAAUAUAGGAAAAAUACUACUGCAUAUAUAGUAGCCCCUGAUGCUUUGUUCGGUGUUCAGAAAGAAAAGCCGAACAGAGGAUCAAAUAAUAUCGCAGGACUCUAAUAUAAGUAUGUCAAUAUGCGUAUGCAAGCCUCACUGCUGGCAUCCGCCACACUGACUGCGGAGGUCGCCCUACUGAAGCAGGACCUCGAGAGGUCUAGGAGAGAGCUCGGCCUUGUCAAGAGGCAGCUCGAGGAGAACAAGGGUAAGUAAUACCUUGUCUUUAGAUAUGUAUAUAUAAAAGAAGAAGCGAUUGCAAAAUGACAGGAUCAUCGUACAUUCGCCAGGGGCCACGACCAAGGUGGCAACCCUCAAGCAAGCGCUAACCAAGGCCGAAGAUAACGCGGCCAAGGAGCGCACCGAGUGAGAGAAGCACGAGGCUCGGGUGGGCGAGGUGCAGCAAGAGCUCUAGGCUAUCAUGGUGAAGCACGAGGCAUUGGAGCUUGACUAAAAGACGCGAGAGUCUGAGCUUUCCGCGGCCCUCGAGAGCGCAAAAAGUGCCAAGGCCGAAGCCCAAAGGGGUCUCCAGGCGGGUAUGGCUUUCUAUAUGCAAAGCAAGCAUGUAAAAGUAAAUUACCGAUUACUUACUCGAAUCCGGAGCUCUCCAGGAGCAUUCGCAGAUUUUCCACGCAGCGUGUCCGAUGCCGCACAAUUUUACCAGGCCGAGGAUGGAAGCUCAAUGGAGAAGCUGUUCUGGUAUCAGUAUGCUGAGGCCGGACACCCGGUGCCAAUGAGCGACCAGCUGAAGCAGGUGGUCGAGCUACAUAAGGCGGCCGAUCAGGCCAUGAAGGGCUUUAUAGUCCGGCUGUGGCCUGGCGACGCCCUUCCGAACAGCUUCCUCGGCCUGGUGAGGCGGCUUGUGGAUGCCUGCCCGCGGCUGGAGGUCGUCAAGCGAUCUGUCUACAUUGAGGGUGCACGCCGGGCUUUCGCCCGUGUGAAAUUGCAGUGGGUCAAGCUAGACGCCGUGAAGCUGAUCAAGGAGGGGCCGCCGGAGGGCAAGGAGCACCGCCACCCCGAGAUGUACUACGAGGGUGUUCUGCUGGGUGCCCGUCUCAUAGCGGACGAGUGUUCAAAAGAUGUAAUAUUUGAGUGAGACUUGCUCGUUUUAUCCUGUAUUUAUGAAAACUUGUUUCAUAUGCACUAUGCAACGCUUGUUUGAAUUUAGAAUAUUACCUUCUGUUUGGCCGUUUAUCAAUCUGAGAGAUGGCUAGUCCUCAGCUUCUGCCCCCAUGCCACGAGUGCUGGGGUCUUCGGGAUAAACCUGAGCACUCUUGUUCCCAUAUUUGGGUCCUUGGAGGGAGGUGCUCAGCACAACGAACAAGGAAACCCGACUAAUAAUGCUUUAUCACUCUCACUUAGCGAUAGAAUUCUAUAAUUUUAAAUUUCGGCGAAGCCCCUGGUAUUCGGAAGGCCGAAUUCGGGGCGCGAUACACGCCUUUAAGCCGGACAGGGCCGGCCCCUCGCCCUAAGCGGCAUAAGUCUUUGGGGACUCGAUAACCUCGCCGAACAGCGAUCAGUCUCUCCCCUUAUCAUGACAGUCAGUUUUAGCUUUCUCUACUUAGGUGCCGAACCCAGCAAAACCGGGGCACAAUCGCAGUAGUUCUCCUAGCGCUACCUUAGCCGAUAGAGUGGAACGUAAGGUACCAAAACAUAGGAGCCGGGCAAACCCAACAUUUGACCAAAGACAUGAUUCGGAGCUGAUGCAUAUAAUGCUAUAAGUUUGGGGUGCCGCACUUGUGAAAGUGUUCGGACUUUUCACACCGUAUUGUGGGGUACGUAAGCCCCUGGUGUAUUGGCCGUACCAAAGUGUACGGUUGCAAGGCAUCAUUAAUGAACAUAUAUAUAUAUAUAUAUAUAUAUAUAUAACAAGAGUGCAAUAAUAGUCGUAAUGUCAUGCAUUGUUUAUUCAAAAAAUUACGUUAAAGUAGGGUGAUACAGAUAGUGUGAUAAGCAAAGAGUAGGACUAUGUCCCUUCCCAAGGCAAGCUAAGGAAUGAUAUUAAAUUGAAUAUUUCGCUCGUUACAGUAAUCCACCUAGGAAUUCCGUGGUGUGACGUAGCUAUCUGCCUCCUUGGUUGCUGCAUCGUGUGUUCGGCAAUAGUGCUGCCGGACAGUGUUUCCAGAGGUUAAUGUCCUGAAAAAAAGAGAAAAAUAACCAAACGGGAAGCCCCUAGUGCGGUUUAAGCCGCGUCUUGGGGCGUGCUGCAGUUGUGCCACCCUCCCCACCUGUGCCCAUGGUAUUUUUAAUGCGUAAUUAUGUACGCGUGGCAUGAGUUUCGUCGUUGGGCUGGGAUUGGGGUGGCCGCCUUAUUGCUACGCGAGCUCAGAUCGCGCAAGGCGGUCUAUUUGCCGAUUGCUCCGAGCGCGCUUGAAGGUGUCCGGGCUUUGAAGCGCCGGACUGGUUGAUUGCCUUGAGAGGCUGCUUUGCGCUUCUGCUGCGAGGGCCGCGGUGUGCUCCUCUGUUCGGAGAGAGCACUCUGUGUUUCCAUUGACUGUAAUAACUCCGCGAGGUCCUGACAUCUUGAGCUUGAGGUAUGCAUAGUGCGGUACCGCAUUGAAUCUAGCAAAUGCGGUUCGCUCGAGCAGCGCGUGGUAACCACUGCGGAAUGGGACUAUAUCGAAGAUUAGCUCUUCGCUUCGGAAGUUAUCCGGGGAUCCGAAGACCACUUCCAGUGUAAUUGAGCCUGUGCAAUGGGCCUCUACACCUGGAAUGAGGCCUUUAAAGGUCGUUUUUGUGGGUUUGAUCCUUGAGGGGUCUAUACCCAUUUUGCGCACUAUAUCCUGAUAAAGUAGGUUCAGGCUGCUGCCGCCAUCCAUAAGGACUCGAGUGAGGUGAAAUCCGUCAAUGAUUGGGUCUAGGACUAGUGCGGAAAAUCUACCAUGAUGGAUACUAGUGGGGUGGUCCCUUCGAUCGAAGGUGAUCGGAUAGGAGGACCAAGGGUUGAACUUUGGGGUGACUGGCUCGAACGCAUAUACGUCCAUGAGCGCACGCUUCCGCUCCCUCUUAGGGAUGUGGGUUGCGUAUAUCAUGUUCACCGUCUGCAGUUGCGGGGGAAACCUCUUCUGUCCUUCGAUGUGCGGCUGCCGGGGCUCCUCCUCGUCAUCGCUAUGCGGCCCCUUGUCCUUCUUUUCGGCAAUUAACUUGCGGGCCUGCUUGAACACCCAACAAUCCCUGUUGGUGUGAUUGGCUGGCUUGUCUAGGGUGCCGUGUAUUUGACACGAGCGAUCGAGUAUACGUUCCAAGCUGGAUGGACCUGGCGUACUUUGUUUGAAUGGCUUUUUCCGCUGACCGGGUUUAGAGCCUUUGAAUCCGGCAUUGACUGCCGUAUCCUCGGUAUUUUCGCUGUUAAUGCGGCGGUUAUGUUUGUUGUGACAUGACCUGCUAUUGCCAUCCUUGGUAUCGGAGGUACCAUGGUUCUUUGAUAUGUUAUUACUACGGGCCAGCCAGCUGUCUUCUCCCGCACAAAAGCGGGUCAUGAGCGUCGUGAGAGCUGCCAUAGAUUUCGGCUUUUCCUGACCAAGGUGCCAGGCUAGCCACUCGUCUCGGAUGUUGUGUCUGAAAGCCGCUAAGGCCUCUGCAUCCGGACAGUCGACGAUUUGAUUUUUCUUUGUGAGGAACCAAGUCCAGAAUUGCCUAGCCGACUCUUCUGGCUGCUGAAUUAUGUGGCUCAAGUCAUCGGCGUCUAGUGGUCGCACAUAAGUGCCCUGAAAGUUGUUGAGGAAUGCGGCUUCCAGAUCUUCCCAACAGCUAAUGGAGUCCGCUGGCAAGCUGUUAAGCCAAUGCCGCGCUGGUCCUUUGAGCUUUAGUGGAAGAUAUUUGAUGGCGUGUAAGUCAUCACCGUGGGCCAUGUGGAUGUGGAGGAGGAAAUCCUCGAUCGAUACUGCAGGAUCUGUUGUGCCGUCGUAUGAUUCAAUAUUUACAGGUUUGAAACCUUCUGGGAAUUGAUGAUCCAUUACUUCGUCUCUGAAGCAUAAGGGGUGUGCGGCGCCUCUGUAGUGGGCUAUAUCGCGACGCAGCUCGAAUGGGUCUUGCCCGCUGUGUUCGGCCCGGCCGGAUUUGCUUUUACUGUAUCCGGCGUGACAUUUAUCGUCUCGCAGAGUUGUGCGCCCUCGUGAUCCGUAGAUCGAUCUUGCAUGCUUUGCUUUGUCCUCCAAUAUAUCUCGCAGGUCUGGCGUAUCUCCCCAUGCCUUUUUAUUUGAAUGGCGUCGGGGUGGAGGCUGAGUUUUUGGCUGGACUGCCUCUCUAUCGCGGCCACGAGGUGGCCGAUCCGGGCAGUAACCUGCACUUUGGGUAAUUCUUGGAGGGGUGCUUGAGUUUAUAUUCCUCGGCCGCGAGGACUUCAGUCCAUCUGUUAGUUAAGAGAUCUUGAUCAGCUUGAAGCUGCUGCUGCUUUUUCUUUAGGCUAUUUUCCGUGGCCAUAAGCCGGUGCUUGAAGCGCUCUUGUUCGAUGGGAUCCUCUGGUACAUCGAAUUCAUCAUCGCCGAGGCUUGCCUCGUCUUCGGAGGCGGGCGUGUAAUUGUCAUCCUCCUCCUCUCCGUCUGCCGCUCUUUCAGGAGGGUUGGCUCCUCCAUCCUCCUGCUCUAAAUCUUGCUGGAGGGGAUUAUUGUUGUCUUCGGCACUAUCCGGAGUGUUAUUAUCUCCUGUGCCGGUAUCACCACUUUUGCUUUGGCGGGACUUAGAGCGGCGCCGCUGACAUCGGCGCUUGGGUUGCUUCUUGGAGAGGUCAUCCUCCGUUAUCUCGUCGCCAUUGCCUUCUUUGGGUGUAUCCACCAUGUAUAUGUCGUAUGAUGAUGUGGCUUUCGAGUGCCCUAUGGGCGCUGGUUCAUGUUCAUCUCCUACAUCGUCGUCCAUACCAUCGAUGUCUUCGGAGUCGAAGUCGAGCAUGUCGGUUAAAUUAUCGACAGUGGCUACGAAGUGGGUGGUGGGUGGGCAUCGAAUUUCUUCGUCGUCCGCCUCCCAAUCCUGUUGGCCAUAGUCCGGCCAGGGCUCUCCUGACAAAGAGAGAGACUUUAGUGAAUUCAGAAUGUCACCGAAGGACGAGUGCUGCAAGAUAUCAGCGGCGGCGAAUUCCAUGAUCGGCGCCCAGUCGGAUUCAAUUGGCAGGGGCGCGGACGGUUCGGAGUCCGGAAAAGAGUCCGGCACCUUGGAGUCACGGGCUUUGCAGAGGAUUAGGCUGGUGUUCAACUCGAUCACCGUUGAGACUGCAGCCCCUGAGGCGGUGUCUAGCCACCCGUCCUCGACUGGCGCAGUUGGCUCCGAGCUAAGGGUCAGAGCUGAUGCGGGCGCGGCCUCUGGGGUACUGUCCGGUGGUAGAGCUAGGUCAUACCCAUCGUGACAGUGCAGCGCGCCCGGCUGUGGCUUGAAUCCGUCGAAGAUCAAGUCUCCGAGGAUGUCGGCCGUGUAGUUCAAACUUCCAAAUCUGACCUGAUGGCCAGGGGUGUAGCUUUCAAUCUGCUCCAGAUGGCCAAGCGAAUUAGCCCGUAGUGCAAAGCCGCCGAACACUGGACCGCAUCGUUGUUCAUGAUCGGAGGAGCCAUCGGGCCUAAAGGUGACGACACCGAGGAAAUCUCAAUGGAAGCACCAAUGUCGGUGUCAAAUCCGGCGGAUCUCGGGUAGGGGGUCCCGAACUGUGCGUCUAGGCCGGAUGGUAACAGGAGGCAGGGGACACAAUGUUUUACCCAGGUUCGGGCCCUCUUGAUGGACGUAAAACCCUAUGUCCUUCUUGAUUAAUAUUGAUGAUAUGUGUAGUACAAGAGUAGAUCUACCACGAGAUCAGAGAGGCUAAACCCUAGAAGCUAGCCUAUGGUAUGAUUGUAUACGUCCUACGGACUAAAACCCUCCAGUUUAUAUAAACACCGGAGAGGGUUAGAGUUACACAAGGUCGGUUGCAAAGGAGGAGAUAUCCAUAUCCGUAUUGCCUAGCUUGCCUUCCACGCCAAGUAGAGUCCCAUCCGGACACGGGACGGAGUCUUCAAUCUUGUAUCUUUAUAGUCCAACAGUCCGGCUGUCCGGAGACCCCCUAAUCCAGGACUCCCUCACCCCCACUCCCUAUCGAACCCUAGCCCAAUCGCCCCACCUCCCCCACACCCCCUCGCCAGCCUCCCCACCUCUUGAUCCCAUCUGGAUCGGGGAGGGGAUCACCCCCAUCGACCCCGUCGCCGUCGCCGGAUCGCCCGUCAGCGUCGCCAGGCCUCCUCCCCGCCGCCCGUCUCCGGCUCGCCUCCCCUCUCGCUCCUCUUUCCCGACCCGAUCAGGAUCGUGAACGAGCAAUGAGCGCGACGCCCCCCCUUCAUCGGCGCCAUCACCGUGCGCCACCACCACCGCCUGAAGACCUCGCCGUCGCUGACCUUGUGUCGUCUCCUGGUAUCCCUUCCCGACUCGCGUCCUCAAGCCAGGCCGACCCCCUUCUCGGCAAUGCUGUGAGACGCCCCCCGUUUCCCUCCUCUUUCCACCGUGUUCACCGCGCCGCCUGACGAAGCUACGUACCUAGGGUAGGGGCAUGGACCUGUCCUAAGAGCCCUACCCAAGGACAUCCCUGGAAGAAGUCACCUUUCAAUCGACUUGAAGGUACCCACUCGACGGGUUUAAGACACUCGACCAAGAAGCUACCACUCGACAUGAAGCCAAUCACUCGACUGCCAGGAGAUCUAAAGUCAUUCCACGGGCAAACGGUCGGCUAUUAAGUAGUCUUUAUGGUCAUUAUAGCACUUUAUUACCAGCAUUACCAGUAACGCCCCGCCUUAAUGUACAUUGAACCCUUGGUAACGUAGGCUGGCCGGGGUCCUGGCGCGCUCUAUAUAAGUCACCCCCUCCUCCGAGACAAGGGUUCGCACCUCUAUUGUUCACAUGCCUAUAAUCCAAUCGACCGCCUCCGGGCACUGAGACGUAGGGCUGUUACUUCCUCCGCGAAGGGCCUGAACUCGUACACCUUGGUGUGUUUACAACUUCCCAAUAGCUGAGAUCUAGCCUCUCCAUACACACCCCCCUACAUCACUGUCAGAGUUAGAACCACAAUAGUUGGCGCCCACCGCGGGGCCAGAAUCUUAGCGCUUACUUGGAGAAGUUGCGAUUCUUCUGAUCCCUUUGAUCAUGGUUUCAUGCGGAGUUUUGGUGGAGGGGCGCGAGAUCCGUCUCGGCGCGCUCACAUUCAUCGCCGACGACUCCGCUUGGUUUCAGGAGGCUCCACUCGACAUCGACGUGCUCCCCGUCCGUGGUGCGACGCACUUCCGCGCAUGCGUUCGUGGCGUCCUCCUGCGGCAGCCGUCGACCCAGUAUCGGUCGGCCCUCGUGUCGUCUCCCCGCUCUGUCUCCCUCCGACGCAAGCGCUUUGGUAGGUCGAGACUUUAGAGGUGGGUGAGGCAUGCCGUGGCUCGCCAGUCGGCCGCCCCACAAGUCGCGGCAAUCGAGCCCGACAAAUCCCUCUGCAGCCUGUUCGACUGGCUCCGCGGAGACUUCAUCCGAGUGUGACAGCAGAGACCCAGCGGCUGAGGUUCUGGCGGUCGAUGGGACACACUGUCCUCCCGGUUUCCCUCGCGCUAAUGGAGGCGCGGGUGGGGGCGACCCGUCGCAUCCCCACGAUGAGUAUCUCCCCGAAUGUCUCACGGCAUCGCAGCGAGAGGAACUUCACCGCCGGAACAUAGACGCACUCCACACUCCUAUCGUCGGAGAAACCCCCGAGGCCCGGGCCUUGGAGGACGCGCGCUUGGCUAACUUGGCUGAGCGCACUCGACUGGAGAAUCUCCAGCUAAUACUCGAUGAGCAAGCGCGCCAGUGAGCUCCCGAGUCCAGUCGACGUCAGCUCUUUCCGCCGAUGCAGGUAUAUUGAACCCUAGUUCAGAAUUUGGCCGCCGCGGCCCGUAUAGCAGAGUCAAUUCAGCCCUCCCAGUCAGAGGCUGGCAGGGGCUUGUUGCAGAUCAGAGCAUUGCUCCGGGCGGCGGGGAACCAGAAUUCCGCUGUUUCUCAGUCGCAGAAUAGGAUCCACAGUCGAUCCGUUGCAACAGAUACAGUCCAGUCGGCUCACAGCCCGAGAUCGCCCCCGAGGCGUGAGGGACAUGGAGACCGGCACGAUCAGUACAGAAGAAAUGAGCAGUAUGAUCACCGAUUCGAUCGUGAGGAUCGACGUCGAGUGCCAACCCCUCCCCCGAGGAGUGGGUCAUAUGCGCCUCGAUAGCGAGAUGACAGGCGCCCUCAUAGUGUUGGGCAGAGGAUUCCAGUCGACCCCAGGGACCCAGGCUUUGAUGCGAGAUCCAUCCUUGAUCAAGGUCUGGUUGACAGGAACGGGGCUCACCGAGAAUGCCAGGACAGAGAUGCGCCUGCCAGCAGCAGAGUGCGUGUUUCAGGGACAGAGUGUUUCAGUCGAGCCAUCAGAGCCACAGUGAUUCCUCCCAACUUCAGGUUGGCGACUGGAGUCAGCUAGUUCACCGGUGAGUCUAAGCCUGACACUUGGCUCGAAGAUUACCGAGUGGCUGUACAGAUUGGCAGUGGCAAUGAUGAGGUGGACAUGAAGCAUUUGCCUCUCAUGUUAGAGGGCUCAGCCAGAGCAUGGCUAAAUCAGUUAGUGCCCAGCAGCAUUUACACUUGGGAGGACCUCUCCCGAGUGUUUGUCACAACCUUUGAGGGAACAUGCAAGCGACCUGCAGGCCUUACAGAGUUGCGGUCUUGCACGCAGAAACCGAAUGAAACGCUGAGGGAUUACAUCCAGAGGUGGAUCACAUUGCAUCACACAGUUGAGAAUGUUCCAGAUCAUCAAGCAGUUUGUGCCUUCAAAGAAGGCGUUAAGUACAGAGAAUUGAAUCUGAAGUUCGGUCGAACUGGAGAGAUGUCUCUGAAUCGGAUGAUGGAGAUUGCCACCAAAUACGCUAAUGGUGAAGACGAAGAUCGCCUCCGGAGUGGCAAGCGCAAGGCAGUCGCCCAAGAAACCGGAGGAAACUCCAGUCAGAAACAGAAGCGGAAGGCUGAGCCAGCCGCCCCUGGGGAGGCCCUGGCCGUAACCCAGGGAAAUUUCAAGGGAAAACCCAAGGGCCCCUGGAAGCCCAAGAAAGUCAAGGAUCAAGAUGGAAAUGAUGUUUUGGAUCUGCCAUGUCACUCCACACCAAGAAAGAUGAAGAGGGUAAUUUUAUUUACCCAAAGCAUACCACUCGACAGUGCCAGCUCCUGAUCCAGCAGUUUCAGGGCAAGCAACCCAAAGAUAAGGAAAAAGAGCCAGACAGAGUUGAGGACAAGGAUGAUAGUGACGAUGGAUACCCCCAAGUCAAUUCCACCCUGAUGAUUUUUGCUGAUGUCGAAAGCAAAAGUCGACUGAAAGUCAUUAAUCGUGAAGUGAAUAUGGUUGCUCCGGCAACACCUAGUUAUCUGAAGUGGUCUCAGGCUGCCAUAACAUUCGACCAGUCUGAUCACCCUACGCACAUUGCCACCCCUGGGAGGCAAGCUUUGGUGGUCGACCCAGUUGUCGAAGGCACUCGACUGACCAAAGUCCUGAUGGAUGGUGGCAGUGGCCUGAACAUACUGUAUGCUAAAACAUUGAAAGGGAUGGGCAUUCCGAUGUCCGGGCUCAGUACCAGCAACAUGAGCUUCCACGGAGUCAUUCCCGGGAAGUAAGCCGAAUCACUCGGCCAGAUUGCUCUUGAUGUGGUUUUCGGUGAUUCAAAGACUUACCGCAAGGAAAAGUUGACAUUCGAGGUUGUGGACUUCCAAAGUGCUUAUCAUGCCAUUUUGGGCAGACCAGCUUAUGCACGCUUCAUGGCCUGACCAUGUUAUGUGUAUCUCAAAUUGAAGAUGCCUGGUCCUAAAGGUGUGAUCACUGUUACAGGCAAUCGGAAGAAGGCAGAAGAGUGUUUUCAGAAAGGCUCAAAGAUUGCUGACGCUCAGAUGGCAGUGGUUGAGCUGCAAGAGUAUCAGAAGACUGCAGAUCCGAGUGAGUUGCUACGAGCUAAGAAGCCCACUUCGGAGUCAGCUUUUCAGUAGUCUGGUGAAAUGAAGGCAGUUCACAUUCACCCGACCAACCCCGAGGCUGCCCCGACUCACAUCUCAAAGACGCUCGACUCCAAAUAGGAAGAAGUGCUCAUCCAGUUCCUCCGUGAGAACUGGGACAUCUUCGCAUGGAAGCCUUCUGACAUGCCUGGAAUAACCAGGGGGCUGGCUGAGCACCGUCUACGAGUCGACCCAAAGUUCAAGCCUAUGAAAGAACAUCUUCGACGGUCCGCCGUCCAAAAGAGGAAAGCUAUUGGCGAGGAGGUGGCUCGGCUCUUAGCAGCAGAGUUCAUCCGAGAGAUGUACCACUCUGAGUGGCUCGCCAAUGUUGUCAUGGUCCCCAAGAAGGACAAGUCGCUUCGCAUAUGCAUCGACUUUAAACAUAUCAAUCGGGCCUGCCCGAAAGAUCAUUUUCCUCUCCCUCGCAUCGACCAAAUAGUCGACUUGACCGCGGGGUGUGAGCGAUUGUCUUUUCUAGACGGCUAUUCCGGGUACCAUCAGAUCCGUCUGUAUGGACCCGAUGAGAUCAAAACAGCUUUCAUCACUCCAUUCGGGUGCUUCCGUUAUGUCACCAUGCCCUUCGGCCUCAAGAACGCUGGAGCCACGUUCAUGAGGAUGAUUCAGAAGUGUUUGCUCACUCAAAUCAGUCGGAACGUGGAAGCAUACAUGGAUGAUAUUGUGGUCAAGUCGCGGAAAGGUUCCGACCUGCUGACUGACCUUGCUGCAACCUUUGCCAACCUUAGGAGGUAUGAUAUCAAGCUUAAUCCAUCAAACUGCACAUUCGGAGUUCCGGGUGGAAAGUUACUCGGUUUUCUCGUUUCCGAAUGAGGAAUCAACGCCAAUCCCGAGAAAGUUGGCACCAUACUCCGGAUGAAGCGCCCUGUGCGUGUGCACGAUGUCCAGAAGCUUAUGGGUUGCUUGGCCGCUCUAAGUCGAUUCAUUUCUCGUCUCAGUGAAAAGGCAUUGCCUCUUUACCGACUGAUGAAGAAGUCUGACAAGUUCGAGUGGACUCCAGAAGCUGAUGCAGCGUUUGCAGACCUCAAAGCUCUGCUCUCCACCCAGCCGGUGCUUGCUGCCCCAAUCAGUAAAGAGCCUUUGCUGCUUUACAUUGCAGCCACAGGACAAGUUGUCAGUACAGUACUUAUGGUCGAGCGGGAAGAUGAAGGAUAGGCCUUCAGAGUUCAACGCCCAGUAUAUUAUGUGUCUGAAGUUUUGACACCUUCAAAACAAAGAUAUCCUCAUUAUCAGAAGCUUGUAUACGGGAUUUAUAUGACCACGAAGAAGGUUGCACAUUACUUCUCUGACCACUCCAUUACAGUCGUCAGCGACGCCCCACUGUCAGAGAUUCUGCAUAACAGAGAUGCAACUGGUCGAGUGGCGAAGUGGGCGAUUGAACUCCUUCCCCUAGAUAUCAAGUUUGAAGCAAAUAAGGCUAUCAAGUCCCAAGCAAUUGCAGAUUUCAUCACCGAGUGGAUCGAACAGCAGCUUCCGACUCAAGUUCACCCGGAGCACUGGACCAUGUUCUUCGAUGGAUCUAAGAUGCUGAAUGGUUCCGGUGCUGGGGUAGUAUUGGUCUCCCCCCGAGGAGAUAAGCUCAGAUAUGUUCUCCAGAUUCACUUUGAUUCCUCCAAUAAUGAAGCAGAAUAUGAAGCACUUUUGUAUGGGUUGCGCAUGGCCAUUUCACUUGGCGUCCGUCGCCUCAUGGUCUAUGGCGACUCAGAUUUGGUGGUUAAUCAGGCGAUGAAGGAGUGAGACGUCAGAAGUCCGGCAAUGACUGGUUAUUGCAAUGUAGUGAGAAAGCUAGAAAAGAAAUUCGAGGGGUUAGAGCUUCAUCACAUCCCCCGACUGAAAAAUCAGGUAGCUGACGAUUUGGCAAAGAUAGGCCCCAAGAGAGAAGCCAUUCCCAGCAACGUGUUCCUGGAACACAUUCAUUCGCCAUCAGUCCAAGAAGAUCCUUUUACAGAAGAAGCCCCGCAGCCGAAAAGUGCCACAGAUCCGACUGAAGUCGAAGUCCCUGCUGUGGUCGACCUAAUCAUGGAAGUCUUCGCAAUCACUCCCGACUGGACGAUACCGUACAUCGCGUAUAUCCUAAGGAAAGAACUCCCGGAGGACGAGGAAGAGGCUCGACAGAUCGUCCGCCGAUCCAAAGCCUUCACAGUCACAAGGGGACAGUUGUAUAGAGAAAGCGCGACUGGGAUCGGUCAGAAGUGCAUAACACUAGAAGAGGUUCAGAUAAUCCUUGACGACAUCCACUCGCGGACCUGUGGUCACCAUGCGUCUUCUCGGACCAUUGUGGCUAAAGCAUACCGAGCGGGAUUUUACUGGCCAAGAGCAAAUGAGAUGGCAAAAGAGAUAGUCGACCAGUGUGGAGGGUGCUAGUUCUACUCCAACAUGUCACACAAGCCUGCGUCAGCCCUGAAGACCAUUCCACUCGUCUGGCCCUUUGCUGUCUGGGGACUGGACAUGGUUGGUCCACUAAGAACAGGCAGGAGCGGUUUCACUCAUGUGCUUGUGGUAGUCGACAAGUUUACCAAAUGGAUUGAGGCUAAGCGCAUCAAGAAUCUUGAUGCUUGCACUACUAUCAGUUUCGUCAGAGGGCUAACAUUCAGAUAUGGAGUCCCGCAUAGCAUCAUCACUGACAAUGGGUCAAACUUUGAUUCGGACAAGUUCAGAGCUUUUUGCGCCUCUCAAGGCACACGAGUCGACUACGCAUCGGUCGCCCAUCCCCAGUCGAAUGGACAAGCAGAGAGAGCAAAUGGUUUGAUUCUCAAAGGACUAAAGCCUCGACUGAUGCGCGAUCUCAAGCACGCGGCAGGUGCUUAGGUCGACGAGCUUCCGUCAGUUCUGUGGGGAUUGAGGACCACCCCGAACCGGUCGACUGGAGGAACUCCAUUCUUUCUGGUUUAUGGAGCCGAGGCAGUUCUGCCGAGUGAUCUUCUUCACAACGCACCCCGAGUCGAACUUUAUACCGAAGAUGAAGCAGAACAAGCCCGGCAAGACGCAGUCGACCUACUAGAAGAAGAGAGGGAGAUGGCCAUGAUCAGAUCGACCAUUUAUCAGCAAGACUUGCGUCGAUUCCACGCUAGGAAUGUGAAGAGUCGAGCCUUCCAAGAAGGAGAUUUGGUCCUCCUAGUGGAUCAACAGAAACCACACAAGCUUGCUCCUACUUGGGAAGGCCCCUUCAUCGUCACCAGAGUCCUCCACAAUGGAGCGUAUCACCUCUACAAUGUUGAUCGCCAGAUCGAUGAGCCGCGAGCUUGGAAUGCGGAACUGCUCCGCCCCUUUUACACUUGAGUUCUCCCUUGGACGAGAUGUAAUAAGAAAAAAUUUCUGCAGUUCAUUUUUAUCAAAGGCAAGAGUGUUCCAAUAAUUGCUGUCACUUUUGUUUGCAUACGAAAUCCCCCAGUGGGUGACUUAGCUGCGAAUCCGUUUCGCCUAAGUUUGAAAAAUCCUACCGAGUGGAGAGCCAGAUUCCCACUCGGGGGCUUAGCUCCAGCCCAGUGCUUGCCUAAGUGUUCAAAAAUCCUACCAAGUGAGAGCAAUCCUCCCACUUGGGGGCUUAGCUGCAGUCCAGUACUCGCCUAAGUUCUCCCACUUAGAGACUUAGCUGCAGUCAGGCACUCGCCUAAGUUUGAAAAAAUCCUACCGAGUGGAGAGCAAUCCUCCCACUCGAGGGCUUAGCUGCAGUCCAGUACUCGCCUAAGUUCUCCCACUUAGAGACUUAGCUACAGUCAGGCACUCGCCUAAGUUUGAAAAAAUCCUACCGAGUGGAGAGCAACCCUCCGACUCGGGGGCUUAGCUGCAGUCCAGUACUCACCAAAGUUCUCCCACUUAGAGACUUAGCUANNNNNNNNNNNNNNNNNNNNNNNNNNNNNNNNNNNNNNNNNNNNNNNNNNNNNNNNNNNNNNNNNNNNNNNNNNNNNNNNNNNNNNNNNNNNNNNNNNNNNNNNNNNNNNNNNNNNNNNNNNNNNNNNNNNNNNNNNNNNNNNNNNNNNNNNNNNNNNNNNNNNNNNNNNNNNNNNNNNNNNNNNNNNNNNNNNNNNNNNNNNNNNNNNNNNNCUCUCCUUCCGAGCUACGCCACAAGUACAACAUGCGCUCUGCAAGGAGGACGAGGUGCAGGUCGACUGCUACCCUCUCCUUCCGAGCUACGCCACCAAUUCAAAAUCCUACUGAGUGGAGAGCAAACCUCCCACUCGGGGGCUUAGCUGCAGCCCAGUGCUCGCCUAAGUAUUUGAAAUCCUACCGAGUGGAGAGCAAACCUCCCACUCAGGGGCUUAGCUGCAGCNNNNNNNNNNNNNNNNNNNNNNNNNNNNNNNNNNNNNNNNNNNNNNNNNNNNNNNNNNNNNNNNNNNNNNNNNNNNNNNNAAAUCCUACCGAGUGGAGAGCAAACCUCCCACUCGGGGGCUUAGCUACAGCCCAGUGCUCGCCUAAGUAUUUAAAAAUCCUACCGAGUGGAGAGGAAACCUCCCACUCGGGGGCUUAGCUGCAGCCCAGUGCUCGCCUAUGUGUUUAGAAAUCCUACCGAGUGGAGAGCAAACCUCCCACUCGGGGGCUUAGCUGCAGCCCAGUGCUCGCCUAAGUGUUUAGAAAUCCUACCGAGUGGAGAGCAAACCUCCCACUCGGGGGCUUAGCUGCAGCCCAGUGCUCGCCUAAGUGUUUAGAAAUCCUACCGAGUGGAGAGCAAACCUCCCACUCGGGGGCUUAGCUGCAGCCCAGUGGUCGCCUAAGUGUUUAAAAAUCCUACCGAGUGGAGAGCCAGACUCCCACUCGGGGGCUUAGCUGCAGCCUAGCGCUCGCCUAAGUGUUUAAAAAUCCUACCGAGUGAGAGCAAACCCCUCACUCGGAGGGCUUAGCUGCAGCCCGGUGCUCACCUAAGUACAGGACACAACCCAAUCCGCAAGAAGUUACGCCACAAAUACAAGGUUAUUCCGAGUGAAGAUCAAGUUGCACUCGACAGAUCAAACCAUGAAGAUAUCCAACGAGAAAUCAAGUUCGGAUAAAGCCUAAAGGUCCCAGACCUCAGAUCAAAGUACUCGAGCCCUCGGCUCGGCAGAGUUUAACGGUUACAAAUCCACUCAGCAUUCCGAGGCAAAUUUAAAGUGAAGCACGACGAACUCGUCCAAGUCGAUCCCGUCUGCAAUACGAGUGGCAGCAGCGAUGAAAGUCUCCAUGAAGUCUUGAAAGCUGUGCUUCCUGGUAUUGGCAACUUGGAUGGCGGCCGGCUUUUCUUCUCGCGCCUCCUUGCAAUGGACGCGGACCAGAGACAGAGCGACAUCAGCACCACAUCUAGCAGAAGAUUUCUUCCAUUCCGCCACUCAACCCGGGACUUCAUUCUGUCGAGCCAUCAGAGACUCGAGGUCGUUCUGAAGCAUCAUCCCAGGCCAGAGUGAUGUGUCAAUCCGCGACAUCGCAACCUUCAGUCGAGCAAGAUAGUCAACAACACUGGUAACACGAGACUCCAGUCGGAGCACGUUCAUAGCAGCUUCAUCCUUCACGAGAGAAUUGGCGGGGUCCAAGCCUGGCUCCACUCGACUGGUUUCCUCUUCGAAGUUCUGGCAGAAUUCUGCAAACACGAUUCAAGAGUCAGACAUUGGCUCUACACAGGCUUGGCAACUGCAAGACAGUCGGGGCAGAGUAAUUACCUUCGAGCAUGACGAACAGCUUCUUGGUGAGUCCACCGAGAUAAGCCUCCAGAUCAUUUACCUUCCCCGCCAGCUUACCCGCCUGGUCGUGUAGAACCAUCUUUUCAUUCUUCAGUCGGCUGACCUCUUGAUUAGCUGUCUCGAGAGCAGUUUUCAGCCUCGAGUUCUCCUGUUCAAGAGUUCCGACCGAAGCCAUUUUCUCUUCUCCAAGCUUCGUUCUGCUCAAGGCCUCCUUCUGUGAUUCUGCAAGAUCUUGAUCCUUCUUCUUCAGAGCUUCUUCCAGUUUAUCUGCGGCACGUCGAGUGAAAUCAACAUCAAGAAUGGACAAGCAAGAAAAAUCACUCGUCAAGAAUGGAGAACCUCACCAGCCAUACCUUUUGCUUCUUCUUGCGCCUUCCUCAAAUUCUCUUGAGCAAGCUUCAAGUUAAGGUUGAGCUGGAUCUGCUUAUUCUCCAACUCAGUAUAGCGAGCUACAAGUUCACAGGAUUUCUGCAAAAAGAAAAAUCAGUGGACAGACGUCCAAGAUAAGUUGCUUCCCAAUAACUAAAAGACAACGAUGGCGUUUCUAAGACUAUAGCCGAAUCUAAAACAUUCGACAGUAGUCUCGGGGACUACACCCAGUGGGUGCACUCUGCGUGCCCCCAUUGUAAAAAAAGUCGACUGCCCGCAGUCGACCGGAUACAGUUCCAUUCGACAUGGCCUGACCAGACCGAAUGAAGAAAUACAGCUACAACAACACAAUAUAAAGACUACAGUCGACUGCCAGCAGUCCACCAUAGUCUCGGGGACUACACCCAGUGGGUGCACUUAGCGUUCCCCCACUCGUCCAAGAAUUGGCAGACACACCCAGUGGGUGUACAGAUAUAAAGAUCUUCAAAAAAAAAGAUUCUUCAAACAGCAUAUCGUAACAGACCAAGUGUUGAGUCGACUGACCUGGACGUUACUCUGAAGAGCCGAACUCGCGUCAUAAGCCGCUUGGCUGGCCUCCCAAGCCGCUUUCACUUGUUCCAUCAUAAUCCCCGCCUGGCGUAUGGCCUCUUUUGCAGCAGCUGCUUGGUCCUCAGGGACGGGGUACGUGGCAAAAAGCGAAGGCGGAUCCGCAGUCGACGUCAAGGGCCGCACCCUCGUCAGAGGAAUGGCGAAAGUCACAGAAGCCCGAGUGGUUUCACCACCGUCUCGGGCUACGGCCUCAGGCGCCGGAGUGGAUUGUGGGGUCUCGCCAGCCGACGCUCCCCUGUUCCUUCUCACUCUCAGCGGCACGUCAUCGUCGUCAUCCGGAAGGUUGAUAACAUGAUAAGGAGCUACAAGAAAAAAUUCAAUCGACCAGAGUUGCAAUAAGUGUCCAGUCGACUGAAGGCAGAACAUCAGUAAUCAUACCAGGGUGGAGGUAACAGCAUCCUCCAUCUCUUGGUCGUCGUCCUUGGCAGAGACCUCCGAAGUAGGAGCACUGCAAAUCUCGAAAGUCAGUCAGUUGGCUCAAUGAAUCGACCAAGGAUCUGUCCACGGUCGACAAAGGAAAACAAGUUUUGUUAUUACCCAGAAAUGGUGGGGACAGCCAUCUUCAUCUUGGGCAGAGCCUUGGGCGGCUUGGACGGCGUCGCGCGUGGGUGCUUGGGAGCCUUUCCAGUCAGCGUAGGAGAAGAGGUUCGAGGGCGUUUCGACAACUGCCCAACAGGAGCAGUCGCCUACCACGUUCCCGCGCUGGAUCAUGUGUGAGCUUGGAUCGCCUCUCCCGGUGGGGGGGGGGGGGGGGUCAACCUCCUCCUCCUCCUCUUCGCUGGAGUUGACGUCGUCGUCUCCCUCUCCUUCGCCAUCGGACUCCCACUCGCCUUGAUCGUCUCCACUCUCACAUCCGCUCGCCUCCCCUUCCUCAGUUGGCUCCUGUGCCCCGUUGGGUGUCGAGUACAUCUCAGUAGUCGCCUGGAAAACAACAGACAAGACAAAAGUUAGUCGACCAAUUCAAAGAAGACCAAUGAAGAAAACAAGAUUUCAAUCGGGAGCGUAAAGUCAGACCUGGUCCACUUCGUAUUGUUGUCGAGUGGAGAAACCCUCCUGGCGCCUCGGGGGUUGUCUUUGUUUCCUGUGAUGCUCGUCAGCCACCCCUCCAACAUCUCAUCAGUGACCUCCUCCGGGUGGAUCCGAGUGGUGUCUUCGAGGCCCGAGUACAGCCACAUCGGGUGGCCGCGAGCCUGGAGCGGUUGGAUGCGCCUCCGAAGAAAGACCUCCAGCAAGUCCAUGCCAGUCACGCCAUCACGGACGAGCUGAACCACUCGACCAACCAGCACUUUGAAUUGGGUCUUUUCUUCUGGCGUCACUUUCAGAGAAGCAGGUUUUUGAGCUCGGUCGAGAGAGAAAUGGGGAAGCCCGGUCGACUGUCCUGGGGUCACCUGGUCUUUGCAGUAAAACCAGGUCGCCUGCCAACCACGGACCGACUCUGGGAAAAUGAUAGAUGGAAAACAACUCUUUCCCCUCGUCUGGAUCGCGAGGCCCCCGCACAGCUGGAUCACUUGCGUCCUUUCCUCACUCGACUUGGCCUUCUUGACCGAUUGGGAGCGGCAAGUAAAGAUGUGCUUAAAGAGCCCCCAAUGGGGGCGGCAACCCAGGAAACCCUCACACAAGGAAAUGAAGGUAGCAAGGUACACGAUAGAGUUGGGAGUGAAGUGGUGGAGCUGCGCUCCGAAGAAAUUUAGAAAACUCCGGAAAAAAGGAUGAGGAGGCAGAGAAAACCCUCGAUCGAUGUGGGUGGUGAGAAGGACACACUCACCAUCACGGGGUUGAGGCUCGACUUCUCCCCCCUGGAGACGCGCAGCCUCGUAAGGAAUGACUCCCCCCUCAACCAUAUCGUCGAGGUCUUCCUGCCGAAUCACCGACGGCAUCCAAUCGCCCUGGAUCCAGCCUCUGGGCAGAGCAGUCCUUGAGGAAGAUCCGCCCCAAGCGGACUUCUUCCCUUUCCCCUGCACCGACGCCUUCUUCGCGCGCUCCAGAGCAGACGUCUUGCCCUUCACCAUCGUCGCCGGCGAAUCUCAAACGGGUCUGCGGCGCUAGGGUGAGAGCGGAGGUGGCGGAGGACUUCGCGAAGGGAGAAAGAAGAGAAAGAAGAGAAAGGAGAGAGCACUGUUCGGGAACCCGAGCAGGCGGCUUAUAAGAGGCCGCUCCUGAGUGGCUGACUGGUAGGCCCAGGCUAUCCCGUCAAAUCCCGCAGUAGACGCGCGCGCAGCUCGUGGCGGAAAAGGUGGCACGGGAAUCGAGGAGCUUCUGCCUUAUCACAUCCGAUUACUGCGGCCGCGCCCGUCCCGCUCGCUCCCCGAUGUUCAAAUCCCGCGAAAUCCGCGGGCUGCGGAACAACUCAUCAAAUAGAAGAUCCCUCUCGUGCCGGCACUCGGUAUUUCACAAGUAAGGAAAUUCACUCGACGGGAGACCAAGAAUGGAUCAAGGCGACCGAAAGAAGUUGACAACGUCAUCCUUGGCGAUAGAUCUAGUACAAGACGUCCAUAUGACGCUAAAAACCAGUCGGAAGGACCCCCAACUCCUUCCCCACUCGAACCUCGAUCCAUUCGGGGGCUAAUGACGAAGCUACGUACCUAGGGUAGGGGGAUGGACCUGUCCUAAGAGCCCUACCCAAGGACAUCCCUGGAAGAAGUCACCUUUCAAUCGACUUGAAGGUACCCACUCGACGGGUUUAAGACACUCGACCAAGAAGCUACCACUCGACACGAAGCCAAUCACUCGACUGCCAGGAGAUCUAAAGUCAUUCCACGGGCAAACGGUCGGCUAUUAAGUAGUCUUUAUGGUCAUUAUAGCACUUUAUUACCAGCGUUACCAGUAACGCCCCGCCUUAAUGUACAUUGAACCCUUGGUAACGUAGGCUGGCCGGGGUCCUGGCGCGCUCUAUAUAAGCCACCCCCUCCUCCGAGACAAGGGUUCGCACCUCUGUUAUUCACACGCCUAUAAUCCAAUCGACCGCCUCCGGGCACCGAGACGUAGGGCUGUUACUUCCUCCGCGAAGGGCCUGAACUCGUACACCUUGUUGUGUUUACAACUUCCCAAUAGCUGAGAUCUAGCCUCUCCAUACACACCCCCAACAUCACUGUCAGAGUUAGAACCACGACACCGCCUGCCGUGCCCCUCGCCGCACGCCCACCACCGCGCCAGCCCCCACUCUGUGGACGACCCUAGCCGCGCCCGCGCCGUGAUCCCCUUUUCCGCCCUACCUUCCCGCACUCGCCGCGGUCCCGAUGCUCCCCCGCGCCCUCUUUCAGGGGCGCCGACUGCCCCUGUCCCAUUACUCGCCGCCGCGCCUCGCCACCGCUCUACUGCUACGUUACUACUGCGCUGCGGCCGCCGCCUCUUCCCGCUGCUCCGCUAGCGCCGAAGCUCCCGGCUGGCUCUGCCACUGGUCACGUUUAACUACCGGUCUAAAUGGCCUAACCUCCCGGCAAAUGAACCCCCAGUAACCCACUGACACCGGGAGCCACAUCCCCUAAUUAACCAUUAAUAAAUUAAAACUCUUAAAUUAACAUUAGUGUAUGACAUGUGCGUCCCCUGUUAAUUAAUAAUUUACAUUAGUGUAUGACAUGUGCGUACCCUGUUAAAUAAACUGAUUUAAUUAAAAUCUAUUAACUUCGAGUCUAUGACAUAUCACUACUUGGGAAAAUCCUAGCAGUAGCGUGGGUAUUUUUCCUAUCAGUUGCGCCGGAUACCGCUCUACUGAUAAGGCACUACAGCUAACAUGUAGCAGUAAUGCGUGUCAUCCAACGCUACUGCUGUACAUGGCUAGCAGUAGCGAGCUUUAGUGCAAAGCGCUGCUGCUAAUAUCUGCAGCGCUUUUCAGCAUGAAGUGAUACUGGUAAGGGACCUCUACUACUAACUUUAUUCCCCUCGCUACUGCUAGUUUUAUUAGUUUCUGUUUUUUUCUGCAUAUUUCUUUUGUAUUUGAACAGGCUUUAUACAAUAAUAUUUAGCGUAUCAUACACAUACAAAUGUAAUCAUAGCAUAUACAUACAAAUAGUCUCGUCAAAUCAUGUCAUCAUCAUAAUCAUCAUCCAUCACAAAGUGGUCUCUCGUCAUCAUCUCUAAAAUAGCGAUACAAGUCUCGAUUACUUGCAACUACAUUGUCAUCCGUCUAAACAAUGAUAUACGCGAGAAGAGCUAUCACUAUGAGUGAGAGCGGAACUAUGCAGUACAUGAGUUUGUAUCCCUCUCUCGCAUUAGCGUGAACCUAAACUAACUACUAGUUGUCGCUCGGAAACCAGAAACCGGUACACCUGGGCCUGACACUCCGUCCACUCAUCUUAUACUCCUGGCGUAGCACUUCUGUGCCAUCGAUGAUCUAUGCACCUGCAUCGUCACAUGAGUCGAUGAUAUGCAACAUAUAUAGUUGAGCAAUAGAAACAGACAGACUUGGCAAAAAUAGAAGCAACAUAUCAUAAGCAUAAAUAACAAAGUUCAUCAUACCCAAAAUGCCCUAACUAGAGUGAUCUUCGCUAGUCGAGGAGGACGGUUUAAUUACAUCACAAAUAAUGUUUCAUCUUGCAUAACUCAAAGUGCCAUCAUACAGAAAGUAUGAACUAAACGGACACAUUGUCAUAUGUCGACAAUCACUCCAACAUGUCGUGCCAUCGAUCCAAGUCAAGGAGAUAGUCCCCGAGCUUAGUGAAAGGCUUCAGGUUGAGACGCUGAGCGGCAACGCGUGUUCGGACGUCUUCCCUCGACAUUUUUCCUUCUUCAUAGAACAUCCCUGUUUUUUCGAUGACCUCCCUCAUGAUGAUUUGGGCAAGUUCGCACUGGAAGUGAUAGAACUCAUCUUGAAGUCGAUGAUCCUCGAUAUCUCCUAAGUUCUUUGCCCAUUGCAGAAUAUGGGCAUCGCCGAAUCUAGGUGUCAUGCAAAGGUUCUGGUGAUCCCGUAUGUACUCCAUCAUGUGGUGUAGGACAUAGAAUCCAUCAUUAAGAGAAUCACUCAGUUGCUGGAUACAGCAGAAGCCGGUCUUAUGGCCGAAGGCGGGCCUGCCGUCCCUUUUCUUCUUGUCCUUGACCUCUCCACCCCGUGCACCGUAGUAAAACAUAGCACCGUCGAGAACAUACUUGAUGUGGGUGUAAUCCUUUUUUUUAAUGUUCUUCGAUGAGUCCAAGUAAAGAGCGUGGGAGUAUCGGGGGUAGAGGAUGAUGAGGAUGGUGCACCCGCCGCUGCGCAAAAUAAGUACACCUCAAAUUAAUUAGCCUCCACCGUGCAAAUGAAUGAUUGAAAUCGUAGGAAGGAUAUCCGCGUGGAUGACUUACAGGGGAUGAUAAGGCACAAGAAUCACCUCCUUGUCCUUAUUGGCACGCAUGAAAUUGACGAUGUAUUCCUCGCGUAUUCACGGUGCUUUGCGUGGACUCACAAGAAGACCUCGUGCAUGAAGUACCGAUCAGUGACACAGAUAUGAGGUAUUUGCUCAACCCCGAUGAGGUAGUUCAUGUGCAAGGCAUAAAGGUGGACGAAUGUAAAAUCCAGCUUCUUUAAGUGAAACAUGUCGAAGAUGUAAUCCAAUCGAAGGAAGAACUUGUUCGAGGGGAAUGUGUCGAUGUACGACAAUUGCAGCGACACGUUAACCACGGAGAGUGGGUAUGCUGGAUUUUUUGAGGCAAUGAGGCCUUUCUCUAUCAGCAACACAUCAUCAUGAAGUCUCCUUAUAUCGCCAAAUCAGGCCCCUAGCGCUGCUUUAGGUAGGAUUGGUUAACCGGGGAUACGCCAUAUUGCCGCACCGAGGAUAUCUAUACGGUCUUGAACCCGAGCCUGCUGAGGUGGCUGGAUCAUAGAAGCACCUUUGUUUCCUUUCCUCGGUGUCUUCCUUGGCUUCUUUGCUACCGGAAAGUCGUCUAUAAUAUGUUCAGCCUCUGGAGGCGGCAAUUCAGGCACCAACUCAUGCGCUCAAACCCUGAGUAGGCGCCAGUAUUGAGGUAUUGUUGAAUGUCAUCGUCGUCCUCAUCUAUGGCGAUGUCACUAGCGACAAAUCGAGCCUCUUCCUCACCCCGUCCGCUAUCACCCAGCACGACAGCCGACGCUAAUUGGGUAGGUGGGGUGUUGAUGUUCGUACCUAACUGCGUGCUCGUGUGUGUGCUCCCGGCCGCCUCCAGACAAAGCAGACUCUUUGACCACAACAGGACCCACCCAUUGCAACCACCAAGCCGCUGCGGGGUCUCGUCGUCAUCCCCUAGUAUCGGAGGAGCCAAAUUCUCGUGGCCCGGUUUGACACUGGCCACGAAAACUUUGAAGACAUACGGGGGGAUUGGUCGGCCAUGGAACAAUGGUUCCUUCGGCUUCAUUACCGUCACCUUCCCCACGUCCACCUUUUGGUCGCCGAUGUUGUACAAUAUGGUGCACGGGGUUACAUCGGCCUGCAAAGACACCGUGAGAUUAUACAUUUAUGGAAGAGGGCCGGUGUGACAGAUACCGUGAGGGCGUCGAGCUCAGCCAAAGACGAAGGACAGCUGAGCACGGCCGGUGUGGGAGCCGGUGUGGGAGCCGGUGCAGGUGCAGGUGCUGGUGCAUCGCUAGUCGUGCUACUCCCGAAGAAGUCAACAAUGGGAAAGUCCGCUGCAUUUUUUCUGGAUUUUGCAUGCUCCAAUUGAAAACGGCUGGAACCAAGACAAUAGACAUAUCUGCAACCACCUGUUUUGCGGCAGCUACCGUUAUCGUGACAGUCUCAGAUGAUUUCUUCUCUACUGCAAUCUCAACCUUCUUGUCGAUGUUUUCUUCAGUUAACCUCCAUCUUUCCUUUCUCUCCUCCGUGGUCUCACGGUAGCACUUCUUCCACGUGGCCCCGUCUCCGACACCGUGAACGCGUCCAUACGACGACCGAGUCUCCACUGGGAGUCCUUUCAAUAUGUUCAAUGCCCGGUUGAAUGGAGUGUCCCACUUGGGCCUCGCCAACGCCUCAGACGGCGAGUCUCUUUCGGUCGCAAUCUUGUGCUGCUCUCUCUACAAAAGGAACAAGGAUCAUUUACAAAUAUGACUAAACGUGCAGUCGAAUUGAUCAGAAACUAAAAUUACCAGCAGUCUCAUGAACUCCGUCGUGAUCGGGUCCGUCUUGAAAACCUUCUUGACCGAGUGCCAAUGGUGCCGUGCCCUGAGGACGUCAUGCUCCUACAGGACGGUGAAGUCCGCCAAGGGGUCUAGGAUGCCAGACUUUCGCGUUUCGUGUCCUCCUUGGCCCAUAUGGACCUCUUCCUGCUGUAACCACGGCUUCCGAGGUGGCGGUGCCCCAUGUUCCUUUGUUGAAACCCCUUCAUGUACUUUGACUUUGUUUUGGCAGUUUCAGCCUCGCAAGCCGCCUUGAAUAUUUCAAAGUGCUCUCCCGUGAUUGUCGGAUUAUCCUUUACAAUCUCGGAGUAGGGUUGAUACGUCUCCAAUGUAUCUAUUAUUUUUGAUUGCUCCAUGCUAUAUUAUCUACUGUUUUGGACAUUAUUGGGCUUUAUUAUCUACUUUUAUAUUAUAAUUUGGACUAACCUAUUAACCGGAGGCCCGAGCCCAGAAUUGCUGUUUUUUUGCCUGUCUUAGGGUUUCAAAGAAAAGGAAUAUCAAACGGAGUCCAAACGGAAUGAAACCUUCGGGAACGUGAUUUUCUCAACGAACAAGACCCAGGAGACUUUGACCCUACAUCAAGACACAAGGCGAAUCAUGUACGUAGCCACUAGUGAAACAUAUUAUCUUUAUUAUAUCUAUCAGAUCUCACUCUCGUAAGUGGCCGUGUUGGGAUUGACAACCCCUAUUCAUGUUGGUUGAGAGGAUUGAUUUGUUUUGUGCAAGUACAAAGGACUCGCGCGUAGCCUCCUAUUGGAUUAAUAGCUUGGUUCUCAAAAAGUGAGGGAAAUACUUACGCUACUUUGUUGCAUCAUCCCUUCCUCUUCGGGGAAAACCAACGCAGUGCUCAAGAGGUAGCAAGAAGGAUUUGCUGNNNNNNNNNNNNNNNNNNNNNNNNNNNNNNNNNNNNNNNNNNNNNNNNNNNNNNNNNNNNNNNNNNNNNNNNNNNNNNNNNNNNNNNNNNNNNNNNNNNNNNNNNNNNNNNNNNNNNNNNNNNNNNNNNNNNNNNNNNNNNNNNNNNNNNNNNNNNNNNNNNNNNNNNNNNNNNNNNNNNNNNNNNNNNNNNNNNNNNNNNNNNNNNNNNNNNNNNNNNNNNNNNNNNNNNNNNNNNNNNNNNNNNNNNNNNNNNNNNCCUCCACCCUCGUGGGCCCCCUGUUGCUCCACCGACGUACUCCUUCCUCCUAUAUAUACCUACGUACCCCCAAACGAUCAUAUACGGAGCCAAAACCCUAAUUCCACCGCCACAACUUUCUGUAUCCACGAGAUCCCAUCUUGGGGCCUGUUCCGGAGCUCCGCCGGAGGGGGCAUCAAUCACGGAGGGCUUCUACAUCAACACCAUAACCUCUCCGAUGAAGUGUGAGUAGUUCACCUCAAACCUACGGUUCCAUAGUUAUUAGCUAGAUGGCUUCUUCUCUCUUUUUGGAUCUAAAUACAAUGUUCUCCCCCUCUCUUGUGGAGAAUUAUUCGAUGUAAUCUUAUUUUUGCGGUGUGUUUAUUGAGACCGAUGAAUUGUGGGUUUAUGAUCAAGUCUCUCUAUGAAUAAUAUUUCAAUCUUCUCUGAAUUAUUUUAUGUAUGAUUGGUUAUCUUUGCAAGUCUCCUCGAAUUAUCAGUUUGGUUUGGCCCACUAGAUUGAUCUUUCUUGCAAUGGGAGAAGUGCUUAGCUUUGGGUUCAAUCUUGCGGUGUCCUUUCCCAGUGACAGUAGGGGCAGCAAGGCACGUAUUGUAUUGUUGCCAUCAUGGACAACAAAAUGGGGUUUUCAUCAUAUUGCAUCAGUCUAGCCCUCUACAUCAUGUUAUCUUGCUUAAGGCGUUAAUUUGUUUUUAACUUAAUACUCUAGAUGCAUGCUGGAUAGCGGUCGAUGAGUGGAGUAAUAGUAGUAGAUGCAGGCAAGAGCGGUCUACUUGUCUCGGACAUGAUGCCUAUAUACAUGAUGAUACCUAGAUAUUCUCAUAACUAUGCUCAAUUCUGUCAAUUGCUGAACAGUAAUUUGUUCACCCACCGUAGAAUACUUAUGCUCUCGAGGGAAGCCACUAGUGAAACCUAUGGCCCCGGGUCUAUCUUUAUCAUAUUAAUCUUCUACUACUUAGUUAUUUCCUUUGCUUUUUACUUUUCCUUUAUUUUACUUUGCAUCUUUAUCACCAAAAUACCAAUAAAAUUAUCUUUAUCAUAUCUAUCAAAUCUCACUCUGGUAAGUGGCCGUGUAGGGAUUGACAACCCCUAUUCGUGUUGGUUGCGAGGAUUUAUUUGUUUUGUGCAGGUACGAGGGACUCGCGCGUAGCCUCCUACUGGAUUGAUACCUUGGUUCUCAAAACCUGAGGGAAAUACUUACGCUACUUUGCUGCAUCAUCCCUUCCUGUUCGGGGAAAACCAACGCAGUGCUCAAGAGGUAGCAAGGGUUCCUUUUUGUCGACGAUCCGAUGUUUCAACCUUGUUUUCCAGGCGGCCAACGCGUCGCUAAACUUGGGCAUGGCGUGUUUGUUUAUCUUCUUCAUUGCCACGUCCUUAUCUGGAUCAUUAUUAUCCUUUUCAUUGCAGUCAGGGAACAAGAAUAUCUGGUGCAGCUUCUUUAGGAGGGAGGGCCUCAUAUUAUCUAUCUUCUGUAGUUUCCCAUCGUUGAUCGUGGCAGUUGUCCGUACGAUGCAACCUAUUUGAUUGCCGUAGCACGAUCGCGCUUCCUCGGGCGCUAUUGUCUCAAAAAUACCGUUGUCCAUCUCCGUGACCACCAGUCUAGUACUCAUGAGCUGGUUUGGGUGCCGUGGCCUCUUUGCUUUCGGUUCUAGACCAGCUCCGCUAGUCUCGGCGCCGGUCUCAGUCUCAUCACCGGUCUGCAUGUCGGUAUCAGUCCCCGAUGCGACAGCACAGUCGCUGCAACAUGGGUAAGGGAGACCACAUCAGUGCUGGGGUGGUCUGAAAAUUGGGACACACUUUCGCGCAUUGCGGGCCGCCUCUCAGACAGCUACUGGGGAGGCGGCGGAGUACCUGGGUGCGCGACGAAUCCCCGGGAACUCGGUGACCAACUUCCUUCCCAUGUAGCGCAUGGAGACGAUGGCGACCCCGCCGAAGAGCAGCUUAGUUGCGAGCUGCACAGCCUCGUCCACCUCCUAAGUUGGGACCUCCGCGCGAGCGUUGCGGGGCCGCCGCUCGGAUGGCUUCUGGAAGGCGCUUGUACAUGGGCACAGGGUGAAUCCCGGCAAGAGCUGGCCAUUGGUGCGCGCAAGUAGACGACGACGUCGCCGACGAAGAGCAGCCCGGCCAGCUCGCCUCACUCUCCUUUGAUUAGAAUUGAAAGAUUGGGAAGAAGCAGACUUGAGCCUGCAGGGAAAGGAUAAGGUGACGAUGCAGUCUCCACUCGUUCGGGGCGACACGCGUACUGAAUGUAUGAGAAACGCGACGUGGCAGGGACCCCAAGAUACUCCCUCCAUUUAUUUUUAGUCUGCAUAUAAAGUUUGGUCAAAGUCAAGAUUUGUAAAUUUUAACUAACUUUAUAAUAAAAAAAAUCAACAUUCACAAUAUGAAAUAAUUAUUACCAGAUGCGUCAUGAAAUGUAUUUCCAUACUAUAUAGGUUUGGUAAUGUAGAUGUUCAUAUUCUUUUAUAUAAAUGGGAAGUAGAGGCACUCUUCCAUAUAAUGAAGUUUAUAAUAUAUGUGCUUAUAUUAUACUAUAAUUGUUUGAAUAACUUAGCAUAUGUUCAGAUGUAUGAUAUCUGUAAUUUAAGCGCUUGAAUUUUACAUAUAAAUAUUUAUUAAUAAAUAUGUACCCCUAUAAUAGCUAGGCCGUGCAGUUGCACGGGUAGAUGACUAGUGAUUACAAUCUUGUUUGUGUGCAAGUCAAGCUUAUCUAGUUUACACGUAACAACUUGUAGAACAUUACAAAAUUUAUGCUUGCUAAUAACUUCUAGAACACUACAACACUUGACAUGUAAAAGGAAUUUGACGAGUCAUGGCCUACUAAAGAAAGUUACAUUACUAGUCUUAUAUCUAUCUUAAUAGACCACACAAGACUACAAAUUAAGUACCGUGACAGCCAUGAUUAUCUAGUUUAUGCGUAACAAUUUGCAGAAAAUUACAAACUUAGUUUUAGAAAAAUAGGCAAUCCAGAUUAGUGUUUGAGCUGUAAAGUGAAUAAGAUGAGUCAUGCGUGUUAUCACACCUUUUUGGUGGUGGAAUGAUAGUGCAAAACAAGGAACUUUAAUGAACAGUCCAAUAAUACACUUGUAAGUAGUGCCACCAAACAGAACAUACCAAAUGAUGAUUUUGAGAAGCAUCCAAGCACUUUCCACACAAACAAAUGCCAAUUGUGAAAGAGAUCAUUCCAUGGCAGCUAUAAAUAGCCCCGUAGCAUGACGAUCAUCCUUCCUCAUCCAUCAUUCUCAUAAGUAGAGCGCAUCAUUUAAGCCAAGCAAGCUGUGGUCAAUACAAAUCCACCAUGAAGACAUUUCUCAUCCUUGCCCUCCUUGCUAUCGUGGCGACCACCGCCACAACUGCAGUUAGAGUUCCAGUGCCACAAUUGCAGCCACAAAAUCCAUCUCAGCAACAGUCACAAGAGCAAGUUCCAUUGGUACAACAACAACAAUUUCUAGGGCAGCAACAACCAUUUCCACCACAACAACCAUAUCCACAGCCGCAACCAUUUCCAUCACAACAACCAUAUCUGCAGCUGCAACCAUUUCCGCAGCCGCAACUACCAUAUUCGCAGCCACAACCAUUUCGACCACAACAACCAUAUCCACAACCGCAACCACAAUAUUCGCAACCACAACAUCCAAUUUCACAGCAGCAGCAGCAGCAACAACAACAACAACAACAAGAACAACAAAUACUUCAACAAAUUUUGCAACAACAACUGAUUCCAUGCAUGGAUGUUGUAUUGCAGCAACACAACAUAGCGCAUGGAAGAUCACAAGUUUUGCAACAAAGUACUUACCAGCUGUUGCAAGAAUUGUGUUGUCAGCACCUAUGGCAGAUCCCUGAGCAGUCGCAGUGCCAGGCCAUCCACAAUGUUGUUCAUGCUAUUAUUCUGCGUCAACAACAAAAACAACAACAACAACCAUCGAGCCAGGUCUCCUUCCAACAGCCUCAGCAACAAUAUCCAUUAGGCCAGGGCUCCUUCCGGCCAUCUCAGCAAAACCCACAGGCCCAGGGCUCUGUCCAGCCUCAACAACUGCCCCAGUUCGAGGAAAUAAGGAACCUAGCGCUACAGACGCUACCUGCAAUGUGCAAUGUCUACAUCCCUCCAUAUUGCACCAUCGCGCCAUUUGGCAUCUUUGGUACUAACUAAGAAGAAAAUAACUCUAGUACUAGAUAUAUGAAACACCGUUUUCUCAGUCCAUGGUUUGGUCGUUGUAGCGGUGAAAAAAUAAAGUGACAUGCACUAUCAUGUAAGAACCCAAACUAUACUAGUUCAAACUUGGGAAUAAAAGACAAACACAGGUCUUGUCUACAUAUUUAUGCUGCAUCUAUUUAUAUAUUAAAAGUAAUAUAAGGUGAACCAGGAGCAAGGUAAAUAUGGUAGAAAAUUGCACGUUAAUUAGAAAUUACUAGCCCUCGAUCUGGUAAAUCUUAACAAAUAUAAUUAUCUUGACCGUUAGAUUUAUGUAACAUAUAUAAUGCUCUAGGCCUCCAACGACUGUACGUGACACAUCUGAACGCAGAUAUGUUAAAGAAAAUAUAUUUGGUAAAUGGUGGGCCUCUUUAAAAAGAGAACUUACGUACAUACACCAACUAAGAAAAACACAUACAUGUAAACGGGAAAAGGAUGAGAUUUUCUCACAUACGUGUGUUGAUGCUUAAAAGUGGCAUGAUCAUAAAGCAGCAUGCCAGGGUGAAAACCUUGCCGGGGUAAAAUCUUGCCGGUGUGAAAGCUUGCCGGUGUGAAGGCUUGCCGGUGUGGAAAGCUUGCCGGCACAGAAAGAUCGCCGGUGCUUGCCGGUGUGAAAUCUUGCCGGGGGAGAAACCUUGUCAGGGAGGAACCCUUGCCGGAGUACAAACCUUGCCGUAGUGAAACCUUGCCGGUGUGAAAGCUUGCCGGGUAGAAACAUUGCCGGUGUGGAAAGCUUACUCGGAUGGAAAACUUGCCGGGUUGGAGGCUGUGAUAGUCAAUCGAACGAGAAGUUGAAGAUGGGCUCAAAAGGUUAUUCAGAUGAUCUCGGAUGGAAAAAUGAUCUACAGGGGUUGUCUUCGUCUCGUCGAAACGAUCGAUUUUGAUAUAAAAAUCAUUCAAAUCCGAGUUCGUAUGCAAAAUUUAGAGCAAUCGGAGUGCAGCCCUGUCACGAGGCGAGAUGUGGCGCGCCCCACCAAACACAUGUCUGACGGGUAGCGCGAGGAAAUAGCCUGUGUUGCGAGACCGAUCUGACCCUCAAGAUGAUCUCUGAUCCAAAAACCUUCAACAUGAAAGUUGUUCGUCUCAUCGAAACGGUCAAGAUUGCUUUUGGGCUUGUUUUCAUCCGGGAUCGUUUACCACCGCAAAAAAGACCCGCAAGGUGCAGCCAGUUUAAACCGAACAGUUUUGGAAAGUUUGGAUAAACCAGUCCGAAUUUGACUAGGGUUUUGGACGUGAAUUGAUGUAAUUUUCUUGUAAGGAAAGCCUAGAUAAAUUCUUUGCUUGUACGGGAAGUCCAGCUGCCUCUUAUAUAUGUUGGGGGUGACGGGCGAUUGAAACAACACACAAUCGAACAAACACAUCUACUACUUUUUCGUGUUCAUCUACUUUUUAUCUCUCCCUUGUAUCUUUCUUCUCGUUCUUCGCUAGUUCUUCUUGCUGGAGGCUGCGGAUCCACGAGGCUCUAGGGGCGAGCGAAUCGACCUAGGGCAGCCCUGACGGGGUCCCUCCCGGGUGCGCGGGGUUUCGGGUCUGCAAAAGCGCCCGCCGACUGUCUUGCGUAUCACGCUAUCGGUCGGGUCUCCUUCGACGUGAGCUGCGGUGCAUCACCCCCGGCAUCGAGGGUACACGUGACGUGUUCGUGUGCGAACACACUUUUUCGCGACUCCACUGGGGACGAAGCUUUGAAUAGUCUCCAGCCUGUUCUUGCUACGAGGAGAGCGUCAUCAAGCGACUGCAUUCUACAACGGUAACAUGUAUCAUCAAUCUCCUUGCGUAGAUGCAAAUAGCCAUUAUGUUGAUGUUGCUAGAUCUUUCAAUGGACAUGUGAUGUCGGCCAGCCCUAAUGAGGAAAGGCCGACUAGUUAUUCCAUUGGAGAAACUUGGAAUUUACAGAAUCGUGACAUGCAACUUAUGAAUCUGAACUUUCGUGCAUCGGCAACAACUUUCAAUAUGCCGGUGAACAACACGAUUUGUUCGAGUGAUCAAUAUAGGACACCUCAUGUAAAAGUUUUAUCCAUCGGCAGCCGACUCGCAAUAUGCUGGUUCAUCCCCAAACAUGCCGAUGAAUGGGGGAAUCAGCCAUGCUUCUGUUAGCUAUUUGGCCGGUUAUCCUCAAACAUCAUAUACUACACCUCAUCCGAUUAAUUGUUCAGUGGCAUAUGAAACUAAAAAUAUUAAUAACACGGCUCACGUUCACGGUCAUGGACGAGUGAAUGGGGAUACUAUAGGAGCAUAUGUGUGUGACGCCCCCAAUUUAAUCGUACACUAAUCAUACACGCAAACAUGUACGAUCAAGAUCAGGGACUCACGGGAAGAUAUCACAACACAACUCUACAAAUAAAAUAAGUCAUGCAAGCAUCAUAUUACAAGCCAGGGGCCUCGAAGGCUCGAAUACAAGAGCUCGAUCAUAGACGAGUCAGCGGAAGCAACAAUAUCUGAGUACAGACAUAAGUUAAACAAGUUUGCCUUAAGAAGGCUAGCACAAACUGGGAUACAGAUUGAAAGAGGCACAGGCCUCCUGCCUGGGAACCUCCUAACUACUCCUGGUCGUCGUUCUGAGGGCAGCACGUAGUAGUAGGCACCUCCAGCGUAGUAGGAGUCGUCGUCGACGAUGGCGUCUGGAUCCUGGGCUCCAGCAUCUGGUUGCGACAACCAGGUAGAAGGGAUAGAGGGAAAAGAAGGAGAAAGCAACCGUGAGUACUCAUCCAAAGUACUCGCAAGCAAGGAGCUACACUACAUAUGUAUGCGUUGGUAUCAACUGGAAUAAGGCUAUUAUAUGUGGACUGAACUGCAGAAAGCCGGAAUACGAGGGAGAUAGCUAGUCCUUUCGAAGACUACGCUUUUGGUAACCUCCAUCUUGCAGCAUGUAGAAGAGAGUAGACGGAAGUCCUCCAAGUAGCAUCGCAUAGCAUAAACCUAACCGAUGAUCCUCCCCUCGUCGCCCUGUGCGAGAGCGAUCACCGGUUGUAUCUGGCUCUUGGAAGGGUGUGUUUUAUUAAGUAUCCGGUUCUAGUUGUCAUAAGGUCAAGGUACAACUCCGGGUCGUCCUUUUAUCGAGGGACACGGCUAUUCGAAUAGAUAAACUUCCCUGCAGGGGUGCACCACAUAACCCAACACGCUCGAUCCCAUUUGGCCGGACACACUUUUCUGGGUCAUGCCCGGCCUCGGAAGAUCAACACGUCGUAGCCCUACCUAGGCACAACAGAGAGGUCAGCACGCCGGUCUAAAUCCUAUGGCGCAGGGGUCUGGGCCCAUCGCCCUUUGCACACCUGCACGUUGCGAACGCGGCCGGAAGCAGACCUAGCCUAGUGGCGUUCCAGUCCAAUCCGGCGCGCGCCACUCAGUCACUGAUGUCACGAAGGCUUCGGCUGAUACCACGACGUCGAGUGGCCAUAACUGUCCCCGCAUAGAUGGUUAGUGCGUAUAAGCCAGAUGGCCAGACUCAGAUCAAAUACCCAGAUCUCGUUAAGCGUGUUAUGUAUCCGCGAACACCGACCAGGGCCAGGACCACCUCUCUCCUACGUGGUCUGAACCUGCCCUGUCGCUCCGCCACAAAGUAACAGUCGGGGGCCGUCGGGAACCCAGGCCCACCUCUACCGGGAUGGAGCCACCUACCCCUUCAGCCCCAACUACGAACAGUACCACAGGUAAUGUAACAGUGUAAAGUAUAUAGUAAAUGCCCGUGAUCACCUCCCGAAGUGAUCACGGCCCAGUAGUAUAGCAUGGCAGACGGACAAGAGAGUAGGGCCACUGAUGGAACACUAGCAUCCUAUACUAAGCAGUAGGAUAGCAGGUAAUGGUAACAAUAGUAGUAGCAAGGACAGGCUAUGCAUCAGGAUAGGAAUAACGGAAAGCAGUAACAUGCUACACUACUUUAAUGCAAGCAGUAUAGAGAAGAGUAGGCGAUAUCUGGUGAUCAAAGGGGGGGCUUGCCUGGUUGCUAUGGCAAGAGAGAGCGGUCGUCAACACCGUAGUCGUACUGUGUAGCAGCGCCGUCAGUCUCGGUGUCUAGCGAGAGAAGAGGGGGAGGAAACAAUAAAUAUAAUGCAAACAAAUGCAUGAUGAUGCAUGACACGACAAAGCGUGAUGCUAGGUGUGCCCUAACGCGGUACGAGGUGGUACCGGUGAAGGGGGGAAACAUCCGGGAAAGUAUUCCCGGUGUUUCGCGUUUUCGGACAGAGGAGUCAGAGGGGGAAAGUUGCGUGUUCGGUAUGCUAGGGAGGCGUGGUGGACGAACGGGUUGUCUAUCCGAGUUCGUCUCGUCGUUCUGAGCAACUUUCAUGUUGAAAAUAAUUUAAUCCGAGUUACGUAUUAAAAGAUAUGGUUUUCUAAAGAUUUUACUAAUUUCUGGAAUUUAAUUAAUUAUUUAAUUUAAUUUGAAAUUUGGAUUUAUGACAUCAGCAUGAUGUCAUGCUGACAUCAGCAGUCAACAUGGGUUGACUAGGUCAACUGAUGCGUGGGUCCAGUGGGACCCACCUGUCAUACUAUAUUAGGUUAAUUAGGGUUUAGUUAAUUGAUUAGGCUAAUCUAAUCAGGAUUACUUUGUUUAAUUAAUUCUUUAAUUAAUUAAUUAUCAUUUUAACUAAUUUUAAUUAUUAUUUAUUAAUUCAUUCAUUUUUUUAAAUUAUUAUUUUUAUUUCGUUCUCGUUUCAGGGGGGCGUGGGGCCCCGCACACAGGGCCACCGCGAGGCUGUUGCCAGCGGGCGCUGGGGCGAUGGGUGCGGGCGCACCCGAGCGGGCACUCGCCCGCAGGGCGGGAUGAGCCGCCGGCGGGCAGCGACAGGCGCGUGCCAACCGGGCGGUGGCCGCGGCUGAUAGGGCGCAGGAAGGGGAGAGGCGAGAACGCGACGCACGGGGAAGCAGCAUCAGGGGCGAGGAGCACCACGGGACGAAGCGCAGCGGGCGCCGGUCNNNNNNNNNNNNNNNNNNNNNNNNNNNNNNNNNNNNNNNNNNNNNNNNNNNNNNNNNNNNNNNNNNNNNNNNNNNNNNNNNNNNNNNNNNNNNNNNNNNNNNNNNNNNNNNNNNNNNNNNNNNNNNNNNNNNNNNNNNNNNNNNNNNNNNNNNNNNNNNNNNNNNNNNNNNNNNNNNNNNNNNNNNNNNNNNNNNNNNNNNNNNNNNNNNNNNNNNNNNNNNNNNNNNNNNNNNNNNNNNNNNNNNNNNNNNNNNNNNNNNNNNNNNNNNNNNNNNNNNNNNNNNNNNNNNNNNNNNNNNNNNNNNNNNNNNNNNNNNNNNNNNNNNNNNNNNNNNNNNNNNNNNNNNNNNNNNNNNNNNNNNNNNNNNNNNNNNNNNNNNNNNNNNNNNNNNNNNNNNNNNNNNNNNNNNNNNNNNNNNNNNNNNNNNNNNNNNNNNNNNNNNNNNNNNNNNNNNNNNNNNNNNNNNNNNNNNNNNNNNNNNNNNNNNNNNNNNNNNNNNNNNNNNNNNNNNNNNNNNNNNNNNNNNNNNNNNNNNNNNNNNNNNNNNNNNNNNNNNNNNNNNNNNNNNNNNNNNNNNNNNNNNNNNNNNNNNNNNNNNNNNNNNNNNNNNNNNNNNNNNNNGGCCUGGGGUUUGUCCUAGCUAGCAGCUGGGCCGAGUGGCCCAGUGGGGGGGGGGUUGUUUUAUUCCUUUCCCUUUUAUACCUUUUCACACUUUUCUUCUUUUGUUUUAUUUUAGUUACACAUUAAUUUUAAUUUUUGACAAAUAUAUCUAUAGCCCCUAAAAUAAUGUUUCAGAACAAUCCACUACUAUAGAAAGUUUUACCCUGAUAAAAUAGUCUAGUAUUUUAUAAAAUACCAAACUCGUUUAAAUAGUUGUUUAGCUACUAUUUAAAUCAUUUUAGUGCUUUAAAUCUUUUUACUAAAAUGUGGUUCCUCCACCAUUUGGACUUAGGAUUUAUUUGUCCCAUUUUGAACAUUUUAGUCUUAACGUUUGAAGAAUUUACCGUUUGACUCGAUUUUGAAUUUGAAUUUGAAUCGGUGUCGAACUAACACGAGAUUAGCAACAGUAACCAUCGUGACGUGGCAUCAUUAACAGAGGUUUACUGUAUAUCAAAUACCCGGGCGUCACAAUUCUCCUCCACUACAAGAAAUCUCGUCCCGAGAUUUAAGAGGGGAGUAUGGGGGAAAGAUCUGGUUACGAAAUUCUAACGAGUCUUCUCGGUCUUGCUUGCUCUUGUCGAAAUGGUCGAUCCAUUAUGUUGAUGUUUUCAUUUCUCUGCUUCAGGUCAUCAUGGUGAAGUCGUCCUUUUCUUCGGGAACUCCAACGUGCUUACGAAUAGGUAAGGGGCAGCUUGGCUACGACAGAAUGCUUAUGAGGGAAACAAUCUGGUGAUAACCCAUGAAUGAACAUAAGAUUAUCUCUCGAGUUGAACAUAUAAAAUACAUCAAGAGUAAGGUACGAAGGUACCAUGAGAAGUUUCAAACGGAUAGGCAAUCGUUCGAUGUCUGAAACAACACGCGAAAGGGGUCCAGAGCAACGAGAUUGAGUAUUGCGUCUGUUACCAGAAUAGAUCACUAGGACGGUGGUCUGUGAAUUACAUACAAGGUCACGCACGAGGAAUAACUUUAGGAACAGGGGGUGUACAGGAGAGUCAGGUUCGAUCCUGUGGAACUGUGGGUUAUGGGCCCACCAUGUGGGUUAAAGUAGGAAGGGCAGUGACGUCUUGCAAGAUCAUGUAAGCAAGGCAUGUCAGAGGAUAGCCUGUCAGCUAUGUCGACGACAACAUCGAUACCAAGGGCGAGGGACGAAGAGAACCAUUUUCCUGCUCGUUGAACGAGGCGGACCAAUAAGAAAAGUUCUCGUCCAUCAGUGGUUACCAGAAUGUCAUCAACAAAGGUAAUAGGGUCUUUCUGACAGAGUGGUACAACGAGGUGACUGCUUAUAUAAUAUAGAUUACAAGAAGGUUUAAACAGAACAAUGGAAAGGAAAAUGUGUGUAAACACACAUUUCAAGGGUAUAUCCUUCCCAAGGACAAGCAAAGCAAGAUAUCCAUGAAAGGAUAUAAUGUAGAAAACUCUUUAGGUAAGGUGAGAGAAAUUUCAUGACAUUACCCAUACAAUGGUGUUUGGAUAAAUGAGCGAGAAACAUUUAGCAUUGGGCUUCAAAUGUUCUUUGUGGAAAAUUGGAGUACCACAGACAUGCUUCGAGAUAGCGUUGGCGUGGUAUUCAAGCAAAGGUCAGACUUAGGAUGCACAAAGGAUUCAUCAGGAACAACUUAUAGAAUAAGUCUUACCAUUUCUCAAGGAAGAAUAGAUAACCUUGCUAAAAAGAAAAACUAUAACAUUAGGUCCUCCGACCAGGUGGGCUAGGCAUGCUAUCACCUUACUGGGUUAUAUUGAUAACAAUGUUAUAACUCUUGGAAAUAUGUCUCAACCAUCAUAUCUGACCGAGAUUCAGAUCCGAUUGGUGUCAGGAUACAUCAGACAUCAGGAUGCCUGAGAAGAGAAGGUGCAACACAAUUUAACGAGAUGACACUGCGAGAAUCUCAGAAAUGAUCUAUGGAAGCGAGUUCCGAAGCAAGAGUUCAUCAUUAAACCAAGGAGAGGAUGAGGGGUGGCUGAUGAACUAACGGCAAUUCAUCGAGAUUUCCAAAAGAUGGAUUUCCACAAUCAUGUGAACAAAGAGUUAACAUUUGUCAGAUCAAACAAUAUAAUGAGGUGUGCUCGAGGAAAACAUACUCAAUUAAACAUUGGUGGAAAGCUGCACCCAAAAUAUGGGCUUAGGUAGCCUGAUCAAUGUUGGAACGGUGAUUCGAUAACCAAUAUUCUAAGAAUGAAAGGUCGACCAUUAACUUCAAAGCAAUAUGGUUGCUAGAAGUACAGAAUCCAAGCAACAACGUUCACCUGUUGGUAUCCCGGUUAGAAUCAACACGGGAACCAAGAAAGAAUGAUGAUGGUGAGGAGUAUCGCUAUACCAAGAAUUCUCAAGAGGUGGAGCAAUCCUCACAACAUACAUGUCAUCAAGGACAUUGAUACUUCAAGGUAGAAUAUCAUAAAAGCUAGAUAGCAAGUUGCAUCCAUAACAUGGACAAGUUUGUGUUGGGGGAAGGCAAGAAAGUGAUCGAUGAUAACACAAAUCAUCGAGGGCAAGGAUGGUACUUUUCAUUAUGAAUUCGAUUGAUAUCCUGCAAGAGCUCAAGAUGUGGGUGCUGAUGACGACACAUUUGUCGAGAGAUUUCAUGAAGAUGUAGUCUAUCGGCGAUGACAUCAAGUCAAAGGAAUUAUGAAGCAAAAGGUUAUCGGAACCAUGGGUACGACACAAACUCAAAAUCAAGCUUGUUGUUCAAGGUGAAAGAUAUGACGAGAAAGAUCAACGUAAGCUUAGCUCAUCGUUGAAAGUUGUGUUCCGGGAAGAAGGACCAGGUAGCACAGUUAAAAUUUAGCACGGUAAUGAUAUAGCCAACCGGGCUAGGAAUGACUUGAAGGAUUAUUAAACUCAUAAGCAGUAAAAAUUACUUAUAGUUAUUGAAUCGAAGUACAGACUCGAUUCACUGUCGGUGUCCUUGAGUGUCUAACAACUCAGAACCCGGGGAAAAUUUUGGAACCAGUGAGAAAUAAUACUUGAAGAAUAACUCAUAAGAAGUUAUGCAGUUCCAUGAUAAUCUCGAGAUACCAGGGGGUAAUACUCGACGACAGAUCAAAGUAGAGGUUGGACUAGGGAUUGCUCUGUAGAAGACAAGUGCUCAAACUUGCACGAGAAAUGGAAUCAAGGAGAAACAUGGUCGAAACCUCGUCCACAGGUACAAGAUGAACUUAUAACAAGUGGACAAUUAUUUUAAGAGAAGCUUCCAUGAUAAGGUAUACAUCGUGUCCAUGGGCAUGAACACAGGGUUCAAGGUCGACUCCCACUUAUUCAACACAUAACCUUUCAUGCACCUCUCGUAUUUCAAAAAUGACAUUAGUUCUUGAAAGUUUUUACCUGGUGCAAUACCAGAUACAUAUUACCCGUGAAAUCUUUCGGGUUCACACGGAUUAGGCAAGGCGUAGGUUCAACCCAUCAGGGCAUCUUAGGAACAUAUACCACAAACUUCGGAGUAAAUAAUACAAGCUUGAAAGUAGAGCAUGGUUGACAAAAGGGGAGGAUACAAUUUACCACAGGCAUUAUGUAUCGGAGAAAGAACUCACAAGGUGAUUAAUUUUGAAGGACACUGUCGGAUAAUAAUCCAACAGUGGAAUUGGCGAUCCACAAUGGAGCUGAUGUGAGUAUCGAUACCCAAUCAGAGGAAGAAAGAAUGCAAAUGCAUCGGUUUAUAGAACAUCUGAAUAAUUCAACGUUUAAAUAGCAAAGGAAUUAUGAUUUUCAAAUCAAGGGAUCGGGAGCAAAUGCUCUGAUUAGGGAUGGGUAAGUAGAAUAGCCUUAGGGGUACAUGCGACGACAUUUGGAUUUGUUGAGAACCAGCUCAUGUUUAAAAUGACGUCUGAGCCGGAAUGAUAAUUUAAAAGGAUCAACUGAUGAUUGCGUGCAUUCGCACUCAUGUUGAGUCAAUAGGAUCAAAAAGACGAUGCCUAAGGAUACUAACGAAUAUUUCCAGACAUAUGGAAAGCAUCCAUAAUGCAAGCAGGCAAGUAUUGCAGAGCAAUAAGCUACUAAGGAUUUUUGGAGGAUCGAAUAGUAUUUUGAAGACCAUUGUGAAACACAUGAACAACUGGGGAUGAGUGGAUACUCGACAAGUGCGAGGAUUUAAUUGAAGGGGUAUUCAUGUGGCAAGGAACUGCUAGGCAGUAGGCACAAAGUAUUCUCGGAACAAUAGAGAGAAUUUUGGGGCAUCUUGUAAUAACAAGAUCAAUGAGGAAUGAUUAUAUGAAUAGCACAUGUAGGUGGUUAUCCAUAGAGGUCUAUCGAUAGAAGGGAAUUGCAAAAGCAACAGGCACAAGGUCUCGACAGAAUAUCGGAGAGUAUCUUCGAAAUCUUCUAGUGUAGUCGGCGAUCAUCUGGAUUGAAAGGGCUCUCCGGGAGAAAGUAUUUUCGAGAACCUAAGUUAGAUUUUUAGUAAAUUCAUUAAACCCGAAUAGGAGGGAGUUCAGAGUCCCAGAGCAUAGACGAGGAAUAAAAGAUCCUAAUACCACCCAAUGGCGACGUGGGCCCAUAGGCCACACAGCCAUGUUAGUAAAGGUUUUGCAAUGACUAGACUCAACUUCGGCCAAGGAGGUGGAAAGGGGAUUCCUACAGGCAGUCGGCUCUGAUACCAACUUGUGACACCCCCGAUUUAAUCGUACACUAAUCAUACACGCAAACGUGUACGAUCAAGAUCAGGGACUCACGGGAAGAUAUCACAACACAACUCUACAAAUAAAAUAAGUCAUACAAGCAUCAUAUUACAAGCCAGGCGCCUCGAAGGCUCGAAUACAAGAGCUCGAUCAUAGACGAGUCAGCGGAAGCAACAAUAUCUGAGUACAGACAUAAGUUAAACAAGUUUGCCUUAAGAAGGCUAGCACAAACUGGGAUACAGAUCGAAAGAGGCGCAUGCCUCCUGCCUGGGAUCCUCCUAACUACUCCUGGUCGUCGUUCUGAGGGCAGCACAUAGUAGUAGGCACCUCCAGUGUAGUAGGAGUCGUCGUCGACGAUGGCGUCUGGAUCCUGGGCUCCAGCAUCUGGUUGCGACAACCAGGUAGAAGGGAUAGAGGGAAAAGAAGGAGAAAGCAACCGUCAGUACUCAUCCAAAGUACUCGCAAGCAAGGAGCUACACUACAUAUGUAUGCGUUGGUAUCAACUGGAAUAAGGCUAUUAUAUGUGGAUUGAACUGCAGAAAGCCGGAAUACGAGGGGGAUAGCUAGUCCUUUCGAAGACUACGCUUCCGGUAACCUCCAGCUUGCAGCAUGUAGAAGAGAGUAGACGGAAGUCCUCCAAGUAGCAUCGCAUAGCAUAAACCUAACCGAUGAUCCUCCCCUCGUCGCCCUAUGAGAGAGCGAUCACCGGUUUUAUCUGGCUCUUGGAAGGGUGUGUUUUAUUACGGUUCUAGUUGUCAUAAGGUCAAGGUACAACUCCGGGUCGUCCUUUUACCGAGGGACACGGCUAUUCGAAUAGAUAAACUUCCCUGCAGGGGUGCACCACAUAACCCAACACGCUCGAUCCCAUUUGGCCGAACACACUUUUCUAGGUCAUGCCCGUCCUCGGAAGAUCAACACGUCGCAGCCCUACCUAGGCACAACAGAGAGGUCAGCACGCCGGUCUAAAUCCUAUGGCGCAGGGGUCUGGCCCCAUCGCCCUUUGCACACCUGCAUGUUGCGGACGCGGCCGGAAGCAGACCUAGCCUAGUGGCGUUCUAGUCCAAUCCGGCGCGCGCCACUCAGUCGCUGACGUCACGAAGGCUUCGGCUGAUACCACGACGUUGAGUGCCCAUAACUGUCCCCACGUAGAUGGUUAGUGCGUAUAAGCCAGAUGGCCAGACUCAGAUCAAAUACCCAGAUCUCGUUAAGCGUGUUAAGUAUCUGCGAACGCCGACCAGGGCCAGGCCCACCUCUCUCCUAGGUGGUCUGAACCUGCCCGGUCGCUUCGCCACAAAGUAACAGUCGGGGGCCGUCGGGAACCCAGGCCCACCUCUACCGGGAUGGAGCCACCUGCCCCUUUAGCCCCCAACUCCGAACAGUACCAUAGGUAAUGUAACAGUGUAAAGUAUAUAGUAAAUGCCCGUGAUCACCUCCCGAAGUGAUCACGGCCCAGUAGUAUAGCAUGGCAGACGGACAAGAGUGUAGGGCCACUAAUGGAACACUAGCAUCCUAUACUAAGCAGUAGGAUAGCAGGUAAUGGUAAUAAUAUUAGUAGCAAGGACAGGCUAUGCAUCAGGAUAGGAAUAACGGAAAGCAGUAACAUGCUACACUACUCUAAUGCAAGCAGUAUAGAGAAGAGUAGGCGAUAUCUGGUGAUCAAAGGGGGGGCUUGCCUGGUUGCUCUGGCAAGAGAGAGGGGUCGUCAACACCGUAGUCGUACUGUGUAGCAGCAACGUCGGUCUCGGUGUCUAGCGAGAGAAGAGGGGGAGGAAACAAUAAAUAUAAUGCAAACAAAUGCAUGACGAUGCAUGACACGACAAAGCGUGAUGCUAGGUGUGCCCUAACGUGGUACGAGGUGGUACCGGUGAAGGGGGGAAACAUCCGAGAAAGUAUUCCCGGUGUUUCACAUUUACGGACAGAGGAGUCAGAGGGGGAAAGUUGCGUGUUCGGUAUGCUAGGGAGGCGUGGUGGACGAACGAGUUGCGUAUCCGGGUUCGUCUCGUCGUUCUGAGCAACUUUCAUGUUGAAAAUAAUUUAAUCCGAGUUACGUAUUAAAAGAUAUGGUUUUCUAAAGAUUUUACUAAUUUCUGGAAUUUAAUUAAUUAUUUAAUUUAAUUUGAAAUAUGGAUUUAUGACAUCAGCAUGAUGUCAUGCUGACAUCAGCAGUCAACAUGGGUUGACUGGGUCAACUGACGCGUGGGUCCAGUGGGACCCAUGAAGGAAAUAUGCCCUAGAGGCAAUAAUAAAGUUAUUAUUUAUUUCCUUAUAUCAUGAUAAGAGUUUAUUAUUCAUGCUAGAAUUGUAUUAACCGGAAACAUAAUACAUGUGUGAAUACAUAGACCAACAGAGUGUCACUAGUAUGCCUCUACUUGACUAGCUCGUUAAUCAAAGAUGGUUAUGUUUCCUAACCAUGAACAAAGAGUUGUUAUUUGUUUAACGAGGUCACAUCAUUAGUAGAAUGAUCUGAUUGACAUGACCCAAUCCAUUAGCUUAGCACCCGAUCGUUUAGUAAGUUGCUAUUGCUUUCUUCAUGACUUAUACAUGUUCCUAUAACUAUGAGAUUAUGCAACUCCCGUUUACCGGAGGAACACUUUGGGUACUACCAAACGUCACAACGUAACUGGGUGAUUAUAAAGGAGUAUUACAGGUGUCUCCAAUGGUAGAUGUUGGGUUGGCGUAUUUCGAGAUUAGGGUUUGUCACUCCGAUUGACGGAGAGGUAUCUCUGGGCCCUCUCGGUAAUACACAUCACAUAAGCCUUGCAAGCACUGCAACUAAUAAGUUAGUUGUGAGAUGAUGUAUUACGGAACGAGUAAAGAGACUUGCCGGUAACGAGAUUGAACUAGGUAUUGGAUACCGACGAUCGAAUCUCGGGCAAGUAACAUACCGAUGACAAAGGGAACAACGUAUGUUGUUAUGCGGUCUGACCGAUAAAGAUCUUUGUAGAAUAUGUAGGAGCCAAUAUGGGCAUCCAGGUCCCGCUAUUGGUUAUUGACCGGAAGCGUGUCUCGGUCAUGUCUACAUUGUUCUCGAACCGUAGGGUCCGCACGCUUAACGUUACGAUGACAGUUAUUAUGAGUUUAUGCAUUUUGAUGUACCGAAGGUUGUUCGGAGUCCCGGAUGAGAUCACGGACAUGACGAGGAGUCUCGAAAUGGUCGAGACGUAAAGAUUGAUAUAUUGGAAGCCUAUGUUUGGGCACCGGAAGCGUUCCGGGUGAAAUCGGGAUUUUACCGGAAUACCGGGAGGGUUACCGGAACCCCCCGGGAGACUAAUGGGCCUAUUGGGCCUUAGUGGAAAAGAGAAAAGGGAAGCCCACUAGCUGGCCAGCGCCCCCCUAGAGUCCUAUUAGGAAUAGGACAAGGGGCCGGCCCCCCUUCUCUCUCUUUUUCCCCGGGAGUCCUAAUAGGAUUAGGAUUAGGGGGAGGAGUCCUACUCCCGGUGGGAGUAGGACUCCCCUGCGCCUCCUCUCUCCUAGCCGGCCGAACCCCCUGCCCCUGGCCUUUUAUAUACGGGGGCAGGGGGCACCCCAAGACACACAACUUGAUCCUUGAGAUCGUUCCUUAGCCGUGUGCGGUGCCCCCUGCCACCAAAUUCCACCUCGAUCGUACCGUUGUAGUGCUUAGGCGAAGCCCUGCGUCAGUAGUACAUCAAGAUCGUCAACACGCCAUCGUGCUGACGGAACUCUUCCUCGACGCUUUGCUGGAUCGGAGCCCGAGGAACGUCAUCGAGCUGAACGUGUGCUAAGAACUCGGAGGUACCGGAGUAACGGUGCUUGGAUCGGUCGGAUCGGGAAGAAGACGUACGACUACUUCCUCUACGUUGUGUGAUCGCUUCCGCAGUCGGUCUGCGUUGGUACGUAGACAACACUCUCCUCUCUCGUUGCUGUGCAUCACCAUGAUCUUGCGUGUGCGUAGGAAAAUUUUUGAAAUUACUGCGUUACCGAACAGUGGCAUCUGAGCCUGGUUUUAUGGUUUGAUGUUAUAUGCACGAGUAGAACACAAGUGAGUUGUGGGCGAUACAAGUCAGACUGCCUACCAGCAUGUCAUACUUUGGUUCGGCGGUAUUGUUGGUUGAGACGAUCCGGACCAACCUUACGCGUACUCUUACGCGAGACCGGUUCCCUCGACGUGCUUUGCACAUAGAUGGCUUGCGGAAGACUGUCUCUCCAACUUUAGUUGAACCAAGUGUGACUACGCCCGGUCCUUGAGAAGGUUAAAACAGAGUCUAUUUGACGAACUAUCGUUGUGGUUUUGAUGCGUAGGUGAGAUGAGUUCUUACUUAAGCCCGUAGCAGCCACGUAAAACUUGCAACAACAAAGUAGAGGACGUCUAACUUGUUUUUGCAGUGUAUGUUGUGAUGUGAUAUGGUCAAGGCAUGAUGCUGAUUUUAUUGUAUGAGAUGAUCAUGUUUUGUAACUAAGUUAUCGGCAACUGGCAGGAGCCAUAUGGUUGUCGCUUUAUUGUAUGCAAUGCAAUCGCGAUGUAAUGCUUUACUAGAUUACUAAACGGUAGUAAUAGUCGUGGAAGCAUAAGAUUGGCAAGACGACAACGAUGCUACGAUGGAGAUCAAAGUGUCGCGCCGGUGACGAUGGUGAUCAUGACGGUGCUUCGGAGAUGGAGAUCACAAGCACAAGAUGAUGAUGGCCAUAUCAUAUCACUUAUAUUGAUUGCAUGUGAUGUUUAUCCUUUUAUGCAUCUUAUCUUGCUUUGAUUGACGGUAGCAUUAUAAGAUGAUCUCUCACUAAAUUAUCAAGAAGUGUUCUCCCUGAGUAUGCACCGUUGCCAAAGUUCGUCGUGCCCAGACACCACGUGAUGAUCGGGUGUGAUAAGCUCUACGUCCAUCUACAACGGGUGCAAGCCAGUUUUGCACACGCAGAAUACUCAGGUUAUACUUGACGAGCCUAGCAUAUGCAGAUAUGGCCUCGGAACACAGAGACCGAAAGGUCGAGCGUGAAUCAUAUAGUAGAUAUGAUCAACAUAACGAUGUUCACCAUUGAAAACUACUCCAUCUCACGUGAUGAUCGGUUAUGGUUUAGUUGCUUUGGAUCACGUGAUCACUUAGAAGAUUAGAGGGAUGUCUAGCUAAGUGGGAGUUCCUAAGUAAUUUGAUUAACUGAACUUAAACUUAUCAUGAACUUAGUACCUGAUAGUAUCUUGCUUGUUUAUGUUGCUUGUAGAUAGAUGGCUCGUGCUAUUGUUCCGUUGAAUUUUAAUGCGUUCCUUGAGAAAGCAAAGUUGAAAGAUGAUGGUAGCAAUUACACGGACUGGGUCUGUAACCUGAGGAUUAUCCUCAUUGCUGCACAGAAGAAUUACGUCCUGGAAGCACCGCUGGGUGACAGGCCUGCUGCUGGAGCAACGCCAGAUGUUAUGAACGUCUGGCAGAGCAAAGCUGAUGACUACUCGAUAGUUCAGUGUGCCAUGCUUUACGGCUUAGAAUCGGGACUUCAACGACGUUUUGAACGUCAUGGAGCAUAUGAGAUGUUCCAGGAGUUGAAGUUAAUAUUUCAAGCAAAUGCCCGAAUUGAGAGAUAUGAAGUCUCCAAUAAGUUCUAUAGCUGUAAGAUGGAGGAGAACAGUUCUGUCAGUGAGCAUAUACUCAAAAUGUCUGGGUAUAAUAAUCACUUGAUUCAGAUGGGAGUUAAUCUUCCAGAUGAUUGCAUCAUUGACAGAAUUCUCCAAUCACUACCACCAAGCUACAAGAGCUUCGUGAUGAACUAUAAUAUGCAAGGGAUGAACAAGACUAUUCCCGAGCUCUUCGCAAUGCUGAAAGCUGCGGAGGUAGAAAUCAAAAAGGAGCAUCAAGUGUUGAUGGUUAGCAAGACCACUAGUUUCAAGAAAAAGGGUAAAGGGAAGAAGAAGGGAAACUUCAAGAAGAACAGCAAGCAAGUUGCUGCUCAAGAGAAGAAACCCAAGUCUGGACCUAAGCCUGAAGCUGAGUGCUUCUACUGCAAGCAGACUGGUCACUGGAAGCGGAACUGCCCCAAGUAUUUGGCGGAUAAGAAGGAUGGCAAAGUGAGCAAAGGUAUAUGUGAUAUACAUGUUAUUGAUGUGUACCUUACUAGAGCUCGCAGUAGCACCUGGGUAUUUGAUACUGGUUCUGUUGCUAAUAUUUGCAACUCGAAACAGGGACUACGGAAUAAGCGGACACUAGCAAAGGACGAGGUGACGAUGCGCGUGGGAAACGGUUCCAAAGUCGAUGUGAUCGCGGUCGGCACGCUGCCUCUACAUCUACCUUCGGGAUUAAUAUUAGACCUAAAUAAUUGUUAUUUGGUGCCAGCGUUGAGCAUGAACAUUAUAUCUGGAUCUUGUUUAAUGCGAGACGGUUAUUCAUUUAAAUCAGAGAAUAAUGGUUGUUCUAUUUAUAUGAAUAAUAUCUUUUAUGGUCAUGCACCUUUGAAGAGUGGUCUAUUCUUGUUGAAUCUCGAAGAUAGUGAUACACAUAUUCAUAAUGUAGAAGCCAAAAGAUGCAAAGUUAAUAAUGAUAGUGCAACUUAUUUGUGGCACUGCCGUUUAGGUCAUAUCGGUGUAAAGCGCAUGAAGAAACUCCAUACUGAUGGGCUUUUGGAAUCACUUGAUUAUGAAUCACUUGGUACUUGCGAACCGUGCCUCAUAGGCAAGAUGACUAAAACACCGUUCUCCGGUACUAUGGAGAGAGCAACAGAUUUGUUGGAAAUCAUACAUACCGAUGUAUGUGGUCCGAUGAAUAUUGAGGCUCGCGGCGGAUAUCGUUAUUUUUCACCUUCACAGAUGAUUUAAGCAGAUAUGGGUAUAUCUACUUAAUGAAACACAAGUCUGAAACAUUUGAAAAGUUCAAGGAAUUUCAGAGUGAAGUUGAAAAUCAUCGUAACAAGAAAAUAAAAUUUCUACGAUCUGAUCGUGGAGGAGAAUAUUUGAGUUACGAGUUUGGUGUACAUUUGAAAAAUUGUGGAAUAGUUUCGCAACUCACGCCACCCGGAACACCACAGCGUAAUGGUGUGUCCGAACGUCGUAAUCGUACUUUACUAGAUAUGGUGCGAUCAAUGAUGUCUCUUACUGAUUUACCGCUAUCGUUUUGGGGUUAUGCUUUAGAGACGGCCGCAUUCACGUUAAAUAGGGCACCAUCAAAAUCCGUUGAGACGACGCCUUAUGAACUAUGGUUUGGCAAGAAACCAAAGUUGUCGUUUCUCAAAGUUUGGGGCUGCGAUGCUUAUGUGAAAAAGCUUCAACCUGAUAAGCUCGAACCCAAAGCGGAGAAAUGUGUCUUCAUAGGAUACCCAAAGGAAACUGUUGGGUAUACCUUCUAUCACAGAUCCGAAGGCAAGACAUUCGUUGCUAAGAAUGGAUCAUUUCUAGAGAAGGAGUUUCUCUCGAAAGAAGUGAGUGGGAGGAAAGUAGAACUUGACGAGGUAACUAUACCUGCUCCCUUAUUGGAAAGUAGUACAUCACAGAAAACUGUUUCUGCGACACCUAUACCAAUCAGUGAGAAAGCUAAUGAUGAUGAUCAUGAAGCUUCAGAACAAGAUACUACUGAACCACGUAGAUCAACCAGAGUGAGAUCCGCACCAGAGUGGUACGGUAAUCCACUUCUGGAAGUCAUGAUGCUAGAUCAUGAUGAACCUACGAACUAUGAAGAAGCGAUGGUGAGCCCAGAUUCCGCAAAGUGGCUUGAGGCCAUGAAAUCUGAGAUGGGAUCCAUGUAUGAGAACAAAGUAUGGACUUUGGUUGACUUGCCCGAUGAUCGGCAAGCAAUUGAGAAUAAAUGGAUCUUCAAGAAAAAGACUGACGCUGACGGUAAUGUUACUGUCUAUAAAGCUCGACUUGUCGCAAAAGGUUUUCGACAAGUUCAAGGGGUUGACUACGAUGAGACUUUCUCACCCGUAGCGAUGCUUAAAUCCGUCAGAAUUAUGUUAGCAAUUGCCGCAUUUUAUAAUUAUGAAAUAUGGCAGAUGGAUGUCAAAGCUGCAUUCCUGAAUGGAUUUCUGGAAGAAGAGUUGUAUAUGGUACAACCAGAAGGUUUUGUCGAUCCAAAAGGAGCUAACAAAGUAUGCAAACUCCAGCGAUCCAUUUAUGGACUGGUGCAAGCAUCUCGGAGUUGGAAUAAACGCUUUGAUAGUGUGAUCAAAGCAUUUGGCUUUAUACAGACUUUUGGAGAAGCCUGUAUUUACAAGAAAGUGAGUGGGAGCUCUGUAGCAUUUCUGAUAUUAUAUGUGGAUGACAUAUUGCUGAUUGGAAAUGAUAUAGAAUUUUUGGAUAGCAUAAAGGGAUACUUGAAUAAAAGUUUUUCGAUGAAAGACCUUGGGGAAGCUGCUUACAUAUUAGGCAUAAAGAUCUAUAGAGAUAGAUCAAAACGCUUAAUUGGACUUUCACAGAGCACAUACCUUGACAAGAUUUUGAAGAAAUUCAAAAUGGAUCAAGCAAAGAAAGGGUUCUUGCCUGUGUUACAAGGUGUGAAGUUGAGUAAGACUCAAUGCCCGACCACUGCAGAAGAUAGAGAGAAAAUGAAAGAUGUUACCUAUGCUUCAGCCAUAGGCUCUAUCAUGUAUGCAAUGCUGUGUACCAGACCUGAUGUGUGCCUUGCUAUAAGUUUAGCAGGGAGGUACCAAAGUAAUCCUGGAAUGGAUCACUGGACAGCGGUCAAGAACAUCCUAAAAUACCUGAAAAGGACUAAGGAUAUGUUUCUCGUAUAUGGAGGUGACAAAGAGCUCACCGUAAGAGGUUACGUUGAUGCAAGCUUUGACACUGAUCCGGACGAUUCUAAAUCGCAAACCGGAUACGUGUUUACUUUAAACGGUGGAGCUGUCAGUUGGUGCAGUUCUAAACAAAGCGUCGUAGCGGGAUCUACAUGUGAAGCGGAGUACAUAGCCGCUUCGGAAGCAGCGAACGAAGGAGUCUGGAUGAAGGAGUUCAUAUCCGAUCUAGGUGUCAUACCUAGUGCAUCGGGUCCAAUGAAAAUCUUCUGUGACAAUACUGGUGCAAUUGCCUUGGCAAAGGAAUCCAGAUUUCACAAGAGGACCAAACACAUCAAGAGACGCUUCAACUCCAUCCGGGAUUUAGUCCAGGUGGGAGACAUAGAGAUUUGCAAGAUACAUACGGAUCUGAAUGUUCCAGACCCGUUGACUAAGCCUCUUCCACGAGCAAAACAUGAUCAGCACCAAGGCUCCAUGGGUGUUAGAAUCAUUACUGUAUAAUCUAGAUUAUUGACUCUAGUGCAAGUGGGAGACUGAAGGAAAUAUGCCCUAGAGGCAAUAAUAAAGUUAUUAUUUAUUUCCUUAUAUCAUGAUAAGAGUUUAUUAUUCAUGCUAGAAUUGUAUUAACCGGAAACAUAAUACAUGUGUGAAUACAUAGACCAACAGAGUGUCACUAGUAUGCCUCUACUUGACUAGCUCGUUAAUCAAAGAUGGUUAUGUUUCCUAACCAUGAACAAAGAUUUGUUAUUUGUUUAACGAGGUCACAUCAUUAGUAGAAUGAUCUGAUUGACAUGACCCAAUCCAUUAGCUUAGCACCCGAUCGUUUAGUAAGUUGCUAUUGCUUUCUUCAUGACUUAUACAUGUUCCUAUAACUAUGAGAUUAUGCAACUCCCGUUUACCGGAGGAACACUUUGGGUACUACCAAACGUCACAACGUAACUGGGUGAUUAUAAAGGAGUAUUACAGGUGUCUCCAAUGGUAGAUGUUGGGUUGGCGUAUUUCGAGAUUAGGGUUUGUCACUCCGAUUGACGGAGAGGUAUCUCUGGGCCCUCUCGGUAAUACACAUCACAUAAGCCUUGCAAGCACUGCAACUAAUAAGUUAGUUGUGAGAUGAUGUAUUACGGAACGAGUAAAGAGACUUGCCGGUAACGAGAUUGAACUAGGUAUUGGAUACCGACGAUCGAAUCUCGGGCAAGUAACAUACCGAUGACAAAGGGAACAACGUAUGUUGUUAUGCGGUCUGACCGAUAAAGAUCUUCGUAGAAUAUGUAGGAGCCAAUAUGGGCAUCCAGGUCCCGCUAUUGGUUAUUGACCGGAAGCGUGUCUCGGUCAUGUCUACAUUGUUCUCGAACCGUAGGGUCCGCACGCUUAACGUUACGAUGACAGUUAUUAUGAGUUUAUGCAUUUUGAUGUACCGAAGGUUGUUCGGUGUCCCGGAUGAGAUCACGGACAUGACGAGGAGUCUCGAAAUGGUCGAGACGUAAAGAUUGAUAUAUUGGAAGCCUAUGUUUGGGCACCGGAAGCGUUCCGGGUGAAAUCGGGAUUUUACCGGAAUACCGGGAGGGUUACCGGAACCCCCCGGGAGACUAAUGGGCCUAUUGGGCCUUAGUGGAAAAGAGAAAAGGGAAGCCCACUAGCUGGCCGGCGCCCCCUAGAGUCCUAUUAGGAAUAGGACAAGGGGCCGGCCCCCCUUCUCUCUCUUUUUCCCCGGGAGUCCUAAUAGGAUUAGGAUUAGGGGGAGGAGUCCUACUCCCGGUGGGAGUAGGACUCCCCUGCGCCUCCUCUCUCCUCGCCGGCCGAACCCCCUGCCCCUGGCCUUUAUAUACGGGGGCAGGGGGCACCCCAAGACACACAACUUGAUCCUUGAGAUCGUUCCUUAGCCGUGUGCGGUGCCCCCUGCCACCAAAUUCCACCUCGAUCGUACCGUUGUAGUGCUUAGGCGAAGCCCUGCGUCGGUAGUACAUCAAGAUCGUCAUCACGCCGUCGUGCUGACGGAACUCUUCCUCGACGCUUUGCUGGAUCGGAGCCCGAGGAACGUCAUCGAGCUGAACGUGUGCUAAGAACUCGGAGGUACCGGAGUAACGGUGCUUGGAUCGGUCUGAUCGGGAAGAAGACGUACGACUACUUCCUCUACGUUGUGUGAUCGCUUCCGCAGUCGGUCUGCGUUGGUACGUAGACAACACUCUCCUCUCUCGUUGCUGUGCAUCACCAUGAUCUUGCGUGUGCGUAGGAAAUUUUUUGAAAUUACUGCGUUACCCAACAACCCACCUGUCAUACUCUGUUAGGUUAAUUAGGGUUUAGUUAAUUGAUUAGGCUAAUCUAAUCAGGAUUACUUUGUUUAAGUAAUUCUUCAAUUAAUUAAUUAUCAUUUUAACUAAUUUAAUUAUUAUUUAUUAAUUCAUUCAUUUUUUUAAAUUAUUAUUUUUAUUUCGUUCUCGUUUCAGGGGGGCGUGGGGCCCCGCACACGGGGCCACCGCGGGGCUGUUGCCAGCGGGCGCUGGGGCGCUGGGUGCGGGCGCACCCGAGCGGGCACUCGCCCGCAGGGCGGGACGAGGCUGCCGAGGCAUCGACAGCGGGGCAAGCCNNNNNNNNNNNNNNNNNNNNNNNNNNNNNNNNNNNNNNNNNNNNNNNNNNNNNNNNNNNNNNNNNNNNNNNNNNNNNNNNNNNNNNNNNNNNNNNNNNNNNNNNNNNNNNNNNNNNNNNNNNNNNNNNNNNNNNNNNNNNNNNNNNNNNNNNNNNNNNNNNNNNNNNNNNNNNNNNNNNNNNNNNNNNNNNNNNNNNNNNNNNNNNNNNNNNNNNNNNNNNNNNNNNNNNNNNNNNNNNNNNNNNNNNNNNNNNNNNNNNNNNNNNNNNNNNNNNNNNNNNNNNNNNNNNNNNNNNNNNNNNNNNNNNNNNNNNNNNNNNNNNNNNNNNNNNNNNNNNNNNNNNNNNNNNNNNNNNNNNNNNNNNNNNNNNNNNNNNNNNNNNNNNNNNNNNNNNNNNNNNNNNNNNNNNNNNNNNNNNNNNNNNNNNNNNNNNNNNNNNNNNNNNNNNNNNNNNNNNNNNNNNNNNNNNNNNNNNNNNNNNNNNNNNNNNNNNNNNNNNNNNNNNNNNNNNNNNNNNNNNNNNNNNNNNNNNNNNNNNNNNNNNNNNNNNNNNNNNNNNNNNNNNNNNNNNNNNNNNNNNNNNNNNNNNNNNNNNNNNNNNNNNNNNNNNNNNNNNNNNNNNNNNNNNNNNNNNNNNNNNNNNNNNNNNNNNNNNNNNNNNNNNNNNNNNNNNNNNNNNNNNNNNNNNNNNNNNNNNNNNNNNNNNNNNNNNNNNNNNNNNNNNNNNNNNNNNNNNNNNNNNNNNNNNNNNNNNNNNNNNNNNNNNNNNNNNNNNNNNNNNNNNNNNNNNNNNNNNNNNNNNNNNNNNNNNNNNNNNNNNNNNNNNNNNNNNNNNNNNNNNNNNNNNNNNNNNNNNNNNNNNNNNNNNNNNNNNNNNNNNNNNNNNNNNNNNNNNNNNNNNNNNNNNNNNNNNNNNNNNNNNNNNNNNNNNNNNNNNNNNNNNNNNNNNNNNNNNAGUGGCCCAGUGGGGGGGGGGGUUGUUUUAUUCCUUUCCCUUUUAUACCUUUUCACACUUUUCUUCUUUUGUUUUAUUUUAGUUACACGUUAAUUUUAAUUUUAGACAAAUAUAUCUAUAGCCCCUAAAAUAAUGUUUCAGAACAAUCCACUACUAUAAAAAGUUUUACCCUGAUAAAAUAGUCUAGUAUUUUAUAAAAUACCAAAGUCGUUUAAAUAGUUGUUUAGCUACUAUUUAAAUCAUUUUAGUGCUUUAAAUCAUUUUACUAAAAUGUGGUUCCUCCACCAUUUGGACUUAGGAUUUAUUUGUCCCAUUUUGAACAUUUUAGUCUUGACGUUUGAAGAAUUUACCGUUUGACUCGAUUUUGAAUUUGAAUUUGAAUCGGUGUCGAACUAACACGAGAUUAGCAACAGUAACCAUCAUGACGUGGCAUCAUUAACAGAGGUUUACUGUAUCUCAAAUACCCGGGCGUCACAAUGUGCCUAAUAUUGCAGGAGAUGAGGUGGCUCUGGCUGCAUUAAAAUUUUUAGCCCAAAAUAAGAAGAUUAGUGAUAUUUUCCUUGAGCAACACGACAAGGGAUUGGUUCCUCAUUAUGAGGCAAUAAUAGCUAGGGUUUUGAAAGAAGACCAAGUGUUGCCGAUUGAUCAAAUUGUCGAGAGAAAAUAUUCAACAAUGAUGCAGAUGCCUUCACCUAUCAUUGCAACAUGUUAUACACCCCCUGUACAAGCGCAAAAUUUCGGCAACAUCAAUUCAUUGCCGAAAGAUCCUAAAAGUAUUGGGGGGCAAGCCGAUCCAAGCAGGGUUGAGUUUAAAGAAAAAUAUCUAGCCCAGGUGGACAAGAUCAAGCCAAAGCUCACAGGGAAUAGAGUCAACGAAUUUACUACACCUACCCUUGAGGAAUUACCAGCAGAAUAUCAACAGGCCUACGAAGCACUCAAGAAGAAACGUGGAGAGAGAUAUUUGCAAGAAUACGUCAAGUGCCUUCCUCCAUGUAGCAACCAUGUUGGCCCUUCUACACUAUUGAGGCAAGAUAAAAAAGAAGCUUUGCAAGCAAACCAGCAAAAAAGGAUUCACUCGGCUAAUACGGUGGAUUCGGUUGAAACCGGAUUGAGCAACAGGAUGUUUAAGGCCGAGUGCGUUGCAUCGUGCCAGCCGAGUGCAUCGUUCCAGACGAGUGCAUCACCAGCUAAAGCCGAGUGCAUCAAGCCAACUAUUGCCUCGUGUACGAAAAUAGAAGAUGCAAGCUUGGCUGAGCAAAGGAACGACAAACGCAACAAAUUGGUUGUGCUCGAUUUUUCUGGAUGUAAGGGAGCUUACAUGCUACCUUAUGAGUUUCAUGCUAAAGAUAUUGAUGAGCAUCAAGAACACAGUAAUGGCUGAACACAGUUCAGUUAACGAUGAACAUCAAGACCAAGAAAAUGCGGCCGAGCAAAGUUCAACUGACAAAGAGCGUCCGAGUGAAAUCCACUCGGGCAAUCCGACUGAAAUAUACUCGGGCAAUUCAAGUGAAAUAUACUCGGGCAACCUGAGUGAUGAGGCACCAGAUCCAGAAAAAGAGGAAGAGGCAUUGGAGAAUUAUUCAGAAGUGGAGCAAUGUAUUGUUCCAGUGGUACAACCAUCUUCUCCUUCCAACGUCUUCACAAAGGUACACCUAGCAGAUAGUUUACUCAAUUUUCGAUUUGGUCAAAAUCAUAUUGUUGAUGCACCUAUUAGUAAGAUUCUAAUUAAUUUUGAAAGACCAAUUGAAAUGAGUAAUCUUUUUGUUAGGAAGGAUCUUGUCACUAAUCAUGAUAGUCAACACAUGGUAUCGUUCAUAGAGGUUAAUAGUGACAACUUAUCAAAACCAAAGUUGUUCUUGUCAUGCCAACUGAACUUUGUAUUCAUAUGGACAACUUUGUUUGUUUCAUGCCUAGCUAACAUUUGGACUCCUAUGAGCCGUAUAUUCUGUAAUUAUUUUAGUUGCAGAAACAUAAAGUCAGGUCCAAAGUCCUUCGAAGCCGAUUCAAAUGCAUCAGGAAAAGAAGAUGAAUCUUUCCCAAUUGAUAAAAUUGGCGAGCAAAAAUAUGGUUUUACAACAAUGCAUAUGCCUUCACCUAAUACUACAUCAUAUUAUACAGCCCCUACACAAUUGCAAAGUUUCGGCAACACCCAUGUGCCAUUGCCGAAAGAAUCUAAAAGCAAUGGGGGACAAUCGUAUCCGAAGUGGGCUGAAAAUGAGAAAAAGAUUAAAGCCAAUUUCGCCGCUCGCCGGCAGAAACAAAAAGAAACAGAAUUGGCUCAAGUGAAAGAAGCAUUGCCAAUUGGUAGAAGCAAUGUAAAGAAAGAUGAUUCAGAACAUGAAAGUACUAAGGUUAAAAGAGCCGAAUCAAGGAGUAUAUAUUCUGAAUCCAUCAAAUGCAAAGAGGCAAGCAUUAUUGAGAAAGGGCAUGGCAAGCAUAGCAAAGCGACCAUACUUGAUUUUUCUAAAGUUAAUGGAACCUACUUCCUGCCCUAUGAGUUUUGUGCCAGAGAAAUUGAUGAACUUCAAGGACAAGAAUAAGUAGCCGAACAAAGUUCGGCCGACAAAAAUCUUCAAUGUAAUGAUGCACGAAAUCAACAAAAAGAUGAUGAAGAAGCGUUGGGGAGCCAUCCAAAGGCGGAGCAAGAUAUUGUUCAAGUCACACCACCAUCGUGCUCUCCCAACAUAUUUGAAGAGGUAUGUUUAGCAAGUAAUUUACCUAUUUUCAGAUUUGGUCAGGACUUUAUUGUUGAUGCAUCUAUUAGAAAAAUCCUCAUAAGUAAUUUUGAAAGACCAAUGAAGCAGGGUAAUUUACUUGCUAGCAAUAAAGUUGUUAUUGAGCAUAUCGGUCAACCCAUUACGCCAUUUAUAAAGACCGAUAGUGACUUAUUAUUACAGCCAAAGUUUUCCCCGUUGCUUUAUCUAAAGUUCAUAUCUAUUUGGGUAGCUUUGCUUAUUUCAUACUUGGCUUGCACUUGGUCCCAAUUGAGACAUGUGUGUUCUAACUAUUUUCGUUUUAGAAAUUUAAAGCCAAGAUUAAAUUCUGUUGAGAAAACCGAUGCUAGUAUAAUAUCUUACCCAAAGACAUCGGAGAUAGAUUGCAAAACACAAUGCAUAGCCGAAUGGUGUGAUGCAAAAUCUGAACCAUUCGUUUGCUUCAUUCCGAAGCCGUUCUCACAGCAAGAUCGGCUAGAAAACAAGAAGUAUACCUUCAAUUCAAGCAUGUGUGUUCAAAUAUUUGAUUUGUUGCUGAAAAAUAAUUACAUUACAAUUCUUGAUCACCAUGUUAAGCCAUCAAUCCAAGGACGAAUGUAUUGUAAGUUGCAUGAUUCGUCCAAGCAUAAUUUUGAGGAUUGCAACAUGUUUCGUCAAAUAGUUAAAUCGGCCAUUGAAAAAGGACGAUUGAAGUUUGUUGAAACACCAAGAGAUGACCAGUCUAUUCCGAUUGGUCCCGAUGGCAAAAAGUUUUUGCAUCGACUGCUUCAAGCCGAUCCAUUUAAAGAGAAGGUAAAAACUGCAGGUGAUGGGAUCAAGCUUUCAAGUAAAGAAGUUGUUGAAGAGCAUAAUGAACAUAAUCUUGAGGGUGAGAAUUCCAUCCAAGCUACAAUGGAGACGCCAAGGACUGGGGGGCAGCAAGCAAAUCCAACGAUCGAUGAAAGAAAACCAAAAGAAAACAAAGGCCGAAAUAAGCGCAAGUGUAAAAGAUCAAAAAUCACCUUCGAUGAACUAUUUGAGAAAUAUCAAAAGAAGAGUGAAGAGAAGAAUGCUUAUCGGCCCAAUCAUGCAAAGAAACCAAGAUCACCCCCAAGGCGCAAAUAUGAGGAUCGGUAUUGGCAAUGUGAGAGUUUCAAUGCAACAUAUUCAUAUCCUUAUUUUGGGCCGCCAAUGCCAAUGCCGUGGAUGCCUCCCUAUGCUCAUGUAGAUCCAUAUUCAUCAUGGGACAGGUAUGAUACAAGGGCACAUUCUCCAUCUUAUUUUAGACCAUCUCACCAAUAUUAUGCAGCUCCGAGAAGAUCAACAUUUGAACAGUCACAUGUUAAAGACCGUUUCAAUUAUAAGGAAUCGGUCCGGACACCAUGGAUGAAAAAAGAGGUGGUCAAGCAAGUCUACCGCGUGAAACUAUGAAGGACCGAGCCGAAGGAUUCAACAUCUUUGGUCUACACAUUAUCCAAAUUCUUCAACUAUGUCGUUAACGCCUAUGCCAUGGAAUUCGUCAUCAGGUAUGAUCGGUAACCCUCAAUGGGCUUAUUUUAAUCCAUGGAUGCAAUAUAAUUUCUUACGUCAUGAAAGGGUAUUACCAAGUCACUAUACAUUUGAUUAGCUACAAGUUUGUUGCUGAUCCAAAGGGCCGAAAUACUUGAUUUGUCAUUUCAUUUGUUUAUUUCGGCUAUAUGUGCUUUGAAUGAAGUUUAGAUGGUAAUGGCCGAUGAUAUUUAUCUAUCGUCCUAAGAGUAUGUCAAUGCAUGGCAGGUGUAGUAUUCUAAUAUCGUCCUUAGUUUGAUUGGUGAGCGAGACAAUGUACAUGCUCAUGAAAAUUUAUAUGUAUGCCUAUAUUAUGAUUGAAUGGAGUUGAGACAUCAUGACCGAUGUCAUUGAAUAUAUGCUGCAUAGACCAAUUCAUAGCUGCGGAAUUGGUUGAUGGGCUUAUACUUUGUUUGGAUAUGAUUUGGCUUAUGCAUCUUUGAGAUCUAUAAGAGGCCAAAUCAUAGUUGAUUUUGUUACUGAACAUCGGAUUAGUGUCAUGCAUAAUAUUAAUAUUAGCCUUGUCUCUCUAGUACUAUGGAGAUUAUGUUUUGAUGGUUCAAUUCAUAGCAAUGGCCAAAGUGUUGGUGUUGUUUAUAUAUUUCUUUAUGGUACUAUUUUUUGAAGCCUCGUGCCGCUUAGAAUAUUUUUAUGCACGAUUAAUCAAGGCCGAAUAUGCAUUGUUAUUCGGAUUGACUCUUUUACUUGCUAUAGGUGUUAUACAUAUUGAGGCUUUUGGUGAUUCGUUCUGAGUAGUGCAACAAAUAUCCAAGGAUUAUCAAUGUGUUUUACCGAAUCACUUAUAGUUUAUCUUGGGCUAUGUCUAGAUGAAGAAUUUACCUUGGGUUGCAUUCAAAUUGUUCAUAUAUUUAGACAUGGCAAUUGGAGAGAGUUGGCAUAGCAAGCAUCCGGCUACCAUGUCCAUCAUGUUGUAUUGCAUUUCUCUCAAUAGCCGAUGCUUAGUCUUGUCAACAUAGGUAAGGUCGAACCGAAGUCCAGAACUUCGGCCACUAAUGAAAUUUUUAUGCAGGCCAAAGUAAGGAUUGGAGAAAGUUUAUUGUUGAUUGUCUACAAAAUCCUAGCAAAAGGGUGAACAAUAUGGUUCGGAGGAUGACAUUGAGAUACAUAUCUAUGGAACUUUAUCACCGGAUUGUUAAUGAAGCUGAGAAGGUUUCACCCGAGUUUGCAUCAGAAAGUUCACACAAGACAUGGCCGAUAUAUACUUAUCGUCCUAAGAACAUAUAAAUGGCCGAUGGAGUGUUGACAUCGUCCUUAGAACAAACUUGGUACAAGUAUUUUUCGACACGCUAGGUUUACCGAAAAACAGUGGGGCAUGUGUUGACGCUCAAAAGUGGCACGAUCAUAAAGCAGCAUGCUGGGGCGAAAACCUUGCCGGGGUAAAAUCUUGCCGGUGUGAAAGCUUGCCGGUGUGAAAGCUUGCCGGUGUGAAGGCUUGCCGGCGUGGAAAGCUUGCCGGCACAGAAAGAUCGCCGGUGCUUGCCGGUGUGAAAUCUUGCCGAGGGAGAAACCUUGUCAGGAAGGAACCCUUGCCGGAGUACAAACCUUGCCGGAGUGAAACCUUGCCUGUGUGAAAGCUUGCCGGGUAGAAACAUUGCCGGUGUGGAAAGCUUACUCGGACGGAAAACUUGCCGGGUUGGAGGCUGUGAUAGUCAAUCGAACGAGAAGUUGAAGAUGGGCUCAAAAGGUUAUUCAGAUGAUCUCGGAUGGAAAAAUGAUCUACACGGGUUGUCUUCGUCUCGUCGAAACGAUCGAUUUUGGUAUAAAAAUCAUUCAAAUUCGAGUUUGUAUGCAAAAGUUAGAGCAAUCGGAGUGCAGCCCUGUCACGAGGCGAGAUGUGGCGUGCCCCACCAGACACAUGUCUGACGGGUAGUGCGAGGAAAUAGCCUGUGUUGCGAGACCGAUCUGACCCUCAAGAUGAUCUCUGAUCAAAACACCUUCAACAUGAAAGCUGUUCGUCUCGUCGAAACGGUCAAGAUUGCUUUUGGGCUUGUUUUCAUCCGGGAUCGUUUACCACUGCCAAAAAGACCCGCAAUGUGCAGCCAGUUUAAACCGAACAGUUUUGGAAAGUUCAGAUAAACCAGUCCGAAUUUGACUAGGGUUUUGUACGUGAAUUGAUGUAAUUUUCUUGUAAGGAAAGCCGAGAUAAAUUCUUUGCUUGUACGGGAAGUCCAGCCGCCUCUUAUAUAUGUUGGGGGUGACGGCCGAUUGAAACAACACACAAUCGAACAAACACAUCUACUACCUUUUCAUGUUCAUCUACUUUUUAUCUCUCCCUUGUAUCUUUCUUCUCGUUCUUCGCUAGUUCUUCAUGCUGGAGGGCUGCGGAUCCACGAGGCUUUAGGGCCUAGCUAGCGAAUCGACCUAGGGCAGCCCAUAGCCGCCGCAAUCCCUGACGGGGUCCCUCUCGGGUGCGCGGGGUUUCGGGUCUGCAAAAGCGCCCGCCGACUGUCUUGCGUAUCGCGCUGUCGGUCGGGUCUCCUUCGACGUGAGCUGCGGUGCAUCACCCCUGGCGUCGAGGAUACAUGUGACGUGUUCGUGUGCGAACAACGUGCUCCCUGGCUCCACCCCAUUGAAAAAAUAUACAUCUGGAGGCUGCUUUGUUUCCUCAUCAAAAAAAACUUACGUUAAAAAGAUUGCAUGCAUCCCAGGAAAAAUAAUCAAGAAGUCGGACUCAUCCUUACAAAAACAAGGAACGUGUUAAGUUGACUUCAAAGAAAAAAGGAACAUGUUAAGUUAAAAAAAACAAGAAACCUGUUAAGUUAGAAAAAAACAAGGAACGUGUUGUCCUAGGAAAGAUAUGUGUCAAAUCUUACAAAAAAAAGAAUACACACACGUACGUUCAUGCACUUGGAAAAUAGAAAAAAAAGAACAUCACGUAUGUAUACACUUUGGAAACUCAUUACAUGACCAUGUCUGAUAUACUCCUCUAAUGCUUAACAUUAGUGCCUAAUAAUUUAUAUUUAAAAUUUAAUUUACUGAUCAAAUAUCCCCACUGUUUAAAUUUUAAUUUGGCACAUUGUUUGACUACAGUAUGAACCUAAAUUUCCUCUUAUUAAUAUAUAUCAUGGUAAUAAUCCAAAGGCGACUAAUCUGCGCCGGUGCACCGGCGCAAUCAAUUUGGCCGGACACAGCGCGGCCUUUUGAUUAGAUUGCAUUUAACCAUCAGAUCUGGAAUCGUUUUCUUUCCAAUUAAACGGAUUCAACCAAACAGCAGAGGGGAAAACAAAGCAGCGCCGCCGCCAACACUAGCCAUGGACGAUCGAUGUACCAAAACCUUGAAUAACUGCCGCCGGUCGCCACCCUCGCCGCUGGUGGCCGCCCUCGCCGUCGGUCACCGCCGAUCACCGCCCUCGCUGCCUGCGUUUCUCAUCGGCUUCAUGCAUGCAACAGCAUGCAGUCGUGGUUGCAGGCUUGCAGCUCCGGCUCCGGGGGACAUGGCCGCAUCUCCGGUAACGCCAGCCGCCGACCGCAGCACCUGUCGUUAUGGUCGCGUUGUACCUCGCCGUGUGCCCUCCCGAGGCUCUUGCUGGUUCCAACAAAAAACAAUACGUGUUGUAGCAAAAAAGUUUAUCGCUUCCAGCAAAAAAGCUUACCGCUACAGCCCGCCAUCGUCAUUGUAGCAAAAAUGUUAACCCGAUGUAGCUUUUGUGGUUGCCGACUGCAACAAAAAAUGACGUGGUUGUAGCAAAACACAAAAGAAAAAUGCCGGCCGGCCGCUGUGUAUGGUGGUAACAAACCCUAUAGCCGGUGGUAGCGAAAAACUUCAUAGUUUGCAGCAAAAAAAUGUUGUCGCCCGUCGUCGAGGUUGCAUCGUCUUCAUGAAUUAUGUCGCAAAAAAACAUUGUCGCCGGUAGUAGCAAAUGAAGCCGCCGGUAGUAGCAAAACAAGACACUGGUUCCAGCCAAAAAAUAAAUCAGCGACAGAACCUUUGGUUGGUUACAACAAAAAAACUUGUCGGUUGUAACAUCCCUCGCCGCCGGAUGUAGCAUCUCCCGGGGCUGGUUGCAACACUCCAUAAAAAAAAUGUUGUCUAUGAGCGCAUCCAUGGCGACUGCUGCACCAUCAGCAACGAGGGGAAGAGGAGGCAAUGAAAAUCGUUCGAGUCGUAGCUCCACAGGACGCGGCUGCAGCAUGGGGAGUCCAAAAAUCUGUCACAAGCAACAUGCGCCUCACCAUCCUCCUGCGCAGGAGAGAGAAGAAAAAGGAAUAAGAGGAAGAAGAAAGGAAACGGGAGGAAGAAAAAAGAAACGAUUGGUGGUGGGCUGAGGCAAUUAGUCAAACGAGGGGCACGCGGGGCCGCAGGAUACAGCGCAAUCGAACGAAGCGCGCGCGUCCGGCCGAAGACUCGGCCGGACUGCCGUCUGGAAACGUUUCCCUAAUCCAAAGGCUUUGUCUGAAUGACAAGUCGUCUGGGUUACCGGCUAACUAGAAAAAAGAUAAAUAUGCUAGAGAAUUUCAUAAUAAUUAGAAAUAUCUAGCCUUUAAUUAUGUAAAUCAGAAAAUCACAACCGUUGGAUUUACUUUAAAGGUAAAUUUCUCUAAAUUCCCACCAUUGCCAGUAUGUAGAAACAUGUGCUGCUUCAAUUCUCCCAUAAUCACCAAUCAAUCAACAACACAAAACAUACCUCAGUUAAAAAAACUGAACAAAAAAAAAGAAAAAAGAAGAAAGGACAAGAUACACGCAUGUACACGACAGCCUUGGCUUGAAACACAUCAGUAGAUCAAGUGUCCGCCUCCCUUACACAGAAUAAACUCAUAGGGAAGAAAAUAAUUGUGCAACCUAACCUUAUACGUACUAUUCUAUCCUCACGUCCCAUGAGGUUUACUAGCCUACCGCCGCCGCAUCAUGCCAUCCCCUCCUUUCAGCUCCCAUGCUUUCCAGCACCCUCAUUGCCGCGCCACUACUUGCCUAGGGAUAUUGCUGCUCAGACCGUGGAGCUUAACCUGCUUCUUCUUCAGCAAAUAUGGUACUGCUUUAGGAUCCUUCUCACAUCAGCACGUAUGGGCCUCAUUAUACUGCAGCUCCUGGACCUCCUACAAUUGGUUGGCUAUGGCCAGUUGAUCGAUGUGCCGAAGUCCAGGUCUGUUUGCUGGCACAUAUGCUUUGGAAAUAGGCCACUAUGUUUGUACUUCAAAAUUGUUUCUGUAUUCUUGAGUGGUACAUCCUUUUAAGCGCCAGUUUUUUAUGUCAAUUCAUGCUGACAACACUUAACCUAGCCUUUCAUCUUCACGUACUAAAUACAGGAGCAAGUAAAAACAACAGACCACCUAAUUGCUCUGCAUGUACUACAUAGGAAAAUUUGUCAUGUUCUACGAUCGCACCAUCCCACACUUCUCUCUUGGUAUGGGCGCCAAUUGAGGGAUUGAUAAAACUGAAACGAAGACGUCACGGGGCUGGAAGUACCGCUAGCCUGGUUUGCACUGCAACCUACUCAACGCCAUCAGAAACUAGCAACUGAGGCAGUUGUUGAUCGAUUCUCUCAAAUUGCUCUCAUGUAAGUACUACCCCUUGCAUGUGCGUACAUACCUUUGUUCCAUUCUCAAACAGAUAGAACAUUUAUGAUCGGUGCAUGGCUAUUUUUCAUCACAUGACAUCCAGAUAACAAGCAUGAAAGGACUACAUUGGAGAUCAAAAAAUAUUGGUUCCUGGCUAGAGGACCACUACCUAUGGACUUGUCUCCAUAGAAUUUGUUCCCAAGACGUUAUUUUAAUUAACCUCUUUAGCUUUCUUCCAUUGCAAACGGUGAUGUGCAUCAUGGUAUAUACGUGACCAUCUUGCACAUGUAUACACAAGAGGCUCAGACGGAGGUGCUGGAUUCUGGACGAGGGAAUAUGAAGCAGGAGUGAGCGAAGAGUAAAUAAUGGUGGGAGUACCGAUUGGUGUUAUGAAGAAAAAUGCCAUUCAAAGAUUGAUUAGUGUCAUGGAAGAUUAAUUUCUGAAUGCGAAUAUAUAUGUUACAUUGGUUUGGAUCUUUUUGAGAUAAUUGCACCUAAAUUAGGUUCUUUCUUAUUUCAUAUGUAUACCUUAUUUCAGUAAAAGUUCACAACGAACUUAGUAGGACAAAUAUAAUUUUGUUUGUGCUUUCUGUUGUCCGCCACCAAAGCUCAGUUUGAACUCUCUAGAAAUGGACAAUGAUUUAUGCAUUCUAUAUCUUCUUGAUUGAUUAGUCAUGACAAGGAAAUAAAAUGAUUGACUGAUAUAGCAUAACUUUGGAACGAUCUGUUCGUAGAGGUUACUACAAAUUAGAGUAGUGUCUGUUGGAAUUUUGCUAGUAGGCCUUUGGCCCAAAGCCCAACUAAAAUUCUGAAAUUCUCUUGGCUCAUUCAUGCACACAUGUGAGUGGAGUGAGUGAGACUAAAGUUUAGUCCCUCCCCGAAAGUUGAGAGAGUGUUGCACCUCUUUAUAAGGUGAGCUCUUCUACCACUUGUAUGAGCAUGGGAAGAGGAGACCUACACGCGCGCUCCUCCUCCUCGCUCACCAUGCCUCGUCACGACGCGCCGCGCCGCACCGCGUGGUGGGUUGUGGGAUUGAGCCGAGCCGAGGACGUUGUCUAUAUUUUUGCUGCUCGGGAAAAAUUAAUGAGUCAUUAAUUAAUAAUUAAUGGACGCGUUAAUUACUGAACCGUUUCCGAUUCUUUUGGAUCCUGACGACUCGGACGUGGGGUUUACUCCCACGACCUACCCGACCUGCACUACAUAGCCAGGCAGACGUCUACCUUAGCCGCCGCCCCUUCGUAUGGUUUCUCACCACCGUUACAGAUCAUUGCGCCGCCAAGCAAGUUUUCUCCAUCCCUCGUUUCGGCGUGCACCGGGAGAAGGGACAGCAGGCCUCCGGAACCCCGCCUCUCGUGAUCCUGUACGGAAGAGGGGCGAUCAGGUUUUUGGGGAGCGCAUCGCACGACUGCUGGCAGCGACGACUUCGCGAACGACGACUUCUUCCCCGACCUCGGCAACCUCAUCCUCGAGGACAUGGGCGACAACGUCAACGCCGGCGGUGCUACACCCACUGCACCGUAUGUUAUUCUAUCCUUCUUGUUCGAGAUCGUGGUAGAAUUCAUGUUUCUAGUAUGUGCCCUAGAGGUGAUCUGUUCAUCUACUAUGCUAGUUCGCAUGAUUAGUUUAAUCUCUGCUAUUGCUGUCAUGAUCUAUUUCCUAUUUAUUCGGAUUAAAUCUCGUAGUAAUUUUCUCAUUUUUCCAACAAUCCAAAAACCUAAUUAUAGGCAACUUACUCCGAGUGGUUUUGAUGCGCAUCUGAAAGCCGCCUGCCUUUAAGGGGGCGCAAUAUAAGAGGUGGCGCACGAGAGCAGUCUACUGGUUUCAGAUCAUGGGCUGCUAUGACGCCAUCGAUACCCUCUUUAAAGGCACUCUUCUGAGUGUUCUUGAUGACUCCAUUGUGGAUUCGUAUAUGUCGUUGACAACGGCAAGAAUAUGUGGGCUGCGCUCGAGGCCAAGUUUGGUGCCUCGGAUGCUAGUAGCGAGUUGUACGUCAUGGAGCAAUUCUAUGACUCCAAGAUGACUGAUGAGCGCCCUGUUGUACAGCAGGCUCAUGAGAUACAGUCGCUCGGAAAAGAACUUGAGUACUUCAAGUGUGUGUUGCCGAACAAAUUUUUUGCCGGAGGCAUCAUUGCCAAGCUUCCACCUUCGUGGAACAAUUUUGCUACUUCCCUGAAACACAAGAGACAGGAGUUUUUCGUUGCGGAUCUCAUUGGUACUCUUGAUGUUGAAGAGAAGGCGAGAGCAAAGGAUACACGUGCUCGAGUUGCUGAGGGAGGUUCUAGUGCCCACAUGGUACAGAAGAAGAACUUCCAGCCCGUUCAAAAACAACAAGAACAAAACUCAGGGCAAAGGCAAGUUUGAUACAAAGAACAAGCCAUCACAUUCUACCAACUUCAAGAAGAAUUCUCAUAAGAAGGGGAAGGGACUUUGCCAUGUCUGCGGUGAUCCUAAUCACUGGGCUCUGAAGUGUCCUAACUGCUUUGAGGAGCGCGAACAUGAGAAGAGCGGCAAGUCCGCUAAUGUUGUCAUCGGUGAUACUGAUAUGAAGGAAUCAGGGUACGGUAUUUUUCCUACCAUCCUUUCAGUUUUCCAAACCCCUGAUUGGUUAAUUGACACCGGUGCCAAUGUACAUGUUUGUGCUGAUGCCUCCAUGUUUUCUUCUUACCAGGCCAUUGGGACUUCACCCGUGCUGAUGGGGAACGGGUCACAUGCCAUCGUUCGAGGUGUUGGUACGGUCGAUCUGAAGUUUACUUCGGGGAAGACCGUGCGUCGGAAGAACGUUCAUCAUGUUCCAUCCAUCAAUAAAAAUCUCGUUAGCGGUUCCCGUUUAUGUCGAGAUGGUUUUAAGUUGGUUUUCGAAUACACUAAAGUUGUAAUUUCUAAGUACGGACAAUUUGGUGGAAAAGGCUAUGAGAGCGAAGGCUUGUUUUGCCUGUCUUUGUCAGAUAUUUUCACUAAAGUUAUUAAUAAUGUUUGCCACAACAAUGAGUCUGAUAUUUGGCAUUCACGACUUUGUCACAUUAACUUUGGUUGCAUGACGCGGCUAGCCAAUAUGAAUUUAAUUCCGAAAAUCUCUACUGUCAAAGGCUCUAAGUGCCAAGUAUGUGUGCAAGCUAGCUAAGCAACCUCGCAAGUCCCAUAAGACUGUAGAGGCAAGAGACUUGGCGCCACUAGAGCUUAUACAUUCUGAUAUUUGUGAGAUGAAUGGCGUGUUGACAAAAGGUGGAAAGAGAUACUUCAUGACGUUGAUUGAUGACUCCACUAGAUAUUGUUAUGUGUAUCUUAUGAAAUCAAAAGAUGAGGCUUUGACUUUCUUCAAAAACUAUAAAGCUGAGGCAGAGAACCAACUUGAUCAAAAAAUUAAACGGCUUAGGUCCGAUCAUGGUGGAGUGUAUUUUUCCAAUGAAUUUGAUCUGUUUUGUGCGGAACAUGGUAUAAUCCAUGAGAGGAUGCGUCCCUACUCAGCCUAGUCAAAUGGGGUAGCCAAAAUAAAGAACCGAACUCUAACUGAUAUGGUUAACACCAUGUUAGACACUUCAGGUCUAUCCAAGGAAUGGUGGGGGCAGGCGCUAACGACUGCGUGUCAUGUCCUAAACAGAGUACCCACAAAGCAUAAGACCAUGACUCCAUUUGAGGAAUGUGAAAGGAAAAUGUUGAAACUCUCUUACCUACGUACUUGGGGUUGUUUGGCGAAAGUCAAUAUACCAAUUCCCAAGAAGCGCAAGGUUGGACCAAAAACCGUGGAUUGUGUUCUUCUGGGCUAUGCUUUUCAUAGCAUCGGCUAUAGAUUUUUGAUAAUAAAAUCUGAGGUAUCCGACAUGCAUGUUGGUACGAUUAUGGAGUCGAAUGAUGCAACUUUCUUUGAGGACAUAUUUCCUAUGAAGGAUAUGUCGAGUUCAUCAAAUCAGGAGACACCUACUCCAUCUAGUGAGGAAUUCACUGUAAUUCCUGAACCCACCAUUGCGAUGGAACACGUUGAGAAUCCUGUUGAGGGUGACAAUGGAACUCCUAUGAGGAGUAAGAGACACAGGACUACAAAGUCCUUUGGUGAUGAUUUCAUUGUGUUCCUCGUGGAUGACACACCCAGGACUAUUUCAGAAGCCUGUGCAUCUCUUGAUGCUAACUACUGGAAGGAAGCUGUACGUAGCGAGAUGGAUUCCAUCUUAGGUAACGGAACCUGGGAGAUCACUGACCGUCCUUAUGGGUGCAAACUUGUAGGAUGUAAGUGGGUGUUCAAGAAGAAGCUUAGACCUGAUGGUACGAUUGAAAAGUACAAGGCACGGCUUGUGGCCAAGGGUUAUACCCAGAAAGAAGGUGAAGACUUCUUUGAUACUUACUCACCCGUGGCUAGAAUGACCACAAUUCGGGUGCUACUAUCACUUGCUGCCUCACAUGGUCUUCUCGUUCAUCAAAUGGAUGUUAAGACAGCUUUCCUCAAUGGAGAGAGUUGGAGGAAGAAAUUUACAUGGAUCAGCCAGAUGGUUUUGUAGUACCUAGUUAGGAAGGAAAGGUGUGCAAGUUAUUAAAGUCUUUAUAUGGCCUUAAACAAGCUCCUAAAGAGUGGCAUGAGUAGUUUGAAAGAACAUUAACUGCUGCCGGCUUUGUAGUAAACGAUGAUGACAAGUGCGUGUACUAUCGCUAUGGUGGGGCGAAGGAGUUAUUCUUUCUCUGUAUGUCGACGACAUAUUGAUCUUUGGAGCCAAACUUGAUUUAAUCAAGGAGGUUAAGGAUUUCUUAUCUUGUUGUUUUGAGAUGAAGGAUCUAGGAGUAGCUGAUGUUAUCUUAAACAUCAAGCUGUUGAGAGAUGAGAAUGGUGGGAUCACACUACUUCAGUCUCACUAUGUGGAAAAGGUCUUGAGUCAUUUUGGGUAUAGCGACUGCACACCUUCUCCAACUCCAUAUGAUGCUAGUGUGUUGCAUCGAAAGAAUCGAUGGAUUGCUAGAGAUCAACUGAGGUAUUCUCAUAUUAUUGGCCCGCUUAUGUAUUUGACGAGUGCCACGAGGCCUAACAUCUCAUUUGCUGUUAGCAAGCUGAGUCGGUUUGUGUCAAAACCGGGAGAUGAUCGUUGGCAUGCUCUUGAGAGAGUUAUGCGCUAUUUGAAAGGCACCGCGAGCUAUGGGAUUCACUACACCGGGUAUCCAAGGGUACUGGAGGGUUAUAGUGACUCAAACUGGAAGUCCUGCAAACAGACCAUCUUAACAAGGUCAAGUAUGGAAGCAGAACUCACAGCAUUAGAAACUGCCACUGUGAUAAUCAAACUAUGAUCGUCAAGAUAAACAGUUACGGACAAUAUGAAGUCCUCAAGGCAUGUGAAGAGGAGACUGAAAUCUGUCAGAAAAUUGAGGAACUCUGGAGUUAUUACGUUGGAUUAUAUCGAAACAUCGAAAAAUUUGGCAGAUCCCUUCACAGAGGGUCUAUCACGUAAUGUGAUAGAUAAUGCAUCGAUGGAGAUGGGUCUGAGACCCACCGCAUGAGUUGUCCAUAGUGGUCUAUGUGAUCGGAGAUCCCGUGAAGUAGAAGUGGGAGACAAGUUGUUGAUCAGCUGGGAGGAUAGUAUCCCUAUAUUACCUAUCCCACUCCAUGAAGAUGCAAUACUCUCCUAAUCUGCAUGGCAGGUUGACACUUAUGUUAAUGUGUUCCAAGUGGCUUAUUCGGGUAAGCAGAGAUGUUGUCCUGCAGAACAUCUUCUAAGGAACACACCUAUAUGAAUUUGACUGUUAACGUCGCAGUAUGUGAGAAUUGGGUGUUCUCUAAUAAAUUGAUGAAAAGGCCCUGGAGUAUGACGUAUACGCUCCACCCGCGGGGAAGCCUUGCGGCAGCCCAGUAUCGGUCAAGAAUUUGUGUGAAACUAGUCUCGCAGAAAAUUUGUAGUUCAAGGCGUAGUCCAAACGGAAUAUCAAACGGAGUCCAAACGGAAUGAAACCUUUGGGAACGUGAUUUUCUCAACGAACAAGACCCAGGAGACUUGGACCCUACGUCCAGACACAAAAGAGGAGGCCACGAGGUAGGGGGGCGCGCCCUCCACCCUCGUGGGGCCCCUGUUGCUGAAGGACAUAUGCCCUAGAGGCAAUAAUAAAGUUAUGAUUUAUUUCCUUAUAUCAUGAUAAAUGUUUAUUAUUCAUGCUGGAAUUGUAUUAACCGGAAACAUAAUACAUGUGUGAAUACAUAGACAAACAAAGUGUCACCAGUAUGCCUCUACUUGACUAGAUUGUUAAUCAAAGAUGGUUAUGUUUCCUAACCAUAGACAAAGAGUUGUUAUUUGAUUAACGGGAUCACAUCAUUAGUUGAAUGAUCUGAUUGACAUGACCCAUUCCAUUAGCUUAGCACCCGAUCGUUUAGUAUGUUGCUAUUGCUUUCUUCAUGACUUAUACAUGUUCGUAUGACUAUGAGAUUAUGCAACUCCCGUUUACCGAAGGAACACUUUGUGUGCUACCAAACGUCACAACGUAACUGGGUGAAUAUAAAGGAGUUCUACAGGUGUCUCCAAAGGUACAUGUUGGGUUGGCGUAUUUCGAGAUUAGGAUUUGUCACUCCGUUUGUCGGAGAGGUAUCUCUGGGCCCUCUCGGUAAUGCACAUCACAUAAUCCUUGCAAGCAUUGCAACUAAUGUGUUAGUUGUGAGAUGAUGUAUUACGGAACGAGGAAAGAGACUUGCCGGUAAUGAGAUUGAACUAGGUAUUGGAUACCGACGAUCGAAUCUCGGGCAAGUAACAUACCGAUGACAAUGGGAACAACGUAUGUAGUUAUGCGGUCUGACCGAUAAAGAUCUUCGUAGAAUAUGUAGGAGCCAAUAUGGGCAUCCAGGUCCCGCUAUUGGUUAUUGACCAUAGACGUGUCUCGGUCAAGUCUACAUUGUUCUCGAACCGUAGGGUCUGCACGCUUAAAGUUACGAUGACAAUUUCAUUAUGAGUUUAUGUAUUUUGAUGUACCGAAGGUUGUUCGGAGUCCCGGAUGUGAUCACGGACAUGACGAGGAGUCACGAAAUGGUCGAGACAUAAAGAUCGAUAUAUUGGAAGCCUAUAUUUGGACAUCGGAAUCGUUCCGGGUGAAAUCGGCAUUUUACCAGAGUACCGCGGGGUUACCGGAACCCCCGGGGGGGUUAUUGGGCCUACAUGGGCCUUGAAGAAGAGAGGAGGCAGGAGGUGGCCGCGCGCCCCUCCCCUUCCUAGUCCGAAUAGGACAAGGGAAGGGGGGUGGCGCCCCCCCUUUCCUUCCCCUCUUCCUCCUCUUUCCCCCCUUCUCCUUCUCCAACUAGGAAAGAAGGGAGUCCUACUCCCGGUGGGAGUAGGACUCCCCCUGGCGCGCCCCUCCUUGGCCGGCCGCCCCCUCCCCUUGGUUCCUUCAUAUACGGGGGCAGGGGGCACCCUAGGACACAGAAGUUGAUCUUCGUGAUCGUUCCUUAGUCGUGUGCGGUGCCCCCCUCCACGAUAUUACACCUCGAUCAUAUUGUAGCAGUGCUUAGGCGAAGCCCUGUGACGGUUAAACAUCAAGAUCGUCACCACGCCGUCGUGCUGACCAAACUCCUCCCCGAAGCUUUGCUGGAUCCGAGCCGGGGGUGCGUCAUCGAGCCGUACGUGUCUCAAGAACUCGGAGGUGCCGGAGUAAAGGUGCUUGGAUUGGUUGGACCGGGAAGACGUACGACUACUUCCUCUACGUUGCGUCAACGCUUCCGCUUCGGUCUACAAGGAUACGUAGACAACACUCUCCCCUCUUGUUGCUAUGCAUCACCAUGAACUUGCGUGUGCGUAGGAAAUUUUUUGAAAUUACUACAUUCCCCAACAGUGGCAUCCGAGCCUAGGUUUUAUGGUUUGAUGUUAUACGCACGAGUAGAACACAAGUGAGUUGUGGGCGAUAUAAGUCAUACUGCCUACCAGCAUGUCAUACUUUGGUUCGGCGGUAUUGUUGGAUGAAGUGGCCCGGACCGACAUUACGCGUACGCUUACGCGAGACUGGUUCUACCGCCGUGCUUUGCACAUAGAUGGCUGGCGGGUGUCAGUUUCUCCAACUUUAGUUGAACCGAGUGUGGCUACGCCCGGUCCUUGCGAAGGUUAAAACGGCAUCAACUUGACAAACUAUCUGUCACAGCCCUAGAAUUUGCUUGUAGCUAUUUACCCGAGUGAGCAUGAUGCAUCAUGUCUAAAUUCUGAAAGUUGAAUUGAGGUUAGUAGAAACCCUCAUAAAUCACUUCAAAAAUAAUCAACAUUAAAAUCUUUUCAAAGAAGUCCAAGAAAGUGUUCCUCUUAGUCUCUGAAAAUAUUGGCAAGAGGUAAAACUUAAAACAAUAUUUUUGGAAUCUCAGAGAUAUUUAUUUUGGGCCUUUGAAUUAAUUCAAUAACAAUUUGCAUUGGAUAUAUAUUUUAUAUAUAACUAAUAUAUGUCCAAUAAUUCUAGAACAUUUUAUGUGGUUUGUUAUAUUUUAGUUCUAGCCACAUAAUUAUUUUCAGGAUUUUAUUAAAUGGUUUAGUAUUUUUACUAAACCAAAACAAAACAGAACAAAAUAGAAAAAAACUGAAACAGAAAGCAAACAGAAAAUAGAGAGAGAGAGAGGAGCUACCUGGGCUUACCUGGCGCCCCAACUGGCCCACCUCUGUAGCAGCCCAACUGGCCAAAGCCAGCCCGGCCCAUCAGGGGCAGCACUGUCUUCUUCCUCCUGCCAGGAGGAGAAGCAGCUGCGUGCCCGAUGGCCGGCGAGCCGCGCUGGCUCCUCCCUGCCUGCGUGCCCCCCCUCGACUUCCUGGAUGCCAUGCACUCCCCCUCGCCCCCUGCACCUCUCCUCUCUCCCCCUGGACCCCAUCCCCUCCUCUGCUCCCCUCUCGCGCGCACCACCGAGCGGAGCUCGUCGUCAUCGUCGCCGUACUCGUGGCCACCGGCCACCCCUCGCCCUGCCGCUGCGCCCAAAAGCUCUGCCAUUUCGUCCUCGACCCCCUCACCGAGCCACGCCACCGCGGGAGCCCCACAUCGCGGCUACGAGUCGUCCUCCCCGAGCACGGCCGCCGGACUUCAUCGAUGAAUUCGUCGCCUUCCGGUCGUCCCCGAGCCAGCUGAGCUCCGCUUCGACCUCACCGUGAGAUCCUCUACCAAACCCCUCUCUCCCCGCCGUCUAUUUCCUCCUCUAGCCUCACUAACCACCGUGGCCGAAGCUCGCCGCCGCCGUACCUCAUCGCCGCCACGGCCAUAGCUGCCGCCACCCACGCCCGAGCUUUGCCCCAUGCUCAGCACUCUCCCAGGAGCCGGGCGCGCCCACCCAUUCGACCCGUUGUGCCCCCUAGCGCCAACCCCGACCUCGCCCGAAUUCCGGCCGCCGCAAAAGUUGCCGCCACCGUCGAUUUAGUCAACCCCGGUGCGAGGUGUUGCCACCGAUGGAUGCGCGAGUCUCCCAGCUCGCCGUAGCCACAAACCACGAGCGAAACGAUGCUCUGUAGCUCCGUCCCGAGCAUCUCCGGCGAGCCACGGCCGUGCUUUUGGUCGCCGGCGUCGACCGCUGACGUGGUCGCUUAAUUAAGUCUAAUCACCACUAAUCCCUGCCUAACAGACGCUGACUCACGGGCCCCACCUGUUAAUUAACCACAAGGUUAUACCCUGUUUAAUUUAAGCUAAUGACCGUGGCCCCACGGGUCAGUUUGACCUGGCCACGUCACCGUUGACCUGGUCCCACACGUCAGCCACAGAAACCAGCCCUGGGUCACUGACCAGUGGGCCCCACUAGUCAGGUUUGACCCGGACCAGCCCUGUUGACUUGCUUACGUCACCCUGAUGUCAUGCUGACGCAGUAAUUAAUUUCUGUUUUAUAAUAAUUCAGAAAAUUUCAGAAAAUGUCCAAAACUUCUAAAAAUCAUAGAAAUUAAACUGUAACUCCAAAUAAAAUAAAUUAUAUAUGUAAAAUUAUCAGAAAAAUUCAAGGAAUCUGUUUAUGGCAUUUUCAUGCAUGUUUGAAAAAUGUUUGACCUCUGUUUUGGACAAAACAAUAAAGGGCAUUUAAAUAAUCAUAUAUGGAGUUUGAAUUUGAAUCUUGUAUUCAAACCAACUUCAUUUAAUUGUGUUGUUAGUUGCUUUAGGUCAAUCAAUAGCAUAUUGCCAUGUCAUUAUCAUGCAUCAUAUUGUUGCAUCGCAUUGAUUGUGUCCUUCCUUGUUUGCCGGUAAUUGCCCCCUCUCAGUAGACGUUGUUUCCGACGACGUGAUCGAUGACACCGAUGAAGAGCUAUUCUAUCUUCAGAAGUGCCAGGCAAGCACAACCCCCUUGUUCAUUCCGAUACAAGCCCACUCUCUCGCUCCUGCUCUCUUUUACUGCAUUAGGACAACAAUGAUUCAUUUGUUACUUGUUGCGGUAGUUGAACCCCUUAUCCUCUGCAUGACCUAUCAUUGCCACAGUAAUUAGAUGAAACCCGCUAGCAUGAGUAGGAGUUGUUUGAGCCCUGAUGUGCCUACUCAUUCAUGCUUGUUUGUCAUGCCUGCUACUGCUUAGAGUUGAGUCAGGUCUGAUUCAUCGGGGAUGGAUCGGAGGUGUGUAAACAUGUCCUAUUGUGUGUGAGCUAAGUGUGUGAACACGUUUUGGUAAAGGUAGCGGUGACAGGCCAUGUAGGAGUACAUGGUGGGUUGUCUCAUUGAAACCGUCCACAGGAACUAAGUUCUGUGUUUGUGAUCCAUGAAACAGCUGCUACCACACGUUGGGCCCCGAAAUAUGACCCCGCUCGACUUACUGACCCCUCUCUUCCUCUGUCCAGGAGUUGCAAUUAGUUUCUGGUGUUUAUAGGAUAUGUGUUGGCGGCCGUGUGUAGCGCUGACCCUAGGGGUGGGCUAUGAUGCGGUAGAUACACUGUGGCCCGGUGUACCGGGCGCCCGUUUGGUGUCUCUGGAACCCUGCACACAUCGUUUGGGGCUGUGAGCGAAACUCCGUCCGGAUCUCCUCGCGGAUGGAACCCGAAUAGGCGAUAAACCUGGACUAGAGACUUGUGUGGUUAGUCAGGUCGUGGUCUACACCCACGUCGGCUUUCGCUUGAAGUCUGCCGAGCACAUGUCGUGUGCAGACGCUAAGUGGUGGAAACAUGUGUGACGAAGUACACCCCCGCAGGGUUAUAAAUGAUCUAUUCGAAUAGCCGUGUCCGCGGUAAAGGACUUCUGGGUUGCCUAUAACAGUUCAUAGACAAGUGAAAGUGGAUACUCUAAAAACUCGCAAGAUAAGUGUGAGUGCUACGGAUGGCCUUCUCGUAGGGAGACGAGAGCGGAUCCAUAGUGGUCUAUUGAAUGGUGAAUAUGUGGACUCGUGUGCGCCACCUUAAAAGAGUUGCUUGCCAUCGUAGUUCAGGUUAGCCCCGGAAUCAAAGCUGGCUUGCUGCCGUUAAACUCCACCCCCCUUUGAUGAUACCGAUGCAUAUGUAGUUUAGAUCUGAUGUAAGUAUUGCUGAGUACCUUUGUACUCACGUUUGCUUAAUUUAUGUUUUGCAGAGAGACUUCAGUCUCGCUAGUAGUUCCGCGUGGACUUCGACGUUUAGCUUGAUACCUCAGCUACGAUCUUGUGCCCUCGACAGGAUCUGGUAGAUAGUCAGGCUUCUUAGCCUUUUUCAUUUAUAGAUGUCUGUACUCAGACAUGUUAAGCUUCCGCAUGUGCUUUGCAUUGUAUGCUAUGAUUGUCGGGUCAUGAGACCCAUGCUUGUAAUAUCUAGCUCUUCGGAGCCUAAUGAAUUAAUACUUGAGUCGUAGAGUCUUGUUUUGAUGCCAUGUUGUAUUUACACAUAUCGAGCAUAUUGUGUGUAUGAUUGAAAUGCUUGGUAUGUGUAGGAUCCAACAACCUAGUUGUUUAUCCUUCGCAGCCUUUCUUAUGGGGAAAUGUAGUCUAGUGUUCCUCGAGCCAUAGUAGUCCGCUACAGCCCGGUUCACCGGAGUCCUGCUAGCCCAGCACUACUGUUCAGGACACUUGACUGGCCGGCAUGUGUUUCACUUCAUCCCUAUGUCUGUCCCUUCGGGGAAAUGUCACGCGGUGAUUUCCGGAGUCCUGCCUAGCCUGCUACAGCCCGGGAUCCCCGGAGUCCUGUUAGCCCAGUGCCACAGCCCGGAAUAACUCAUUGAUGACCGACAUGUUCGAUGUGAUUCAUGUAUGCCUGUCUCCAUAGGUCUGUGCCACUUUGGGUUCACGACUAGCCAUGUCGGCCCGGGUUCUUUGUCAUAUGGAUGCUAGCGACACUAUCAUAUACGUGAGCCAAAAGGCGCAAACGGUCCCGGGCCAGGUAAGGUGGCACCCGUGGGAAUACCGUGCGUGAGGCCACAAAGUGAUAUGAUGUGUUACAUGCUAGAUCGGUGUGACCUAGGAUCGGGGUCCUGAUAGCGUUGGUAUCAGAGCCUGACUGCCUGUAGGAUUACCAAGCCAAACUGGUCGAAGUUGAGUCUAGAAAUGCUUUAGUUAUGUAAGGGAAUUGAUUGCGGAAGGGAACGUAAGGCUCUUUUUAUUCCUUAUACCUCAUGCCCUUGUGAUCUGAGUCAUCCUCUUCCUUUCUAUGGGGAUUAAGAACUAGGCUUUCUUAUCUAUCUAUCAGGAUGACGUGUUACUAACCCGUUGACUUAUAGGAUUGAUGGAUUCAUGCUGCAGUUCAGUUCCUACUACUUCCAUAUAUUCAUAACUGGCCGCAGAACCUUGAUAUUAUGAUUCGAGUGGUUAUGCCACCAUUUUUGCAGGAUGUCUCAAAUCUUUUCGAGCAUUUACAGCCGUUAUGCUGUCCGAGUCAUCCCAGGUUUCUAAAUAGUCUGAUGCAUUUGCAAACCUUUUCCCCUGUUCCUGAUGUCCAUUUAGGCCAGGUUAAUCACACUAAUUGUGAGUUGGCGUAUUCUUUUGCCUGGACAUAUAUUUUGGAAUUAUUAUUAUGACCCUAGAUGUCUUAGAGUGCCACCUAGUAAUCGAACCAUGUUUUGCGUUUCUAGUGUGAUGAUUCUGGCCGUUAUUCUUGAAAGCAUCCCGUGAUGCCAUUUAGUUAGUAGGCAUUCUAUUCCUGGGUUUUGAACCCGAGACCCACCCUACCUGCUUCAUGUUGAUAGUGUUUGCUAGUUCCUUAGGACAUUAGUAAACCUUGUGAUAGACCUCGAGGUCCGUGGUAUUUCCUUCUUCCAAUUAUCAUGAACCAUUCAUGGCAGGAGUUCUUUUGAACCAAAAGGUCACGACAGAGUGCUCUUGAUGAGUUCUCCAUUCUAUAUUGUGGCUCUGCCAGUUCUACCUUUCUGCAUGGGUUAUCCGGAAGAAAUAUGUUGAACUCGUUCGACAUACUAACCUAUGCAUCCACAACUCAGAAAGUUAUAUGUUCCUUGAGUUGUUCCUCUUCAGUUGUAUUCCGACCAUCCUCUAUCAGUAGAUAGCCAAGAGUAUGUGUGCAUUUGUGUUCAUCGGUGCCUCUUAUUCUUGUGGUUCGUCGAGCCGUUCUAUUUUAGAAUGACUAGGAGAAACAAACUCCAGUACCUCAUCCAUAUCUAGGGUUGGGUCAAAAUAGUUGUAUUCCGCAGAUCAAAAUGCAACCCAGCUUUUGGUUCUGUUCUACCCUGAAGUAUUACCCACCUUAUGUCAAGAGCGACGUGAGAAUUGCACCUUCUCCUAUGAAUUCUUGACGCAGUGAUACUUCUUGCCAUCAUUGUUCAUUCCUCGGUUCCUGUGUUAUUGUAACCAGAAUGCCGGCACGUGAGUCGUUAUGUGUGAAAUCAAUACUCCUAGCAACUAUGCUGCUUGGUAGUUAAUGGACAAUAUUCUCAUUCUUAGCGUGUUGGUUAUUGAAUUAUCAUUCUAAGACUGAUCGUGCUACCUAGUCCAUAUUUCUGGUGCACACUUCGAUCAAUGGGUUAGGACUGUGCCAAUCCCUCACUCUUUGAUCAUAUCAUCUUGCCCUGAAAAGCAAGGUUGUUCUCGAGCUUAGUAACAUACCGGUGGUUCGUGAUUUUCCGAAUAUCUUCUCAGAAGUGUUACUAGGUUGUCACCUGACCGUUAUGUUGAGUUCAUGAUCAAGAUGGUUUUUCAAUAAACCACUUUUCCCUAAGAAUCUGUGUUGGAUACCCCUGAGCUAGUUGGUUAAGCUUAACAACAACUUGGAGAGUUGGAAGAUGAAAACUUGUCCGACUUAGCUCAUCCCUAAGGGAUAUCCUUGUGUGUGUGGGUGUUGAAGAAAGAUGAUAUAUUCACCAAUUGGUCCUCAUGAUCAGUUGUUGUAUCUAUUAUCUUGUCCAAACCUUGAUUUGAGUGUGGGCUAUCGUCAAAUCAAAUCAGAACCAACGAUGUUCAUAAUGUUGUCUUACUUACGGUUGUCCCUCGAGCAUACACCAUUAUAUAUUUGGUUUGACCAAUACUAUCACAUUGUUCACAUAGUGGUGGAAGUCCAGUGAUAUGGAAAUACCGAUGCGUUGUUGUUGAUCCCAUCAGCAGCCUUUUGUCUCCCCCAUGAGUCAUGUUGAAUGCUACACUAGUAUUGGAAACUUAUAAGCAUUAUCUUUGUGUUUCGUUCAUGAAGCAUAUGUUUGGAUGAAAGAAGUGACUUCCUCUAAUUCAUGUGCACUCGAUGUAAGUUGCCACCAUGAAUUGAGCAAGGUUUGUUUUGUUUCCCUUGGAAUCAUCCCAAAUCAGUCAUGCAUAUGUGCGAAGUAUUCUAUGGUUUGGUAGAUUAAUUACCUCCACUCCAUAUGUGUUCCUAGCACACCAAGCCACUGGUUGAUUUGUUCAAGGAGAAGAAGUUCCUUCUUAAGAAUCAUGACUUAUGUUAGGACUUUGUUAUCCUCGAUAAUGGUUCCCCACCUGAACUCGGUAGUGUUUUAUUAUAAGACUACCAUGUGGUCAUGCUUUUCUGGGACAGCGUGUUCACAUGUGUUUAGCAGAACCAGCUCAUGCUUUGGAGCUUACUACCGUAGUUCAUUCCCCGAGAAUCUCGCAAUGUCGUCUCGUCGAUUUGUGUUGCAAACCUUCAUUUUCCUUUCUAGACUCGAUGAGUCUGGAAUAUCCCGUCACCAACCAGAUCUGAAUCUCAGGCAGAUAUGAUGGUUGGAGCAUUUUCCAAGAACUAUAAUAUUGGUCUCCCGAUAACCGGUAAAGUGGAUGUCGUGGCCAACACAUCCAGCCGGGCGACCUAUUAUUGUAGUAUCUUGAUUGAAGAAAGUUGGCCACCUUCCCAUGAGGAUUUCAUAGGAUUUACUCCAGAAGUUGUUCCUUAUGGAUCUAUUGUAUUCCGAAGUCCGACCACUACUUGGUGGCUAUGCCGAUGCUUAAAGCAUGACCGUGGUUGCCCCCUCUCAGUAGACGUUGUUUCCGACGACGUGAUCGAUGACACCGAUGAAGAGCUAUUCUAUCUUCAGAAGUGCCAGGCAAGCACAACCCCCUUGUUCAUUCCGAUACAAGCCCACUCUCUCGCUCCAGCUCUCUUUUACUGCAUUAGGACAACAACGAUUCAUCUGUUACUUGUUGCGGUAGUUGAACCCCUUAUCCUCUGCAUGACCUGUCAUUGCCACAGUAAUUAGAUGAAACCCACUAGCAUGAGUAGGAGUUGUUUGAGCCCUGAUGUGCCUACUCAUUCAUGCUUGUUUGUCAUGCCUGCUACUGCUUAGAGUUGAGUCAGGUCUGAUUCAUCGGGGAUGGAUCGGAGGUGUGUAAACAUGUCCUAUUGUGUGUGAGCUAAGUGUGUGAACACGUUUUGGUAAAGGUAGCGGUGAGAGGCCAUGUAGGAGUACAUGGUGGGUUGUCUCAUUGAAACCGUCCUCAGGAACUGAGUUCUGUGUUUGUGAUCCAUGAAAUAGCUACUACGACACGUUGGCCCUGAAAUAUGACCCCGCUCGACUUACUGACCCCUCUCGUCCUCUGUCCAGGAGUUGCAAUUAGUUUCUGGUGUUUAUAGGAUAUGUGUUGGCGGCCGUGCGUAGCGCUGACCCUAGGGGUGGGCUAUGAUGCGGUAGAUACACCGUGGCCCGGUGUACCGGGCGCCCGUUUGGUGUCUCGGGAACCCUGCACACAUCGUUUGGGGCUGUGAGCGAAACUCCGGCCGGAUCUCCUCGCGGAUGGAACCCGAAUAGGCAAUAAACCUGGACUAGAGACUUGUGUGGUUAGUCAGGUCGUGGUCUACACCCAUGUCGGCUUUCGCUUGAAGUCUGCCGAGCACAUGUCGUGUGCAGACGCUAAGUGGUGGAAACAUGUGUGACGAAGUACACCCCUACAGGGUUAUAAAUGAUCUAUUCGAAUAGCCGUGUCCGCGGUAAAGGACUUCUGGGUUGCCUAUAACAGUUCAUAGACAAGUGAAAGUGGAUACUCUAAAAACUCGCAAGAUAAGUGUGAGUGCUAUGGAUGGCCUUCUCGUAGGGAGACGAGAGCGGAUCCAUAGUGGUGUAUUGAAUGGUGAAUAUGUGGACUCGUGUGCGCCACCUCAAAAGAGUUGCUUUCAAUCGUAUUUCAGGUUAGCCCCGGAGUCAAAGCUGGCUUGCUGUAGUUAAACUCCACCCCCCCCCUUUGAUGAUACCGAUGCAUAUGUAGUUUAGAUCUGAUGUAAGUCUUGCUGAGUACCUUUGUACUCACGUUUGCUUAAUUUAUGUUUUGUAGAGAGACUUCAGUCUCGCUAGUAGUUCCGCGUGGACCUCGAGGUUUAGCUUGAUACCUCAGCUACGAUCUUGUGCCCUCGACAGGAUCUGGUAGAUAGUCAGGCUUCUUAGCCUUUUUCAUUUAUAGAUGUCUGUACUCAGACAUGUUAAGCUUCCGCAUGUGCUUUGGAUUGUAUGCUAUGAUUGUUGGGUCAUGAGACCCAUGCUUGUAAUAUCUGGCUCUUCAGAGCCUAAUGAAUUAAUACUUGAGUCGUAGAGUCUUGUUGUGAUGCCAUGUUGUAUUUACACAUAUCGACCAUAUUGUGUGUAUGAUUGAAAUGCUUGGUAUGUGUAGGAUCCGACAACCUAGUUGUUUAUCCCUCGCAACCUUUCUUAUGGGGAAAUGUAGUCUAGUGUUCCUUGAGCCAUAGUAGUCCGCUAUAGCCCGGUUCACCGGAGUCCUACUAGCCCAGCACUACUGUUCAGGACACUUGACUGGCCGGCAUGUGUUUCACUUCGUCCCUAUGUCUGUCCCUUCGGGGAAAUGUCACGCGGUGAUUUCCGGUGUCCUGCCUAGCCUCCUACAGCCCGGGAUCCCCGGAGUCCUGUUAGCCCAGUGCCACAGCCCGGAAUCACUCGUUGAUGACCGACAUGUUCGAUGUGAUUCAUGUAUGCCUGUCUCCAUAGGUCUGUGCCGCUUUGGGUUCACGACAAGCCAUGUCGGCCCAGGUUCUUUGUCAUAUGGAUGCUAGCGACACUAUCAUAUACGUGAGCCAAAAGGCGCAAACGGUCCCGGGCCAGUUAAGGUGGCACCCGUGGGAAUACCGCGCGUGAGGCCACAAAGUGAUAUGAUGUGUUACAUGCUAGAUUGGUGUAACCUAGGAUCGGGGUCCUGACACUAUCGUUGUGGUUUUGAUGCGUAGGUAAGAUUGGUUCUUGCUUAAGCCCGUAGCAGCCACGUAAAACUUGCAACAAACAAAGUAGAGGACGUCUAACUUGUUUUUGUAGGGCAUGUUGUGAUGUGAUAUGGUCAAGACAUGAUGCUAAAUUUUAUUGUAUGAGAUGAUCAUGUUUUGUAACUGAGUUAUCGGCAAUUGGCAGGAGCCAUAUGGUUGUCGCUUUAUUGUAUGCAAUGCAAUCGCCCUGUAAUGCUUUACUUUAUCACUAAGCGGCCGGUAGCGAUAGUCGUAGAAGCAUAAGAUUGGCGAGACGACAACGAUGCUACGAUGGAGAUCAAGGUGUCGCGCCGGUGACGAUGGUGAUCAUGACGGUGCUUCAGAGAUGGAGAUCACAAGCACAAGAUGAUGAUGGCCAUAUCAUAUCACUUAUAUUGAUUGCAUGUGAUGUUUAUCUUUUAUGCAUCUUAUCUUGCUUUGAUUGACGAUAGCAUUAUAAGAUGAUCUCUCACUAAAUUAUCAAGAAGUGUUCUCCCUAUGUAUGCACCGUUGCUAAAGUUCGUCGUGCCCAGACACCACGUGAUGAUCGAGUGUGAUAAGCUCUACGUCCAUCUACAACGGGUGCAAGCCAAUUUUGCACACGCAGAAUACUUGGGUUAAACUUGACGAGCCUAGCAUAUGCAGAUAUGGCCUCGGAACACGGAGACUGAAAGGUCGAGCGUGAAUCAUAUAGUAGAUAUGAUCAACAUAAUGAUGUUCACCAUUGAAAACUAAUCCAUUUCACGUGAUGAUCGGUUAUGGUUUAGUUGAUUUGGAUCACGUGAUCACUUAGAGGAUUAGAGGGAUGUCUAUCUAAGUGGGAGUUCUUAAGUAAUAUGAUUAAUUGAACUUCAAUUUAUCAUGAACUUAGUCCCUGAUAGUAUCUUGCUUGUUUAUGUUGAUUGUAGAUAGAUGGCCCGUGCUGUUGUUCCAUUAAAUUUUAAUGCGUUCCUUGAGAAAGCAAAGUUGAAAGAUGAUGGUAGCAAUUACACGGACUUGGUCCAUAACUUGAGGAUUAUCCUCAUUGCUGCACAGAAGAGUUACGUCCUGGAAGCACCGCUGGGUGCCAGGCCUGCUGCUGAUGCAACUGACGACGUUAAGAACGUCUGGCAGAGCAAAGCUGAUGACUACUCGAUAGUUCAAUGUGCCAUGCUUUACGGCUUAGAACCGGGACUUCAACGGCGUUUUGAACAUCAUGGGGCAUAUAAGAUGUUCCAGGUGUUGAAGUUAAUAUUCCAGCAGAAUGCCCGGAUUGAGAGAUAUGAAGUCUCCAAUAAAUUCUAUAGCUGCAAGAUGGAGGAGAAUAGUUCUGUCAGUGAGCAUAUACUCAAGAUGUCUGGGUAUUGUAAUCACUUGAUUCAACUGGGAGUUAAUCUUCCGGAUGAUAGCGUCAUUGACAGAAUUCUCCAAUCACUUCCACCAAGCUACAAGAGCUUCGGGAUGAACUAUAAUAUGCAAGGGAUGGAUAAGACAAUUCCCGAGCUCUUCGCAAUGCUAAAGGUUGCGGAGGUAGAAAUCAAGAAGGAGCAUCAAGUGUUGAUGGUCAACAAGACCACUUGUUUCAAGAAAAAGGGCAAAGGGAAGAAGAAGGGGAACUUCAAGAAGAACAGCAAGCAAGUUGCUGCUCAGGAGAAGAAACCCAAGUCUGGACCUAAGCCUGAAACCGAGUGCUUCUACUACAAGCAGACUGGUCACUUGAAGCGGAACUGCCCCAAGUAUUUGGCGGAUAAGAAGGAUGGCAAAGUGAACAAAGGUAUAUGUGAUAUAGAUGUUAUUGAUGUGUACCUUACUAGAGCUCGCAGUAGCACCUGGGUAUUUGAUACUGGUUCUGUUGCUAAUAUUUGCAACUCGAAACAGGGACUACGGAUUAAGCGAACACUGGCAAAGGACGAGGUGACGAUGCGCAUGGGAAAUGGUUCCAAAGUCGAUGUGAUCGCGGUCGGCAUGCUACCUCUACAUCUACCUUCGGGAUUAGUAUUAGACCUAAAUAAUUGUUAUUUGGUGCCAGUGUUGAGCAUGAACAUUAUAUCUAGAUCUUGUUUAAUGCGAGACGGUUAUUCAUUUAAAUCAGAGAAUAAUGGUUGUUCUAGUUAUAUGAGUAAUAUCUUUUAUGGUCAUGCACCCUUGAAGAGUGGUCUAUUUUUGAUGAAUCUCGAUAGUAGUGAUACACAUAUUCAUAAUGUUGAAGCCAAAAGAUGCAGAGUUGAUAAUGAUUGUGCAACUUAUUUGUGGCACUGCCAUUUAGGUCAUAUCGGUGUAAAGCGCAUGAAGAAACUCCAUACUGAUGGACUUUUGGAACCACUUGAUUAUGAAUCACUUGGUACUUGCGAACCGUGCCUCAUGGGCAAGAUGACUAAAGCACCAUUCUCCGGUACUAUGGAGAGAGCAACAGAUUUGUUGGAAAUCAUACAUACAGAUGUAUGUGGUCCGAUGAAUGUUGAGGCUCGUGGCGGAUAUCAUUAUUUUCUCACCUUCACAGAUGAUUUAAGCAGAUAUGGGUAUAUCUACUUAAUGAAACAUAAGUCUGAAACAUUUGAAAAGUUCAAAGAAUUUCAGAGUGAAGUGGAAAAUCAUCGUAACAAGAAAAUAAAGUUUCUACGAUCUGAUCGUGGAGGAGAAUAUUUGAGUUACGAGUUUGGUGUACAUUUGAAACAAUGCGGAAUAGUUUCGCAACUCACGCCACCCAGAACACCACAACGUAAUGGUGUGUCCGAACGUCGUAAUCUUACUUUACUAGAUAUGGUGCAAUCUAUGAUGUCUCUUACAGAUUUACCGCUAUCGUUUUGGGGUUAUGCUUUAGAGACGGCCACAUUCACGUUAAGUAGGGCACCAUCAAAAUCCGUUGAGACGACAACUUAUGAACUGUGGUUUGGCAAGAAACCAAAGUUGUCAUUUCUUAAAGUUUGGGGCUGCGAUGCUUAUGUGAAAAAGCUUCAACCUGAUAAGCUCGAACGAUAAUCGGAGAAAUGUGUCUUCAUAGGAUACCCAAAGGAAACUGUUGGUUACACCUUCUAUCAUAGAUCCGAAGGCAAGACAUUCGUUGCUAAAAAUGGAUCCUUUCUAGAGAAGGAGUUUCUCUCGAAAGAAGUGAGUGGGAGGAAAGUAGAACUUGAUGAGGUAACUAUACCUGCUCCCUUAUUGGAAAGUAGUUCAUCACAGAAACCGGUUUCUGCGACACCUACACCAAUUAGUGAUGAAUUUAAUGAUGAUGAUCAUGAAAUUUCAGAUCAAGUUACUACUGAGCCUCGUAGAUCAACCAGAGUAAGAUCCGCACCAGAGUGGUACGGUAAUCCUGUUCUAGAAGUCAUGCUACUAGAUCAUGAUGAACCUACGAACUAUGAAGAAGCGAUGGUGAGCCCAGAUUCCGCAAAAUGGCUUGAAGCCAUGAAAUCUGAGAUGGGAUCCAUGUAUGAUAACAAAGUAUGGACUUUGGUUGACUUGCCCGAUGAUCGGCAAGCAAUUGAGAACAAAUGGAUCUUUAAGAAGAAGACUGACGUGACGGUAAUGUUACUGUCUACAAAGCUCGACUUGUCGCAAAAGGUUUUCAACAAGUUGAAGGGAUUGACUACGAUGAGACCUUCUCACCCGUAGCGAUGCUUAAGUCUAUCCGAAUCAUGUUAGCAAUUGCCGCAUUUUAUGAUUAUGAAAUUUGGCAGAUGGAUCUAAAAACUGCAUUCCUGAAUGGAUUUCUGGAAGAAGAGUUGUAUAUGAUGCAACCAGAAGGUUUUAUCGAUCCAAAGGGAACUAACAAAGUGUGCAAGCUCCAGCGAUCCAUUUAUGGACUGGUGCAAGCCUCUCGGAGUUGGAAUAAACUCUUUGAUAGUGUGAUCAAAGCAUUUGGGUUUGUAUAGACUUUUGGAGAAGCCUGUAUUUACAAGAAAGUGAGUGGGAGCUCUAUAGCAUUUCUGAUAUUAUAUGUGGAUGACAUAUUACUAAUCGGAAAUGAUAUAGAAUUUCUGGAUAGCAUAAAGGGAUACUUGAAUAAGAGUUUUUCAAUGAAAGACCUCGGUGAAGCUGCUUACAUAUUGGGCAUUAAGAUCUAUAGAGAUAGAUCAAGACGCUUAAUUGGACUUUCACAAAACACAUACCUUGACAAAGUUUUGAAGAGGUUCAAAAUGGAUCAAGCAAAGAAAGGGUUCUUGCCUGUGUUACAAGGUGUGAAGUUGAGUAAGAAUCAAUGCUCGACCACUUCAGAAGAUAGAGAGAAAAUGAAAGAUGUUCCCUAUGCUUCAGCAGUAGGCUCUAUCAUGUAUGCAAUGCUGUGUACCAGACCUGAUGUGUGCCUUGCUAUAAGUUUAGCAGGGAGGUACCAAAGUAAUCCAGCAGUGGAUCACUGGACGGCGGUCAAGAACAUCCUGAAGUACCUAAAAAGGACUAAGGAUAUGUUUCUCGUAUAUGGAGGUGACAAAGAGCUCAUUGUAAACAGUUACGUUGAUGCAAGCUUUGACACUGAUCCGGACAAUUCUAAAUCGCAAACCAGAUACGUGUUUACAUUAAACGGUGGAGCUGUCAGUUGGUGCAGUUCUAAACAAAGCGUCGUGGCAGGAUCUACAUGUGAAGCGGAGUACAUAGCUGCUUCGGAAGCAGCAAACGAAGGAGUCUGGAUGAAGGAGUUCAUAUCCGAUCUAGGUGUCAUACCUAGUGCAUCGGGUCCAAUGAAAACCUUUUGUGACAAUACUAGUGCAAUUGCCUUGGCAAAGGAAUCCAUAUUUCACAAAAGAACCAAGCACAUCAAGAGACGCUUCAAUUCCAUCCGAGAUCUAGUCCAGGUGGGAGAGAUAGAGAUUUGCAAGAUACAUACGGAUCUGAAUGUAGAAGACCCAUUGACUAAGCCUCUUCCACGAGCAAAACAUGAUCAUCACCAAGGCUCCAUGGGUGUCAGAAUCAUUACUGUGUAAUCUAGAUUAUUGACUCUAGUGCAAGUGGGAGACUGAAGGAAAUAUGCCCUAGAGGCAAUAAUAAAGUUAUUAUUUAUUUCCUUAUAUCAUGAUGAAUGUUUAUUAUUCAUGCUGGAAUUGUAUUAACCGGAAACAUAAUACAUGUGUGAAUACAUAGACAAACAAAGUGUCACUAGUAUGCCUCUACUUGACUAGCUCGUUAAUCAAAGAUGGUUAUGUUUCCUAACCAUAGACAAAGAGUUUUUAUUUGAUUAAUAGGAUCACAUCAUUAGUUGAAUGAUAUGAUUGACAUGACCCAUUCCAUUAGCUUAGCACCCGAUCAUUCUUCAUGACUUAUACAUGUUCCUAUGACUAUGAGAUGAUGCAACUUCCGUUUACUGGAGGAACACUUUGUGUGCUACCAAACGUCACAACGUAACUGGGUGAUUAUAAAGGAGCCCUAUAGGUGUCUCCAAAGGUACAUAUUGGGUUGGCGUAUUUCGAGAUUAGGAUUUGUCACUCCGUUUGUCGGAGAGGUAUCUCUGGGCCCUCUCGGUAAUGCACAUCACAUAAGCCUUGCAAGCAUUGCAACUACUGUGUUACUUGUGAGACGAUGUAUUACGGAACGAGUAAAGAGACUUGCCGGUAAAGAGAUUGAACUAGGUAUUGGAUACCGACGAUCGAAUCUCGGGCAGGUAACAUAUCGAUGACAAAGGGAACAACGUAUGUAGUUAUGCGGUCUCAACGAUAAAGAUCUUCGUAGAAUAUGUAGGAUCCAAUAUGGGCAUCCAGGUCCUGCUAUUGGUUAUUGACCGGAAACGUGUCUCGGUCAUGUCUACAUUGUUCUCGAACCGUAGGGUCCGCACGCUUAAAGUUACGAUGACAGUUUCAUUAUGAGUUUAUGUAUUUUGAUGUACCGAAGGUUGUUCGGAGUCCCGGAUGUGAUCACGGACAUGACGAGGAGUCUCGGAAUGGUCGAGACAUAAAGAUCGAUAUAUUGGAAGCCUAUAUUUGGACAUCGGAAUCGUUUUGGGUGAAAUCGGCAUUAUACCGGAGUACCGGGGGGUUACCGGAACCCCCCGGGGGGUUAUUGGGCCUACAUGGGCCUUGAGGAAGAAGAGAGAAGGAGGUAGGAGGUGGCCGCGCGCCCCUCCCCUUCCUAGUAUGAAUAGGACAAGGGAAGGGGGCGGUGCCCCCCCCUUUCCUUCCCCUCUUCCUCCUCUUUCCUCCCUUCUCCUUCUCCAACUAGGAAAGAAGGGAGUCCUACUCCCGGUGGGAGUAGGACUCCCCCCUGGUGCGCCCCUCCUUGGCCGGCCGCCCCCUCCCCUUGGCUCCUUUAUAUACGGGGGCAGGGGGGCACCCUAGGACACAGAAGUUGACCUUCGUGAUCGUUCCUUAGCCGUGUGCGGUGCCCCCCUCCACGAUAUUACACCUCGAUCAUAUUGUAGUAGUGCUUAGGCGAAGCCCUGCGACGGUUAAACAUCAAGAUCGUCACCACGCCGUCGUGCUGACGAAACUCCUCCCCGAAGCUUUGCUGGAUCGGAGCUCGGGGUGCAUCAUCGAGCUGUACGUGUGUCAAGAACUCGGAGGUGCUGGAGUAACGGUGCUUGGAUUGGUUGGACCGGGAAGACGUACGACUACUUCCUCUACGUUGCGUCAACGCUUCCGCUUCGGUCUACGAGGGUACGUAGACAACACUCUCCCCUCUCGUUGCUAUGCAUCACCAUGAUCUUGCGUGUGCGUAGGAAAUUUUUUGAAAUUACUACAUUCCCCAACAGUUGCUCCACCGACGUACUCCUUCCUCCUAUAUAUACCUGCGUACCCCCAAACGACCAGAUACGGAGCCAAAACCCUAAUUCCACCACCGCAACUUUCUGUAUCCACGAGAUCCCAUCUUGGCGCCUGUUCCGGAGCUCCACCGGAGAGGGCAUCGAUCACGGAGGGCUUCCACAUGAACAGCAUAGCCUCUCCGAUGAAGUGUGAGUAGUUGACCUCAGACCUACAGUCCAUAGUUAUUACCUAGAUGGCUUCUCCUCUCUUUUUGGAUCUCAAUACAAUGUUCUCCCCUCUCUUGUGGAGAACUAUUCGAUGUAAUCUUCUUUUUGCGGUGUGUUUAUUGAGACCGAUGAAUUGUGGGUUGAUGAUCAAGUCUAUCUAUGAAUAAUAUUUGAAUCUUCUCUGAAUUCUUUUAUGUAUGAUUGUUUAUCUUUGCGAGUCUCUUCGAACUAUUAGUUUGGUUUGGCCUACUAGAUUGAUCUUUCUUACAAUGGGAGAAGUGCUUAGCUUUAGGUUCAAUCUUGCGGUGUCCUUUCCCAGUGACAGUAGGGGCAGCAAGGCAUGUAUUGUAUUUUUGCCAUCGAGGACAACAAGAUGGGGUUUUCAUCAUAUUGCAUUAGUUUAUCCCUCUACAUCAUGUCAUCUAGCUUAAGGCGUUACUCUGUUUUUAACUUAAUACUCUAGAAGCAUGCUGGAUAGCGGUCGAUGAGUGGAGUAAUAGUAGUAGAUGCAGGCAGAAGUCGGUCUACUUGUCUCGGACGUGAUGCCUAUAUACAUGAUCAUACCUAGAUAUUCUCAUAAAUAUGCUCAAUUCUGUCAAUUGCUCAACAGUAAUUUGUUCACCCACCAUAGAAUAAUUAUGCUCUCGAGAGAAGCUACUAGUGAAACCUAUGGCCUCGGGAUCUAUGUUUAUCAUAUUAAUCUUCUACUACUUAGUUAUUUCCUUUGCCUUUAUUUUACUUUUCAUUUUUAUCAAAAAAAAUACCAAACAUAUUAUCUUUAUCAUAUCUAUUAGAUCUCACUCUCGUAAGUGGCCGUGUAGGGAUUGACAACCCCUAUUCGUGUUGGUUCCGAGGAUUUAUUUGUUUUGUGCAAGUACGAGGGACUCGCACGUAGCCUCCUACUGGAUUGAUACCUUGGUUCUCAAAAACUGAGGGAAAUACUUAUGCUACUUUGCUGCAUCAUCCCUUCCUCUUCGGGGAAAACCAACGCAGUGCUCAAGAGGUAGCAAGAAGGAUUUCUGGUGCCGUUGCCGGGGAGGUCUACGCAAAAGUCAACAUACCAAGUACCCAUCACAUACCCUUAUCUCCCGCAUUACAUUAUUUGCCAUUUGCCUCUCGUUUUCACCUCCCCCACUUCACCCUUGCCGUUUUAUUCGCCGUCUCUCUCUAUCCUCCCUCUCUUUCUCUAUUUGCCUCUUUUUUCCCGCUUGCUUUCUGUUUGCUUGUGUGUUAGUUGCUUGCUUGUCAUGAUGGCUCAAGAUAAUACUAAAUUAUGUGACUUCACGAUGGCUAAAGCUUGGUUUUCAUCUUUGCCUAAAAAUAGUAAUGAUUCAUGGAAUAAGUGCAAAGAUGCUUUUUUCUCUAAGUAUUUUCCUCCUGCUAAGAUCAUCUCUCUUAGAAACGAUAUUAUGAAUUUUAAGCAACUUGAUCAUGAACAUGUUGCACAAGCUUGGGAGAGAAUGAAACUAAUGGUACAUAAUUGCGCUGCCCAUGGUUUAAAUUUGUGGAUGAUUAUACAAAUAUUUUAUGCCGGAUUGAAUUUUGCUUCAAGAAAUCUUUUAGAUUUGGCCGCGGGAGGCACUUUUAUGGAAAUCACUUUAGGAGAAGCUACUAAACUCAUAGAUAAUAUUAUGGUGAAUUAUGCUCAACGGCAUACUGAAAGAUCUACUAAUAAAAAGGUGCAUGCGAUAGAAGAAAUUAAUGUUUUGAGUGGAAAGAUGGAUGAACUUAUGAAAUUAUUUGCUAAUAAGAGUGUUUCUUCUAAUCCUAAUGAUAUGCCCUUGUCUAGUUUGAUUCAGAAUAAUAACGAAUCUAUGGAUGUGGAUUUUGUUGGUAGGAACAAUUUUGGUAACAACGCGUAUAGAGGAAAUUUCAACCCUAGGCCUUAUCCUAGUAAUCUCUCUAAUAAUUAUGGUAAUUCCGACAACAAUUCUUAUGGAAAUUAUAAUAAGAUGCCCUCUGAUUUUGAAUCUAAUAUUAAAGAAUUUAUUACUUCGCAAAAGAAUUUCAAUGCUUUGAUUGAAGAAAAAUUGCUUAAGAUUGAUGAUUUGGCUAGGAACGUUGAUAGAAUUACUCUUGAUGUUGAUUCUUUGAAACUUAGAUCUAUUCCACCUAAGAAUGAUGUCAAUGAGUCUCUCAAAGCCAUGAGAAUUUCCAUUGAUGAGUGCAAAGAAAGAACCGCUAGGAUGCGUGCUAAGAAAGAUGCCUUUAUAAUAGCGUGUUCUUCUAGUUCCUAUGAAAAUAAUGAUGAAGAUCUAAAAGUUAUUGAUGUGUUCCCUAUUAAAUCUUUGUUUUGCAAUAUGAAUCUUGAUAGUGAUGGGACUGAAUAUGAUCCACCUUUACCUAGAAGGCGUUCCAAGAAUUCAGAAUUUGUUGAUCUUGAUGCUAAAAUUGAUAAAGGAGGGAUUGAAGAAAUUAAAACCCUAGAUGUUGCUAAACCCACUAUUAUGGAUUUCAAGGACUUUAACUAUGAAAAUUGCUCUUUGAUUGAUUGUAUAUCCUUUUUACAAUCCGUGCUAAAUUCUCCUCAUGCUUAUAGUCAAAAUAAAUCGUUUACUAAACAUAUCGUUGAUACCUUGAUGCAAUCUUAUGAAGAAAAACUUGAAUUGGAAGUUUCUUUCCCUAGAAAGCUUUAUGAUGAGUGGGAACCAACUAUUAAAAUUAAAAUUAAAUAUCAUGAAUGCUAUGCUUUAUGUGAUUUGGGUGCUAGUGUUUCCACGAUUCCAAAGACUUUGUGUGAUUUGUUAGGUUUCCAUGAUUUUGAUGAUUGCUCUUUAAACUUGCGCCUUGCGGAUUCCACUAUUAAGAAACCUAUGGGAAGAAUUAAUGAUGUUCUUAUUGAUGCAAAUAGGAAUUAUGUGCUUGUAGAUUUUAUUGUUCUUGACAUAGAUUGCAAUCUUUCAUGUCCUAUUAUUCUUGGUAGACCUUUCCUUAGAACGAUUGGUGCAAUUAUUGAUAUGAAGGAAGGAAAUAUUAGAUUCCAAUUUCCAUUAAGGAAAGGCAUGGAACACUUUACUAGAAAGUCAAUUAAAUUACCUUAUGAAUCUAUUAUGAUAGCCACUUAUGGAUUGUUGGGGAACGUAGUAAUUUCAAAAAAUUUCCUACGCACACGCAAGAUCAUGGUGAUGCAUAGCAACGAGAGGGGAGAGUGUUGUCUAUGUACCCUCGUAGACUGAAGCGGAAGCGUUGACGCAACGUAGAGGAAGUAGUCGUACGUCUUCCUGAUCCGACCGAUCCAAGCACCGUUACUCAGGCACCUCCGAGGUCUUGGCACACGUUCAGCUCGAUGACGAUCCCCAGGCUCCGAUCCAGCAAAGCGUCGGGGAGGAGUUCCGUCAGCACGACUGCGUGGUGACGAUCUUGAUGUUCUACCGUCGCAGGGCUUCGCCUAAGCACCGCUAAAAUAUGACCGAGGUGUAAUAUCAUGGAGAGGGGCACCGCACAAGGCUAAGGAACAAUCACGAAGAUCAACUUGUGUGUCCAUGGGGUGCCCCCUGCCCCCGUAUAUAAAGGAGUGGAGGACGGGAGGGCGACCCUCUCUAUGGCGCGCCCUAGGGGAGUCCUACUCCCAUAGGGAGUAGGAUUCCCCCUUUUCCUAGUCCAACUAGGAGUCCUUCCAUGUAGUAGCACUAGUGCAGAACCGGGCAAUAGCACCGGUUCGUAAGGCCCUUUAGUGCCGGUUAGGUAACCGGCACUAAAAUUUCAGCACUAAAGGCCCCCCCUUUAGUACCGGUUCAGCACGAACCGGUGCUAAAGGGCAACCACAUGGCACGAGCGAGCUCCGGGGGCCGGGAGCCCUUUAGUACCGGUUGGUAACACCAACCGGUACUAAAAUGUUUGGGGGGUUUUUGGUUUUAUGAUUUCUUUUUCAUUAAAUUUUGUGUUUUCCAUUUUAAUUCUUUUUCGUUUGCUGGUAUUUUACGGUACUACACGUUGUACACGUUAUAUAUAUAUAUAUAUAUAAAUAGAAUUUCUAGUAGAACCAAUCAUAUAUAUAUCAUCAAUCAUGUCUCACAAAACACCAUAUUAAUUCACACAUACACACAUGUAUAGCUAUAUACAAUUUCUCCUACAUAUGCAUGUUGCCUUCGGAGCCAGUGGCAUUAGCCUGAUUGGUGCCUUCGGAGCACGAUGACAAUUGGAAGUGGUUCAUGACCUGGUCGAUGGGGGCGGUAGCGGGUAAUAGUAUUCUCCCUUCGGAUUUAUGACCUGGUCGAGCAAAAAUCCUGCUAUUUCCUAUUGAAGUGCUUCUACGCGCUCCGUUUCUAGGAGCUUGUCCCGCACCUCUUUGAACUAUUAAGAAGGAGAUCAAUAUGCAUGUGUAUUAGUUGUGUGACUAGAUAUUGAUAAUGGUGUAAAAAUUGUGAAUAGUGUUCUGACAAGCGUACCCAUUCCUGUCUUUGAGAUCUGCUCCUUCCGGACGCCAUCAUGCGAAUGUUCUCGCAAACGCAGAAUGCACACAGUUCAGUCCCCUGCGCCUGCUUCAGGGCCUUUAUUACGAGAAUGGAAUUUAAUUUGAUCAGAUAAUAAUUAAUCAAGCAUGAUAAUUAAAGAGAUGGCAGCUAGCUAGCUAGCUAGUACUACUUAAUUACUUACCUUGGCUCGAGACCAUUUCAGCUGUGGUUUCCAUUCGCCUUCCGUGUCGCUGAUGAACCUUGCCCAAGCCCUGCCCGCCGACAAAGAAAAUGAAUAAAGGGGUUAUUAAAUAGUUCAUAUCAUGAAAUGAAGAACUAAAUAGGCCGAGAUAUAUAGUUAAUAAUGAUUGAAAUUACCUGUUGACUAUCCCAAACAAGAUGUUAUAGUCACUAUUUCCUUUGAGUAGCGAGUCCAGUAUUUCAACUAUUCCGGCAUCAACUUUAAUGAUACACAAGAUCCAGUGAAAUCUGCAUGCACACACGUUUGCAAGUCUUAAUUAAGCGGGCAUAUGUAAGCAAAAACAUGUAGCUAGCUAGUAGGCAAAAAUAGAGAAUUUGUAGUACAAGAAAGUGUGACUCACUGGCAGUUGUAAGGAAGUAGUAUAUCUUCAUUGUAUUUGAGGAGCUUCAAGAACUCUAGCAUGCUGUCCUCUACCUCUUUUUCAUGAUGCUUGUUUAUUUUCCAUGUGUAUUCAUUAACGGUGUUUGGGUCAAUGAACCCAAUGCCAUAGCGUCCACCUUUUCUCAUUCCAUACAUCUUCAUCCUGCAUAAUACCACAGAAAAGAAUAUAGUAAGGAUAAUUACACGUAAUGAUUGAUCAAAAGGAUCACUACAGCUAGCUUGAGACUUAAAUUACAGAAAGAAAUCACUUACAGACAAUAGCAACUGACGAUAGAUUUGUCGAGUGUGUCUUGAUUGUAUAACUGAAACAGUUCAGAAUACUCAACGGCCACAACUUUCUCAUGGUAGUAAUCAUCCUUCUUGACAUACACCAUGAGGGACUCUCGAUCGGAUCUCUUGGUAAUGUCCAUGUACCAUUGAUGCAAUUCAUACAUUCUCGUUGGGAGCUUCUUGACAUCUUCUGGCUCGACCAAAGGUUGGCCCCGAACAUAUUUCCGUUUUAUUUCCUCCUCUGUAAUCAGAGGCAUGUCCUCGAUCUCGAGGAGUUGUCCAACAGUGAUCUUGAGUUCUUCAGCCUGCAUUAUAUGCUCCUCGGUUAUUACCACAUCGCCCACCUCGGGAAUGUAAACUGUUUGGCCACAAUAAUAUUGGGCGCGCGUACUGUCACGUGUUGUUGGCGGCACAACAAGCGGNNNNNNNNNNNNNNNNNNNNNNNNNNNNNNNNNNNNNNNNNNNNNNNNNNNNNNNNNNNNNNNNNNNNNNNNNNNNNNNNNNNNNNNNNNNNNNNNNNNNNNNNNNNNNNNNNNNNNNNNNNNNNNNNNNNNNNNNNNNNNNNNNNNNNNNNNNNNNNNNNNNNNNNNNNNNNNNNNNNNNNNNNNNNNNNNNNNNNNNNNNNNNNNNNNNNNNNNNNNNNNNNNNNNNNNNNNNNNNNNNNNNNNNNNNNNNNNNNNNNNNNNUUCCCAGCUGGGCAACGGUUUUCCUGCAUUUUUUGACAGCUGCUUGUUGUUUGCUCGAGCUCGAGCUCGCCUCCUUCUGUAGACGUUGUCGAUGUAACUUCCUGAUGUGGCGCUCAUAGUCUGUUUCAACAGGCUUAGGAGCUAGUGGUUGAGCCAUACGAAUGAAGUGGUCAACUACUUCCACAGGCACUUUCUCCCUUGGCGGCGGUGGCGGUUUCGGUCCAAAAUGGGCGUCGACUUCUGCCCGCACUAUGGCAUUGGUUUGCUCCUCAGUCCUGUCGUAAGCCCUCACAGGAAGAGGAGUACUGAGGUUUGGACCAUAUUUAUAUCGCUUGCCUCCACCUGUACUUCCUGUACUAUCACCUCGACUCGUACCGCUACGCACCAUAGCUGCGGGGUGUCUCUUCUGCGAUUGCUGAGGCGGCGGAGACGGCAGACGGGGCUGAGUUAGACGAGGAGGAGUGGCCUGAAGCUGUGCCGGACUUGGAGGAGGAGUGGCCUGAGGUUGUGCCGGACUUGGAGGAGGAGUGGACGUCUGACGCUGUGUCGGACUUGGAGGAGGAGUGGCCUCACACAUUGCCGGACUUGGAGGAGGAGGAGUGGCCUCACGCGUUGAUGGACUUGGAGCGGGAGUCUGCUGACUCGGUGGUGGACUUCGACGAGGAGUCGGGUGACGCGGUGUCGGUGGCCUUCGAAAGAUGAUGCAAUCCUUUCUCCAUAGGAUGACAUGAUGUAUGGCCUCUCCCAAUGUGUGCUCGUCGUCACCUCUAGGAAUGUCAAGUUGUAGCUCCGAAUAUGGGUCCACCACCUCAUCAACCAAGACACGAGCAUAGCCUGCUGGAAUCGGGUUGCAAUGGAAGGUUGCCUCGGGGGAAUUUGAAAAAGCAACGGCGUCCGCCACCUUCAUGGAUAUGUUCUUCAUUUUGAAGUGUACCUCGCAGUUAGUGUUCUCCGUGAUGUCAUCCAUGGGGUAUCUAUCCAGCACUGCGUCGCCCGGGGCGGAACCCACGCUGCUUCUCGGCAUGGAUGGGGUGGUGGUAUCCAAUGCUGGAUCAUCCGCUAGGUGCUGCAGCUGCUGAGACCCCAUUUGCUGGCUAAGUGAGUCGAUCUGCUCCUGCUGCCGCUGGAAUUUAGCUGCCAAUUCCGCUUGACUUGCUUCUAGGCCUUGAAGGCGUUCAUAGUCCCGCUUCCUUUGCUCCUCCUCCAUCUUCCUCUUCUUCUCCUCCGCAAUCUUCUUUCUCGCACGGGUUCUGUAGUCGGCGUUCCAGUCCGAAAACCCCUCAUACCACGGAAUAGCGCCCUUGCCUCGUGGUCUUCCCGGGUGUUCAGGAUUUCCCUGGGCACGCGUAAGCUCGUCCUUCUCUCUGUUGGGCUGAAACACCCCCGAUCGAGCCUCUUCUAUUGCAACAAGUAGCGCAUCGUCGGCUCCAUUCAGACAUGCCUUCGUCAAAACAUUGCCUGUCUUCGGGUCCAACUCCCCCCCAUGCGCAUAGAACCAAGUCCUGCACCUAGGGGGCCAACUCUUAGUAAACGGAGUGGCACCUGCAUCCUCCAUCUCUUUCUCAGACUUAUCCCACUUAGGCAUUGCCACCGUGUAGCCAGCUGGCCCCAGCUUAUGGAACUUAUCCUUUUUUCGGCAUUCUUCUUGUUUAUUCUCGACCGUUCCUUAGCUAAUUCGGAAUCCUUGAAUUUCAUGAAAUCGUCCCAAUGAGAACUUUGAUUCUCUAGUAUCCCCUCGAAUACUGGAGUCUUCCUUCCUCCCUUGACGUACUUCUCCCACGUCGUUCUCUUGUGGUUCUUGAAUGCAACCGCCAUCUUCCUAAAAGCAGCGUCCUUGACUUUCUGCACAUCUGCUUCCGUGAAAUGAUCUGGUAGGGUGAAAUGUUCCAUGAGAGUAUCCCAAAGCAGUUUUUUAUAUUCUCGUCUACAAAAGUAUCAUUUGGACGUGGCUUUGCUGGCUUUCUCCAUUCUUGAAGGGAGAUCGGGAGUUGGUCCUUCACAAGAACUCCACACUAACGAACGAACUUGUCCGCAAUCUUCUUAGGCGCUAAUGGUUCGCCAUUAGGUUUGAAUGCCUCGAUAUUGUACUUUACGCCCUCCUUCAACUUUUUGUUCGGGCCUCGUUUUGUCCUUUUGCCUGAAGAUUUGCUCGAUCCGGAUGGCUGAAAGAAGAAAGAUCGAUUCGUUAAUAUAUCUUCAACUCAUUUAAAACAUGCGAUGAUCACCAGAUUCCUGCUUAUAUAAAUAUAUAUACCUCGCCGGUACAUGUUGUUUCAGGGUCAACAUGUUCUUCGUCGUAGUUCAGGACUUCAUCUUCUCGGUCAUCGCGAUCAAAUAUCAUAUCACCCUCUCCGGUGUUGUUUAGAAAUUCAGAGCCGUCAAAAUCUUCUUCAUUCUGAUCAUCAUCUGGCCCGCGUAUGAUACCGAACAUGGUAUGUUCUCUCUCUCUGUCGGUAUUGUCCGCCAUAGCUUUUAUUUAACUAUGCCAAAAGAAAUAUAAAAUAAUUUAGUAUAAUCUCGAAUAAUAGAUAUAAUCUCGAAUACAUCGUCUCGAAUAAUAGAUAUAAUCUCGAAUACAUCGUCUCGAAUAAUAGAUUUAAUCUCGAAUACAUCGUCUCGAAUAAUAGAUAUAAUCUCGAAUACAUCGUCUCGAAUAAUAGAUUUAAUCUCGAAUACAUCGUCUAGAAUAAUAGAUUUAAUCUCGAAUACAUCGUCUCGAAUAAUAUAUAAUAUUGAAUAGUACAUCAUUGGCUAGGCGGUGGACACCCAAAGAGAAGGAACCCUCACAGGAUCAUAGCUGAAGUGAGAGCCCCGAAGAAACUGCCAGGUUUUGGAGAACCUUCCGCCCUCUAACGCAACCAUGUAGCGAUGGAUGUAAUCGUCCUCCUCCCUGACACGACGACGUACCACCUCCGGCGGGGCCGGCUCCCUCCGCACCGAAACUGGCCCACGCGAACGCCACCAAACGAGAUCAGGGUCGAUCACAGGACCCGGGGCCGGGUUCCUCAUCAAGCGGCGCGCCCCUCCAGGCAGCACCUCCCAGUGCCAGCCCGGCGGAGCCCAGUCCCGGACAUGGGUCAGCUGGACGUCGUCGCGGACGUGUCGACGGUGAGGAUGUGGGCCGGGCAUCGUCGACAACAAAUACUAGCUAUAUGCCCGCAAAAAGUAACAUUUUUUUAAUGAUUGGAAUUUGAUAACUAAAAUUUCUAACAUUUCUAUAUAACACUAAUUAUGCUAUCAUUGCAUAUGUCAAAAUUCUAUAUGCUAUUUCAUACUAAUUAAGCAUCUAACACUAAAAACAGAAAACACAACUUCUAUACAUCCAUUAAAAAAACUGAAAAACAACAUUAUAUAAACAAAUUUCAAUACUAAUUAAACACUAAUUAUAUCCAUCUAACAUGCAUUCAUACAUAUAUGCUAGUGAAAAAAUAAUAAUCUAAAAAAUCUAAACUAAUUAAACAUACAAAAUACGUAUAUACUAAUAUAUACAUGCAUUAAUUCAUACAUAUGUACGUGUGUGUGUGUGUGUGCUCGGGGAGGGGUGGUGCCCAUGGUGGCCGCCGGGGGCGAGGGAGAGGGGUUAGAGGGGGAGAGCUCACAGCAGGGUGACGGCGACGGCCAGGGGCGGCGACGGGCCGGGGUGUGACGCGGGGGCGGCGACGCGGGGACGGUGCGACGGGGACGGGCCUGGGGCGGCGACGGGGACGGGCCCGAUGACGGGGACGGGGGCGGCGACGGCGACAUCGUCGAUUGAUCGGGGUGCGCGGGCGGUGCUUCAAUGGGGAAACAGAGGAAGAAACAAAGGGAGAAUGAAAUUUUCGUAAGUGUUCUAUAUAUAGAAGGCACCUUCAGUACCGGUUGGAGCCACCAACCGGUACUAAAGGCCUGUUUUGGCCAGGCCAAGCCGCGGGAAGCACCCCCCUUUAGUACCGGUUCCUGGCUCCAACCGGUACUAAAGGCCCCCCCUUUAGUACCGGUUGGUGCCACCAACCGGUACUAAAGGGGGGUACGCUGCCAGGCGAGGGGCACAAAACUUUAGUCCCACCUCGCUAGCCGAGGGGCACUCACACCUUCUUAUAAGCCCCGCCGUCGCUGCUGUCUCGAGCUCCACUCUUAAGCACGCCUUCUGGGCCUACCUCUUCUGCGAUGCCCUGUUGGGCCUACUGGGCUAGUGGGCCUGCAUCCUGGCCCAACUUGAAUAUGGGUUUCUAGUCGUAUGCAGGCCGCUGUGGCCCAGUAGGUGGGCUUUUUUUUCUUAUUUUUUUGCUUUAUUUAUUUUUGUGAAUAACUUAACUUUGAAAAUAGAUUUUUCAGUGAUUCUUUUUUCUUAUGUUUAAUAUUAGUGUGUUUUAUCAUUAUAUUCAAUUUGGUAAUGCUUAGGUUAUUUAAAAAAUGAAAUGCCUUUGUAACGGAUGAGUUUUCGUCCGAAACCCUGAUACUUCGAAACAGAUUGUCCAUUUUGUACACGAAGUGCAUCCAGUUUUUGCGGUAACCCUCUCUACUUUUUUGCACAUGCUAUGUGGGUGAAAUUAUGAUACCAUGCCAACUUUCAUCCUUUUCUGAGUUCAUUUGAAAUUCUUUUCAAUUUUAGGGUCAUUUAGGUGAAAAAAAUCAGUAAAUGCAUGAAAGAAUUUGCUUGCACAUAAAAUUUCUUCGCGUUUCAAAUGCCAAAACACAUAACUAGCUACCCUAACUAUUACAGAGAUUCCCUCCUGGGUGUGAAACACAGAAGAAAGUGAUGAUAGUUACGCCGAUCAUAUCCCAGAUCUUUGGGUGUGAAACUUUUUCUUCGCGUGUGUCCCUUUGCGUCGUAGCCAUGGAAAAUCUUCAUCAUUUAACGGGAUGCUCGGGUCAAUAUUCACUGUGAAUGGAGCAAUUUCAUCAAACUUUUCAUAAUCAUCUGACUUGUCUGUUUUGUCAUCCACUCCCAUGAUGUUUCUCUUCCCAGAAAGAACUAUGUGCCGCUUUGGCUCAUCGUACGAUGCAUUCACUUCCUUAUCUUUUCUUUUUCUUGGCUUGUUAGACAUGUCCUUCACACAGAAAACCUAUGCCACAUCAUUGGCUAGGACGAACGGUUCGUCUGCAUACGCAAGAUUGUUGAGAUCCACUGUUGUCAUUCCGUACUGCGGGUCUUCCAUUACCCAGCCUCGUGUCAUAUUAACCCAUUUGCACCGAAACAAAGGGACCUUCAAACCACGUCGAUAGUCAAGUUCCCAUAUGUCCUGUAUAUAACCAUAAUAUGUUUCCUUUCCCGUCUUGGUUUCUGCAUCAAAGCGGACACCACUGUUUUGGUUGGUGCUCUUAUUAUCUUGGGCGAUCGUGUAAAAUGUAUUACCAUUUAUCUCGUACCCUUUGAAAGUCAUUAUAUUCGAAGAUGGUAAUUGGGAUAGCAAGUACAUGUCAUCUUCAAUAGAGGUGUCAUGCAUGGUACGUGGUUGCAACCAGCUGGCGAAACUCCUGGUUUGUUCACGUGUAAUCCAGUCAUCAGACCGCUCCGGGUGUUUGGAGCGUAGCAAAUUCUUGUGUUCAUCCAUAUACGGAGCCACCGAGGCAGAAUUCUGUAGAACUAUGUAGUGUGCUUCAGUGAGAGAAUGUCCAGCCAUAUAUACAUAUUAUUUGUUCCCCUCCUAGCGUGCCUUUUCCAUCCAGUCUGCCCUUAUGCCGCGAUUCAGGAACACCAAUCGGCUUAAGGUCAGGAAUAAAGUCAAUACAAAACUCACUGACCUCCUCAUUUUGACGGCCCUUGGAGAUGCUUCCUUCUGGCCUAGCACGGUUAUGAACAUAUUUCUUUAAGUCUCCCACGAACCUCUCAAAGGGGAACAUAUUGUGUAGAAAUACAGGACCCAAAACGUUAAUCUCUUCGCAUAGGUGAACUAGGACGUGCGUCAUGAUGUUGAAGAAGGAUGGUGGGAACACCAACUCGAAACUGACAAGACAUUGCACCAAAUCAUUCUGUAACCUUGGUAUGAUUUCUGGAUCGAUUACCUUCUGAGAGAUUGCAUUGAGAAAUGCACAUAGCUUCACAAUGGCUAAUCGAACGUUUUCCGGUAGAAGCCCCCUCAAUGCAACCGGAAGUACUUGCGUCAUAAUCACGUGGCAGUCAUGAGACUUUAGGUUCUGGAACUUUUUCUCUGCCAUGUUUAUUAUUCCCUUUAUAUUCGACGAGAAGCCAGAUGGUACCUUAAUAAUGAGUAGGCAUUCAAAGAACAUUUCCUUCUCUUCUUUGGUAAGAGCGUAGCUUGCAUGACCCUGAUGUAUGCCGUCUUUUCCGUGCAUACGUUGCUGGUCCUCCUGUGCCUUAGGUGUAUCUUUUGUCAUCCCAUACACGCCCAAGAAGCCAAGCAGGGUCACACAAAGAUUCUUCGUCACGUGCAUCACGUCGAUUGCGGAGCGGACCUCGAGGUCUUUCCAAUAGUGCAGGUCCCAAAAUAUAGAUUUCUUCUUCCACAUGGGUGCGCGUCCGUCAGCGUCAUUCGGAACAGGUUGUCCACCAGGACCCUUUCUAAAGACCACCUUCAAAUCCUUGACCAUAUCAUGUACAUCAGCACCAGUACGGUGGCGAGGCUUCGUCCGGUGAUCCGCCUCACCUUUGAAAUGCUUGCAUUUCUUUCUUACGGGAUGCCUGCUCGUAAGAAAUCGACGAUGUCCUAGGUACACAUUCUUAUUAGCCAAAUAUAUACUGUCGGUAUCGUCCAAACAGUGCGUGCAUGCGCGGUAUCCCUUGUUUGUCUGUCCUGAAAGGUUACUGAGAGCAGGCCAAUCAUUGAUGGUCACGAACAGCAACGCCUUUAGGUCAAAUUCUUCCCCCAUGUGCUCAUCCCACACACGUACACCUGUUCCAUUCCAUAGUUGUAAGAGUUCUUCAACUAAUGGCCUUAGGUACACAUCAAUGUCGUUGCCGGGUUGCUUAGGGCCUUGGAUGAGCACUGGCAUCAUAAUGAACUUCCGCUUCAUGCACAACCAAGGAGGAAGGUUAUACAAACAUAGAGUCACAGGCCAAGUGCUAUGGUUGCUGCUCUGCUCCCCAAAAGGAUUAAUGCCAUCUGCGCUUAGACCAAACCAUACGCUCCUUGCGUCAUUUGCAAACUCCUUCCCGUACUUUCUUUCGAUUUUUCUCCACUGUGAACCGUCAGCGGUUAGUGUCAACUUUCCAUCUUUCUUACGGUCUUCGCUGUGCCAUCGCAUCGCCUUGGCAUGCUCUUUGUUUUGGAACAAACGUUUCAACCGUGGUAUUAUAGGAGCAUACCACAUCACCUUGGCAGGAAUCUUCUUCCUGGGGCGCCGGCCCUCGACAUCACCAGGGUCAUCGCGGCUGAUCUUAUAGCGCAAUACACCACAUACCGGGCAAGCGUUCAAAUCCUCGUACUCACCACGGUAGAGGAUGCAAUCAUUAGGGCAUGCAUGUAUCUUCUCCACCUCUAACCCUAGAGGGCAGAGAACCUUCUUUGCUUCGUACAUACUCUCGGGCAAUUCGUUGUCCUUUGGAAGGAUAUCCUUUAUCAUUACCAGCAACUUUCCAAAUCCCUUGUCAGAUACACCAUUCUCUGCCUUCCAUUGCAGCAAUUCCAGUGUGGUGCCCAGUUUUUUCUUGUCAGCUACGCAAUUCGGGUACAACAAUUUUUUGUGAUCCCCUAACAUGCACUGCAACUUCUUCUCCAAAUCACUUGCGCAGUUUCUCUUUGCAUCGGCAAUGGCCCGACCUAGAUCAUCAACGGGCUCAUCUGAUGCCUCUUCUUCAGCUUCUUCCCGCAUUGCCGGCUCAGCUUCUUCCCGCAUUACCGGCUCAGCUUCUUCCACCAUUGUUGUAUCAUCGUAUUCAGGGAACCCAUGGCCAGGAUAGCUGUCGUCGUCCUCUUCUUCUUCAUUGUCUUCCAUCAUAACCCCUCUUUAUCCGUGCUUGGUCCAAACAUUAUAAUGGGGCAUGAAACCAGACUUAAACAGGUGGACGUGAAUGGUUCUUGACGUACAGUAAUUGUGACCAUUCUUACAGCGAGCACAUGGACAAGGCAUAAAACCAUCCGCCCCCUUGUUUGCCUCAGCCGCAAGCAGAAAAGUAUGCACGCCCUCAACGAACUGGGGAGAGCAUCGGUCAUCGUACAUCCAUUGCCGGCUCAUCUUCAUUACACAACAACGAAUAGAACAAAUUAAUACAAGUUCAUACAUAAAGUUCAUACAACACUUAAAUGCAACAAACAAAUAACUCUCUAGCUAAAGCAUUUAAAUGCAACAACAAAUACGAUCAAGAUCGCAACUAAGGUAACAAUGGAUCCAACAGCAUAAUGAAACCAAGCCUCACUAUCGAUGGCAUAUUUUCUAAUCUUUCUAAUCUUCAAGCGCAUUUUCUCCAUCUUGAUCUUGUGAUCAUCGACGAUACCGGCAACAUGCAACUCCAAUUCCAUCUUCUCCCCCUCAAUUCUUUUCAAUUUUUCUUUCAAGUACUCGUUUUCUCUUUCAACUAAAUUUAACCUCUCGGCAAUAGGGUAGGUUGGAAUUUCCGGUUGAUGGGCAUAAUUUGUAAUAAACACGAAAUGCAACUAGUUUUAAAAGAGAAUAUACAUACCACAUCCGAAUCAUAACAAGGACUAGGGCCGACGGGGACGGAUAUCAAAACCAUGGCACUAUAUGUAUAACAAACAACGUACAGGUAAGAUAAUUAUACGAGUAACUAUAUAUCCAAAUCACACAAACAUCAAUUUUUAUAUAAAAUUUCAUGAACAAGAGGCUCACCACAAGGUGGUGCCGGCGACGGGACGGUGCGGGCGAUCCACGGUGGCUACGAUGGAGAUUUAGAAGGCACUAAGUAAACCACACCUACAUAUGCAAACUAAAUGUUAUUUUUGACCUCAAAUUGCAUAUAAAUCAAAUACUAGCACAUAUAUAUAUAUCAUCCCAAAUUACUAAACUCACAAAUUAAUCACUAUAUAAAGCAUUGCAAGAGCUAAUCUAGCAACGAGAGAUGAAAGGACAAAGUUGCUAACCUUUGUGAUCAUUUGAAUGGAUGGGGGCCUUCAAAUCUUGACAAAUUUUGGGCAAAAUGUGUGAUGAGCUCGAGAGGAAGAGGGGAAGAACAGAGAGGAGAGGGGAAAGGGGAAGAAUAGAGCGAGCUCGGGUGGACGAAGGGUUUAUGUAGGACGACCUUUAGUACCGGUUUGUGCCAAGAACCGGUACUAAAGGGGCUGGAGGGGCCCCAUACUGACAACAUCCUGCCACCACUCUCAUUAGUACCGGUUCGUGGCACGAACCGGUGCUAAAGGUUCGCCAUGAACCGGUACUAAUGAAAGCAGCCUGGUUAGCCGUUGGAACCGGCACUAAUGUAUACAUUAGUGCCGGCUCAAAUACAAACCGGCACUAAUGUGCUUCAUGUUUGACCCUUUUUCCACUAGUGUAGGAGUAGGAGACAAGGAAGGGGAAGGGAGAAGGGAAAGAAGGAGGGGGCGCGGCCCCUCCCCCUAGUCCAAUUCGGACUAGGCCUUGGGGGGGCGCGCGGCCUGCCCUAGGCAGCCCCUCUCUCUUUCCCGUAUGGCCCAAUAAGGCCCAAUACUUCUCCCGGCGAAUUCCCGUAACUCUCCGGUACUCCGAAAAAUACCCGAACCACUCGAAACCUUUCCGAUGUCCGAAUAUAGUCGUCCAAUAUAUCGAUCUUUACAUCUCGACCAUUUCGAGACUCCUCCUCAUGUCCCCGAUCCCAUCCGGGACUCCGAACUCCUUCGGUACAUCAAAACUCAUAAACUCAAAAUAUAACUGUCAUCGAAACCUUAAGCGUGCGGACCCUACAGUUCGAGAACAAUGUAGACAUGAUCGAGACACAUGUCCGGUCAAUGACUAAUAGCGGGACCUGGAUGCCCAUAAUGGCUCCUACAUAUUCUACGAAGAUCUUUAUCGGUCAGACCGCAUAACAACAUACGUUGUUCCCUUUGUCAUCGGUAUGUUACUUGCCUGAGAUUUGAUCGUCGGUAUCUCAAUACCUAGUUCAAUCUUGUUACCGGCAAGUCUCUUUACUCGUUCCGUAAUACAUCAUCUCGCAACUAACUCAUUAGUUGCAAUGCUUGCAAGGCUUAUGUGAUGUGCAUUACCGAGAGGGCCUAGAGAUACCUCUCCGACAAUCGGAGUGACAAAUCCUAAUCUCGAAAUACGCCAGCCCAACAUGUACCUUUGGAGACACCUGUAGAGCUCCUUUAUAAUCACCCAGUUAUGUUGUGACGUUUGGUAGAACACAAAGUGUUCCUCCGGCAAAUGGGAGUUGCAUAAUCUCAUAGUCAUAUGAACAUGUAUAAGUCAUGAAGAAAGCAAUAGCAACAUACUAAACGAUUGGGUGCUAAGCUAAUGGAAUGGGUCAUGUCAAUCAGAUCAUUCAACUAAUGAUCUGAUCCCGUUAAUCAAAUAACAACUCUUUGUCCAUGGUUAGGAAACAUAACCAUCUUUGAUUAACGAGCUAGUCAAGUAGAGGCAUACUAGUGACACUCUGUUUUCUAUGUAUUCACACAUGUAUUAUGUUUCCGGUUAAUACAAUUCUAGCAUGAAUAAUAAACAUUUAUCAUGAUAUAAGUAAAUAAAUAAUAACUUUAUUAUUGCCUCUAGGGUAUAUUUCCAUCAGUCUCCCACUUGCACUAGAGUCAAUAAUCUAGAUCACAUCGCCAUGUGAUUUAACAUCAAUAGUUCACAUCUUUAUGUUAUUGGUUCACAUCUCCAUGUGACUAACACCCAAAGGGUUUACUAGAUUCAAUAAUCUAGUUCACAUCGCUAUGUGAUUAAGACCCAAAAAGUGAUCAUGUUUUGCUUGUGAGAGAAGUUUAGUCAAUAGGUCUUCCACAUUCAGAUCCGCAUGUAUUUUGCAAAUUUCUAUGUCAACAAUGCUCUGCAUGGAGCUACUCUAGCUAAUUGCUCCCACUUUCAAUAUGUAUCCAGAUUGAGACUUAGAGUCAUCUGGAUCAGUGUCAAAACUUGCAUCGACGUAACCCUUUACGACGAACCUUUUGUCACCUCCGUAAUCGAGAAACAUAUCCUUAUUCUACUAAGGAUAAUUUUGACCGCUGUCAAUAGAUCUACUCCUAGAUCACUAUUGUACUCCCUCUCUUAACACAGUGUAUGGUAUACAAUAGAUCUGGUACACAACAUGGCAUACUUUAUAGAACCUAUGACUGAGGCAUAGGGAAUGACUUUCAUUCUCUUUCUAUCUUCUGCCGUGGUCGGGCUUUGAGUCUUACUCAACUUCACGCCUUGUAACACAAGCAAGAAACUUUUUCUUUGACUGUUCCAUUUUGAACUACUUCAAAAUCUUGUCAAGGUAUGUACUCAUCGAAAAAACUUAUCAAGCGUCUUGAUCUAUCUCUAUAGAUCUUGAUACUCAAUAUGUAAGCAGCUUCACCGAGGUCUUUCUUUGAAAAAACUCCUUUCAAACAUUCCUUUAUGCUUUGCAGAAUAAUUCUACAUUAUCUCCGAUCAACAAUAUGUCUUUCACAUAUACUUAUCAGAAAUGAUGUAGUGCUCCCACUCACUUUCUUGUAAAUACAGGCUUCACUGCAAGUCUGUAUAAAACUAUAUGCUUUGAUCAACUCAUGAAAGCGUAUAUUCCAACUCUGAGAUGCUUGCACCAGUCCAUAGAUGGAUCGCUGGAGCUUGCAUAUUUUGUUAGUACCUUUAGGAUUGACAAAACCUUCUGGUUGCAUCAUAAACAACUCUUCUUUAAUAAAUCCAUUAAGGAAUGCAGUUUUGUUUAUCCAUUUGCCAGAUUUCAUAAAAUGCGGCAAUUGCUAACAUGAUUCGGACAGACUUAAGCGUAGAUACGAGUGAGAAACUCUCAUCGUAGUCAACACCUUGAACUUGUCGAAAACCUUUUUGCGACAAUUCUAGUUUUGUAGAUAGUAACACUACUAUCAGCGUCCGUCUUCCUCUUGAAGAUCCAUUUAAUCUCAAUGGCUUGCCGAACAUCGGGCAAGUCAACCAAAGUCCACACUUUGUUCUCAUACAUGGAUCCUAUCUCAGAUUUCAUGGCCUCAAGCCAUUUAUCGGAAUCUGGGCUCAUCAUCGCUUCCUCAUAGGUCGCAAGUUUGUCAUGGUCAAGUAACAUGACCUCCAGAACAGGAUUACCAUACCACUUUGGUGCGGAUCUCAAUCUGGUUUACCUACGAGGUUUGGUAGUAACUUGAUCUGAAGUUACAUGAUCAUCAUCAUUAGCUUCCUCACUAAUUGGUGUAGGAGUCACAGGAACAAAUUUCUGUGAUGAACUACUUUCCAAUAAAGGAGAAGGUACAAUUACCUUAUCAAGUUUUCUACUUUCCUCCCACUCACUUCUUUCAAGAGAAACUCCUUCUCUGGAAAGGAUCCAUUCUCAGUCAACGAAUAUCUUGCCUUCGGAUCUGUGAUAGAAGGUGUACCCAACAUUUUCUUUAGGGUAUCCUAUGAAGAUGCACUUUUCCGAUUUGGGUUUGAGCUUAUCAGGAUGAAACUUUUUCACAUAAGCAUCACAACCCCAAACUUUAAGAAACGACAACUUUGGUUUCUUGCCAAACCACAGUUCAUAAGGCGUCGUCUCAACGGAUUUUGAUGGUGCCCUAUUCAACGUGAAUGCAGCUGUCUCUAAUGCAUAACCCCAAAACGAUAGUGGUAGAUCGGUAAGAGAUAUCAUAGAUCGCACCAUAUCUAAUAAAGUACGGUUAUGAUGUUCGGACACACCAUUACAUUGUGGUGUUCCAGGUGGCAUGAGUAGUGAAACUAUUUCACAUUGUUUUUAACUGAAGGCCAAACUCAUAACUCAAAUACUCUUCUCUACGAUCAGGUCGUAGAAACUUUAUUUUCUUGUUACGAUGAUUUUUCACUUCACUCUGAAAUUCUUUGAACUUUUCAAAUGUUUCAGACUUAUGUUUCAUCAAGUAGAUAUACUCAUAUCUGCUCAAAUCAUCUGUGAAGAUCAGAAAAUAAUGAUACCUGUCGCGAGCCUCAAUAUUCAUCGGACCACAUACAUUAGUAUGUAUGAUUUCCAACAAAUCUGUUGCUCGCUCCAUUGUUCUGAAGAACAGAGUCUUAGUCAUCUUGCCCAUUAGGCAUGGUUCGCAAGCAUCAACUGAUUCAUAACCAACUGAUUCCAAAAGCCCAUCAGCAUGGAGUUUCUUCAUGCGCUUUACACCAAUAUGACCUAAACGGCAGUGCUACAAAUAAGUUGCACUAUCAUUAUUAACUUUGCAUCUUUUGGUUUCAAUAUUAUGAUUAUGUGUAUCACUACAAUCGAGAUCCAACGAACUAUUUUCAUUGGGUGUGUAACCAUAUAAGGUUUUAUUCAUGUAAACAGAACAACAAUUUAUUCUCUUACUUAAAUGAAUAACCGUAUUACAAUAAACAUGAUCAAAUCAUAUUCAUGCUCAACGCAAACACCAAAUAACACUUAUUUAGGUUCAACACUAAUCCUGAAAUUAUAGGGAGUGUGCGAUGAUGAUCAUAUCAAUCUUGGAACCACUUCCAACAUACAUCAUCACUUCACCCUUAACUAGUCUCUGUUUAUUUUGCAACUCCCGUUUCGAGUUACUAAUCUUUGCAACUGAACUAGUAUCAAAUACUGAGGGGUUGCUAUAAACACUUGUAAAGUACACAUCAAUAACAUGUAUAUCAAAUAUACUUAUGUUCACUUUGCCAUCCUUCUUAUCCGCCAAUCACUUGGGGUAGUUCCGCUUCUAGUGACCAGUGCCUUUGCAGUAGAAGCACUUAGUCUCAGGCUUAGGACCAGACUUGGGCUUCUUCACUUGAGCAGCAACUUGCUUGCUGUUCUUCUUGAAGUUCCCCUUCUUCCCUCUGCCCUUUUCUUGAAACUAGUGGUCUUGUCAACCAUCAACACCUGAUGUUUUUCUUGAUUUCUACCUUCAUUGAUUUCAGCAUCACGAAGAGCUUGGGAGUUGUUUCCGUUAUCCCUUGCAUAUUAUGGUUCAUCACGAAGUUCUACUAACUUGGUGAUGGUGACUAGAGAAUUCUGUCAAUCACUAUCUUAUCUGGAAGAUUAACUCCCACUUGGUUCAAGCAAUUGUAGUACCCAGACAAUCUGAGCACGUGCUCACUAGUUGAGCGAUUCUCCUCCAUCUUUUAGCUAUAGAACUUGUUGGAGACUUCAUAUCUCUCAAGUCGGGUAUUUGCUUGAAAUAUUAACUUCAACUCCUAGAACAUCUCAUAUGGUCCAUGAUGUUCAAAACGUCUUUGAAGUCCUGAUUCUAAGCCAUUAAGCAUGGUGCACUAAACUAUCAAGUAGUCAUCAUAUUGGGCUAGCCAAACGUUCAUAACGUCGGCAUCUGCUCCUGCAAUAGGUCUGUCACCUAGCGGUGCAUCAAGGACAUAAUUCCUCUAUGCAGCAAUGAGGAUAAAACUCAGAUCACGGAUCCAAUCCGCAUCAUUGCUACUAACAUCUUUCAACACAAUUUUCUCUAGGAACAUAUCAAAAUAAACAUAGGGAAGCAACAACGCGAGCUAUUGAUCUACAACAUAAUUUGCAAAAUACUACCAGGACUAAGUUCAUGAUAAAUUUAAGUUCAAUUUAAUCAUAUUACUGGAGAACUCCCACUUAGAUAGACAUCCCUCUAAUCCUCUAAGUGAUCACGUGAUCCAAAUCAACUAAACCAUGUCCGAUCACCACGUGAGAUGGAGUAGUUUCAUUGGUGAACAUCACUAUGUUGAUCAUAUCUACUAUCUGAUUCACGCUCGACCUUUCGGUCUCCGUGUUCCGAGGCCAUAUCUGUAUAUGCUUGCCUCGUCAAGUAUAACCUGAGUAUUCCGCGUGUGCAACUGUUUUACACCCGUUGUAUUUGAACGUAGAGCCUAUCACACCCGAUCAUCACGUGGUGUCUCAGCACGAAGAAGUUUCGCAACGGUGCAUACUCAGGGAGAACACUUCUUGAUAAUUAGUGAGAGAUCAUCUUAAAAUGCUACCGUCAAACUAAGCAAAAAUAAGAUGUAUAAAAGAUAAACAUCAUAUGCAAUCAAAAUAUGUGACAUGAUAUGGCCAUCAUCAUCUUGCUUCUUUGAUCUCCAUCUCCAAAGUACUGUCAUGAUCUAUAUCGUCAUCGGCAUGACACCAUGAUCUCCAUCAUCUUGAUCUAUAUCAAUGUGUCGUCACGUGGUCGUCUCGCCAACAAUUGCUCUUGCAACUAUUGCUAUCGCAUAGCGAUAAAGUAAAGCAAUUAUUGGACGCUUGCAUCUUAUGUAAUAGAGAGACAACCAUAAGGAUUUUGCCAGUUGUUGAUAACUUCAACAAAACAUGAUCAUCUCAUACAACAACUUAUAUCUCAUCACGUCUUGACCAUAUCACAUCACAACAUGCCCUGCAAAAACAAGUUAGACGUCCUCUACUUUGUUGUUGCAAGUUUUACGUGGCUGCUACGGGCUUAAGCAAGAACCAAUCUUACCUACGCAUCAAAACCACAACGAUAGUUUGUCAAGUUGGUGCUGUUUUAACCUUCGCAAGGACCGGGCGUAGCCACACUCGGUUCAACUAAAGUUGGAGAAACUGUCACCCCCAAGCCACCUAUGUGCAAAGCACGUCGGGAGAACCGGUCUCGCGUAAGCAUACGCGUAAUGUCGGUCUGGGCCGCUUCAUCCAACAAUACCGCCGAACCAAAGUAUGACAUGCUGGUAAGCAGUAUGACUUAUAUCGCCCACAACUCACUUGUGUUCUACUCGUGCAUAUAACAUCAACACAUAAAACCUAGGCUCAAAUGCCACUGUUGGGGAACGUAGUAAUUUCAAAAAAUUUCCUACGCACACGCAAGAUCAUGGUGAUGCAUAGCAACGAGAGGGGAGAGUGUUGUCAACGUAGCCUUGUAGACCGAAGCAGAAGCGUUGACGCAACGUAGAGGAAGUAGUCGUACGUCUUCCCGAUCCGACCGAUCCAAGCACCAUUACUCCGGCACCUCCGAGUUCUUGGCACACGUUCAGCUCGGUAACGAUCCCCAGGCUCCGAUCCAGCAAAGCGUCGGCGAGGAGUUCCAUCAGCACGACGGCGUGGUGACGAUCUUGAUGUUCUACCGUCGCAGGGCUUCGCCUAAGCACCGCUACAAUAUGACCGAGGUGUAAUAUCGUGGAGAGGGGCACCGCACACGGCUAAGGAACGAUCACGAAGAUCAACUUGUGUGUCCAUGGGGUGCCCCCUGCCCCCGUAUAUAAAGGAGUGGAGGAGGGGAGGGCUGGCCCUCUCUAUGGCGCGCCCUAGGGGAGUCCUACUCCCAACGGGAGUAGGAUUCCCCCUUUUCCUAGUCCAACUAGGAGUCCUUCCAUGUAGUAGGAGUAGGAGACAAGGAAGGGGAAGGGAGAAGGGAAAGAAGGAGGGGGCGCGGCCCCUCCCCCUAGUCCAAUUCGGACUAGGCCUUGGGGGGCGCACGGCCUGCCCUAGGCAGCCCCUCUCUCUUUCCCGUAUGGCCCAAUAAGGCCCAAUACUUCUCCCGGCGAAUUCCUGUAACUCUCCGGUACUCCGAAAAAUACCCGAACCACUCGGAACCUUUCCGAUGUCCGAAUAUAGUCGUCCAAUAUAUCGAUCUUUACGUCUCGACCACUUCGAGACUCCUCGUCAUGUCCCCGAUCCCAUCCGGGACUCCGAAAUCCUUCGGUACAUCAAAACUCAUAAACUCAUAAUAUAACUGUCAUCGAAACCUUAAGCGUGCGGACACUACGGUUCGAGAACAAUGUAGACAUGACUGAGACACGUCUCCAGUCAAUAACCAAUAGCGGGACCUGGAUGCCCAUAUUGGCUCCUACAUAUUCUACGAAGAUCUUUAUCGGUCAGACCGCAUAACAACAUACGUUGUUCCCUUUGUCAUCGGUAUGUUACUUGCCCGAGAUUUGAUCGUCGGUAUCUCAAUACCUACUUCAAUCUCGUUACCGGCAAGUCUCUUUACUCGUUCCGUAAUACAUCAUCUCGCAACUAACUCAUUAGUUGCAAUGCUUGCAAGGCUUAUGUGAUGUGCAUUUCCGAGAGGGCCCAGAGAUACCUCUCCGACAAUCGGAGUGACAAAUCCUAAUCUCGAAAUACGCAAACCCAACAUGUACCUUUGGAGACACCUGUAGAGCUCCUUUAUAAUCACCCAGUUACGGUGUGACGUUUGGUAGCACACAAGGUGUUCCUCCGGCAAACGGGAGUUGCAUAAUCUCAUAGUCAUAGGAACAUGUAUAAGUCAUGAAGAAAGCAAUAUCAACAUACUAAACGAUCGGGUGCUAAGCUAAUGGAAUGGGUCAUGUGAAUCAGAUCAUUCAACUAAUGAUGUGAUCUCGUUAAUCAAAUAACAACUCUUUGUCCAUGGUUAGGAAACAUAACCAUCUUUGAUUAACGAGCUAGUCAAGUAGAGGCAUACUAGUCACACUCUGUUUGUCUAUGUAUUCACACAUGUAUUAUGUUUCCGGUUAAUACAAUUCUAGCAUGUAUAAUAAACAUUUAUCAUGAUAUAAGGAAAUAAAUAAUAAUUUUAUUAUAGCCUCUAGGGCAUAUUUACUUCAUGGAUUGCCUACCAAAGAUGGCAAUAGCUAGAUCUAUCCUUGCUUGUUAUGCCUAACUAGGGGCGUUAAACGAUAGCGCUUUUUGGGAGGCAACCCAAUUUUGUUUUUAUUCCUUGAUUUUUGCUCCUGUUUAGUAAUAAAUAAUUUAUCUAGCCUCUGUUUUGGUUGUGUUCUUUGUGUUUAAUUAGUGUUUGUGCCAGGUAGAACCGUUAGGAAGACUUGGGGAAAGUCUUGUUACACUUGCUGUAAAAAACAGAAACUUCAGCGCUCACGAGAACUGCUGCCAUUUUUAUUUGGAAAGUGCUAUUUAGUUAAUUAUUUCCGCAGAUGAUUAAUAGAUAAAUUCCUCACGUCCAGCACUUUAUUUUAGAAUUUUUGGGGUUCCAGCUCUUGAGCUAGCUACAGAUUACUACAGACUGUUCUGUAUUUGAAACAUUCUGUUUUUUCGUGUGUUGUUUGCUUAUUUUGAUGAACCUAUGGCUAGUAAAAUAGUUUAUAAACCACAGAGAAGUUGGAAUACAGUAGUUAUAACACCAAUAUAAAUAAAUAAUGAGUUCAUUAAAGUACCUUGAAGUGGUCUUUUUUAUUUUCUUUCGCUAACGGAGCUCACAAGAUUUUCUACUUCAAGUUUGUGUUGUGAAGUUUUCAAGUUUUGGGUAAAAAUUUGAUGGAUUAUGGAACAAGUAGUGACAAGAGCCGAAGCUUGGGGAUGCCCAUGGCACCCCCAAGAUAAUCUAAUUACACCUAAAAGCCAAAGCUUGGGGAUGCCCGGGAAGUCAUCCCCUCUUUCGUCUACUUCUAUGGGUAACUUUACUUGGAGCUAUAUUUUUAUUCGCCACAAGAUAUGUGUUUUGCUUGGAGCGUCUUGUAUUGUUUGACUCUUUAUUUUUUAGUUUACCACAAUCAUCCUUGCUGUACACACCUUUUGAGAGAGCCAUACAUGAUUUGGAAUUUGUUAGAAUACUCUAUGGGCUUCGCUUAUAUCUUUUGAGUUAUAUAGUUUUGCUCUAGUACUUCACUUAUAUCUUUUAGAGCACGGUGGUGGAUUUGUUUUAUAAAAACUAUUGAUCUCUCAUGCUUCACUUAGAUUAUUUUGAGAUGCUUAAUAGCAUGGUAAUUUGCUUAAAAUCCUAAUAUGCUAGGUAUUCAAAGUUAGUAAAAUUUUCUUACGAGUGUUUUUAAUACUAAGAGAAGUUUGAUGCUUGAUGAUUGUUUUGAGAUAUGGAGGUAAUAAUAUCAAAGUCGUGCUAGUUGAGUAGUUGUGAAAUUGAGAAAUACUUGUGUUGAAAUUUGCAUGUCCCGUAGCAUGCACGUAUUGUAAACGUUGUGUAACAAAUUUGAAACAUGAGGUGUUAUUUGAUUGUCUUCCUUAUGAGUGGCGGUCGGGGACGAGCGAUGGUCUUUUCCUACCAAUCUAUUGUUUGGGAACGUACUAAUUUCAAAAAAAAUCCUACGCACACGCAAGACCAUGGUGAUGCAUAGCAACGAGAGGGGAGAGUGUGAUCUACGUACCCUUGUAGAUCAACAGCGGAAGCGUUGAUGCAACAUAGAGGAAGUAGUCGUACGUCUUCCUGAUCCGACCGAUCGAAGCACCAUUACUCCGGCACCUCCGAGUUCUUAGCACACGUACAGCUCGAUGACGAUCCCGGGCUCCGAUCCAGCAAAGGGUCGGGGAGGAGUUCCGUCAGCACGACGGCGUGGUGACGAUCUUGAUGUUCUACCGUCGCAGGGCUUCGCCUAAGCACUGCUACAAUAUGAUGGAGGUGGAAUAUGGUGGCACGGGGCACCGCACACGGCUAAGGAACGAUCUCAAUGAUCAACUUGUGUGUCUAGAGGUGCCCCCUGCCUCCGUAUAUAAAGGAGCCAAGGGGGAGGGGGCCGCCGGCCAGGAGGAGGGCGCAGGAGGAGUCCUACUCCUACCGGGAGUAGGACUCCCCCCCCCCAAUCCUAGUUGGACUAGGAUUCCCCGAGGGGGAAAGAGAGAGAGGGGGGCCGGCCACCUCUCCUAGUCCUAAUAGGACUACGGGAGGGGGGAGGCGCGCGGCCACCUUGGGCUGCCCCUUUCUCCUUUCCACUAAAGCCCAUCAAGGCCCAUAUGGCUCCCGGGGGGUUCCGGUAACCUCCCGGUACUCCGGUAAAAUCCCGAUUUCACCCGGAACACUUCCGAUGUCCAAAUAUAGGCUUCCAAUAUAUCAAUCUUUAUGUCUCGACCAUUUCGAUACUCCUCGUCAUGUCUGUGAUCACAUCCGGGACUCCGAACUAACUUCGGUACAUCAAAAUGCAUAAACUCAUAAUAACUGUCAUCGUAACGUUAAGCGUGUGGACCCUACGGUUCGAGAAUAAUGCAGACAUGACUGAGACACAUCUCCGGUCAAUAACCAAUAGCAGGACCUGGAUGCCUAUAUUGGCUCCUACAUUUUCUACGAAGAUCUUUAUCAGUCACACCGCAUAACAACAUAUGUUGUUCCCUUUGUCAUCGGUAUGUCAUUUGCCCGAGAUUCGAUCGUCAGUAUCCAAUACCUAGUUCAAUCUCGUUACCGGCAAGUCUCUUUACUCGUUCCGUAAUACAUCAUCUCGCAACUAACUCAUUAGUUGCAAUGCUUGCAAGGCUUAAGUGAUGUGCAUUACCGAGAGGGCCCAGAGAUACCUCUCCGACAAUCGGAGUGACAAAUCCUAAUCUCGAAAUACGCCAACCCAACAUCUACCUUUGGAGACACCUGUAGUACUCCUUUAUGAUCACCCAGUUACGUUGUGAUGUUUGGUAGCACCCAAAGUGUUCCUCCGGUAAACGGGAGUUGCAUAAUCUCAUAGUCAUAGGAACAUGUAUAAGUCAUGAAGAAUAGCAACAGCAACAUACUAAACGAUCGGGUGCUAAGCUAAUGAAAUGGGUCAUGUCAAUCAGAUCAUUCAACUAAUGAUGUGACCUCGUUAAUCAAAUAACAACUCUUUGUUCAUGGUUAGGAAACAUAACCAUCUUUGAUUAACGAGCUAGUCAAGUAGAGGCAUACUAGUGACACUCUGUUUGUCUAUGUAUUCACACAUGUAUUAUGUUUCCGGUUAAUACAAUUCUAGCAUGAAUAAUAAACAUUUAUCAUGAUAUAAGGAAAUAAAUAAUAACUUUAUUAUUGCCUCUAGGGCAUAUUUCCUUCAGUCUCCCACUUGCACUAGAGUCAAUAAUCUAGAUUACACAGUAAUGAUUCUAACACCCAUGGAGCCUUGGUGCUGAUCAUGUUUUGCUCGUGGAAGAGGCUUAGUCAACGGGUCUGCAAUAUUCAGAUCCAUAUGUAUCUUGCAAAUCUCUAUGUCUCCCACCUAGACUAGAUCCCGGAUGGAAUUGAAGCGUCUCUUGAUGUGCUUGGUUCUCUUGUGAAAUCUGGAUUCCUUUGCCAAGACAAUUGCACCAGUAUUGUCACAAAAGAUUUUCAUUGGACCCGAUGCACUAGGUAUGACACCUAGAUCGGAUAUGAACUCCUUCAUCCAGACUCCUUCGUUUGCUGCUUCCGAAGCAGCUAUGUAUUCUGCUUCACAUGUAGAUCCCGCUACGACGCUUUGUUUAGAACUGCACCAACUGACAGCUCCACCGUUUAAUGUAAACACGUAUCCGGUUUGCGAUUUAGAAUCGUCCGGAUCAGUGUCAAAGCUUGCAUCAACGUAACCUCUUACGGUGAGCUCUUUGUCACCUCCAUAUACGAGAAACAUAUCCUUAGUCCUUUUCAGGUAUUUCAGGAUGUUCUUGACCGCUGUCCAGUGAUCCACUCCUGGAUUACUUUGGUACCUCCCUGCUAAACUUAUAGCAAGGCACACAUCAGGUCUGGUACACAGCAUUGCAUACAUGAUAGAGCCUAUGGCUGAAGCAUAGGGAACAUCUUUCAUUUUCUCUCGAUCUUCUGCAGUGGUCGGGCAUUGAGUCUGGCUCAACUUCACACCUUGUAACACAGGCAAGAACCCUUUCUUUGCUUGAUCCAUUUUGAACUUCUUCAAAAUCUUGUCAAGGUAUGUGCUUUGUGAAAGUCCAAUUAAGCGUCUUGAUCUAUCUCUAUAGAUCUUUAUGCCUAAUAUGUAAGCAGCUUAACCGAGGUCUUUCAUUGAAAAACUCUUAUUCAAGUAUACCUUUAUGCUAUCCAGAAAUUCUAUAUCAUUUCCAAUCAGCAAUAUGUCAUCCACAUAUAAUAUCAGAAAUGCUACAGAGUUCCCACUCACUUUCUUGUAAAUACAGGCUUCACCGAAAGUCUGUAUAAAACCAAAUGCUUUGAUCACACUAUCAAAGCGUUUAUUCCAACUCCGAGAGGCUUCCACCAGUCCAUAAAUGGAUCGCUGGAGCUUGCACACUUUGUUAGCUCCCUUUGGAUCGACAAAACCUUCCGGUUGCAUCAUAUACAACUCUUCUUCCAGAAAUCCAUUCAAGAAUGCAGUUUUGACAUCCAUCUGCCAAAUUUCAUAAUCAUAAAAUGCGGCAAUUGCUAACAUGAUUCGGACAGACUUAAGCAUCGCUACGGGUGAGAAGGUCUCAUCGUAGUCAACCCCUUCAACUUGUCGAAGACCUUUUGCGAGAAGUCGAGCUUCGUAGACAGUAACAUUACCAUCACCGUCAGUCUUCUUCUUGAAGAUCCAUUUAUUCUCAAUUGCUUGCCGAUCAUCGGGCAAGUCAACCAAAUCCAUACUUUGUUCUCAUACAUGGAUCCCAUCUCAGAUUUCAUGGCUUCAAGCCACUUUGCGGAAUAUGGGCUCACCAUCGCUUCUUCAUAGUUCGUAGGUUCAUCAUGAUCUAGCAGCAUGAUUUCCAGAACAGGAUUACCGUACCACUCUGGUGCAGAUCUCGCUCUGGUUGAUCUACGAGGUUCAGUAGUAUCUUGUCCUGAAGUUUCAUGAUCUUUAUCAUUAGCUUCCUCACUAAUUGGUAUAGGUGUCGCAGAAACAGUUUUUCUGUGAUGUACUACUUUCCAAUAAGGGAGCAGGUAUAGUUACCUCGUCAAGUUCUACUUUCCUCCCACUCACUUCUUUCGAGAGAAACUCCUUCUCUAGAAAUGAUCCAUUCUUAGCAAUGAAUGUCUUACCUUCGGAUUUGUGAUAGAAGGUGUACCCAACAGUCUCCUUUGCGUAUCCUAUGAAGACACAUUUCUCCGAUUUGGGCUCGAGCUUAUGAGGUUGAAGCUUUUUCACAUAAGUAUCGCAGCCCCAAACUUUAAGAAACGACAACUUUGGUUUCUUGCCAAACCACAGUUCAUAAGGCGUCGUCUCAGCAGAUUUUGAUGGUGCCGUAUUUAGCGUGAAUGUGAGCGUCUCUAAAGCAUAACCCCAAAACGAUAGCGGUAAAUCAGUAAGAGACAUCAUAGAUCGCACCAUAUCUAGUAAAGUACGAUUCCGAUGUUCGGACACACCAUUACACUGUGGUGUUCCAGGUGGCGUGAGUUGCGAAACUAUUCCACAAUUUUUCAAAUGUACACCAGACUCGUAACUCAAAUAUUCUCCUCCACGAUCAGAUCGUAGAAACUUUAUUUUCUUGUUAUGAUGAUUUUCAACUUCACUCUGAAAUUCUUUGAACUUUUCAAAUGUUUCAGACUUAUGUUUCAUUAAGUAGAUAUACCCAUAUCUGCUUAAGUCAUCUGUGAAGGUGAGAAAAUAACGAUAUCCACCACGAGCCUCAAUAUUCAUCGGACCACAUACAUCAGUAUGCAUGAUUUCCAACAAAUCUGUUGCUCUCUCCAUAGUACCGGAGAACGGUGUUUUAGACAUCUUGCCCAUGGGGCACGGUUCGCAAGUACCAAGUGAUUCAUAAUCAAGUGGUUCCAAAAGUCCAUCGGUAUGGAGUUUCUUCAUGCGCUUUAUACCGAUAUGACCUAAACGGCAGUGCCACAAAUUAGUUGCACUAUCAUUAUCAACUCUGCAUCUUUUCGCCUCAACAUUAUGAAUAUAUGUGUUACUACUAUCGAGAUUCAUCGAAAAUAGACCACUCCUCAAAGGUGCAUGACCAUAAAAGAUAUUACUCAUAUAAAUAGAACAACCAUUAUUCUCUGAUUUAAAUGAAUAACCGUCUCGCAUCAAACAAGUUCCAGAUAUAAUGUUCAUGCUCAACGCUGGAACCAAAUAACAAUUAUUUAGGUCUAAUAUUAAUCCCGAAGGUAGAUGUAGAGGUAGCGUGCUGACCGCGAUCACAUCGACUUUGGAACCGUUUCCCACGCGCAUCGUCACCUCGUCCUUCGCCAGUGUUCGCUUAAUCCGUAGUCCCUGUUUCGAGUUGCAAAUAUUAGCAACAGAACCAGUAUCACAUACCCAGGUGCUACUGCGAGCUCUAGUAAGGUACACAUCAAUAACAUGUAUAUCACAUAUACCUUUGUUCACCUUGCCAUCCUUCUUAUCCGCCAAUACUUGGGGCAGUUCCGCUUCCAGUGACCAGUCUGCUUGCAGUAGAAGCACUCAGUUUCAGGCUUAGGUCCAGACUUGGGUUUCUUCUCUUGAGCAGCAACUUGCUUGCCGUUCUUCUUGAAGUUCCCCUUCUUCUUCCCUUUGCCCUUUUUCUUGAAACUAGUUGUCUUACUGACCAUCAACACUUGAUGCUCCUUUUUGAUUUCUACCUCCGCAGCUUUCAGCAUUGCGAAGAGCUCGGGAAUAGUCUUGUUCAUCCCUUGCAUAUUAUAGUUCAUCACAAAGCUCUUGUAGCUUGGUGGCAGUGAUUGGAGAAUUCUGUCAAUGACGCAAUCAUCUAGAAGAUUAACUCCCAUCUGAAUCAAGUGAUUAUUAUACCCAGACAUUCUGAGUAUAUGCUCACUGACAGAACUGUUCUCCUCCAUCUUGCAGCUAUAGAACUUAUUGGAGACUUCAUAUCUCUCAAUCCGGGCAUUUUCUUGAAAUAUUAACUUCAACUCCUGGAACAUCUCAUAUGCUCCAUGACGUUCAAAACGUCGUUGAAGUCCCGAUUCUAAGCCGUAAAGCAUGGCACACUGAACUAUCAAGUAGUCAUCAGCUUUGCUCUGCCAGACGUUCAUAACAUCUAGUGUUGCUCCAGCAGCAGGCCUGGCACCUAGCGGUGCUUCCAAGACGUAAUUCUUCUGAGCAACAAUGAGGAUAAUCCUCAAGUUACGGACCCAGUCCGUGUAAUUGCUACCAUCAUCUUUCAACUUUGCUUUCUCAAGGAACGUAUUAAAAUUCAACGAAACAACAACACGAGCCAUCUAUCUACAAUCAACAUAAACAAGCAAGAUACUAUCAGGUACUAAGUUCAUGAUAAGUUUAAGUUCAAUUUAAUCAAAUUACUUAAGAACUCCCACUUAGAUAGACAUCCCUCUAAUCGUCUAAGUGAUCACGUGAUCCAAAUCAACUAAACCAUAACCGAUCAUCACGUGAGAUGGAGUAGUUUUCAAUGGUGAACAUCGUUAUGUUGAUCAUAUCUACUAUAUGAUUCAUGCUCGACCUUUCGUUCUCCGUGUUCCGAGGCCAUAUCUGCAUACGCUAGGCUCGUCAAGUUUAACCUGAGUAUUCUGCGUGUGCAAAAACUGGCUUGCACCCGUUGUAGAUGGACGUAGAGCUUAUCACACCCGAUCAUCACGUGGUGUCUGGGCACGACGAACUUUGGCAGCAGUGCAUACUCAGGGAGAACACUUCUUGAUAAUUUAGUGAGAUAUCAUCUUAUAAUGCUACCGUCAAUCAAAGCAAGAUAAGAUGCAUAAAAAGAUAAACAUCACAUGCAAUCAAUAUAAGUGAUAUGAUAUGGCCAUCAUCAUCUUGUGCUUGUGAUCUUCAUCUCCGAAGCACCGUCAUGAUCACCAUCGUCACCGGUGCGACACCUUGAUCUCCAUCGUAGCAUCGUUGUCGUCUCGCCAAUCUUAUGCUUCCACGACUAUCGCUACCGCUUAGUGAUAAAGUAAAGCAUUACAUCGCGAUUGCAUUGCAUACAAUAAAGCGACAACCAUAUGGCUCCUGCCAGUUGCCGAUAACUCGGUUACAAAACAUGAUCAUCUCAUACAAUAAAAUUUAGCAUCAUGUCUUGACCAUAUCACAUCACAACAUGCCCUGCAAAAACAAGUUAGACGUCCUCUACUUUGUUGUUGCAAGUUUUACGUGGCUGCUACGGGCUUAAGCAAGAACCAAUCUCACCCACGCAUCAAAACCACAACGAUAGUUUGUCAAAUAGACUCCGUUUUAUCCUUCGGAAGGACCGGGCGUAGCCACACUCGGUUCAACUAAAGUUGGAGAAACAGUCGCCCGCAAGGCACCUGUGUGCAAAGCACGUCGGGGGAACCGGUCUCACGUAAGCGUACGCGUAAUGUUGGUCCGGGUCGUCUCGUCCAACAAUACCGCCGAACCAAAGUAUGACAUGCUAGUAGGCAGUAUGACUUGUAUCACCCACAACUCACUUGUGUUCUACUCGUGCAUAUAACAUCAAACCAUAAAACCUAGGCUCGGAUGCCACUGUUUGGGAACGUAGUAAUUUCAAAAAAAUUCCUACGCACACGCAAGAUCAUGGUGAUGCAUAUCAACGAGAGGGGAGAGUGUGAUCUACGUACCCUUGUAGAUCAAUAGCGGAAGCAUUGACGCAAUGUAGAGGAAGUAGUCGUACGUCUUCCUUAUCCGAUCGAUCCAAGCACCAUUACUCCGGCACCUCUGAGUUCUUAGCACACGUACAGCUCGAUGACGAUCCCCGGGCUCCGAUCCAGCAAAGCGUCGGGGGGGAGUUCCGUCAACACGACGGCGUGGUGAUGAUCUUGAUGUUCUACCAUCGCAGGGCUUCGCCUAAGCACUGCUCCAAUAUGAUCGAGGUGGAAUAUGGUGGCAGGGGGCACCGCACACGGCUAAGGAACGAUCUCAAUGAUCAACUUGUGUGUCUAGAGGUGCCCCCUGCCUCCGUAUAUAAAGGAGCCAAGGGGGAGGGGGCCGCCGGCCAGGAGGAGGGCGCAGGAGGAGUCCUACUCCUACCAGGAGUAGGACUCCCCCCCCCCAAUCCUAGUUGGACUAGGAUUCCCCGAGGGGGAAAGAGAGAGGGGGGGCCGGCCACCUCUCCUAGUCCUAAUAGGACUAGGGGAGGGGGGAGGCGCGCGGCCACCUUGGGCUGCCCCUUUCUCCUUUCCACUAAAGCCCAUCAAGGCCCAUAUGGCUCCCGGGGGGUUCCGGUAACCUCCCGGUACUCCGGUAAAAUCCCGAUUUCACCCGGAACACUUCCGAUGUCCAAAUGUAGGCUUCCAAUAUAUCAAUCUUUAUGUCUCGACCAUUUCGAGACUCCUCGUCAUGUCCGUGAUCACAUCCGGGACUCCGAACUAACUUUGGUACAUCAAAAUGCAUAAACUCAUAAUAACUGUCAUCGUAACGUUAAGCGUGUGGACCCUACGGUUCGAGAAUAAUGCAGACAUGACUGAGACACAUCUCCGGUCAAUAACCAAUAGCGGGACCUGGAUGCCCAUAUUGGCUCCUACAUUUUCUCCGAAGAUCUUUAUCGGUCAGACCGCAUAACAAAAUACGUUGUUCCCUUUUCAUCGGUAUGUUACUUGCCCGAGAUUUGAUCGUUGGUAUCUCAAUACCUAGUUCAAUCUCGUUACCGGCAAGUCUCUUUACUCGUUCCGUAAUACAUCAUCUCGCAACUAACUCAUUAGUUGCAAUGCUUGCAAGGCUUAUGUGAUGUGCAUUACCGAGAGGGCCCAGAGAUACCUCUCCGACAAUCGGAGUGACAAAUCCUAAUCUCGAAAUACGCCAACCCAACAUCUACCUUUGGAGACACCUGUAGAGCUCCUUUAUAAUCACCCAGUUACAUUGUGACGUUUGUUAGCACACAAAGUGUUCCUCCGGGAAACGGGAGUUGCAUAAUCACAUAGUCAUAGGAACAUGUAUAAGUCAUGAAGAAAGCAGUAGCAACAUACUAAACGAUCGGGUGCUAAGCUAAUGAAAUGGGUCAUGUCAAUCAGAUCAUUCAACCAAUGAUGUGACCUCGUUAAUCAAAUAACAACACCUUGUUCAUGGUUAGGAAACAUAACCAUCUUUGAUUAACGAGCUAGUCAUGUAGAGGCAUACUAGUGACACUAAGUUUGUCUAUGUAUUCACACAUGUAUUAUGUUUCCGGUUAAUACAAUUCUAGUAUGAAUAAUAAACAUUUAUCAUGAUAUAAGGAAAUAAAUAAUAACUUUAUUAUUGCCUCUAAGGCAUAUUUCCUUCAUCUAUCCCCCUAGGAGCAUGCGCGUAGUACCGAGGUUUUUGAUGACUUGUAGAUUUUUGCAAUGAGUAUGUGAGUUCUUUAUGACUAAUGUUGAGUCCAUGAAUUAUACGCACUCUCACCCUUCCAUCCUUGCUAGCCUCUUCGGUACCGUGCAUUGCCCUUUCCCACAUUGAGUGUUGGAGCAAACUUCGCCAAUGCAUCCAAACCCUGUGAUAUGAUACGCUCUUUCACACAUAAACCUCCUUAUAUCUUCCUCAAAACAGCCACCAUACCUACCUAUUAUGGCAUUUCCAUAGCCAUUCCGACUUAUAUUGCCAUGCAACUUUCCACCAUUCCGUUCAUCAUGACACAUUUAGCAUUGUCAUAUUGCUUAGCAUAAUCAUGUAGUUGACAUAGUAUUUGUGGCAAAGCCACCGUUCAUAAUUCUUUCCUACAUGUCACUAUUGGUCCACUGCAUAUCCGGUACACCGCCGGAGGCAUUUAUAUAGAGUCAUACUUUGUUCUAGUAUCGAGUAGUAAUUAUUGAGUUGUAAAUAAAUAGAAGUGUGAUGAUCAUCAUUAAUAGAGCAUGGUCCCAAAAAGAGAAAAAAGGAAGGGCCAAAAAAAGGCCAAAUAAAAAAAUAUAAAAAAGGGGGGCAAUGCUACUAUCCUUUUUUUCCACACUUGUGAUUCAAAGUAGCACCGUAAUCUUCAUGAUAGAGAGUAUCUUGAUUUGUCACUUUCAUAUACUAGUGGGAAUUUUGCAUUGUAGAACAAUGGGCCUCCUCAAGUGCCCUAGCUCUUCGUGAGCAAGCAAGUUGGAUGCACACCCACUUAGUUUCUUUUGUUGAGCUUUCAUACAUUUAUAGCUCUAGUGCAUCCGUUGCAUGGCAAUCCUUACUCCUUGCAUUAACAUCAAUCGAUGGGCAUCUCCAUAGCCCAUUGAUUAGCCUCAUUGAUGUGAGACUUUCUCCUUUUUGUCUUCUCCACAUAACCCCAGUGAUUAUAUUCUAUUCCACCCAUAGUUUUAUGUCCAUGGCUUGCAAUCAUAUAUUGCGUGAAAGUUUAUAGGUUUGAGAUCACUAAAGUAUGAAACAAUUGCUUGGCUUGUCAUCGGGGUUGUGCAUGAUGAGAGCAUUCUUGUGUGAAGAAAAUGAAGCAUGAUUAAACUAUAUGAUUUUGUAGGGAUGAACUUUCUUUGGCCAUGUUAUUUUGAGAAGACAUAAUUGCUCAGUUAGUAUGCUUGACUCUUUUGGAUCUGAAUAUUCAUACCACAAGUAAGAAGAAUUACAUUAAAAUCAUGCCAAGUAGCACUCCGCAUCAAAAAUUCUGUUUUUAUCAUUUACCUACUCUAGGACGAGCAGGAAUUAAGCUUGGGGAUGCUUGAUACGUCUCCAACGUAACUAUAAUUUUUGAUUGCUCCAUGCUAUAUUAUCUACUGUUUUGGACAAUAUUGGGCUUUAUUAUCCACUUUUAUAUUAUUUUGUAACUAACCUAUUAUCUACUGUUUUGGACAAUAUUGCCUAGAUUUGCUGUUUUUUUGCCUGUUUUAGGGUUUCGAAGAAAAGGAAUAUCAAACGGAGUCCAAACGGAAUGAAACCUUCGGGAACGUGAUUUUCUCAACGAACAAGACCCAGGAGACUUGGACCCUCCGUCAAGACACAAAAGAGGAGGCCACGAGGUAGAGGGCGUGCCUACCCCCCCCCCCCUGCGCGCCCACCACCCUCGUGGGCCCCCUGUUGCUCCACCGACGUACUCCUUCCUCCUAUAUAUACCUACGUACCCCCAAACGAUCAUAUACGGAGCCAAAACCCUAAUUCCACCGCCGCAACUUUCUGUAUCCACGAGAUCCCAUCUUGGGGCCUGUUCCGGAGCUCCGCCAGAGGGGGCAUCGAUCACGGAGUGCUUCUACAUCAACACCAUAACCUCUCCGAUGAAGUGUGAGUAGUUCACCUCAGACCUACUGUUCCAUAGUUAUUAGCUAGAUGGCUUCUUCUCUCUUUUUGGAUCUAAAUACAAUGUUCUCCCCCUCUCUUGUGGAGAAUUAUUCGAUGUAAUCUUCUUUUUGCGGUGUGUUUGUUGAGACCGAUGAAUUGUGGGUUUAUGAUCAAGUCUAUCUAUGAAUAAUAUUUCAAUCUUCUCUGAAUUAUUUUAUGUAUGAUUGGUUAUCUUUGCAAGUCUCUUCGAAUUAUCAGUUUGGUUUGGCCUACUAGAUUGAUCUUUCCUGCAAUGGGAGAAGUGCUUAGCUUUGGGUUCAAUCUUGCGGUGUCCUUUCCCAGUGACAGUAGGGGCAGCAAGGCACGUAUUGUAUUGUUGCCAUCGAGGACAACAAGAUGGGGUUUUCAUCAUAUUGCAUGUGUCUAUCCCUCUACAUCAUGUUAUCUUGCUUAAGGCGUUAAUCUGUUUUUAACAUAAUACUCUAGAUGCAUGCUGGAUAGCUGUCGAUGAGUGGAGUAAUAGUAGUAGAUGUAGGCAGGAGCGGUCUACUUGUCUCGGACGUGAUGCCUAUAUACAUGAUGAUACCUAGAUAUUAUCAUAACUAUGCUCAAUUCUGUCAAUUGCUCAACAGUAAUUUGUUCACCCACCGUAGAAUACUUAUGCUCUCGAGGGAAGCCACUAGUGAAACCUAUGGCCCCGGGUCUAUCUUUAUCAUAUUAAUCUCCUACUACUUAGUUAUUUCCUUUGCUUUUUUACUUUGCCUUUAUUUUACUUUGCAUCUUUAUCACAAAAAUACCAAUAAAAUUAUCUUUAUCAUAUCUAUCAAAUCUCACUCUUGUAAGUGGCCGUGUAGGGAUUGACAACCCCUAUUCGCGUUGGUUGCGAGGAUUUAUUUGUUUUGUGCAGGUACGAGGGACUCGUGCGUAGCCUCCUACUGGAUUGAUACCUUGGUUCUCAAAACCUAAGGGAAAUACUUACGCUACUUUGCUGCAUCAUCCCUUCCUCUUCGGGGAAAACCAACGCAGUGCUCAAGAGGUAGCAAGGGUUCCUUUUUGUCGACGAUCCUAUGUUUCAACCUUGUUUUCCAGGCGGCCAAUGCGUCGCUAAACUUGGGCAUGGCGUGUUUGUUUAUCUUCUUCAUUGCCAGGUCCUUAUCUGGAUCUUUAUUAUCCUUUUCAUUGCGGUUAAUGAACAAGAAUAUCUGGUGCCGCUUCUUUAAAAGGGAGGGCCUCAUAUUAUCUAUCUUCUGUAGUUUCCCAUCGUUGAUCGUGGCAGUUGUCCGUACGAUGCAACCUAUUUGAUUGCCAUAGCACGAUUGCGCUUCCUCGGGCGCUAUUGUCUCAAAAAUACCGUUGUCCAUCUCCGUGACCACCAGUCUAGUACUCGUGAGCUGGUUUCGGCGCCGUGGCCUCUUUGCUUUCGGUUCUAGACCAGCUCCGCUAGUCUCGGCGCCGGUCUCAGUCUCAUCGCCGGUCUGCAUGUCGGUAUCAGUCCCCGAUGCGACAGCACAGUCGCUGCAACAUGGGUAAGGGAGACCACAUCAGUGCUGGGGGGGUCUGAAAAUUGGGACACACUUUCGCGCAUCGCGGGCCGCCUCUCAGACAGCUACUGGGGAGGCGGCGGAGUACCUGGGUGCGCGGUAAAUCCCCGGGAACUCGGUGACCAACUUCCUUCCCGUGUGGUGCAUGGAGACGACGACGACCCCGGCAAAGAGCAGCUUAGCCGUGAGCUGCACAGCCUCGUCCACCUCCUAAGUUGGGUCCUCCGCGCGAGCGUUGCGGGGCCGCCGCUCGGAUGGCUUCUGGAAGGCGCUUGUACAUGGGCAUAGGGUGAAUCCCGGCGAGAGCUAGCCAUUGGCGCGCGCAAGUAGACGACGACGUCCCCGACGAAGAGCAGCCCGGCCAGCUCGCCUCACUCUCCUUUGAUUAGAAUUGAAAGAUUGGGAAGAAGCAGACUUGAGCCUGCAGGGAAAGGAUAAGGUGACGAUGCAGUCUCCACUCGUUCGGGGCGACACGCGAAUUGAAUGUAUGAGAAACGUGACGUGGCAGGGACCCCAAGAUACUCCCUCCAUUUAUUUUUAGUCUGCAUAUAAAGUUUGGUCAAAGUCAAGAUUUGUAAAUUUUAACUAACUUUAUAAUAAAAAAAUAUCAACAUUCACAAUAUGAAAUAAUUAUUACCAGAUGCGUGAAGAAAUGUAUUUCCAUACUAUAUAGUUUUGGUAUUGGAGAUGUUCAUAUUUUUUUAUAUAAAUGGGAAGUAGAGGCACUCUUCCAUAUAAUGAAGUUUAUAAUAUAUGUGCUUAUAUUGUACUAUAAUUGUUUGAAUAACUUAGCAUAUGUUCAGAUGUAUGAUAUCUGUAAUUUAAGCGCUUGAAUUUUACAUAUAAAUAUUUAUUAAUAAAUAUGUACCCCUAUAAUAGCUAGGCCGUGCAGUUGCACGGGUAGAUGACUAGUGAUUACAGUCUUGUUUGUGUGCAAGUCAAGCUUAUCUAGUUUACACGUAACAACUCGUAGAACAUGUUUAUGCUUGCUAAUAACUUCUAGAACACUACAACACUUUACAUGUAAAAGGAAUUUCACGAGUCAUGGCCUACUAAAGCAAGUUACAUUACUAGUCUUAUAUCUAUCUUAACAGACCACACAAGACUACAAACUAAGUACCAUGACAGCCAUGCUUAUCUAGUUUAUGCGUAACAAUUUGCAGAAAAUUACAAACUUAGUUUUAGAAAAAUGGGCAAUCCAGAUUAGUGUUUGAGCUGUAAAGUGAAUAAGAUGAGUCAUGUGUGUUAUCACACCUUUUUGGUGGUGGAAUGAUAGUGCAACAACAAGGAACUUUAAUGAACAGUGCAAGAAUACACUUGUAAGUAGUGCCACCAAACAGAACAUACCAAAUGAUGAUUUUGAGAAGCAUCCAAGCACUUUCCACACAAACAAAUGCCAAUUGUGAAAGAGAUCAUUCCAUGGCAGCUAUAAAUAGCCCCGUAGCAUGACGAUCAUCCUUCCUCAUCCAUCAUUCUCAUAAGUAGAACGCAUCAUUUAAGCCAAGCAAGGUGUGGUCAAUACAAAUCCACCAUGAAGACAUUUCUCAUCCUUGCCCUCCUUGCUAUCGUGGCGACCACCGCCACAACUGCAGUUAGAGUUCCAGUGCCACAAUUGCAGCCACAAAAUCCAUCUCAGCAACAGCCACAAGAGCAAGUUCCAUUGGUACAACAACAACAAUUUCUAGGGCAGCAACAACCAUUUCCACCACAACAACCAUAUCCACAGCCGCAACCAUUUCCAUCACAACAACCAUAUCUGCAGCUGCAACCAUUUCCGCAGCCGCAACUACCAUAUUCGCAGCCACAACCAUUUCGACCACAACAACCAUAUCCACAACCGCAACCACAGUAUUCGCAACUACAACAACCAAUUUCACAGCAGCAGCAGCAGCAGCAACAACAACAACAACAACAACAACAACAACAACAACAACAACAACAACAACAACAACAACAACAACAACAACAACAACAACAAGAACAACAAAUCCUUCAACAAAUUUUGCAACAACAACUAAUUCCAUGCAUGGAUGUUGUAUUACAGCAACACAACAUAGCGCAUGGAAGAUCACAAGUUUUGCAACAAAGUACUUACCAGCUGUUGCAAGAAUUGUGUUGUCAGCACCUAUGGCAGAUCCCUGAGCAGUCGCAGUGCCAGGCCAUCCACAAUGUUGUUCAUGCUAUUAUUCUGCAUCAACAACAAAAACAACAACAACAACAACCAUCGAGCCAGGUCUCCUUCCAACAGCCUCAACAACAAUAUCCAUUAGGCCAGGGCUCCUUCCGGCCAUCUCAGCAAAACCCACAGGCCCAGGGCUCUGUCCAGCCUCAACAACUGCCCCAGUUCGAGGAAAUAAGGAACCUAGCGCUACAGACGCUACCUGCAAUGUGCAAUGUCUACAUCCCUCCAUAUUGCACCAUCGUGCCAUUUGGCAUCUUCGGUACUAACUGAGAAGAAAAUAACUCUAGUACUAGAUAUAUGAAACACCGUUUUCUCAGUCCAUGGUUUGGUCAUUGUAGCGGUGAAAAAAUAAUGUGACAUGCACUAUCAUGUAAGAACCCGAACUAUACUAGUUCAAACUUGGGAAUAAAAGACAAACACAGGUCUUGUCUACAUAUUUAUGUUGCAUUUAUCUAAAGAUAACAAAAUGAGUCUAAAAUUUGAAUUAAAUUGAAGUAUUUUCUUGGACUUUAAUUUGCACAUUAAUUAGAAAUUACUAUCCCUCGAUCUGGUAAAUCUUAACAAAUAGAAUUAUCUUGACCGUUAGAUUUAUGUAACAUAUAUAAUGCUCUGGGCCUCCAACGACUGUACGUGACACAUCUGAACGCACAUAUGUUAAAGAAAAUAUAUUUUGUAAAUGGUGGGCCUCUUUAAAAAGAGAACUUACGUACAUACACCAACUAAGAAAAACACAUACAUGUAAAUGGGAAAAGGAUGAGAUUUUCUCACGUACAUGUGUUGAUGCUUAAAAGUGGCACGAUCAUAAAGCAGCAUGCCGGGGCGAAAACCUUGCCGGGGUAAAAUCUUGCUGGUGUGAAAGCUUGCCGGUGUGAAGGCUUGCCGGCGUGGAAACCUUGCCGGCACAGAAAGAUCGCCGGUGCUUGCCGGUGUGAAAUCUUGCCGGGGGAGAAACCUUGUCAGGGAGGAACCCUUGCCGGAGUACAAACCUUGCCGGAGUGAAACCUUGCCGGUGUGAAAGCUUGCCGGGUAGAAACUUUGCCGGUGUGGAAAGCUUACUCGGAUGGAAAACUUGCCGGGUUGGAGGCUGAGAUAGUCAAUCGAACGAGAAGUUGAAGAUGGGCUCAAAAGGUUAUUCAGAUGAUCUCGGAUGGAAAAAUGAUCUACAGGGUUGUCUUCGUCUCGUCGAAACGAUCGAUUUUGAUAUAAAAAUCAUUCAAAUCCGAGUUCGUAUGCAAAAGUUAGAGCAAUCAGAGUGCAGCCCUGUCACGAGGCGAGAUGUGGCACGCCCACCAGACACAUGUCUGACGGGUAGUGUGAGGAAAUAGCCUGUGUUGCGAGACCGAUCUGACCCUCAAGAUGACCUCUGAUCAAAAAACCUUCAACAUGAAAGUUGUUCGUCUCGUCGAAACGGUCAAGAUUGCUUUUGGGCUUGUUUUCAUCCGGAAUCGUUUACCACCGCAAAAAAGACCCGCAAGGUGCAGCCAGUUUUAACCGAACAGUUUUGGAAAGUUUGGAUAAACCAGUCCGAAUUUGACUAAUGUUUUGGACGUGAAUUGAUGUAAUUUUCUUGUAAGGAAAGCCUAGAUAAAUUCUUGGCUUGUACGGGAAGUCCAGCUGCCUCUUAUAUAUGUUGGGGGUGGCGGCCGAUUGAAACAACACAUAAUCGAACAAACACAUAUACUACUUUUUCGUGUUCAUCUACUUUUUAUCUCUCCCUUGUAUCUUUCUUCUCGUUCUUCGCUAGUUCUUCAUGCUGGAGGGCUGCGGAUCCACGAGGCUCUAGGGGCGAGUGAAUCGACCUAGGGCAGCCCAUAGCCGCCGCAAUCCCUGACGGGGUCCCUCCCGGGUGCGCGGGGUUUCGGGUCUGCAAAAGCGCCCGCCGACUGCCUUGCGUAUCACGCUGUCGGUCGGGUCUCCUUCGACGUGAGCUACGGUGCAUCACCCCCGGCGUCGAGGGUAAACGUGACAUGUUCGUGUGCGAACACACUUUUUGGCGACUCCGCUGGGGACGAAGCUCUGAACAGUCUCCAGCCUGUUCUUGCUACGAGGAGAGCGUCACCAAGCGGCUGCAAUCUACAACGGUAACAUGUAUCGUCAAUCUCCUUGCGUAGAUGCAAAUAGCCAUUAUGUUGAUGUUGCUAGAUCUUUCAACGGACAUGUGAUGUCGGCCAGCCCUAAUGAGGAAAGGCCGACUAGUUAUUCCAUUGGAGAAACUUGGAAUUUACAGAAUCGUGACAUGCAACUUAUGAAUCUGAACUUUCGUGCAUCGGCAACAACUUUCAAUAUGCCGGUGAACAACACGAUUUGUUCGAGUGAUCAAUAUAGGACACCUCAUGUACAGGAGGGUAUCUCAAAGUUUUAUCCAUCGGCAGCCGGCUCGCAAUAUGCGGGUUCAUCCCCAAACAUGCCGAUGAAUGGGGGAAUCGGUCAUGCUUUUGUUAGCUAUUUGGCCGGUUAUCCUCAAACAUCAUAUACUACACCUCAUCAGAUUAAUUGUUCAAUGGCGUAUGAAACUAAAAAUAUUCAUAACUCGGCUCACGUUCACGGUCAUGGCCGAGUGAAUGGAGAUACUAUAGGAGCAUAUGUGCCUAAUAUUGCAGGAGAUGAGGUGGCUCUGGCUGCAUUAAAAAUUUUAGCCCAAAAUAAGAAGAUUAGUGCUAUUUUCCUUGAGCAACACGACAAGGGAUUGGUUCCUGAUUAUGAGGCAAUAAGAGCUAGGGUUUUGAAAGAAGACCAAGUGUUGCCGAUUGAUCAAAUUGUCGAGAGAAAAUAUUCAACAACGAUGCACAUGCCUUCACCUAUCAUUGCAGCAUGUUAUACACCCCCUGUACAAGCGCAAAAUUUCGGCAACAUUAAUUCAUUGCCGAAAGAUCCUAAAAGUAUUGGGGGGCAAGCCGAUCCAAGCAGGGUUGAGUUUAAAGAAAAAUAUCUAGCCCAAGUGGACAAGAUCAAGCCAAAGCUCACAGGGAAUAGAGUCAACGAAUUUACUACACCUACCCUUGAGGAAUUACCAGCAGAAUAUCGACAGGCCUACGAAGCACUCAAGAAGAAACGUGGAGAGGGAUAUUUGCAAGAAUACUUCAAGUGCCUUCCUCCAUGUAGCAACCAUGUUGGCCCUUCUACACUGUUGAGGCAAGAUAAAAAAAGAAGCUUUGCAAGCAAACCAGCAAAAAAGGAUUCACUCGGCUAAUACGGUGGAUUCGGUUGAAACCGGAUUGAGCAACGGGAUGUUUAAGGCCGAGUGCGUUGCAUCGUGCCAGCCGAGUGCAUCGUUCCAGACGAGUGCAUCACCAGCUAAAGCCGAGUGCAUCAAGCCAACUAUUGCCUCGUGUACGAAAAUAGAAGAUGCAAGCUUGGCUGAGCAAAGGAACAACAAACGCAACAAAUUGGUUGUGCUCGAUUUUUCUGGAUCUAAGGGAGCUUACAUGCUACCUUAUGAGUUUCGUGCUAAAGAUAUUGAUGAGCAUCAAGAACACAGUAAUGGCUGAACACAGUUCAGUUAACGAUGAACAUCAAGACCAAGAAAAUGCGGCCGAGCAAAGUUCAACUGACAAAGAGCGUCCGAGUGAAAUCCACUCGGGCAAUCCGACUGAAAUAUACUCGGGCAAUUCGAGUGAAAUAUACUCAGGCAAUCCGAGUGAUGAGGCACCAGAUCCAGAAAAAGAGGAAGAGGCAUUGGAGAAUUAUUCAUAAGUGGAGCAAUGUAUUGUUCCAGUGGUGCAACCAUCUUCUCCUUCCAAUGUCUUCACAAAGGUACACCUAGAAGAUAGUUUACUCAAUUUUCAAUUCGGUCAAAAUGAUAUUGUUGAUGUACCUAUUAGUAAGAUUCUAAUUAAUUUUGAAAGACCAAUUGAAAUGAGUAAUCUUUUUGUUAGGAAGGAUCUUGUCACUAAUCAUGAUAGUCAACACAUGGUAUCGUUCAUAGAGGCUAAUAGUGACAACUUAUCAAAACCAAAGUUGUUCUUGUCAUGCCAACUGAACUUUGUAUUCAUAUGGACAACUUUGUUUGUUUCAUGCCCGGCUAACAUUUGGACUCGUAUGAGCCGUAUAUUCUGUAAUUAUUUUAGUUGCAGAAACAUAAAGCCAGGUCCAAAGUCCUUCGAAGCCAAUUCAAAUGCAUCAGGAAAAGAAGAUGAAUCUUUCCCAAUUGAUAAAAUUGGCGAGCAAAAAUAUGGUUUUACAACAAUGCAUAUGCCUUCACCUAAUACUACAUCAUAUUAUACAGCCCCUACACAAUUGCAAAGUUUCGGCAACACCCAUGUGCCAUUGCCGAAAGAGUCUAAAAGCAAUGGGGGACAAUCGUAUCCGAAGUGGGCUGAAAAUGAGAAAAAGAUUAAAGCCAAUUUCGCCACUCGCCGCCAGAAACAAAAAGAAACAGAAUUGGCUCAAGUGAAAGAAGCAUUGCCAAUUGGUAGAAGCAAUGUAAAGAAAGAUGAUUCAGAACAUGAAAGUACUCCGGUUAAAAGAGCCGAAUCAAGAAGUAUAUAUUCUGAAUCCAUCAAAUGCAAAGAGGCAAGCAUUAUUGAGAAAGGGCAUGGCAAGCAUAGCAAAGCGACCAUACUUGAUUUUUCUAAAGUUAAUGGAACCUACUUCCUGCCCUAUGAGUUUCGUGCCAGAGAAUUUUGAUGAACUUCAAGGACAAGAACAAGUAGCCGAACAAAGUUCGGCCGACAAAAAUCUUCAAUGUAAUGAUGCACGGAAUCAAGAAAAAGAUGAUGAAGAAGCGUUGGGGGGCCAUCCAAAGGCGGAGCAAGAUAUUGUUCAAGUCACACCACCAUCGUGCUCUCCCAACAUAUUUGAAGAGGUAUGUUUAGCAAGUAAUUUACUUAUUUUCAGAUUUGGUCAGGACUUUAUUGUUGAUGCAUCUAUUGGAAAAAUCCUCAUAAGUAAUUUUGAAAGACCAAUGAAGAAGGGUAAUUUACUUGCUAGCAAUAAAGUUGUUAUUGAGCAUAUCGGUCAACCCAUUACGCCAUUUAUAAAGACCGAUAGUGACUUAUUAUUACAGCCAAAGCUUUCCCCGUUGCUUUAUCUAAAGUUCAUAUCUAUUUGGGUAGCUUUGCUUAUUUCAUACUUGGCUUGCACUUGGUCUCAAUUGAGACAUGUGUGUUCUAACUAUUUUCGUUUUAGAAAUUUAAAGCCAAGAUUAAAUUCUGUUGAGAAAACCGAUGCUAGUAUAAUAUCUUACCCAAAGACAUCGGAGAUAGAGUGCAAAACACAAUGCAUAGCCGAAUGGUGUGAUGCAAAAUCUGAACCAUUCGUUUGCUUAAUUCCAAAGCCGUUCUCACAGCAAGAUCGGCUAGAAAACAAGAAGUAUACCUUCAAUUCAAGCAUGUGUGUUCAAAUAUUUGAUUUGUUGCUGAAAAAUAAUUACAUUACAAUUCUUGAUCACCAUGUUAAGCCAUCAAUCCAAGGACGAAUGUAUUGUAAGUUGCAUGAUUCGUCCAAGCAUGAUUUUGAGGAUUGCAACAUGUUUCGUCAAAUAGUUAAAUCGGCCAUUGAAAAAGGACGAUUGAAGUUUGUUGAAACACCAAGAGAUGACCAGUCUAUUCCGAUUGGUCCCGAUGGCAAAAAGUUUUUGCAUCGGCUGCUUCGAGCCGAUCCAUUUAAAGAGAAGGUAAAAACUGCAGGUGAUGGGAUCAAGCUUUCAACUAAAGAAGUUGUUGAAGAGCAUAAUGAACAUAAUCUUGAGGGUGAGAAUUCCAUCGAAGCUACAAUGGAGACGCCAAGGACUGGGGGGCAGCAAGCAAAUCCAACGAUCGAUGAAAGCAAACCAAAAGAAAACAAAGGCCGAAAUAAGCGCAAGUGUAAAAUAUCAAAAAUCACCUUCGCUGAACUAUUGGAGAAAUAUCAAAAGAAGAGUGAAGAGAAGAAUGCUUAUCGGCCCAAUCAUGCAAAGAAACCAAAAUCACCCCCAAGGCGCAAAUAUGAGGAUCCGUAUUGGCAAAGUGAGAGUUUCAAUGCAACAUAUUCAUAUCCUUAUUUUGGGCCGCCAAUGACAAUGCCGUGGAUGCCUCCCUAUACUCAUGUAGAUCCAUGUUCAUCAUGGGACAGGUAUGAUACAAGGGCACAUUCUCCAUCUUAUUUUAGACCAUCUCACCAAUAUUAUGCAGCUCCGAGAAGAUCAACAUUUGAACAGUCACAUGUUAAAGAUCGUUUCAAUUAUAAGGAAUCGGUCCGGACACCAUGGAUGAAAAAAGAGGUGGUCAACCAAGUCUACCGCGUGAAAAGAGAUGGUCGUAAGUGUGCUACUUCAGAUUUGAUCUCAAAUAAUAAAGAGCCAAUUAAAGUGUUGACAUUGUCUACAAAAGGCAAUGAGACGAAGCAACCAAUUAUUGAGAGUCAAAGUGCCAAAUCAGAAGAAAAGAAGUUGAGAGUGCACAAGGUCAAAAAGGAAUUGCCAUUGGUCAGAACAGAAUCAUAGCCGAGAUGCCCACUCGGCUUAUCGUAUUGGCAAAAGAGGGAAUUACACAAACUUAGUGCACAAGAACUUGAAGAAAGGAACAUGGCAUGGGUUCCCAAAGGAAGUGCUCAAAAUAAGAAUUAUGUGCAUGCCUCCAUUACAAGAAGUGCGGCAAAAGUGAAGAAGGAAAAGAGUAAAAACUAUGAAGGACCAAGCCGAAGGAUUCAACAUCUUUGGUCUACACAUUAUCCAUAUUCUUCAACUAUGCCAUUAACGCCUAUGCCAUGGAAUUCGUCAUCAGGUAUGAUUGGUAACCCUCAAUGGGCUUAUUUUAAUCCAUGGAUGCAAUAUAAUUUCUUACGUCAUGAAAGGGUAUUACCAAGUCACUAUACAUUUGAUUAGCUACAAGUUUGUUGCUGAUCCAGAGGGCCGAAAUACUUGAUUUGUCAUUUCAUUUGUUUAUUUCGGCUAUAUGUGCUUUGAAUGAAGUUUACAUGGUAAUGGCCGAUGAUAUUUAUCUAUCGUCCUAAGAGUAUGUCAAUUCAUGCCCGGUGUAGUAUUCUAAUAUCAUCCUUAGUUUGAUGGAGAGCGAGACAAGGUACAUGCUCAUGAAAAUUUAUAUGUAUGCCUAUAUUAUGAUUGAAUGGAGUUGAGACAUCAUGACCGAUGUCAUUGAAUAUAUGCUGCAUAGACCAAUUCAUAGCUGCAGAAUUGGUUGGUGGGCUUAUACUUUGUUUGGAUAUGAUUUGGCUUAUGCAUCUUUGAGAUCUAUAAGAGGCCAAAUCAUAGUUGAUUUUGUUACUGAACAUCGGAUUAGUGUCAUGCAUAAUAUUAAUAUUAUCCUUGUCUCUCUAGUACUAUGGAGAUUAUGUUUUGAUGGUUCAAUUCAUAGCAAUGGCCAAAGUGUUGGUGUUGUUUAUAUAUUUCUUUAUGGUACUAUUUUUUGAAGCCUCGUGCCGCUUAGAAUAUUUUUAUGCACGAUUAAUCAAGGCCGAAUAUGCAUUGUUAUUCGGAUUGACUCUUUUACUUGCUGUAGGUGUUAUACAGAUUGAGGCUUUUGGUGAUUCGUUAUGAGUAGUGCAACAAAUAUCCAAGGAUUAUCAAUGUGUUUUGACGAAUCACUUAUAGUUUAUCUUGGGUUUGUCUAGAUGAAGAAUUUACCUUGGGUUGCAUUAAAUUUUUUCAUAUAUUUAGACAUGACAAUUGGAGAGAGUUGGCAUAGCAAGCAUCCGGCUACCAUGUCCAUCAUGUUGUAUUGCGUUUCUCUCAAUAGCCGAUGCUUAGUCUUGUCAACAUAGGUAAGGCCGAACCGAAGUCUAGAACUUCGGACACUAAUGAAAUUUUUAUGCAGGCGAAAGUAAGGAUUGGAGAAAGUUUAUUGUUGAUUGUCUACAAAAUCCUAGCAAAAGGGUGAACAAUAUGGUUCGGAGUAUGACAUUGAGAUACAUAUCUAUGGAACUUUAUCACCGGAUUGUUAAUGAAGCUGAGAAGGUUUCACCCAAGUUUGCAUCAGAAAGUUCACACAAGACAUGGCCGAUAUAUACUUAUCGUCCUAAGAACAUAUAAAUGGCCGAUGGAGUGUUGACAUCGUCCUUAGAACAAACUUGGUACAAGUAUUUUUCGGCAUGCUAGCUUUACCGAAAAACGGGAGGGCAUGUGUUGACGCUCAAAAGUGGCACGAUCAUAAAGCAGCAUGCCGGGGCGAAAACCUUGCCGGGGUAAAAUCUUGCCGGUGUGAAAGCUUGCCGGUGUGAAGGCUUACCGGCGUGGAAAGCUUGCCGGCACAGAAAGAUCGCCGGUGCUUGCCGGUGUGAAAUCUUGCCGAGGGAGAAAUCUUGUCAGGGAGGAACCCUUGCCGGAGUACAAACCUUGCCAGAGUGAAACCUUGCCGGUGUGAAAGCUUGCCGGGUAGAAACAUUGCCGGUGUGGAAACCUUACUCGGAUGGAAAACUUGCCGGGUUGGAGGCUGUGAUAGUCAAUCGAACGAGAAGUUGAAGAUGGGCUCAAAAGGUUAUUUAGAUGAUCUCGGAUGGAAAAAUGAUCUACACGGGUUGUCUUCAUCUCGUCCAAACGAUCGAUUUUGAUAUAAAAAUCGUUCAAAUUUGAGUUUGUAUGCAAAAGUUAGAGCAAUCGGAGUGCAGCCCUGUCACGAGGCGAGAUGUGGCGCCCCCCACCAGACACAUAUCUGACGGGUAGCGCGAGGAAAUAGCCUGUGUUGCGAGACCGAUCUGACCCUCAAGAUGAUCUCUGAUCAAAAAACCUUCAACAUGAAAGUUUUUCGUCUCGUCGAAACAGUCAAGAUUGCUUUUGGGCUUGUUUUCAUCCGGGAUCGUUUACCACCGCAAAAAAGACCCGCAAUGUGCAGCCAGUUUAAACCGAACAGUUUUGGAAAGUUCGGAUAAACCAGUCGGAAUUUGACUAGGGUUUUGGACGUGAAUUGAUGUAAUUUUCUUGUAAGGAAAGCCUAGAUAAAUUCUUUGCUUGUACGGGGAGUCCAGCCGCCUCUUAUAUAUGUUGGGGGUGACGGCCGAUUGAAACAACACACAAUCGAACAAACACAUCUACUACUUUUUCGUGUUCAUCUACUUUUUAUCUCUCCCUUGUAUCUUUCUUCUCGUUUUUCGCAAGUUCUUCAUGCUGGAGGGCUGCGGAUCCACGAGGCUCUAGGGCCGAGCGAAUCGACCUAGGGCAGCCCAUAGCCGCCGCAAUCCCUAACGGGGUCCCUCUCAGGUGCGCGGGAUUUCGGGUCUACAAAAGCGCCCGCCGACUGUCUUGCGUAUCGCGCUGUCGGUCGGGUCUCCUUCGACGUGAGCUGCGGUGCAUCACCCCCGGCGUCAAGGUUACAUGUGACGUGUUCGUGUGCGAACAACGUGCUCCCUGGCUCCACCCCGUUGAAAAAAUAUACAUUUGGAGGCCACUUUGUUUCCUCAUCAAAAAAAACUUACGUUAAAAAGAUUGCAUGCAUCCCAGGGAAAGUAAUCAAGAAGAAGUCGGACUCUUCCUUACAAAAACAAGGAACGUGUUAAGUUAACUUCAAAGAAAAAGGAACAUGUUAAGUUAAAAAAAAGAAGAAACAUGUUAAGUUAGAAAAAAACAAGGAACGUGUUGUCCUAGGAAAGAUAUGUGUCAAAUCUUACAAAAAAAAGAAUACACACACGUACGUUCAUGCACUUGGAAAAUAGAAAAAAAAGGAACAUCACGUAUGUAUACACUUCGGAAACUCAUUACAUGACCAUGUCUGAUAUACUCAUCUAAUGCUUAAUAUUAGUGCCUAAUAAUUUAUAUUUAAAAUUUAAUUUACUGAUCAAAUAUCCCCAAUGUUUAAAUUUUAAUUUGGCACAUUGUUUGGCUAUAGUAUGAACCUAAAUUUCCUCUUAUUAUUAUAUAUCAUGAUAAUAAUCCAAAGGCGACUAAUCUGCGCUGGUGCACCGGGGCAAUCAAUUCGGCCGGACACAGCGCGGCCUUUUGAUUAGAUUGCAUUUAACCGUCUGAUCUGGAAUUGUUUUCUUUCCAAUUAAACGGAUUCAACCAAACAGCAGAGGGGAAAACAAAGCAGCGCCGCCGCCAACACUAGCCAUGGACGAUCGAUGUAGCAAAACCUUGAAGAACCGCCGCCGGUCGCCACCCUCGCCGCUGGUGGCCGCCCUCGCCAUCGGUCACCGCCGGUCGCCGCCCUCGCCGCCUGCGUUUCUCAUCGGCUUCAUGCAUGCAACAACAUGCACUCGUGGUUGCAGGCUUGCAGCUCCGGCUCCGGGGGACAUGGCCGCAUCUCCGGUAACGCCGGCCGCCAACCAUAGCACCUGUCAUUGUGGUCGCGUUGUACCUCACCGUGUGCCCUCCCAAGGCUCUUGCUGGUUCCAACAAAAAACGAUACCUGUUGUAGCAAAAAAGUUUAUCGCUUCCAGCAAAAAAGCUUUCCGCUACAGCCCGCCAUUGUCAUUGUAGCAAAAAUGUUAACCCGAUGUAGCUUUUGUGGUUGCCGACUGCAACAAAAAAUGACAUGGUUGAAGCAAAACACAAAAGAAAAACGCCGGCCGGCCGCUGUGUAUGGUGGUAACAAACCCUAUAGCCGGUGGUAGCGAAAAACUUCAUAGUUUGCAGCAAAAAAAUGUUGUCGCCCGUCGUCGAGGUUGCAUCAUCUUCAUGAAUUAUGUCGCAAAAAAACAUUGUCGCCGGUAGUAGCAAAUGAAGCCGCCCGGUAGUAGCAAAACAAGACACUGGUUCCAGCCAAAAAAAAUCAGCGACAGAACCUUUGGUUGGUUCCAACAAAAAAACUUGUCGGUUGUAACAUCCCUCGCCGCCGGAUGUAGCAUCUCCCGGGGCUGGUUGCAACACUCUAAAAAAAAGUUGUCUAAGAGCGCAUCCAUGGCGACUGCUGCACCGUCAGCAACGAGGGGAAGAGGAGGCAAUGAAAAUCGUUCGAGUCGUAGCUCCACAGGACGCGGCUGCAGCAUGGGGAGUCCAAAAAUCUGUCACAAGCAACAUGCGCCUCGCCAUCCUCCUGCGUAGGAGAGAGAAGAAAAAGGAAUAAGAGGAAGAAGAAAGGAAACGGGAGAAAGAAAAAAGAAACGAUUGGUGGUGGGCUGAGGCAAUUAGUCAAACGAGGGGCACGCGGGGCCGCAGGAUACAGCGCAAUCGAACGAAGCACGCGCGUCCGGCCGAAGACUCGGCCGGACUGCCGGCUGGAAACGUUUCCCUAAUCCAAAGGCUUUGUCUGAAUGACAAGUCGUCUAGGUUACCGGCUAACUAGAAAAAAGAUAAAUAUGCUAGAGAAUUUCAUAAUAAUUAGAAAUAUCUAGCCUUUAAUUAUGUAAAUCAGAAAAUCACAACCGUAGGAUUUACUUUAAAGGUAAAUUUCUCUAAAUUCCCACCAUUGCCAGUAUGUAGAAACAUGUGCUGCUUCAAUUCUCCCAUAAUCACCAAUCAAUCAACAACACAAAACAUACCUCAGUUAAAAAAAACUGAACAAAAAAAAGAAAAAAAGAAGAAAGGACAAGAUACACGCAUGUACACGACAGCCUUGGCUUGAAACACAUCAGUAGAUCAAGUGUCCGCCUCCCUUACACAGAAUAAAUUCUAGGGAAGAAAAUAAUAGUGCAACCUAACCUUAUACGUACUAUUCUAUCCUCACGUCCCAUGAGGUUUACUAGCCUACCGCCGCCGCAUCAUGCCAUCCUCUCCUUUCAGCUCCCAUGCUCUCCAGCAUCCUCCUUGCCGCGCCACUACUCGCCUAGGAAUAUUGCUGCUCAGACCGCGGAGCUUAACCUGCUUCUUCUUCAGCAAAUAUGGAACUGCUUUAGGAUCCUUCUCACAUCAGCACGUAUGGGCCUCAUUAUACUGCAGCUCCUGGACCUCCUACAAUUGGUUGGCUAUGGCCAGUUGAUCGAUGUGCUGAAGUCUAGGUCUGUUUGCUGGCACAUAUGCUUUGGAAAUAGGCCACUAUGUUUGUACUUCAAAAUUGUUUCGGUAUUCUUGAGUGGUACAUCCUUUUAAGUGCCAGUUUUUUAUGUUAAUUCGACAACACUUAACCUAGCCUUUCAUGUUCACGUACUAAAUACAGGAGCAAGUAAAAAAAACAGACCACCUAAUUGCUCUGCAAGUUCUACAUAGGAAAAUUUGUCAUGUUCUACGAUCGCACCAUCCCACCCUUCUCUCUUGGUAUGGGCGCCAAUUGAGGGAUUGAUAAAACUGAAAUGAAGACGUCACAGGGCUGGAAGUACCGCUAGCCUGGUUUGCACUGCAACCUACCCAACGCCAUCAGAAACUAGCAACUGAGGCAGGUGUUGAUCGAUUCUCUCAAAUUGCUCUCAUGUAAGUACUACCCCUUGCAUGUGCGUACAUACCUUUGUUGCAUUCUCAAACAGAUAGAACAUGUAUGAUCGGUGCAUGGCUAUUUUUAGGUAUAGCGACUGCACAACUUCUUCAACUCCAUAUGAUGCUAGUGUAUUGCAUCGAAAGAAUCAACGGAUUGCUAGAGAUCAACUGAGGUAUUCUCAUAUUAUUGGCUCGCUUAUGUAUUUGACGACUGCCACGAGGCCUAACAUCUCGUUUGCUGUUAGCAAGCUGAGUCGGUUUGUGUAAAAACCAGGAGAUGAUCAUUGCCAUGCGCUUGAGAGAGUUAUGCGCUAUUUGAAAGGCACCGCGAGCAAUGGGAUUCACUACACCGGGUAUCCAAGGGUACUGGAGGGUUAUAGUGACUCAAACUGGAUAUCUGAUGCUAAUGAGAUUAAGGCCACAAGUGGUUAUGUUUUUACACUUGGUGGUGGCACUGUUUCUUGGAAGUCCUGCAAACAGACCAUCUUAAUGAGGUCAACUAUGGAAGCGGAACUCACAGCAUUAGAAACUACCACUGUUGAAGCAGAGUGGCUUCGUGAGUUCUUGAUGGACUUACCUAUAGUUGAAAAACCAAUACCCCCUAUCCCUAUGAACUGUGAUAAUCAAACUGUGAUUGUCAAGAUAAACAGUUCUAAGGACAAUAUGAAGUCCUCAAGGCAUGUGAAGAGGAGACUGAAAUCUGUCAGAAAAUUGAGGAACUCCGAAGUUAUUACGUUGGAUUAUAUCAAAACGUCGAAAAAUUUGGCUGAUCCCUUCACAAAGGGUCUAUCACGUAAUGUGAUAGAUAAUGCAUCGAUGGAGAUGGGUCUGAGACCCACCGCAUGAGUUGUCCAUAGUGGUAACCCACUCUAUGUGAUCGGAGAUCCCGUGAAGUAGAAGUGGGAGACAAGUUGUUGGUCAGCUGGGAGGAGAGUAUCCCUAUAUUACCUAUCCCACUCCCUGAAGAUGCAAUACUCUCCUAAUCUGCAUGGCAGGUUGAUACUUACCUUAAUGUGUUCCAAGUGGCUUAUUCGGGUAAGUAGAAAUGUUGUCCUGCAGAACAUCUUCUGAGGAACACACCUAUAUGAAUUUGACUGUUAACAUUGUAGUCUGUGAGAAUUGGGUGUUCUCUAAUAAAUUCAUGAAAAGGCCCUGGAGUAUGACGUAUACGCUCCACCCGCGGGGAAGCCUUGCGGCAGCCUAGUAUCGGUCAAGAAUUUGUGUGAAACUAGUCUCGCAGAAAAUUUGUAGUUCAAGGCAUAGUCCACUAUUUAAGUUGUGAUCUAGUGUAGCAUAAAUCUCUAAGUGGAAGUUCAACUUCAUAGUCUCCACUAAGCACCGGUAUAUAAACAAUGUUUUGGAACUAAAUGAUGAGAUGUUCCAAUGAGUCUUUGUGGGGGAAUUGUUGGAAUUUUGCUAGUACGCCUUUGGCCCAAAGCCCAACUAAAAUUAUGAAAUUUUCUUGGCCCAUUCAUGCAUACAUGUGAGUGGAGUGAGUGAGACUAAAGUAUAGUCCCACCCCGGAAGUUGAGAGAGAGCACCUCUUUAUAAGGUAAGCUCUUCUACCACUUGUAUGAGCAUGAGAAUAGGAGACCUACACACGCGCUCCUCCUUGCUCGCCACGCCACGCCUCGUCACGACGCGCUGCAGGUUGCGGGAUUGAGCGGAGCCGAGGACAGAGCUAUGCACGUUGUCUAUUUUUUGCUACCCGGGAAAAAUUAAUGAGUCAUUAAUUAAUAAUUAAUGGACGCGUUAAUAACUGAACCGUUUCCGAUUCUUUUGGAUCGUGACGACUCGGACAUGGGGUUUACUCCCACGACCUACCCGGCCCGCACUAUAUAGUCAGUCAGACGUCUACCCUAGCCGCCGCCGCUUCGUAUGGUUUCUCACCACCAUUCCAGAUCAUUGCGCCGCAAAGCAAGUCUUCUCCAUACCUCCUUUCGGCGUGCACUGGGAGAAGGAACAGCAGGCCUUCGGAACCCCGCCGCUCGUGAUCCUGUACGGGAGAGGGGCGAUCAGGUUUUUGGGGAGCGCACUCGCGCGACUGCUGGCAGCGACGACUUCGCGAAUGACGACUUCAUCCCGGACCUCGGCAACCUCAUCCUCGACGACAUGGGUGACAACGUCAACGCCGGCGGUGCUGCAGCCGCUGCACCGUAUGUUAUUCUAUCCUUCUUGUUCGAGAUCGUGGUAGAAUUCAGGUUUCUAGUAUGUGCCCUAGAUGUGAUCUGUUCAUCUACUCUGCUAGUUCGCAUGAUUAGUUUAAUCUCUGCUAUUGCUGUCAUGAUCUAUUUCCAAUUUAUUCGGAUUAAAUCUCGUAGUAAUUUGCUCAUUUUUCCAACAAUGCCAUCUGAUAGAUGAUGUAAUUCUCGUCAAGUUUGACGUUGUUGAGCUAAUUUACAAAAAAACCUCAUCAUUAUUGGAUGUCCUUAACAGCUCAAGAACAAGUUGGGGUCGAACUAAUGGAUUUUACACUUUUACAUUAAAGGUUUAGCUAAAGCUAGCAGGUGUUUUUAAACCUGAUUUUUUUCCUCCUAAAUUUCUUUGUAUUUUCUUAUUGACACUAUUUAUACAAUCAUCUGACAAAGAUUUGCUAAAGCUGCUUGUAGAUACGUUGAAACCUGAAAAGCUUCUUUGGUUUUCUCAUAGGUCUUAAUUCUUAUGUAAUACCAAGAUGCAUUGUGGUAGUGUACAUGUGUUAAAUUCGUGUUGUUAUUCACAAUUUGCGACAAAAUUUAGCUCACGCUACAUUUCAAUAUGUUGAAAUGUGAAAGCUCUUUUUCUUCUCCUUUCUACACCUUGCAUCGGAUUGCAUCCCUUUAGUUAUCCAACAUUUUGUACAACAUGUAGAGAUUAGGAAGUUCAUCAUAGUUUGUCUAUUUCGGUGCUAAUAAAUGUAUGAAAUCUGCAUUUCCAAGCUAUUAGGACAAGUAAAAAAUAAUAAUUUUACUAUAGGAUUCAAAAACAGCAGUUCUGAAGUGCACUUUAUUUAUUUGCGAAAGUGACCACAUUUUGUUUCAUUUUUCUAUAGACAAAUCUACUAAUACAUACUCACGAUAAAACUAUAAAAGUUCUAGUCCGCACAUUGGGCGGGCCACCCGGCUGGUUCGUCUAAAGAAAACAAAAUGAGUCUGGAAUUUGAAUUAAAUUGAAGUAUUUUCUUGGACUUUCAAAUUGAGUAUAGUUAAAGUAGUAAGGACUAUCCACAUCCUUGGCUUGCCCCUAAUCAAUUAUUUCCAGAGAAGCAUUCAAUUCAUCAAUCAAUUACAUUGAUUUUAGUGGCUGGUACUUCUCCUGAACAUCAGUAUAUUCACCGUGGCCACUCCAAAUCGGCAAGAAUGAGGUACCAGUGCUCUGGAGCAGUGCAAGCUAAUUGCUUCUCAUGUGAAGGGGUGCGGGCGCGGGAGAGGUAUUUCUGGUGGGCCAAGGGACUAAGAAGCGACCGUGGCAGCGGUACAGACGCCCGCAAAGCCCCAUAGUUUGUUUUUGAUUUACAGGAAAAUUGCACAUCCAUACUGGCCUGGGGAAUAUAGGACCGUAUUGGAUGGAAAACCAUGUCCGGAUGGUUGCGAGCGGUUUGAGGGUUAGCUUUUGUAACACCCGGUUAGUUAUGCUACAGCAAUUCCCUGCUAAUGAUGUCACGUCACCACGAUUACUGUUGUUAACCUCACAAUGAUUGAAUCCCAUUCAAAUUCAAAUUUAAAAUAAAGGCAAACAUCAAAAGUUUUCAAACAUGAAAACUAAAAUCUUUGAGAGGUGACAAAUAAUGCAUAAGUAAUUAUGGUGGAGAAACCACACUUUAAUUAAAUGUUAAAAUACUCUAAAAUGAAAAAAACAGUGGCUUAAACUAUUAUUUAAAUGCUUUUAAAAUAGUAAAAAUCUUCUAACUAAAUUAUUUGGGUACCAAACUUUUGGUGGCAGUGGUAUAUUUAGUAGAACUAAUUUAGAUGCUAAUUAUAUAAUUUACAAAAUUAGAAUAAAUUGAAAAAUAGGAUAAAACGGAAAAGGAAAGACAAAACAAAUAAAAGCAAAAAGGGGGCAACCCCUCGCUGGGCCUCGGCCUAGCUGGCCACUAGGCGAGCUAGGCUGGCCCCGCUGCCUCCCUUAACCCCCACACUCCUCAUCGAACCCAAGCCCGAUCGCCCCACUUCCCCACACCCCCUCGCCAGCCUCCCCACCCCUUGAUCCCAUCUGGAUCGGCGAGUGUAUUGCCCCCAUCGACCCCGUUGCCAUCGCUAGAUCGCCCGCCGACGUCGCCAGGCCUCCUCCCCGCCGCACGUCUUUGGCUCGCCUCUCCUCUCGCUCCUCUUCCCCGGCCCGAUCUUGAUCGUGAACGAGCAAUGAGCUUGAAGCCCCCCUUCACCGGCGCCAUCACCGUGCGCCACCACCACCGCCUGAAGACCUCACCGUCGCUGAACCUUGCGUCGCCUCCUCGUAUCCCUCCCCUACUCACGUCCUCAAGCCAGGCCGAGCCCCUUCUCGGCAACGCUGUGAGACGCCCCCGUUUCCCUCCUCUUUCCACCGCGUUCACCACGCCGCCCGCCAUGCCCCUCGCCGUGCGCAUGCCCACCACCGCACCAGCCCCCGCUCCGCGCACGACCCUACCCGCGCCCGCGACAUGAUCCCCUUUUCCGCCCUAUCUUCCUGCGCUCGCCGCGGUCCCGAUGCUCCCCCGCGCCUUCUUUCAGGGGCGCCGACUGCCCCUGUCCCGCUGCUCGCCGCCGUGCCUCGCCACCGCUCUACUGCUGCGUUACUACUGUGCUGCGGCCGCCGCCUCUUCCUGCUGCUCCGCCAGCGCCGAAGCUCCCAGUUGGCUCCACCACUGCUCACUUUAAACCGCCGGCCUAAAUGGCCUAACCCCGGCUAAUGAACCCCCACUAACCCACUGACACCGGGACCCACAUUCCCUAAUUAACCAUUUAAUAAAUUAAAACUCUUAAAUUAACAUUAGUGUAUGACAUGUGCGUCCCCUGUUAAUUAAUAAUUUUGCUGCUAGUUUUAUUAGUUUCUGUUUUUCUGCAUAUUUCUUUUGUAUUUGAACACGCUUUAUACAGUAAUAUUUAGCGUAUCAUACACAUACAAAUGUAAUCAUAGCAUAUACAUACAAAUAGUCUCAUCAAAUCAUGUCAUCAUCAUAAUCAUCAUCCAUCACAAAGUGGUCUCUCGUCAUCAUCUCGAAAAUAGCGAUACAAGUCUCGAUUACUUGCAACUACAUCGUCAUCCAUCUAAAUAAUGAUAUACGCGAGAAGAGCUAUUACUAUGAGUACGAGCGGAACUAUGCAGUACAUGAGGCUGUAUCCCUCUCUCGCAUUAGCGUGAACCUAAACUAACUACUGGCUGUUGCUCGGAAACCGGAAACCGGUACACCUAGGCUUGACACUCCGGCCACUCGUCGUAUACUCCUGGCGUAGAACUUCUUCUCCAUCGAUGAUCUAUGUGAAGGAAAUAUGCCCUAGAGGCAAUAAUAAAGUUAUUAUUUAUUUCCUUAUAUCAUGAUAAAUCGUGAUGGGAAUGGGCCGGGUCGGCCCGCUGGGUCACUGACUCGGCCCGAAAUCUCGAGGCCAAUGGGCCAGGGAGGUUGGCCUCGAAUCACAAAACGGGUCAGUGGAGCCGGCCCCGUGUGACCCGAUGGACCAGAUGGGUCGACCCAGCGCUGCCCUAGUCCUCCAUCUAUGCCGCCGCCCCCCACGAUCUCUGUAGCCGCUCCCGAUGAUUUCUUCCGCCGCCGGCCAUCUUUGCCGCCCCUGGCAUCCCCCGACCUUCUCUAUCGGCCGCUCCCGACCUGCUGCCGCCGCCGGCUGCCCCUGAACAUCUUUGCUGGCCUGCUGCCGCCGGCGUUCCUCCCGCAUCUCGUUCGUCGUCUUGGUCGCCGUCGAGCUCGCUGACCUGCGGUCCCGUCCACCAUCUACCUCGCCAUUCCGGUCGCCGUCCUCAUCGUCAUCAUCACGCAGGUGAGACUCUUGCCGGCUUCCUCCCUGUCCCAGCGCAGCUGCAAUGACUGGUCUAGUUUAGGUUCUUGGUCUUGCUGGCACUCUCUGCGUUGUCUGCAAUUGUUUCAGUAGUUGGAGCUUGGAAGAAAUAGUCAACACUCAAAAAUAGACUGUUUGAUUGUUCAGCAUGGGACUUGUUUGAUUGUUCUCAAGAAGAAAUAGUGCUUCAGUUGAGCUCCUGUGUAGCUGCAGUUUAGCAUUCAACAACAGUUUUCUUUUUUGUGCAGCAUGCCACUUUCUUUUUUGUGCAGCAGCUUAGCUGCAGUUUAGCCUUUCGGUCCUCUGAUCCGAGGAAAAGUAAUUAGUGUUACUUCCUGUUGUUGGUUACUAAAUAAACCAGAAAUAGUUGUCCUGUGAAACAAUUUUACUCUGUUUUUUUGUUGAAUCGGCAAAUUUUACUCUGCUGGUAGGAUGGAGUAGUGCAUAUGUUGAUGAUGCUCACGAAAAACCUUCCUGGAGUAGUGCAUAUGUCCAACUGUGAGUUUCUUCUAUUCCUCGAAUGGCCGUUUGGUGUGGUGUUCUCCUAAUUUGUUGCCUGACAAGCUAGGUGUUGUGGGCGUGCUGCAUAAGAAGUAACAAUGGUUAGAAGAUGUAGUUAAUGCUUAGUUUUUUAUGUGAUAUAGGGUCAUGUGACUUCUUUUUCUUGGGCUAGCUGCCAGGUUGAGUUUGCGUAUAUGCAUAUCAGUGUAGCUGAUCCAUCGACAAGUCCAGCAUUUUUUAGUGUCAGUUCAGGGGAUGCUUUACUGGCAGCGAUUUCUGUAGUGUUGCUCAAUGGGAUGCUUUGCCGACAGUGAUUAGACCGUAAACUAAACUAUCCGGUUUCUUAUCUGCAUGCAUCUGCUGUUGAUUUUGAAAGUUAAUGCUCUCUAAUGUUCAUAUAUUUCCCUCUGAUUAGAAAAAUGGAAGAGGAGGAAGGGGACCAUGAGGCAUACCAAAGUGGUGGUUCAUCGUUGAUAUCCGGUGCGAUAAUGAGAAGGGCUCAACCACCCCCAGGGGUGUCUCCUUCUUCGAUAGACAUCUGUAGAGCUUAUCAUGGUGAGUAUUGUUAAUCUUUCUUUUUAUAGGGAUGCAAAUUAAUGGUUGCUAAAAUAAAAAAUACUCAUAAUUGUAAUGUUAACACUCGUGUCCUUUGCUCAGCAGGACGUUCGCAAGACACUCGUAUGGUUGAUUUUGAAGAAGAUGAGGCUGAUGAAGAAGAUGUUGACUAUGAAGAAGCAGAGGAAGGAGAAGAAGAUGAGGAUGAUGAAGAAGAAGAAGAAGAUGAUGAUGAUGAAGAAGAAGAAGAAGAGGGAGAUAAUGUGGAUGAAGAGGGAGAGGUUGAGAUCAUUGACAUGGGAUCGUUUUCUGAACCGGGAAGAAAGUUUUUGUCGAAAGUGUGGAAAGAAUAUGAGCCUAUCCGUGUUGAUGGCAUUGUUGUAGCUGCUGAGUGCAAACACUGUGCAAGGAAUAUUUGUGCUGAGCGUAAACAUGGAACAAGUUCAUUGCGCAAACAUUUGAAGAGAUGCAGGGAAAGGAAGAAGGUUCUUAGAGUUUCUGGACAGCUGAGUGCUUCUAUCGUGAGUCCUGAUGGAGUUGCAAUGGGGCUUUGGACCUUUAAUCAGGCAUUAGCACGCCGAGAGCUGAUGAGGAUGAUAGUGUUGCAUGAAUUGGCAUUCUCAUUGGUGGAGUACGAUGGAUUUAGAAGAUUUGUCUCUAGUUUAAAUCCUAGCUUCAAGAUGAUAUGCAGAAAAACUGUGAAGGAGGACUGCAUGAAAGCAUUUAAGGAAGAGAAGAGAAUUUUGCAAAGGAUGUUCCAAAACUCCAAAUCCAAGAUUUCUUUGACUACGGACCUAUGGACAUCAAAUCAGACAGUGGGGUACAUUUGCAUCACAGCUCACUUCAUUGAUGAGGAGUGGAAGCAGCAGAAGAGGAUAGUGAAAUUUGCAGCUAUGGAGACGCCGCACACAGGAGCUGCAAUGUUCAACGUCAUGGUGAAUUUCAUAAGAGAGUGGAACAUUGAAGAUAAUCUCUUUGCUGUGACGCUAGACAAUGCAUCGAACAAUGGUGCAAUGAUGAAGCUAUUGAAGGCACAUCUCCUGCUUAAGAAGAUGUUACCUGGUGGUGGCAAGUUGUUUCACCAACGUUGUGCCGCCCAUGUCAUAAAUCUGAUAUGUCAAGCAGGAUUGAACUUCCUUGGUCCAGUGAUCAACAUGAUACGUGAAACUGUGAAAUAUAUUCGAAGCUCACCAAGUCGAAAGGAAAAAUUUCAAGAAAUUGUUGAGCAACAUGGUGUAUCAUGUAGGAGAACUCCAAUUCUUGAUGUUCCAACUCGUUGGAACUCAACCUACAUGAUGAUUGAUAUAGCAAAAGAGUAUCGUGGAGUGUUUGACUCUUUGGCCAUUCAAGAUAAACAAUAUACCUUCAAGCCAUCUUUUGAGGAUUGGGAAAAUGCUGAAGAUGUUUGCAGGCUACUGAAGGUAUUUUAUGAAGCCACUAAUGUGAUAUCCGGCACAAAAUAUCCAACUGCUAACUUGUAUUUCCAUGAAAUGUGGAAAGUGAAGCUGACCUUAGAGCAACAACAUUAUGAAGAGGAUUCUGAGAUGGGCACAACGGUCAAAUAUAUGAAGAGAAAAUUUAGAAGGUAUUGGAAGAUGACAUGGUUGAGCCUUUGUAUUCCAGUGAUUUUGGACCCACAAUUCAAGUUGAAAUAUGUUGAUUUCCGAUUUGGCCUAGAGUUUGGGAACGAAGUUGCAGCAAUGAUUGCUAAAAUAAAAAAUGUGUUCCAAGGGUUGUUCAAGGAAUACCUCCAAUUGAAUGACAAUGGAUCAGAUCCCAUGUCACAAGGAGGUGAUGAUGACAUGGCUGUAAGUGGUGAAGAUCCUAUGGCUGAUUGGGUCCAACAUGUCACCCUCACUGCUCGAUCAACAAAUUUGGAUUAUACCGAACUUGAUUCGUACUUGUCAAAGGUACCCAUCCGCCGAAGUGAUCAAUUCAAUAUCCUUACAUGGUGGCAGACGAACUCCAGUGAAUACCCAACGCUGAGUCGCAUGGCAGCUGAUAUCUUGGCGGCUCCUUCCUCUGCGGUGGCAUCCGAGUCCGCCUUCAGCACAGGGAAGAGAGUCCUAUCAGAUUUUCGAAGUCGAAUGACCGCAACGACACUUGAAGCUCUUGUUUGUUUACAAGAUUGGAUAAGGGCCAACGGUAAAGCCAUACGACACAAGUUUCUUCUUUGUUUCUUAUUAAUGCUUCAAGUUUACAAGUUUCUUUUUUUUCUGCAGCUAAUACUCAACGUAGCUUGGCUUCAGUUCAUGACAUUAUAAUGGACUUACAAGGUAUGAGAAAUCUUCUGAUGUAUAUAGUGCCAUGUAUAUGAAGUACACUUAGUAUGAAGUCUGCUUUUUAUUUAGGGAUUUCAUAUCUACAGUUUGUUCCAGGGAACUAUUUGCAAGAUGCAACCCAAACAUGUAGAUGAGUAUAUAGAGUGUUUUACACACAGAACUAGUGCUUUUAUUUUUGGUUUCCCCAAGUUGUAGUUGAUCUCUAAUAUAUAUUUCUUUUUUCUCUCAGAUAUGAAUGUGUAGUUUAGAUUCAUUUUUUUAAUCGCCAAACUAUAUUAAAAAUAUGCAUUGCUAACUACAGUAACUUGAUUAGAAUAUGUUGCGGAGUGGAUGACAGGUAGUGUAUAAUGGAUAUUUAGAAGUGUAUUUUCUUGCAAACCUGAUCAUGAAUUGGUUUUCUGGAACACGCCUUUGCUACUAAGAAUAUUCCUCUGUUCAUAAAUAUAUUAUUUAGUUUUUUUGUGGAUAAAUAUACUAUUUAGUUGAUGUGCACAGAAUUACUCUUGUAACAUUUCUUUGCAAAUACAGAUAUCGAGGACUGAUGCUUGUUGGAGCAAUUGAUGUUAAAGCUCAAGCAGAUGGUGAAGAAGAUAUGUCAGCUUUCUCUAUAACCUACUGGAUGUGAAAAGAUUAGCAUGUUGAACUUGUAAUAUUUUGAUCUUGCAUGAGUCUGUUGGAUUGAGGUCAUUAGCUUGACGUUCUUUGAAAUCUGUAAUCUUUUGGUCUUGUUCGAAUCUGUUGGAUUGAGGUCUUUUGCUUGAUGCUCUUUGAAACAUGUAAUCUCAUGAUCUUGCCAUUCUAGAAACAUUUGCUAAAUUCUGGGUCGGCCUCAUGUACCCAAUGGGUCAAUGGGGCCACAAAAUUCUGAUGAAAUGGGCCGGCCCGUGGCCUCACAUUUUGACCUUGGGGCCACGGGGCCGGGGCCGGGGCCAGGGCCGGGUCGGCCCAUUCCCAUUCUGAAUGAUAAAUGUUUAUUAUUCAUGCUAGAAUUGUAUUAACCGGAAACAUAAUACAUGUGUGAAUACAUAGACAAACAGAGUGUCACUAGUAUGCCUCUACUAGACUAGCUCGUUAAUCAAAGAUGGUUAAGUUUCCUAACCAUAAACAAAGAGUCGUUAUUUGAUUAACGAGGUCACAUCAUUAGUUGAAUGAUCUGAUUGACAUGACCCAUUCCAUUAGCUUAGCACCCGAUCGUUUAGUAUGUUGCUAUUGCUUUCUUCAUGUCUUAUACAUGUUCCUAUGACUAUGAGAUUAUGCAACUCCCGUUUGCCGGAGGAACACUUUGUGUGCUACCAAACGUCACAACGUAACUGGGUGAUUAUAAAGGAGCUCUACAGGUGUCUCCAAUGGUAGAUGUUGGGUUGGCGUAUUUCGAGAAUAGGAUUUGACACUCCGAUUGUCGGAGAGGUAUCUCUGGGCCCUCUCGGUAAUGCACAUUACACAAGCCUUGCAAGCAUUGCAACUAAUGAGUUAGUUGCGGGAUGAUGUAUUACAGAACGAGUAAAGAUACUUGCCGGUAACGAGAUUGAACUAGGUAUUGGAUACCGACGAUCGAAUCUCGGGAAAGUAACAUACCGAUGACAAAGGGAACAACGUAUGUUGUUAUGCGGUCUGACCGAUAAAGAUCUUCGUAGAAUAUGCAGGAGCCAAUAUGGGCAUCCAGGUCCCUCUAUUGGUUAUUGACCAGAGACGUGUCCUGGUCAUGUCUACAUUGUUCUCGAACUGUAGGGUCCGCACGCUUAACGUUACGAUGACAGUUAUUAUGAGUUUAUGCAUUUUGAUGUACCGAAGGUAGUUCGGAGUCCCGGAUGUGAUCACGGACAUGACGAGGAGUCUCGAAAUUGUCACACCCUAGCUAGUUUAUGCAUUAGAGUGUGCAUCAUGUUUACCUUCAUCAGAAAUUGAAAUGGGGAGAGCAGAACCCCCAGCACCCCCCCCCUGAAAUCAACGAGGGUUUACUAAAAAUAAAUUCAAUGAACCUGAAAUGCCCUUGAAAUAUGUUCACCCUCUUUGCCUUGGGUUAGAACCCUUGGGAAAAAUGGUGCAUAUAAUUUUAGGUCAACAAAAGGGGCAUUGACUUAAUUCAUAAAUAUUUGAAUUUGGGCAUUUAAAAUACUAUUAUAUAAUUCAAAUGCUCAAAUAAUGUUGGAACUAUUUUUGGGCCACUGAAAUAUUUCAGAAAGUGUCCAUAAAUAUUUUCAGGAUUUUAUAAAAUGAUUUAGUAUCUGAACUAAAUCAAAACAGAAUAACAGAAAUAGAAAAACAAAAAAAAAUAAAGAGGGAAAGACCAUGGGCCACUUACCUGGCCCAGCGCCAGGCCACUAGCGGCCCAGCCCACCAGGCCGAUGCCAGUCGUCCCCUAGCUCCUGCCAGGAGGACGAAGGGCGUGUGCCCGCGGUGCGCCAGCACGCACACGGCCACCGACGGCCACCUCCUGCUUCGGCCGCCUCCCCGACGUCGCUUUGGACGCCACGCAUCCCCCCCUGACCCCUCGCUCACUCUCUUUCAUCCUCAUCCCCUCCUCUGCUCUCUCUCCCGCGCAACCGCCAUGAGCCCGAGAGCGCCGACGAGGACCACCACGGCCACCGCCUACCCCUCGCUUCCCUGACCAGCUUAGAGGCUCCGCCUCGACCCCGUCUUCCUUCUCACCGAACCACGCCCCGCCGGAAGCCCUGCGUCAUCAAAUUCAAGCUCUUCUUCAAGCUUCGGCACCGACGAUCGCCGCCGUCGAUUCGCUUGCUCCAGUGCCUCCCCGAGCUUGCCGAGGCCACCGCUGCAACUGCUGUGAGCUCCUGUGUCGUUUCCCCCUCCCCCCUGGCUCGAUUUCUUCUUCUAACACCGAUGCCCGUCAGAACCGAGAGCUCUUCGCCGCCGGCCAUGCCGCCACCGUGACCACAGCCGUGCAAGCUCACUCCCGAGCACGGCAACGUGCUCCACACCUCACCAAGAGCACGUGGAACCCAUCAGUUUCCCCUCCCGUGCACCACAACGCCGAUCCGCUCAACUCCCGAACUCCGGCCGCCGCGCAAGUUGCCGCCGCCGUCGUUUUAGGCCACUAGGGCUGCUGCCGUGUGCACAGAUAGAUGCGGGCGAGUCCCAGCUCCGCGUAGAUGCCCUCCGCUGGCCAUUUGGUCGCCGGAGGAGGAUUUCCGAGCCCCUCCGCCGUCUCUGGCCUUGCCGGCGACGAGCCGGGGUCAACUCCGGCGUGUUUUGACCCCGGGUCGGCUGGGUUGACUCCCCCCUGACUCACUGACGUGUGGGCCCAGGCGCCUGCCUAAUUACCAUUAGUUAAUUAGAGUUAAUAAAAAUUAGCUAAUUAGUGAGCCACUGACAUGCGGGCCCCGCCCGGCUAACCAAGUUAGUUAGGGUUAACUAACUUAGUUAGUUGAUUGUGUCACUGACCAGUGGACCCCACUGGUCAUGUUUGACCUGGAGGCGCCAGUUGACCUGCUGACAUCAGGGUGAUGUCAUGCUGACGCAAUAACUCUUUUUCUGGAUUUAAUUUUAUAUAGAAAAUUCCAGAAAAUUGCCUAAACUUCAAAAAUUCAUAGAAAUUCAACCAUAACUCCAAAUGAGACAAAUUAUAUAUGAAAAAUUAUCAGAAAAAUUCAAGGAAUCCAUCUGUACCAUUUUCAUGCAUGUUUGAACAAUGCUUGUCCUCUGUUUUGGACAAAACAAAUAAAGGGCAUUUAAAUAAUCAUAUAUGGGGUUGGAAUUUGAAUCUUGUACUCAAACCAACUCCAUUUAAAUCAUAGCUAGUUGCAUAAGCUCAAGACACAUCCAUAUUGCCAUGUCAUAGCAUGCAUCAUAUUGUUGCAUAUCAUCAUGUGUUGAUUGUGCUCGGUUGUGUUCUUCGUGGUAGGUUCUGCCUCCGAGGAUAUUCACGAGUAUCCAACUGAAGGGCAGUAUCCCGUUACCACUCCAUCAGGCAAGCAACCAUUGAUCAUUCCGAUACAACCCAUGUUCUCGCUCCUACUCUUGUUUACUGCAUUAAGACAACACGAUUCAAACUGCCGUGUGCUACGGUAGUUGAACCCUUAUCCUCUGCAUGACCUGUCAUUGCCACAGUAACUAGAUGAAACCCACUAGCAUGUGUAGGAGUUGAUUGAGCCAUGUUUUGUGAUUCCUACCUUGCUAUGCCUGCUAUGCUUAGAGUUGUGUCAGGUCUGGUUCAUCUGGGGAAUGGGCUAGAGUGAAAUGCUUGUGCCAGUAAAUUGUGGGAUGUGUUGAACAUGUUUUGGUAAAGGUAUCGAUGAGAGGCCAUGUAGGAGUACAUGGUGGGUUGUUUCAUUGAAGCCGUCCCUAAGAACUGAGUUCUGUAUGCGUGAAUUAAGAUUCAGCUACUACCACACAUUGGGCCCUGAAAUAUGACCCCGCUCGACUUACCGACCCCUCUCGCCUCAGUCCAGGAGUUGCAACUAGUUUCUGGUGUUUGUAGGAUAUGUGUUGGCGGCCGUGCGUAGCGCUGACCCUAGGGGUGGGCUAUGUUGCGGUAGAUACACCGUGGCACGGUGUACUGAGUCACCCGUUUGGUGUCUCGGGAACCCUGUUCACAUCGUUCGGGGCCGUUGAGGACACCCCGGCCGGAUUUCCUUGCGGAUGGAACCUGAAUAGGCGAUGACCCUGGACUAGAGACUCGUGAGGUUAGUCAGGUCGUGGUCUACACCCACGUCGGUUUUCGCUUGAAGUCUGCCGAGCACAUUUCGUGUGCAGACGCUAAGUGGUGGAAACAUGUGUGACGAAGUACACCCCUGCAGGGUAUAAAACUAUUCGAAUAGCCGUGUCCGCGGUAAAGGACUACUUGGUUGCAUAUACAGUUCAUAGACAAGUUAAUGGAUACUACUAAAAGACUCAAGAUAAGUGUGAGUACCGAGGAUGGCUCCCUCGCAGGAUACGAGGGAGGAUCCACGGUGGAGUAUUGUGAUGGUGAGUAGUGGACUCGUGUGCAAAAACUAUUUUGCUAAAAGAUUCCGUAGGAUAGCUUAGCCAAGAGUCAAAGCUGGUUUGCUGCAUAAACCCCACCACCUUCUUGAGAAUGAGCAUGUACAGUAGGUUCUGAUGUAAGACUUGCUGAGUACCUUUGUACUCAUGUUUGCUUAUUUAUUGUUUUCAGACGACAACACUGCCCCCUCCGAUGGGUUUUACGUAGACCUUGACGUCGACGAGUGACUAGCCACCCAGGUGGUGAUCCAGGCCAUGGAGGGCCCUAUGUAGAUAGACAGGCUUCGAGAAGCCUUCUUUCUUUCUAGAGUCUGUACCCAGACUAGUUGCUUCCGCAUGUGCUUGUAUGACUGUAUGACUUGAGUGUCGGGUCAUGUGACCCCUACCUGUAUGGAUAUGUUAUGUAUGGCUCCCUGGAGCCUUUAAAUAAAGUACCUGAGUUGUAGAGUUUUGUUGUGAUGCCAUGUUGUAUGUACUCAUAUCGAGCAUAUUGUAUGUAUGAUUGAAAUGCUUGGUAUGAGUGGGAUCCGACAAUCUAGUUGUUUGUCCUUCGCAGCCUUUCUUAUGGGGAAAUGUAGUCUAGUGCUCCUCGAGCCAUAGUAGUCCGCUACAGCCCGGUUCAGCGGAGUCCUACUAGCCCAGCACUACUGUUCAGGACACUUGACUAGCCGGCAUGUGUUUCACUUCGGGGAAAUGUCACGCGGUGAUCUCCGGAGUCCUGUCUAGCCUGCUACAGCCCGGGAUCCCCCGGAGUCCUGUUAGCCCAGUGCUACAGCCCGGAAUCACUCGUUGAUGACCGACAUGUUCGUUGUGAUUCAUGUAUGCCUGUCUCCAUAGGUCUGUGCCGCUUUGGGUUCACGACUAGCCAUGUCGGCCCGGGUUCUCGGUCAUAUGGAUGCUAGCGACAUUGUCAUAUACGCGAGCCAAAAGGCGCAAACGGUCCCGGGCCAUGGUAAGGCGACACCCGUGGGAUACCGUGAGUGAGGCCGCAAAGUGAUAUGAGGUGUUACCGGCUAGAUCGAUGUGGCUUAGAAUCGGGGUCCUGACAGCGUUGGCAUCAGAGCCGGACUGCCUAUAGGUUCGUUCAGCCAAACUGGUCGAUGUCGAGUCUAGAAAUGCUUUAGUUAUAUGUAAGGGAAUUGAUUGUGGGAGGGAACGUAAGGUUCUUUUACUCCUUUACCCUAUGCUUCUGAUCUGAGUCAUUCUCUUCUCAUUCAACGUGGGUUAAGGACUAGGCUCUCUUCUUCUAUCAGGUUCACGUGUUACUAAUCCGUAGUAGUUCAUAGGAUUAUUGCUACGAGUUCCAGUCCAGUUUCUACUAUUUUAGUACGUUGCUAUUUGAAUCAGAACCUUGAUAUGAUGCUGUUGAGCGGUAUUGUGAACUGUUGUGGAUGUCUCAAAUCUUUUUCUGAGCAUUUACAACCGCUAUGCUGCCCAAUUUUCCCUAGGAAUUCUGAUGUCUUUGUCUUGUGGUUGUGCUUUCAGAUGGCCAACCAUUCUCAAAAUCAAGUGGUUCGCCUGACUAGGUGCCUCGACGUGCCCGGUCAUACUGCUAUGUUGGUCCGGGUCAUGAUCGAGACAGGAUACCGUUGGUAUCCCGAAUACACUGUUGAAGAGCAGUUCCGCGACUUUAAUCAAAGCCAGUAUUUAUGCACCGUCAGGAUAUUUCCUUCCUAUCCUGGAUCUACCGAGCCCCUUCACUGUUCCUAUGGACUCGGAGUUACCAUUGAGAUGGCUGUGCAGGAUGCUGCCUAUUUCAUGAUGACCAUCUUGCGAGUCCGGACUGGCCUGCUUCGGAACACUGACUUCCGUUACAUGCCAGCUUCACUUCCGGGAGCGCAGGGGUAUCUUCAGGCUAUCUAUGCUGACUCCACUCAGGAGGACUCAUUAACUCGUACCACCGCUGAGAUGCUCGAAGAUAUGGACCGAGAGAAUCGGGCCUUGAGGCUGGAGCUCUUUAAUACCCGUGCUGAUCAUUGGGCCACAUUGACUCGGUUUGCACCCGCGGUGCAAGCGGGAUGUAUGGAUACCAGGGAUCUGUAUCCUGUGAGAGCAGCUCUGCCAGACAUGGUGGAUUGGCGUGAUGUGGGAGGCAUCACCCCACCCCUUGGUCACCGCAGGCCACCGUUUGUGGGUCCAAGACCUUAUCCUAGCCCCUAUGGUCCACAGGCUCCUCAGGACCGUCUGUUUCCGGAUGAUCACGUUGAACUUCCAGGCUAUGGAGGUGACUUCUAUGAGGACUACUACGGAGCUAUCUGAGUUAGUAGUAGUACCACUAGUAUUGUAGUAGUUGUAUCUCCACUGUCCUGUGUGACUUGUGGAAUACGACUUGGUGUGUAAUCGAUUCCGGAGGUGUAGACAAAUAAUGUAUAGGGACUCGGAAUGCCUCCGAUGAGAUGUAACGUCUACCUUCAUAGUUGUACUGUAGCAUGGGCUUGUACUAAACUAUGUAUGACGAGUAUGACCGUUGGUGUAUAUAUGGCAGUUUUAUAUUACCAUGGCAUACGAAUGAGCAUCUCUGCAUUCCGCGUUAUCCUUUACAUUCUGCACUUCCCUGUUAAGUUUGAGCCAUCCUUGUCUAAACCGUUGUCUUGUUUCCUCCUAGGAUGGUCAACACCCGCGGAAACCCUGCUGCCCCGGAGCAGGGGGAAGCCAAUGCAGCUAGAGGUGAAAAUUUGCCUCACCCGCCUUCCCUGGCCGAAGUGAUGCUGGAGGCGGAAAGGAACAAGCGUGAGACCAACCGCCUGCUGGAGCGGAUUGAGCAGAACACUGCACGCCACCCACGAAAUGACUUGGUGUCAAUCAACGACUUUAUCAAGCUGUACCCACCAAAGUUUAACCAUUCCGUCGAGCCCCUCGACGCGGAUGAUUGGCUUCGCAGCAUCACCCACAAGCUACGUUCUGCCAACGUAGCUGAAGCCGACAAGGUUACCUAUGCUGCUUAUCAUCUUGAGGGCCCCGCUAGCCAUUGGUGGGAAAACUACGAAGCUAUGCGCCCGGUCGGCCAAAUCACUACCUGGGCUGAGUUCAGCGAGGCUUUCCGUGAGCAUCACAUUCCGGAAGGUCUCAUGGAUCGCAAGAGGGAGGAGUUCUGUAACUUCACCCAAGGAAGGCUGACUGUGGAUGCAUAUAGCCGAGAAUUUGGGAACCUGGCACGCUAUGCUCCUGAAGAGGUUUCUACUGACGCCAAGAAGCAGGGAAGGUUCCGUAAGGGACUUAGCCCUGAGCUUCGCUGCGAUCUCCGUCCGCACGAGUGCACAUCCUUCCAGAAGCUGGUCAAUAAAGCUAUCAGUGCUGAGACAGGCCAGACUGAUUAUGACGCUUCACGCAAGCACUCUCGUGAUUUUGGGUCUUCAUCCGGCUCUGGAGCUCAGAAGCGCCGGGUGUGGAUUCCAAGCACCGCACUGCCAGCCAGAUUCACCCCGAGGCCAUCCUUUGAGGCGCCUCAUCCCAACCAGCAAUUUGCACCGCCCAAGCCCUAUGGUGGCCCCGCUGCUAAUGUUGCUCCACGCCCCACUAUGGUAACAUGCUUCAUGUGUGGAGAACCGGGUCACUAUAGUCGAGAGUGUCCCCAGAACAACCCCAAUCAAGCUGGAAAGUCCGUUGGCCGUGGUAAGCCCGCGGGAAAGACUUUCUAUGCCAAGCCGGCCACUACUGCACGUGGCCAUGUAAACUACGUCUCAGCCGAAGAGGCUCAUGAGGAUCCCAACGUCGUCCUUGGUACGCUCCUUGUUAACUGCCAUCCGGCAUCUGUUCUUUUCGAUACUGGAGCAUCUCAUUCAUUCAUAUCCGAGAAUUAUGCUCGGUCGCAUAACACGACAUUCUGUGACAUGCCCACUUCCAUGGUAAUUCAAACUCCGGGUUCCAAAUGGCAAACUUCUAGGGUAAGCCAUGGGAACGAAAUUCUUGUCGAUAGGCUUGUUUUCCUUGCAUCUUUAAUAGCUCUCAAGUCCUCCGACAUAAACAUCAUCUUGGGUAUGGACUGGAUGUCGGCUCAUUAUGCCAAGAUCGAUUGUGCCACUAGAACCGUUCAACUUAUUCAUCCCUCAGGCAAGACAGUUAAUGUCUUAACUCGAGUGGCCAAGCGCCAACUUUACUCUCUCAAUGCCAACCCUCUUCCAGACCUUGAGGACGUUCCGGUAGUCCGAGACUUCCCGGAUGUGUUUCCGGAAGAACUGCCAGGUGUUCCACCUGACCGGGAUGUCGAGUUUGUGAUAGACCUUGUUCCAGGAACCGUUCCAAUUGCUAGAAGACCCUACAAGAUGGCACCCUUAGAACUAGCCGAGCUUAAGAACCAACUCGAUGAGUCCUUGAACAAAGGGUUCAUCCGUCCUAGCUCCUCUCCUUGGGCUUGCCCCGUCCUCUUCGUCAAGAAGAAGGAUGGAACGGAUCGAAUGGUUGUGGAUUACCGACCUGUCAAUCUGGUCACCAUCAAGAACAAAUACCCGCUUCCCAGGAUCAACGACCUGUAUGAUCAGCUCACUGGAUCCUCAGUCUUCUCCAAGAUGGAUUUGAGGCUGGGCUACCAUCAAAUCAAAAUCAGAAACGGGGACAUUCCCAAAACGGCCUUUGUUACUCGUUAUGGCCAAUACGGGUACACCGUCAUGUCCUUCGGUUUAACCAAUGCCCCGGCCACUUUCUCCUGGUUAAUGAACUCGGUUUUCAUGGAGUACUUGGACAAAUUCGUUGUAGUAUACCUCGAUGACAUACUCAUCUACUCCAAGAAUGAAGAGGAACAUGCCGAACAUCUAAGGCUGGUAUUGAUGAAACUUCGAGAGCAUCGCCUUUAUGCCAAAUUCUCCAAGUGUGAAUUUUGGUUGUCAGAAGUGACCUAUCUAGGCCAUGUAAUCUCUGGUAAGGGUAUUGCUGUCAAUCCCGAGCGAGUUCAAGCCGUCCUUGAUUGGACUCCACCUGAAACGGUCAAGCAAGUUCGGAGUUUCCUUGGCCUAGCGAGCUAUUGCCGCCGCUUCGUCGAGAAUUUCUCCAAGGUUGCUAAACCUCUAACUGAACUCCUCAAGAAAGAUAAAAAGUUCGAGUGGACUCCGCAGUGCGAGUUCAGUUUUCAGGAAUUGAAAAGACGCCUGACAUCUGCUCCCGUACUGGUACCACCAGAUUUCUCCAAGGACUUUAUUAUCUAUUGCGACGCCUCGCGACAAGGACUAGGUUGCAUACUCAUGCAAGAUCGUCAGGUAAUUGCCUAUGCUUCAUGGCAAUUACACCCACAUGAGGAAAAUUAUCCCACACAUGAUCUAGAGCUUGCAGCUGUAGUCCAUGCACUCAAAACCUCGCGACAUUACCUCCUCGGUAAUCGUUGCGAGAUCUUCACCGAUCACCAAAGCUUGAAAUAUAUCUUCACCCAACCAGAUUUGAAUCUCAGGCAAAGACGUUGGGUCGAGUUGAUCUCGGAUUACGACUUAGGAAUAACUUACACCCCUGGCAAAGCCAAUGUCAUGGCCGAUCCGCUAAGUCGUAAGUCCUACUGUAACAACCUGCUGUUACAACAAAGUCAACCACUUCUCCAUGAGGAAUUUCGCAAGCUUAAUCUUCACAUUGUUCCUCAAGGAUUCUUGUCUACUCUGGUGGCGAAACCUACCCUUAUGGAUCAAAUCAUAGCUGCCCAAAAGCGUGAUAAGGGCAUAUCCCGGAUUAAGGAAAACAUUGCUAGCGGAGUAGCUAAAUGUUUUUCCAUGGAUGAGCAAGGUGCUGUCUUCUUUGAGAACCGCCUGGUGGUUCCCAAGAACCAACAUCUACGCCAGAUGAUCCUUAAGGAAGCUCAUGAAUCCCCUCUCACCAUUCAUCCCAGUAGUACUAAAAUGUAUCAAGACUUACGCCAGAGGUUUUGGUGGACUAGGAUGAAGAGAGAAAUCGCUCAAUACAUUGCUAAUUGCGACGUUUGUCGUCGUGUUAAAGCAGAGCAUCAACGGCCUGCUGGCACCCUUCAACCUUUGGCUAUUCCUGAAUGGAAAUGGGACAAAAUCAGUAUGGAUUUCAUCACUGGGUUUCCCAGGACCAAGAGGGGAAAUAAUGCCAUCUUCGUCGUGAUCGACCGUCUUUCCAAAGUAGCCCAUUUUCUACCUGUUCGUGAGAGUAUCACCGCUAGCCAGCUAGCUGACCUAUACAUCUCCCGAAUAGUGUCUCUUCAUGGUGUCCCAUUGGAAAUUAACUCAGACCGUGGAAGUCUCUUCACCUCUCGAUUUUGGGAAAGUUUCCAAAAUGCUAUGGGAACUCAUCUCUCCUUUAGCACCGCCUUCCAUCCUCAAUCAAGUGGUCAAGUAGAGCGAGUAAAUCAAAUUCUGGAAGAUAUGCUCCGAGCUUCUGUUAUCUCGUUCGGAAUGAGUUGGGAAAAAUGCCUUCCAUUCGCGGAGUUUGCUUAUAACAAUAGCUAUCAAGCUAGUUUGGGCAAGGCUCCCUUCGAAGUUCUCUAUGGACGAAAAUGUCGAACGCCUCUUAACUGGUCAGAAACCGGGGAAAGGCAACUCUUUGGCCCGGAUAUGAUUCAGGAAGCAGAAGAGCAGGUUCGCGUUAUUCGUGAGAAAUUGAAAACGGCCCAAUCUCGCCAAAAGAGUCAAUAUGAUCGUAAGCAUAAGCCAAUGACAUUUGAAAUUGACGAGAAAGCUUAUCUUCGGGUUACCCCGUUAAAGGGAACCCAUCGCUUCGGUAUCAAAGGCAAAUUGGCUCCUCGUUACAUUGGACCCUUUCGCAUUCUUGCCAAACGAGGAGAAGCUGCCUACCAAUUGGAACUACCUCCGCAUCUUUCCAGAGUUCACGACGUCUUCCACGUUUCGCAACUCAGGCGUUGCUUCGCGGAUCCUAUCCGUGGAGUGGACCACGAAACGCUUGAUUUACAAGAUAACCUCUCUUAUCGGGAAUACCCCGUUCGUAUCCUUGAUCAAGCCGAGCGUACCACUCGACGUCAUAAUAUCAAGUUUCUCAAGGUUCAAUGGUCACACCAUUCCGAGGAAGAAGCCACUUGGGAAAGGGAGGAUCGUCUUCGACUCGAGUACCCCGCCUUCUUCCCAGAUGAUCCUAAAUCUCGGGACGAGAUUCUAUUGAGUGGGGGUGAGUUGUCACACCCUAGCUAGUUUAUGCAUUAGAGUGUGCAUCAUGUUUACCUUCAUCAGAAAUUGAAAUGGGGAAAGCAGAACCCCCAGCACCCCCCCUGAAAUCAACUAGGGUUUACUAAAAAUAAAUUCAAUGAACCUGAAAUGCCCUUCAAAUAUGUUCACCCUCUUUGCCUUGGGUUAGAACCCUUGGGAAAAAUGGUGCAUAUAAUUUUAGGUCAACAAAAGGGGCAUUGACUUAAUUCAUAAAUAUUUGAAUUUGGGCAUUUAAAAUACUAUUAUAUAAUUCAAAUGCUCAAAUAAUGUUGGAACUAUUUUUGGGCCACUGAAAUAUUUCAGAAAGUGUCCAUAAAUAUUUUCAGGAUUUUAUAAAAUGAUUUAGUAUUUGAACUAAAUCAAAACAGAAUAACAGAAAUAGAAAAACACAAAAAAAAAUAAAGAGGGAAAGACCAUGGGCCACUUACCUGGCCCAGCGCCAGGCCACCAGCGGCCCAGCCCACCAGGCCGAUGCCAGUCGUCCCCUAGCUCCUGCCAGGAGGACGAAGGGCGUGUGCCCGCGGUGCGCCAGCACGCGCACGGCCACCGACGGCCACCUCCUGCUUCGGCCGCCUCCCCGACGUCGCUUUGGACGCCACGCAUCCCCCCCUGACCCCUCGCUCACUCUCUUCCAUCCUCAUCCCCUCCUCUGCUCUCUCUCCCGCGCAACCGCCAUGAGCCCGAGAGCGCCGACGAGGACCACCACGGCCACCGCCUCCCCCUCGCUUCCCUGACCAGCUUGGAGGCUCCGCCUCGACCCCGUCUUCCUUCUCACCGAACCACGCCCCGCCGGAAGCCCUGCAUCGUCGAAUUCAAGCUCUUCUUCAAGCUUUGGCACCGACGAUCGCCGUCGUCGAUUCGCUUGCUCCAGUGCCUCCCCGAGCUUGCCGAGGCCACCGCUGCAACUGCUGUGAGCUCCUGUGUCAUUUCCCCCUCUCCCCUGGCUCGAUUUCUUCUUCUAACACCGAUGCCCGUCGGAACCGAGAGCUCUUCGCCGCCGGCCAUGCCGCCACCGUGACCACAACCGUGCAAGCUCACUCCCGAGCACGGCAACGUGCUCCACACCUCACCAGGAGCACGUGGAACCCAUCAGUUUCCCCUCCCGUGCACCACAACGCCGAUCCGCUCAACUCCCGAACUCCGGCUGCCGCGCAAGUUGCCGCCGCCGUCGUUUUAGGCCACUAGGGCUGCUGCCGUGUGCACAGAUAGAUGCGAGCGAGUCCCAGCUCCGCGUAGAUGCCCUCCACUGGCCAUUUGGUCGCCGGAGGAGGAUUUCCGAGCCCCUCCGCCGUCUCUGGCCUUGCCGGCGACGAGCCGGGGUCAACUCCGGCGUGUUUUGACCCCGGGUCGGCUGGGUUGACUCCCCCCGGACUCACUGACGUGUGGGCCCAGGCGCCUGCCUAAUUACCGUUAGUUAAUUAGAGUUAAUAAAAAUUAGCUAAUUAGUGAGCCACUGACAUGCGGGCCCCGCCCGGCUAACCAAGUUAGUUAGGGUUAACUAACUUAGUUAGUUGAUUGUGUCACUGACCAGUGGACCCCACUGGUCAGGUUUGACAUGGAGGCGCCAGUUGACCUGCUGACAUCAGGGUGAUGUCAUGCUGACGCAAUAACUCUUUUUCUGGAUUUAAUUUUAUAUAGAAAAUUCCAGAAAAUUGCCUAAACUUCAAAAAUUCAUAGAAAUUCAACCAUAACUCCAAAUGAGACAAAUUAUAUAUGAAAAAUUAUCAGAAAAAUUCAAGGAAUCCAUCUGUACCAUUUUCAUGCAUGUUUGAACAAUGCUUGUCCUCUGUUUUGGACAAAACAAAUAAAGGGCAUUUAAAUAAUCAUAUAUGGGGUUGGAAUUUGAAUCUUGUACUCAAACCAACUCCAUUUAAAUCAUAGCUAGUUGUAUAAGCUCAAGACACAUCCAUAUUGCCAUGUCAUAGCAUGCAUCAUAUUGUUGCAUAUCGUCAUGUGUUGAUUGUGCUCGGUUGUGUUCUUCGUGGUAGGUUCUGCCUCCGAGGAUAUUCACGAGUAUCCAACUGAAGGGCAGUAUCCCGUUACCACUCCAUCAGGCAAGCAAGCAUUGAUCAUUCCGAUACAACCCAUGUUCUCGCUCCUGCUCUUGUUUACUGCAUUAAGACAACACGAUUCAAACUGCCGUGUGCUACGGUAGUUGAACCCUUAUCCUCUGCAUGACCUGUCAUUGCCACAGUAACUAGAUGAAACCCACUAGCAUGUGUAGGAGUUGAUUGAGCCAUGUUUUGUGAUUCCUACCUUGCUAUGCCUGCUAUGCUUAGAGUUGUGUCAGGUCUGGUUCAUCUGGGGAAUGGGCUAGAGUGAAAUGCUUGUGCCAGUAAAUUGUGGGAUGUGUUGAACAUGUUUUGGUAAAGGUAUCGAUGAGAGGCCAUGUAGGAGUACAUGGUGGGUUGUUUCAUUGAAGCCGUCCCUAAGAACUGAGUUCUGUAUGCGUGAAUUAAGAUUCAGCUACUACCACACAUUGGGCCCUGAAAUAUGACCCCGCUCGACUUACCGACCCCUCUCGCCUCAGUCCAGGAGUUGCAACUAGUUUCUGGUGUUUGUAGGAUAUGUGUUGGCGGCCGUGCGUAGCGCUGACCCUAGGGGUGGGCUAUGUUGCGGUAGAUACACUGUGGCACGGUGUACCGAGUCACCCGUUUGGUGUCUCGGGAACCCUGUUCACAUCGUUCGGGGCCGUUGAGGACACCCCGGCCGGAUUUCCUUGCGGAUGGAACCUGAAUAGGCGAUGACCCUGGACUAGAGACUUGUGAGGUUAGUCAGGUCGUGGUCUACACCCACGUCGGUUUUCGCUUGAAGUCUGCCGAGCACAUUUCGUGUGCAGACGCUAAGAGGUGGAAACAUGUGUGACGAAGUACACCCGUGCAGGGUAUAAAACUAUUCGAAUAGCCGUGUCCGCAGUAAAGGACUACUUGGUUGCAUAUACAGUUCAUAGACAAGUUAAUGGAUACUACUAAAAGACUCAAGAUAAGUGUGAGUACCGAGGAUGGCUCCCUCAUGUGACCCCUACCUGUAUGGAUAUGUUAUGUAUGGCUCCCUGGAGCCUUUAAAUAAAGUACCUGAGUUGUAGAGUUUUGUUGUGAUGCCAUGUUGUAUGUACUCAUAUCGAGCAUAUUGUAUGUAUGAUUGAAAUGCUUGGUAUGAGUGGGAUCCGACAAUCUAGUUGUUUGUCCUUCGCAGCCUUUCUUAUGGGGAAAUGUAGUCUAGUGCUCCUCGAGCCAGAGUAGUCCGCUACAGCCCGGUUCACCGGAGUCCUGCUAGCCCAGCACUACUGUUCAGGACACUUGACUGGCCGGCAUGUGUUUCACUUCGUCCCUAUGUCUGUCCCUUCGGGGAAAUUUCACGCGGUGAUCUCCGGAGUCCUGUCUAGCCUGCUACAGCCCGGGAUCCCCCGGAGUCCUGUUAGCCCAGUGCUACAGCCUGGAAUCACUCCUUGAUGACCGACAUGUUCGUUGUGAUUCAUGUAUGCCUGUCUCCAUAGGUCUGUGCCGCUUUGGGUUCACGACUAGCCAUGUCGGCCCGGGUUCUCGGUCAUAUGGAUGCUAGCGACAUUGUCAUAUACGCGAGCCAAAAGGCGCAAACGGUCCCGGGCCAUGGUAAGGCGACACCCGUGGGAUACCGUGCGUGAGGCCGCAAAUUGAUAUGAGGUGUUACCGGCUAGAUCGAUGUGGCUUAGAAUCGGGGUCCUGACAGAAAUGGUCGAGACAUAAAGAUUGAUAUAUUGGAAGCCUAUAUUUGGAUAUCGGAAGUGUUCCGGGUAAAAUCGAGAUUUUGCCAGAUUACCGGGAGGUUACCAGAACCCCCCGGGAGCCAUAUGGGCCUUAUUGGGCUUUAGUGGAAAGGUGAAAAGGGCUGCCAUGGUGGGCUGCACGCCUCCCCCCUCCCCUAGUCCUAUUAGGACUAGGAGAGGUGGCCGGCCACCUCUCUCUCUCUUUCCCCCUUGGGAGUCCUAUUUGGAAUAGGAUUGGGGGGGAGUCCUACUCACGGUAGGAGUAGGACUCCUCCUGCACCCUCCUCUUUGCCGGCCAGCCCCUCCCCCUUGGAUCCUUUAUAUACAGGGGCAGGGGGCACCUCUAGACACACAAGUUGAUCAUUGAGAUCGUUCCUUCGCCGUGUGCGGUGCCCCCUGCCACCAUAUUCCACCUCGAUCAUAUCGUUGUAGAGCUUAGGCGAAGCCCUGUGUCGGUAGAACAUCAAGAUCGUCACCAUGCCGUCGUGCUGAUGGAACUCCUCCACGAAGCUUUGCUGGAUCGGAGCCCGGGGAUCGUGAUCGAGCUGUACGUGUGCUAAGAACUCGGAGGUGCCGGAGUAACGGUGCUUGGAUCGGUCGGAUCGGGAAGAAGACGUACGACUACUUCCUCUACGUUGUGUCAACGCUUCCGUUGCGAUCUACAAGGGUACGUAGAUUAGACUCUCCCCCUCGUUGCUAUGCAUCACCAUGAUCUUGCGUGUGCGUAGGAAAAUUUUGAAAUUACUACGUUCCCCAACACUAUGCACCUGCAUCGUCACAUGAGUCGAUGAUAUGCAACAUAUAUAGUUGAGCAUCAGAAAGAGAUAGACUUGGCAAAAAUAGAAGCAACAUAUCAUAAGCAUAAAUAACAAAGUUCAUCGUACCCAAAAUGCCCUAACUAGAGUGAUCUUCGGUAGUCAAGGAGGAAGGUUUAAUUACAUCACAAAUAAUGUUUCGUCGUGCAUAACUCAAAGUUCCGUCAUACAGAAGGUAUGAACUAAACGGACACAUUGUCAUAUUUCGAAAAUCACUCCAACAUGGCGUGCCAUCCAUCCAAGUCAAGGAGAUAGUGCCCGAGCUUAGUGAAAGGCUUCAGGUCGAGACGCUGAGCGGCUACGCGUGUUCGGACUCUUCCCAUGACAUUUGUCCUUCUUCAUAGAACAUCCCUGUUUUUUCGACGACCUCCAUCAUGAUGAUUUGGGCAAGUUCGCACUGGAAGUGAUAUAACUCAUCUUGAAGUCGAUGAUCCUCGAUAUCUUCUAAGUUCUUUGCCCAUUGCAGAAUAUGGGCAUGGCUGAAUUUAGGUGACAUGCAAAGGUUCUGGUGAUCCUGUCUGUACUCCAUCAUGUGGUGUAGGACAUAGAACCCAUCAUCAAGAGAAUCACUCGGUUGCUGGAUGCAGCUGAAGUCGGUCUUAUGGGCCUGCCGUCCCUUUUCUUCUUGUCCUUGACCUCUCCACCCCGUGCAUCGUAGUAAAACAUAGCACUAUCGAGAACAAACUUGAUGUGGGUGUAAUCCUUUUUGUUAAUGUUCUUCGACGAGUCCACAAUAUCGGGGGUAGAGGAUGAUGAGGACGGCGCGCCUGCCGUUGCGCAAAAUAAGUACACCUCAAAUGAAUUAAACUCCAUCGUUCAAAUGAAUGAUUGAAAUCGAAGGAAGGAUAUCUGCGCGGAUGACUUACACGGGAUGAUAAGGCACGAGAAUCGCCUCCUUGUCCUUAUUGGCAAGCAUGAAAUUGACGAUGUAUUCCUCGUGUAUUCAUGGUGCUUUGCGCGGACUCCCAAGACGCCCUCGUGCAUGAAGUACGGGUCAGCGACAUAGAUAUGAGGUAUCUGCUCAACCCCGAUGAGGUAGUUCAUGUGCAAGGCAUAAAGGCGGACAAACAUAAAAUCCAGCUUCUUUAAGUGAAACAUGUUGAAGAUGUAAUCAGAUCGAAGGAAAAACUUCUUCGAGGGGAAUGUGUCGACGUACGACAAUUGCCCGGCACGUUAACCACGUAGAGAGGGUAUCCUGGAUUUUUCGAGGCGAUGAGGCCUUUCUCUAUCCGCAACACGUCGUCAUGAAGUCUCCUUAGAUCGCCGGAUCUGGCCCCUAGCGCUGCUUUCGGUAGGAUUGGUUCACCAGGAUACGCCAUUUUGCCGCUCCGGGGACAUCUAUACGGUCUUGAACCCGAGGCUGCUGAGGCGGCUGGAUCAUAGAAGCAGCUUUGUUGGCUUUCCUCAGUGUAUUCCUAGGCUUCUUUGCUACAGGAAGGUCAUCUAUGAUAUGUUCAGCCUCCAGAGGCGGCAAUUCAGGCACCGACUCAUGACGCUCAAACCCUGAGUAGGCGCCAGUAUUGAGAUACUGUUGAGUGCCAUUGUUGUCCUCAUCUAUGGCGGUGUCACCAGCGACAAAUGGAGCCUCUUCCUCACCCCGUUCGCUAUCACCCAGCACGACAGCCGGCGCUAAUUGGGUAGGUGGGGUGUUGAUGUUCAUACCUAACUGCGUGCUCGUGUGUGUGCUCCCGGCCGUCUCCAAACAAAGUAGACUCUUUGGCCACAACAGGACCCACCCAUUGCAAUCACCAAUCCCCUGCGGGAUCUCGUCGUCAUUCCCCCUAGUACCGGAGGAGCCAAAUUCUCCUGGCCUGGUUUGACACUGGCCACGGAAACUUUGUAGACGUCCGAGGGGAUCGGUCGGCCGUGGAACAAUGGUUCCUUAGGCUUCAUUAUCGUCACCUUCCCCACGUCCACCUCCUGGUAGCGGAUGUUGUACAAUAUGGUGCACGGGGUUACAUUGGCCUGCAAAGACAUUUCUGCGAUGUGAGAUAUCCGACAGGCAACAAAAAAUGGGAGAUUAUACAUUUAUUGAAGAGGGCUGGUGUGACAGAUAUAGUGAGGGCGUCGAGCUCAUCCAAAGAUGAAGCACCGCUGAGCACGUCCGGUGUCGGAGCCGGUGCGGGAGCAGGUGCAGGUGCUGGUGCAACGCUAGUCGAGCUGCUCCCGAAGAAGUCAGCAAGGGGAAAGUCCGCUGCAUUUUUUUUCUGGAUUUUGCGUGCUCGAAUUGAAAACGGCCGAAACCAAGACAGUAGACAUAUCUGCAACCACCUGUUUUGCGGCAGCUAUCGCUGUUGCGACUGUCUCAGAUGAUUUCUUCUCAAUCGGAAUCUAAACCUUCUGGCUGAUGUUUUCUUCAGUUAACCUCCGUCUUUCCUUUCGCUCCUCCGUGGUCUCACGGUAGUACUUCUUCCACGUGGCGCCGUCUACGACACCGUCCACGCGUCCAUACGACGGCCGAUUCUCCACCAGGAGUCCUUUCAAUAUGUUCAAUACCCGGUUGAAUGGAGUCUACCACUUGGGCCUCGCCAACGCCUCAGACGGCGAGUCACUUUCGGCUGCAAUCUUGUGCUGCUCUCUCUUCAAAAGGAACAAGGAUCGUUUACAAAUAUGACUAAACGUGCAGUCGAAUUGAUCAGAAACUAAAAUUACCAGCAGUCUCGUGAACUCCGUCGUGAUCGGGUCCGUCUUAAAAACCUUCUUGACUGAGUCCCAAUGGUGCCGUGCCCCGAGGACGUCACGCUCCUGCGGGACGGUGAAGUCCGCCAAGGGGUCUGGGAUGCCCAGACGUUCGCGUUCCGCGUCCUCCUUGGCCCAUAUGGACCUCUUCCCGCCGUAACCACGGCUUCCGAGGUGGUGGCGCCCCAUGUUCCUUUGUUGAAGCCCUUUCAUGUACUUCGACUUUUUUUUGGCAGCUUCGGCCUCGCAAGCCGCCUUGAAUUUUUCAAAGUGCUCUCCCGUGAUUGUCGGAUUAUCCUUUACAAUCUCGGAGUAUGGUUCCUUUUUGUCGACAAUCCGAUGUUUCAACCUUGUUUUCCAGGUGGCCAACGUGUCGCUAAACUUGGUCAUGGCGUGUUUGUUUAUCUUCUUCAUUGCCGGGUCCUUAUUUGGAUAUUUAUAAUCCUUUUCAUUCCGGCCCGGGAACAACAAUAUCUGGUGCAGCUUCUUUAGGAGGGAGGACCUCAUAUUAUCUAUCUUCUGUAGUUUCCCAUGGUUGAUCGUGGCAGUUAUCCGUACGAUGCAGCCUAUUUGAUUGCCGUAGCACGAUCGCGCUUCCUUGGGCGCUAUUGUCUGAAAAAUACGGUCGUCCAUCUCCGUGACCACCAGUCUAGUUGUCAUGAGCUGGUUUGGGCGCCGUGGCUUCUUAGCUUUCGGUUCUAGAUCAGCUCCGCUAGUCUCGGCGCCGGUCUCAGUCUCAUCGCCGGUCUGCAUGUCGGUAUCAGUCCCCGAUGCGACAGGUCGGCCCAGCAACAACAUUCGUUGAUCGUCGGCAAGGCUCAAAAAUUCAUCUGCCGCCAGGUAGACGUGUCGCAAUCACCAGAACCCUAUCCUUCAUCAUUGCUAGCCAUGUUUCCUACGAUUAUAUCUAGUCAAUUAAUUCUAGACCUAAUAAAAUGAAUAAUGACAUAAAACAGGCCAAUGUUUUGCAGGAUUACAACUCAACCCAUUGCAGAUUAGAAAACAAUCCCGUGUGAAUGCACAGGCUGACGACUAGUAUAUAUAAAGCUUAAUGGUGCCUAAGAAAGCUCGCACAAUUUUACAGUGGCUAUGGAAAUGUGUUGCCAAACUUUGACAUAAGAUUUUCGUUUGGCAUCCAGAGUUGCAAAACGCUUGUGUUGUCCUUAAUCCAUGGCCACUCUAAUUUUUCCGGCUGGGCCUUCCCUGUGGUAUCGCGGCAAGGCUUGCGUGUGUAUAUGUUUCCUUUAACUACCACUAGCACAUAUGCCCGUGCGUGCGUUGCAACGGGAGAGAUAAUGGCGUAUCCACCAAUAUAUCUAACAGCAUGACCCAACAAUAUCCGAAUGAUGUCACCCGAUGACGGCAGGAAGGCACGCACAGAGGUCUAGUAAAAACUCAUAUCAAUUGUAAGGGCAUGGUUAAUUCGCGUGAAUUCAGGGGUGUGAGAUUAGUUAGUGUUGGUCCCACAAUUGAAUUCGGGGGGUGAUUAGUUAGUGUGGGCCCACCCUCGAAUUCACGGGGGGAGACAAAAUAAUUAGGGUGAGGAGAGAUUUACGGGGCUUGGUCCCCAGAUGCGUUGUGGCAGUCAUUAUUCGAGCAUUGCAAUGCUCGCACGUGACGAGCUCUUUUUCCAAUUGUAUAUUAAGAAGCAUGCUACAGAUACAAUGUUUUUGAUACGUUUUUUGUACAAUGAUCCUGAUCUUAAAGGGCCACCUAAUUUUUAUAUCUUAAAGGCAUUAUUUGUAAGUUGUCGUGAAAAAAAUCUCGCUAAAAGGGUUGUGUUAGACCAUCUUCAGUACAUUAGAAAUAACGAAUUAUAAUUCCUUGGCAUUUGAAGAAACAAUCGCUACUUAUUUACACAUACAAUUCUUUUGGUACGAUUUUGAAAUCUUGAAGGCAUUAUUUGUAAGUUGAAGCAAUUUUGAAAUCUCACUAAAAGGUCUGUUAGACCCUCUAGAGCUUUAGAAAUAACUAAUUAUAAUUUUGCAAAAAAAAGAAAUAACUAAUUAUAAUUCCUUAAGCAUCUGACCGAAACGACCCCGAAUUAUUGUCUGGGUAGUAAUUCCUUUGCAACAUUAUUCUCUCCUUUUUUGAAGGAGCUCUUGCCUGGGUAGUAAUUCCUAUUUGCAAGGUUAUUCUCUCCUUCAUUUUUACAGGAGCUCUCCUUCCUUAUACUAAUUGGUCAUUAUCCUCUCCUUCCUUUUUCUUUUUGCCAAACUCUCUUUCCAUACUUAUGCCGCUAACCACGCCACUCUUUUUCCUUAUUUAUGCCCUUUGAUCACGCCACACAUCUCAUGAAAUCUAAGCCAUAUCACCCAUCUUUUUUCCUUAUUCUCAAAGGCGCUUUCCUCACAAACAGUAGUUCUCUAGGAUGCUUAACGAUUUUGAAACAGAAACAUAUAUAAAUCGGUAGAACGGGUUGUCAAGCAGCGAGGUGGUACUAGUUUAUAAAGAAACAAAUUAACCUUUUCUUUUUGUGUAAUGAUGCCUUGGUUCGGCUGGUUGCUGCCUUUGCCCUUGAUGUGCAGCGUUGGGAAAAGGAUGGGCGAAGUGGACGAACCAAAAACGGACAAAAUUACGGUAGUAAGAAGCGAUAGCCCAUUUAUUAGUAGGUAUAGAUAUAGAUGUCGAGGAUGAGGAUUUACUGCACACAAGUGCGGGGGCACUCAGGUCCUGGUGCCGGCCUUUUAUUUUGGCUUCCGAUUUUCAAACUUCUAUAUCUUUUAAACGAAAAGUUCAAUUUAAGUUACGUUUUCAUAUUCGUGCUUCUCGCGGCCAGCGCUUUCAAAUAAGAUCCAUUUUGCAUACAUUUUGGCUGCUUUUGGAAACAUUGCUAAGUUUCAUUGUUUGAAACUUAGUACGAGCGACCGAUAAAAUUUAAUUAUUUUGUGUCUACGACCAACAGGAGAAAUUGCUUAAAAUUACAUCUUUGAAACUGGUCAUUUUUUUACUGUGUCCUACUUCACGAAUCACGAGGCAAAUCAAGUAGGCGGCAUGCCCUGGCCGGUGAGUGCCAUUGCACUUACUUGCCCCAGCGAUUUUCCGCGUGCAUUGUAGAAUUCUUUCUCCGAGUCCUGUGAAUUAAAGAUGGUGCAGACAAAAGUAUAUCCUAUAUGCGUACAUGUGCAUGAUCAGAACAUGUUUUUACGUGCGUCUACUAUAAAUCAUGACCAUUUUUAACACAAAUCAUGACCAUUCAUGAUUAGUGAAUCAUACUGUCUUAACUUAUGUGAAAUCAUGUGGAGUAAUAUAAUAUAAUACAAUAGAUAGACAGAUCCAUGUUGUAUUAUUUUUUGUUUACAAAAAAAUCUGUAAUUACACAUUUUGAUUUAUGCAUUUGUUUACAAAAAAACAGUAACAUUUCAUGGUGGAAAGUUUGUAUUGUUUCAUACUGAACACCAAUGUUUUCCUGUAAAAGAAAAUAAUGCCUACGCAUAUGCUUUUAUAUUAUUAUUAUUCUUUCAAACUUAUUCAUAUAGUAUUUUUGAUUGUGCAACCAUAAUUUUUAUUAUCUCUCUCGUUCCACUACAUGCUCUUACUCAAUGAUUUUCUUUAUAAUGGGUGUUUUUAUUAACUCAAAAUAUAGCAUCAAGCGGAUACAGAACAUACUGAGCCACACCCGGUCUCUGCAUAACUAAGAUGCACACAGCCAAAAGCGGAAGUCUGACAAAAAUAAGAUAAGAAAAUCGACAUAUCGACAACAGUGAGUCAUAUAGUUCCGACACUAUGCCUCUGUCGAAGGAGGGGGUGGAGCGAUCUAGAGAUUAUGCUGCCUUCCAUGUUGAGUAAACACCUCCCUGGCCACUUGUUCCAACUGCAUAGACGCCGCCACGAAUAACGGUUGGUACUCUGUUCGGUGUAGCAUACACCAUGUAGGAAGUGAGUGCUCACUCCUAGUUACUGAAUUAUGUACACACUAGUAGAAAAAGGCCCAUUUGUCCCGGUUCGUAAGGCCCAUUUGUCCCAGUUGGGGAACCGGGACUAAAGGGUCGGUACUAAAGCCCUACACCUUUAGUCCCGGUUCUUACACCAACCGAGACAGAUGGGGCUCCACGUGGCCGUUGCGGCUUACCGUGGCAGGUGGGCCUUUUGUCCCGGUUGGUAGCACCAACCGGGACCAAUAAGCUACCACGCGUCAGCAUUUGAGGGGCUANNNNNNNNNNNNNNNNNNNNNNNNNNNNNNNNNNNNNNNNNNNNNNNNNNNNNNNNNNNNNNNNNNNNNNNNNNNNNNNNNNNNNNNNNNNNNNNNNNNNNNNNNNNNNNNNNNNNNNNNNNNNNNNNNNNNNNNNNNNNNNNNNNNNNNNNNNNNNNNNNNNNNNNNNNNNNNNNNNNNNNNNNNNNNNNNNNNNNNNNNNNNNNNNNNNNNNNNNNNNNNNNNNNNNNNNNNNNNNNNNNNNNNNNNNNNNNNNNNNNNNNNNNNNNNNNNNNNNNNNNNNNNNNNNNNNNNNNNNNNNNNNNNNNNNNNNNNNNNNNNNNNNNNNNNNNNNNNNNNNNNNNNNNNNNNNNNNNGGUUAAUUUUGGAGGGUUUCAUAUAUUGUGUUAGGUAGCUAAUUAAUUAAUACAGAGAAGUGUCAUCUCUUAUCUCCGUGCUUGGUCGACGCUACGUACUAUACGUACAGAGAGGCCCUCGACACGCUAGCCAGUAAGCAAAUGAAGGAAACCAUUAAGUACAGAAGUUCGUCAUGAACAUAUGCAUACAAACUAAGUGAUAUCGACCUCUCCUUCUCUGAGAGAUAGGUCGAACAACAAGUUUCCGUAUAUCUAUCCGGCGCUACUAGCUACAUAUAUACAAUAUUAAGAUCUCUUACAAUAUAAUCCCCUAAUUAUAUAUGAACUCAGCUUUCAGAUGGUAUUCUCCGGCUUUAUUGAUGACGUGGUCAAGAAAGAAUCCCUCCAAUUCCUCUUGAAUUGCUUUGAUGCGAUCUUCUGGUAGGAGUUCAUCCCGCAUCUGCCACAUCUAAUUUGAAGAAGGGGGUCAAUCACUAGUAGAAUAACAGCCAUUUGUCCUGGUUCGUAAGGCUCAUUCGUCCUGGUUGGGGAACCGAGACUAAAGGGUCGUUACUAAAGCCCUACACCUUUAGUCCCGGUUCUUACACCAACUGGGACAGAUGGGCCUCCACGUGGCCGCUGCGGCGAGCCCAGGCAGGAGGUCCUUUGGUCCCGGUUAGUGGCACUGAUACUUCUCCAACGUAUCUAUAAUUUUUGAUUGCUCCAUGCUAUUAUGUUAUCUAUUUUGGAUGUUAAUGGGCUUUAUUUUACACCUUUAUAUCAUUUUUGGGACUAACCUACUAAUCGGAGGCCCAGCCCAAAUUGUUGUUUUUUUGCCUAUUUUAGGUUUUCGAAGAAAAGGAAUAUCAAACGAAGUCCAAACGGAAUGAAACCUUCGGGAACGUGAUUUUCUCAACGAACAUGAUCCAGGAGACUUGAAGUGUGCGCCAAGAAAGAAGGGAGGAAGGCAAGAGGCAGGGGGCACGCCUACCCCCCUUGGGCGUGCCCUCCACCCUCGUGGGCCCUCCGCUGCUCCAUCGACGUACUUCUUCCUCCUAUAUAUAUCCACGUACCCCUCGAACAUCCAGGAGCACCACGAAAACCUAAUUCCACCGCCGCAACCUUCUGUACCCGAGAGAUCCCAUCUUGGGGCCUUUUCCGGAGGUCCACCGGAGGGGGCAUCGAUCACGGAGGUCCUCUACAUCAACUCCAUGGCCUAUCCAGUGAUGUGUGAGUAGUUCACUUCAGACCUACGGGUCCAUAGUUAUUAGCUAGAUGGCUUCUUCUCUCUCUUUGGAUCUCGAUACAAAGUUCUUUUCGAUUUUCUUGGAGAUCUAUUUGAUGUAACCUUAUUUUGCGGUGUGUUUGUCGAGAUCCGAUGAAUUAUGGGUUUAUGACCCAGAUUAUCUAUGAACAAUAUUUGAUUCUCCUCUAAAUUCUUUUAUGUAUGAUUGGUUUAUCUUUGCAAGUCUCUUCGAAUUAUCAGUUUGUUUUGGCCUACUAGAUUGAUCUUUCUUGCAAUGGGAGAAGUGCUUAGCUUUGGGUUCAAUCUUGCGGUGUUUGAUCCUAGUGACAGAAAGGGAACCGAUACGUAUUGUAUUGUUGCCAUCGAGGAUAAAAAGAUGGGGUUUAUAUCAUAUCGCAUGAGUUUAUCCCUCUACAUCAUGUCAUCUUCCUUAAAGCAUUACUCUGUUCUCUUGAACUUAAUACUCUAGAUGUGUGCUGGAUUGCGGUCGAUGUGUGGAGUAAUAGUAGUAGAUGCAGAAUCGUUUCGGUCUACUUGUCUCGGACGUGAUGCCUAUAUACAUGAUCAUACCUAGAUAUUCUCAUAACUAUGCUCAAUUCUGUACAAUAUGGUGCACGCGGUUACAUCGGCCUGCAAAGACAUUUCUGCGAUGUGAGACAUCCGAAAAGCAACGAAAACGGGAGAUUAUACAUUUAUUGAAGAGGGCCGGAGUGACAGAUACCGUGAGGGUCUCGAGCUCAGCCAAAGACAAAGGACAGAUGAGCACGGCCUAUGUCGGAGCCAGUGCGGGAGCCGGUGCGGGAGCAGGUGCAGGUGCAGGUGCUGGUGCAAUGCUAGUCGAGCUGCUCCUAAAGAAGUCAACAAUGGGAAAGUCCGCUACAUUUUUUCUGGAUUUUGCGUGCUCCAAUUGAAUACAGCUGGAACCAAGACAGUAGACAUAUCUGUUGGAAAUAUGCCCGAGAGCCAAUAAUAAAUUGGUUAUUAUUAUAUUUCCUUGUUCAUGAUAAUCGUUUAUUAUCCAUGCUAGAAUUGUAUUGAUAGGAAACUCAGAUACAUGUGUGGAUACAUAGACAACACCAUGUCCCUAGUAAGCCUCUAGUUGACUAGCUCGUUGAUCAAUAGAUGCUUACGGUUUCCUGACCAUGGACAUUGGAUGUCGUUGAUAACGGGAUCACAUCAUUAGGAGAAUGAUGUGAUGGACAAGACCCAAUCCAUAUCUAGCACAAGAUCGUGUAGUUCGUAUGCUAAAGCUUUUCUAAUGUCAAGUAUCAUUUCCUUAGACCAUGAGAUUGUGCAACUCCCGGAUACAGUAGGAGUGCUUUGGGUGUGCCAAACAUCACAACGUAACUGGGUGGCUAUAAAGGUGCACUACGGGUAUCUCUAAAAGUGUCUGUUGGGUUGGCACGAAUCGAGACUAGGAUUUGUCACUCCGUGUAAAUGGAGAGGUAUCUCUGGGCCCACUCAGUAGGACAUCAUCAUAAUGAGCACAAUGUGAUCAAGGAGUUGAUCAAGGGAUGAUGUCUUACGGAACGAGUAAAGAGACUUGCCGGUAAUGAGAUUGAACAAGGUAUCGGGAUACCGACGAUCAAAUCUCGGGCAAGUAUCGUACCGAUAGACAAAGAGAAUUGUAUACGGGAUUGAUUGAAUCCUUGACAUCGUGGUUCAUCCGAUGAGAUCAUUGUGGAGCAUGUGGGAGCCAACAUGGGUAUCCAGAUCCCGCUAUUGGUUAUUGACCGGAGAGUUGUCUUGGCCAUGUCUGCAUGACUCCUGAGCUCGUAGGGUCUACACACUUAAGGUUCGAUGACGCUAGGGUUAUAGGGAAAGUAUGUACGCGGUUACCGAAUGUUGUUCGGAGUCCCAGAUGAGAUCCCAGACAUCACGAGGAGUUCUGGAAUGGUCCGGAGGUAAAGAUUUAUAUAUGGGAAGUUCCGUUUUGGUCACCGGAAAUGUUUCGGGUGCUAUCGGUAACGUACCGGGACCACCGGGAGGGUCCCAGGGGUCCAUCAGGUGGGGCCACCAGCCCCGGAGGCCUACAUGGGCCAAUAGUGGGAAGGGACCAGCCCCUAGGUGGGCUGGGGCGCCUCCCGACAAGGCCCAAGUCGCCUCCAAGAGGGGAAGGGGGCAAACCCUAGGGCAGAUGGGCCCCAAGGCCCACCCUAGGUGCGCCUCCCCCUCUCCCCCUUGUAGCCGCCACCCUAGAUGGGAUCUAGGGCUGCCGCACCCCUUGGGGUGGGAACCCUAGAGGGGGCGCAGCCCCCUCCCCUCCCCCUAUAUAUACUUGAGGUAUGGGGGCUGCCCAACAUACGAUUUGAUCUCUCUCUUGGCGCAGCCCUACCCCUCUCCCUCCUCGUCUCUCAUAGUGCUUGGCGAAGCCCUGCUGGAGUUCCGCGCUCCUCCACCACCACUACCACGUCGUCGUGCUGCUGCUGGACGGACUCUUCCCAACCUCUCCUUCUCCCCUUGCUGGAUCAAGGCGUGGGAGACGUCACCGGGCUGCAGAUGUGUUGAACGCGGAGGCGCCGUGGUUCGGCGCUUAGAUCGGAAUCAACCGAGAUCUGAAUCGCUACGAGUACGGCUCCUUCAUCCGCGUUCUUGCAACGCUUCCGCUUAGCGAUCUACAAGGGUAUGUAGGUGCACUACCCUUCCCUUCGUUGCUAGGUUACUCCAUAGAUUGAUCUUGGUGAUGCGUAGAAAAUUUUAAAUUUCUGCUACGAUCCACAACAGUGGCAUCAUGAGCUAGGUCUAUGCGUAGUUUCUAUGCACGAGUAGAACAUAAAACAGUUGUGGGCGUCAAUAUUGUCAAUUACUUGCCGUUAGUAGUCUUAUCUUGAUUCGGCGGCAUCGUGGGAUGAAGCGGCCCGGACUGACCCUACACGUACGCUUACGUGAGACUUGUUCCACUGACUGACAUGCACUAGUUGCAUAAGGUGGCUAGUGGGUGUCUGUCUUUCCCACUUUAGUCAGAUCGGAUUCGAUGAAAAGGGUCCUUAUGAAGGGUAAAUAAAAAUUGGCAUACCACGUUGUCGUUUUGGCGUAGGUAAGAAAUGUUCUUGCUAGAAACCUAUAGGAGCCACGUAAAAACUUGCAACAACAAUUUGAGGACCUCUAACUUGUUUUUGCAGCAUGUGCCGUGUGAUGUGAUAUGGCCAAAAGGAUGUGAUGAAUGAUAUAUGUGAUGUAUGAGAUUGAUCAUGUUCUUGUAAUAGGAAUCACGACUUGCAUGUCGAUGAGUAUGACAACCGGCAGGAGCCAUAGGAGUUGUCUUUAUUUAUUUAUGACCUGCGUGUCAACAUAAACGUCAUGUAAUUACUUUACUUUAUUGCUAAAGCGUUAGCCAUAGUAAUGGAAGUAAUAGAUGACAAGACAACUUCAAGAAGACACGAUGAUGGAGAUCAUGAUGAUGGAGAUCAUGGUGUCAAGCCCGUGACAACGAUGAUCAUGGAGCCCCAAAGAUGGAGAUCAUAAGGAGCAAAAUGAUAUUGGCCAUAUCAUGUCACUAUUUGAUUGCAUGUGAUGUUUAUCAUGUUUUACCUCUUAUUUUCUUAGAACGACGGUAGCUUAAAUAAGAUGAUACCUCGCAAUAAUUUCAAGAAAGUGUUUCCCCUAACUGUGCACCGUUGCGAAGAUUCGUUGUUUUGAAGCACCACGUGAUGAUCGGGUGUGAUAUAUUCUAACGUUCAAAUACAACAGGUGUAAGCCAGAUUUACACACACAAUACACUUAGGUUGACUUGAUGAGCCUAGCAUUUACAGACAUGGCCUCGGAACACGGUAGACCGAAAGGUCGAGCAUGAGUCGUAUAGAAGAUACGAUCAACAUGAAGAUGUUCACCGAUGUUGACUAGUCCGUCUCACGUGAUGAUCGGCCACGGCCUAGUUGACUCGGAUCAUGUUUCACAUAGAUGACUAGAGGGAUGUCUAUCUGAGUGGGAGUUCAUUAAAUAAUUUGAUUAGAUGAACUUAAUUAUCAUGAACAUAGUCCAAAUUGUCUUUGCAAAUAUGUUGUGGAUAAAUAGCUCACGCUUUAGCUCCCUGUUUUAAUAUGUUCCUAGAGAAAAGACUAACUGGAAAGAUAUUGUAAGCAUUAACGCUGACUAGGUCUGUUGCCUGAGGAGUGUCCUCACUGCUACACAGAAGGCUUAUGUCUUUGAUGCACCGCUCGGUGUGCCAACCCCUCCGGCGUCGUCUGUGGAUGUUGUGAACACCCGACAGACACAUCCUGAUGACUACUUGAAAGUUUAGUGCACCAUACUUUACGGCUUAGAAUCGGGAUUCCAAUGACGUUUUGAACGCCAUAAGACAUAUGAGAUGUUCCAAGAGCUGAAAUUGGGAUUUCAGGCUCAUGCCCGUGUUGAGAGGUAUGGACCUCUGACAAGUGCUUUUGCCAACAAGAUGGAGUAGAAUAGCUCAGCUAGAGAGCAUGUGCUCGGAAUGUCUGGGUGCUACAAUCACUUAAAUCAAGUGGGAGUUAAGCUUCCAGAUAAGAUAGUGAUUGAUAGAGUUCUCUAGCCACUAUCACUAAGAUACUAGAUCUUCGUGAUGAACUAUGACAUGCAAGGGAUGGAGUUGAUCCCGGAGCUGUUCACGGUGCUUAAGAUCGCAAAAGGUAGAAAUCAAGAAGGAGCAUCAAGUGUUGAUGGUUUAACAAGACCACUAGUUUCAAGAAGGGCAAGGGCUAGAAGGGAAACUUCAUGAAUGGCAAACCAGUUACCAAUCAAGUGAAGGAACCCAAGGUUGAACCCAAACCCGAGACAAAGUGCUUCUAUUGUAAGGGGAACAGUCACUGGUAGCGGAACUACCCCAAAUACAUGGUAGAUAAGAAGGAUGGCAACUUCAACAAAGUAUAUACAUGUUAUUAAUGUGUACCUCACCAGUACUCUUGGUAGCACCUGGGUAUUGGAUACCGGUUCAGUUGCUAUUAUUGGUGACUUGAAGCAAAAGCUACGGACUAAACGGAGACUGGCUAAGGGCGAGGUGACGUUGUGUGGUGGAAGUGUUUCCAAAGUUGAUAAGAUCACCAUCGCAUGCUCCAUCUGCCUUUGGGAUUAGUAUUGAACCUAGAUAAAUGUUAUCAGGUGUCUACGUUGAGGAUGAAUAUGAUUAGAUCAUGUUCAUUGCAAUACGGUUAUUCAUUUAAGAUAGAGAAUAAUGGUUAUUCUGUUUACAUGAAUAAUACCUUUCAUGGUCAUGCACCCUAUGUGAAUGGUUCAUUGAAUCUCGGUCGUGGUAAUACAGAUGUUCACGCCAAAAGAUGUAGAGUUAACAAUGAUAGUACCACUUUCUUGUGGAACUGCCGCUUAGGUCAUAUUGGCAUAAGAUGCAUGAAGAAACUCCAUGUCGAUGGAUGUUUGGAGUCAAUUGAUUUUGAAUCGCUUGACACAUGCGAGCCAUGAUUCAUGGGCAGGAUGACUAAGACCCCGUUUUCAGGUAAAAUAAAACGGGCAAGUGACUUCUUGGAAAUCAUACAUGCUGAUGCAUGUGUUCCAAUCAGAAUUGAAGCGUGCGGUGGAUAUCGCUAUUUUCUCAUCUUCACUGACGAUUUGAGUAGAUAUAGGUAUAUUUACUUAAUGAAGCACAAGUCUGAAACAUUUGAAAAGUUCAAGCGAUUUUAGAGUGAAGUUAAGAACCAUCAUAUAUAAUAAGAAGAUCAAAUUCCUACGAUCUGAUCGAUGAGAAUUUCUGAGUUAUGAGUUGGGCAAUCACUUAAGACAUUGUGGAAUUGUUUCAUAGUUGAAGCCACCUGGAACAACACAGGGUAAUGGUGUGUCCGGACGUCGUAAUCGAACCUUAUGAGAUAUGGUGCGAUCUAUGAUGUCCCUUACCGAUCUACCAUUUUCAUUUUGAGGAUAUGCGUUAGAGAAAGCUGCAUUCACUUUUGAUAGGACACCAUCUAAGUCCGUUGAGAUGACGUCGUAUGAAUAUGGUUUGGCAAGAAACCAAAAUUGUCGUUUCUUAAUGUUUGGGGCUGCGAUGCUUAAGGCUUCAGGCGGAGAAGAUCGAACCCAAAAGAGGACAAACACAUCUUCAUAGGAUACCCAAAGGUGACAGUUUGGUAUACCUUCUAUCUCCAAUCUGAGGGCAAGUUGUUUGUCGCUAAGAAUGGUUCCUUUCUCGAGAAGGAGUUUCUCUCGAAAGAAUUGAGUGGGAAGAAGAUAGAACUUGAUGAGGUUGUCGAACCUUUGUUUCAACCAGAGAGUGAUGCAACACAGAAAGAUGUUUUCUGUGGCACCUACGUCUGUUGAAGAGGAAGUUAAUGAUAGUGAUCAUGAAGCUUCGGAUCAAGUUGCUAUCGAACCUCAUAGGUCGACCAGGAUAUGUACUACUCCUGAGUGGUACGGUAAUCCUGUCUUAGAUAUCAUGUUGUUAGACAACAAUGAACCCAUGAGCUAUGGAGAAGCGAUGGUGGGCCCGUAUUCCGACAAAUGGUUAGAAGCCAUGAAAUCCGAGAUAGGCUCCAUGUAUCAGAACAAAGUAUGGACUUUGGUGGACUUGCCCGAUGAUCGGCGAGCCAUUGAGAUAAAUGGAUCUUUAAGAAGAAGACGGACGUGGGCGGUAAUGUUACCAUCUAUGAAGCUCGACUUGUGGGAAAGAGUCUUUUCACAAGUUCAAGGAGUUGACUACGAUGAGAAUUUCUCACCCGUAGCGAUGCUUAAGUCCGUCGGAAUCAUGUUAGCAUUAGCUGUAUUUUUCGAUUAUGAAAUCUGACAGAUGGAUCUCAAAACAAGUUUUCUUACCAGUUUUCGUAAGAAAAAGUUGUAUGUGAUACAAUAAAAGGUUUUGUCGAUCCUAAGGAUGCUAAAAGGUAUGCUGGCUCCAGCAAUCCUUCUAUGGACUAGAGCAAGCAUCUCGAAGUUGGAAUAUAUGCUUUGAUGGAGUGAUCAAAGCUUUUAGGUUUAUACAAUGUUUGCUAGAAACUUGUAUUUACAAGAAAGUGAGUGGGAGAACUACAACAUUUCUGAUAAGUAUAUGUGGAUGACAUAUUGCUGAUUCAAAAUAAUGUAGAAUUUCUGGAAAGCAUAAACGGUUGUUUGAAGAGUGAUUUUCAAAGGCAGACCUGGAUAAAGCUGCUUACAAAUUGGGCAUCAAGAUCUGUAGAAAUAGAUCAAGACGCCUGAUGAUACUUUCAAAGAACGCACACCUUGACAUGUUUUUGAAGGAGUUCAAAAUAGAUCAGGCAAAGAAGGGGUUCUUACCUGUGUUGUAAGGUGUGAAGUUGAGUAAGACUUGAAAGCUUGACCACGACAGAAGAAAGAGGAAGGAUGAAGGUCAUCCCCUAUGCUUUUGUCAUAGGCUCUAUACGGUAUGCCAUGCUGAGUACCACACCAGAUGAGUGCCUUGCCACAUGUCUGGCAAGAGGGUACAAAGGUGAUCUAGGAGUGGAUCACCAGAUAGCGGUCAAAAUUGUCCUUAGAGGAAUAAGGAAAUGUUUCUCAGUUACGGAGCUGAUAAAGAGUUCGACAUAAAGAGUUACGUCGAUACAUGCUUAAACACCAAUCCGGAUAGCUCUGAGUAGAGAUACCAGAUACGUAUAAUGGAGCAACAAUUUGGAAUAGCUCCAAGUGGAACGUGGUAGCAGCAUCUACGAUAUGACAUAAAGUUUUGGGAAAUACAUAGGGAUCUGAAUAUUACAGACCCGUUGACUACAACCUCUCUCACAAGCAUAACAUGAUCAAACCCAGAACUCAUUGAGUGUUAAUCGCAUAGUGAUGUGAACUAGAUUAUUGAAUCUAGUAAACUCUUUAGAUGUUGGUCACAUGGCGAUGUGACCAGUGAGUGUUAAUCACAUGGCGAUGUGAACUAGAUUAUUGACUCUAGUGCAAGUGGGAGACUGUUGGAAAUAUGCCCUAGAGCUAAUAAUAAAUUGGUUAUUAUUAUAUUUCCUUGUUCAUGAUAAUCGUUUAUUAUCCAUGCUAGAAUUGUAUUGAUAGGAAACUCAGAUACAUGUGUGGAUACAUAGACAACACCAUGUCCCUAGUAAGCCUCUAGUUGACUAGCUCGUUGAUCAAUAGAUGGUUACGCUUUCCUGACCAUGGACAUUGGAUGUCGUUGAUAACGGGAUCACAUCAUUAGGAGAAUGACGUGAUGGACAAGACCUAAUCCUAAGCCUAGAACAAGAUCAUGUAGUUCGUAUGCUAAAGCUUUUCUAAUGUCAAGUAUCAUUUCCUUAGACCAUGAGAUUGUGCAACUCCCAGAUACAGUAGGAGUGCUUUGGGUGUGCCAAACGUGACAACGUAACGGGGUGGCUAUAAAGGUGCACUACGGGUAUCUCUGAAAGUGUCUGUUGGGUUGGCAUGAACCGAGACUGGGAUUUGUCACUCCGUGUAAACGGAGAGGUAUAUCUGGGCCCACUCGGUAGGACAUCAUCAUAAUGUGCACACUGUGAUCAAGGAGUUGAUCACGGGAUGAUGUAUUACGGAACGAGUAAAGAGACUUGCCGGUAACGAGAUUGAACAAGCUAUCGGGAUACCGACGAUCGAAUCUCGGGCAAGUAUCAUACCGAUAGACAAAGGGAAUUGUAUACGGGAUUGAUUGAAUCCUUGACAUCAUGGUUAAUCUGAUGAGAUCAUCGUGGAGCAUGUGGGAGCCAACAUGGGUAUCCAGAUCCCGCUGUUGGUUAUUGACCGGAGAGUUGUCUCGGCCAUGUCUACAUGACUCCCGAGCCCGUAGGGUCUACACACUUAAGGUUCGAUGACGCUAGGGUUAUAGGGAAAGUAUGUACACGGUUACAGAAUGUUGUUCGGAGUCUUGGAUGAGAUCCCGGACGUCACGAGGAGUUCCAGAAUGGUCCAGUGGUAAAGAUUUAUAUAUGGGAAGUCCCGUUUUGGUCACCGGAAAGGUUUCGGGUGCUAUCGGUAACGUACCGGGACCACCGGGAGGGUCCCAGGGGUCCAUCAGGUGGGGCCACCAGCCCCGGAGGCCUACAUGGGCCAAUAGUGGGAAGGGACCAGCCCCUAGGCGGGCUGGGGCGCCUCCCACCAAGGCCCAAGGCGCCUCCAAGAGGGGAAGGGGGCAAACCCUAGGGCAGAUGGGCCCCAAGGCCCACCCUAGGUGCGCCUCCCCCUCUCCCCCUUGUAGCCGCCACCCUAUAUGGGAUCUAGGGCUGCCGCACCCCUUGGGGUGGGAACCCUAGAGGGGGCGCAGCCCCCUCCCCUCCCCCUAUAUAUACUCGAGGUAUGGGGGCUGCCCAACAUAUGAUUUGAUCUCUCUCUUGGCGCAGCCCUACCUCUCUCCCUCCUCGUCUCUCAUAGUGCAUGGCGAAGCCCUGCUGGAGUUCCGCACUCCUCCACCACCACCACACCGUCGUUCUGCUGCUGGACGGAGUCUUCCCAACCUCUCCUUCUCCCCUUGCUGGAUCAAGGUGUGGGAGACGUCACCGGGCUGCACGUGUGUUGAACGCGGAGGCGUCGUGGUUCGGCGCUUAGAUCGGAAUUAACCGCGAUCUAAAUCGCUACGAGUACGGCUCCUUCAUCCGUGUUCUUGCAACGCUUCCGCUUAGAGAUCUACAAGGGUAUGUAGAUGCACUCCCCUUCCCUUUGUUGCUAGAUUACUACAUAGAUUGAUCUUGGUGAUGCGUAGAAAAUUUUAAAUUUCUGCUACGAUCCCCAACAAUAUCUGCAACCACCUGUUUUGCGGCAGCUACUGCUGUCGCGAAUGUCUUAGAUGAUUUCUUCUCAACCGCAAUCUCAACCUUCUUGUCGAUGUUUUCUUCAGUUAACCUCCAUCUUUCCUUUCUCUCCUCCGUGGUCUCACAGUAGUACUUCUUCCACGUGGCCCCGUCUCCGACACCGUGAACGCGUCCAUACGACGACCUAGUCUCCACCGGCAGUCCUUUCAAUAUGUUCAAUGCCCGGGUGAAUGGAGUGUCCCACUUGGGCCUCGCCAACGCCUCAGACGGUGAGUCGCUUUCAGCCACAAUCAUGUGCUUCUCUCUCUACAAAAGGAACAAGGAUCAUUUACAAAUAUGACUAAACGUGCAGUCGAAUUGAUCAGAAACUAAAAUUACCAGCAGUCUCAUGAACUCCGUCGUGAUCGGGUCCGUCUUGAAAACCUUCUUGACCGAGUUCGAAUGGUGUCGUGCCCUGAGGACGUCAUGCUCCUAUGGGACGGUGAAGUCCGCCAAGGGGUCUAGGAUGCCAGACUUUCGUGUUCCGUGUCCUGCUUGGCCCAUAUGGACCUCUUCCUGCCGUAACCACGGCUUCUGAGGUGGUGGCGCCCCAUGUUCCUUUGUUGAAGCCCCUUCAUGUACUUUGACUUUGUUUUGGCGGCUUCGGCCUCGCAAGCCGCCUUUAAUAUUUCAAAGUGCUCUCCCGUGAUUGUCGGAUUAUCCUUUACAAUCUCGGAGUAGGGUUGAUACGUCUCCAACGUAUCUAUUAUUUUUGAUUGCUCCAUGCUAUAUUAUCUACAGUUUUGGACAUUAUUGGGCUUUAUUAUCUACUUUUAUAUUAUUUUUGGGACUAACCUAUUAACCAGAGGUCCAGCCCAGAAUUGCUGUUUUUUUGCCUGUUUUAGGGUUUCGAAGAAAAGGAAUAUCAAACGGAGUCCAAACGGAAUGAAGCCUUCGGGAAUGAGAUUUUCUCAACGAACAAGACCCGGGAGACUUGGACCCUACGUCAAGACAAAANNNNNNNNNNNNNNNNNNNNNNNNNNNNNNNNNNNNNNNNNNNNNNNNNNNNNNNNNNNNNNNNNNNNNNNNNNNNNNNNNNNNNNNNNNNNNNNNNNNNNNNNNNNNNNNNNNNNNNNNNNNNNNNNNNNNNNNNNNNNNNNNNNNNNNNNNNNNNNNNNNNNNNNNNNNNNNNNNNNNNNNNNNNNNNNNNNNNNNNNCACCGACGUACUUCUUCCUCCUAUAUAUACCUACGUACCCCCAAACGAUCAUAUACGGAGCCAAAACCCUAAUUCCACCGCCGCAACUUUCUGUAUCCAUGAGAUCCCAUCUUGGCGCCUGUUCCGGAGCUCCGCCGGAGGGGGCAUCGAUCACGGAGGGCUUCUACAUCAACAGCAUAGCCUCUCCGAUGAAGUGUGAGUAGUUGACCUCAGACCUACGGGUCCAUAAUUAUUACCUAGAUGGCUUCUUCUCUCUUUUUGGAUCUCAAUACAAUGUUCUCCCCCUCUCUUGUGGAGAACUAUUCGAUGUAAUAUUCUUUUUGCGGUGUGUUUAUUGAGAUCGAUGAAUUGUGGGUUUAUGAUCAAGUCUAUCUAUGAAUAAUAUUUGAAUCUUCUCUGAAUUCUUUAAUGUAUGAUUGUUUAUCUUUGCAAGUCUCUUCGAAUUAUCAGUUUGGUUUGGCCUACUAGAUUGAUCUUUCUUACAAUGGGAGAAGUGCUUAGCUUUGGGUUCAAUCUUGCGGUGUCCUUUCCCAGUGACAGUAGGGGCAGCAAGGCAUGUAUUGUAUUGUUGCCAUCGAGGACAACAAGAUGGGGUUUUCAUCAUAUUGCAUUAUUCUAUCCCUCUACAUCAUGUCAUCUAGCUUAAGGCGUCACUCUGUUUUUAACUUAAUACUCUAGAUGCAUGCUGGAUAGCGGUCGAUGAGUGGAGUAAUAGUAGUAGAUGCAGGCAGGAGUCGGUCUACUUGUCUCGGACGUGAUGCCUAUAUACAUGAUCAUACCUAGAUAUUCUCAUAAAUAUGCUCAAUUCUGUCAAUUGCUCAACAGUAAUUUGUUCACCCACCAUAGAAUAAUUAUACUCUCAAGAGAAGCUACUAGUGAAACCUAUGGCCCCCGGGUCUAUCUUUAUCAUAUUAAUCUCCUACUACUUAGUUAUUUCCUUUGCUUUUUCCUUUGUAUUUCCUUUGCUUUUUUCCUUUGCCUUUAUUUUACUUUUCAUCUUUAUCACAAAAAUACCAAACAUAUUAUCUUUAUCAUAUCUAUCAGAUCUCACUCUCGUAAGUGGCCUUGUAGGGAUUGACAACCCCUAUUCGUGUUGGUUGUGAGGAUUUAUUUGUUUUGUGCAAUUACGAGGGACUCGCGCGUAGCCUCCUACUGGAUUGAUACCUUCGUUCUCAAAAACUGAGGGAAAUACUUACGCUACUUUGCUGCAUCAUCCCUUCCUCUUCGGGGAAAACCAACGCAGUGCUCAAGAGGUAGCAAGAAGGAUUUCUGGUGCCGUUGCCGGGGAGGUCUACGCAAAAGUGAACAUACCAAGUACCCAUCACAUACCCUUAUCUCCCGCAUUACAUUAUUUUCCAUUUGCCUCUCGUUUUCACCUCCCCCACUUCACCCUUGCUGUUUUAUUCGCCCUCUCUCUCUAUCCGCCCUCUCUUUCUCUAUUUGCCUCUUUUUUCCCGCUUGCUUUCUGUUUGCUUGUGUGUUAGUUGCUUGCUUGUCACGAUGGCUCAAGAUAAUACUAAAUUAUGUGACUUCACAAUGGCGAAAGCCUGGUUUUCGUCUUUGGCUAAAAAUAGUAUUGAUUCAUGGAAUAAGUGCAAAGAUGCUUUUAUCUCUAAGUAUUUUCCUCCUGCUAAGAUCAUCUCUCUUAGAAACGAUAUAAUGAAUUUUAAGCAACUUGAUCAUGAACAUGUUGCACAAGCUUGGGAGAGAAUGAAACUAAUGGUACAUAAUUGCCCUGCCCAUGAUUUAAAUUUGUGGAUGAUUAUACAAAAUCUUUAUGCCGGAUUGAAUUUUGCUUCUAGAAAUCUUUUAGAUUCAGCCGCGGGAGGCACUUUUAUGGAAAUCACUUUAGGAGAAACUCCUAGAUAAUAUUAUGGUCAAUUAUUCUCAACGGCAUACUGAAAGAUCUAAUAAUAAAAUGGUGCAUGCGAUAGAAGAAAUUAAUGUUUUGAGUGGAAAGAUGGAUGAACUUCUGAAAUUAUUUGCUAAUAAGAGUGUUUCUUCUGAUCCUAAUGAUAUGCCCUUGUCUAAUUUGAUUGGGAAUAAUAAUGAAUCUAUGGAUGUGGAUUUUGUUGGUAGGAACAAUUUUGGUGACAACGCGUAUAGAGGAAAUUUCAACCCUAGGCUUUAUCCUAGUAAUCUCUCUAAUAAUGAUGGUAAUUCCUACAACAAUUCUUAUGGAAAUUAUAAUAAGAUUCCCUCUGAUUUUGAAUCUAAUAUUAAAGAAUUUAUUACUUUGCAAAAGAAUUUCAAUGCCUAGAUUGAAGAAAAAUUGCUUAAGAUUGAUGAUUUGGCUAGGAACGUUGAUAGAAUUACUCUUGAUGUUGAUUCUUUGAAACUUAGAACUAUUCCACCUAAGCAUGAUGUCAAUGAGUCUCUCAAAGCCAUGAGAAUUUCCAUUGAUGAGUGCAAAGAAAGAACCGCUAGGAUGCGUGCUAAGAAAGAUGCCUUUAUAAGAGCGUGUUCUUCUCGUUCCUAUGAAAAUAAUGAUGAAGAUCUAACAGUUAUUGAUGUGUUCCCUAUUAAAUCUUUGUUUUGCAAUAUGAAUCUUGAUAAUGAUGGGACUGAAUAUGAUCCACCUUUACCUAUCAGGCGUUCCAAGAAUUCAGAAUUUGUUGAUCUUGAUGCUAAAAUUGAUAAAGGUGGGAUUGAAGAAAUUAAAACCCUUGAUGUUGCUAAACCCACUAUUAUGGAUUUCAAGGAAUUUAACUAUGAAAAUUGCUCUUUUAUUGAUUGUAUAUCCUUGUUACAAUCCAUGCUAAAUUCUCCUCAUGCUUAUAGUCAAAAUAAAGCGUUUACUAAACAUAUCGUUGAUGCCUUGAUGCAAUCUUAUGAAGAAAAACUUGAAUUGGAAGUUUAUAUCCCUAGAAAGCUUUAUGAUGAGUGGGAAUCAACUAUUAAAAUUAAAAUUAAAUAUCAUGAAUGCUAUGCUUUAUGUGAUUUAGGUGCUAGUGUUUCCAUGAUUCCAAAGACUUUGUGUGAUUUGUUAGGUUUCCGUGAUUUUGAUGAUUGCUCUUUAAACUUGCGCCUUGCGGAUUCCACUAUUAAGAAACCUAUGGGAAGAAUUAAUGAUGUUCUUAUUGAUGCAAAUAGGAAUUAUGUGCCUGUAGAUUUUAUUGUUCUUGACAUAGAUUGCAAUCUUUCAUGUCCUAUUAUUCUUGGUAGACCUUUCCUUAGAACGAUUGGUGCAAUUAUUGAUAUGAAGGAAGGAAAUAUUAGAUUCCAAUUUCCAUUAAGGAAAGUCAUGGAACACUUUACUAGAAAGUAAAUUAAAUUAACUUAGGAAUCUAUUAUGAUAGCCACUUAUGGAUUGCCUACCAAAGAUGGCAAUACCUAGAUCUAUCCUUGCUUGUUAUGCCUAGCUAGGGGCAUUAAACGAUAGCGCUUGUUGGGAGGCAACCCAAUUUUGUUUUUAUUCCUUGAUUUUUGCUCCUGUUUAGUAAUAAAUAAUUUAUCUAGCCUCUGUUUCGGUUGUGUUCUUUGUGUUUAAUUACUGUUUGUGCCAAGUAGAACCGUUAGGAAGACUUGGGGAAAGUCUUGUUACACUUGCUGUAAAAAACAGAAACUUCAGCGCUCACGAGAACUGCUGCCAUUUUUAUUUGGAAGUGCUAUUUAGUUAAUUAUUUCUGCAGAUGAUUAAUACAUAAAUUCCUCACGUCCAGCAAUUUAUUUUAGAAUUUUUGGAGUUCCAGCUCUUGAGCUAGCUACAGAUUACUACAGACUAUUCUGUUUUUGAAAGAUUCUGUUUUUUCGUGUGUUGUUUGCUUAUUUUGAUGAACCUAUGGCUAGUAAAAUAGUUUAUAAACCAUAGAGAAGUUGGAAUACAGUAGGUAUAACACCAAUAUAAAUAAAUAAUGAGUUCAUUAUAGUACCUUCAAGUGGUCUUUUAUUUUCUUUCGCUAACGGAGCUCACGAGAUUUUCUACUUUAAGUUUUGUGUUGUGAAGUUUUCAAGUUUUGGGUAAAGAUUUGGUGGAUUAUGGAACAAGGAGUGACAAGAGCCUAAGCUUGGGGAUGCCCAUGGCACCCCCAAGAUAAUCUAAGUACACAUAAAAGCCAAAGCUUGGGGAUGCCCCGGAAGUCAUCCCCUCUUUCGUCUACUUCUAUCGGUAACUUUACUUGGAGCUAUAUUUUUAUUUGCCACAUGAUAUGUGUUUUGCUUGGAGCGUCUUGUAUUAUUUGACUUGUCAGGACCCCGAUUCCAAGCCACAUCGAUCUAGACGGUAACACCUCAUAUCACUUUGCAGCCUCACGCACGAUAUUCCACGGGUGUCGCAUUACCAUGGCCUGGGACCGUUUGCGCCUUUUGGCUCACGUAUAUGAUAGUGUCGCUAGCAUCCAUAUGACAGAGAACCCGGGCCGACAUGGCUAGUCGUGAACCCAAAGCGGCACAGACCUAUGGAGACAGGCAUACAUGAAUCACAUCGAGCAUGUCGGUCAUCAGCGAGUGAUUCCGGGCUUUAGCACUGGGCUAACAGGACUCCGGGGAACCCGGGCUGUAGCAGGCUAGGCAGGACUCCGGAAGUCACCGCGUGACAUUUCCCCGAAGAGACAGACAUAGGAACAAAGUGAAUCACAUGCUGGCCAGUCAAGUGUCCUGAGCAGUAGUGCUAGGCUAGCAGGACUCUGGUGAACCGGGCUGUAGCGGACUACUAUGGCUCGAGGAACACUAGACUACAUUUCCCCAUAAGAAAGGCUGCCAAGGAUAAACAACUAGAUUUUCGGAUCCCACUCAUACCAAGCAUUUCAAUCAUACACACAAUAUGCCCGAUAUGAGUACAUACAACAUGGCAUCACAACAAAACUCUACAAAUCAAGUACUUUAUUUAAAGGCUCCAGAGAGCCAUACAUAACAUGUUCAUACAGAUAGGGGUCACAUGACCCGACACUCAAGUCAUACAAUCAUACAAGCACAUGCGGAAGCAACCGGUCUGAGUACGGACACUAGAAAGAAAGAAGGCUCCUCGAGGCCUGUUUAUCUACAUAGGGCCCUCCAUGGCCAGGAUCACCACCUGGGUGGCUAGUCACUCGUCGACGUCAAGGUCUACAUAGAACCCAUCGGAGGGGGCGGUGUUGUCGUCUGAAAACAGUAAUUAAGCAAACAUGAGUACAAAGGUACUCAGCAAGUCUUACAACAGAACCUACUAUACAUGCUUAUUCUCAAGAAGGUGGUGGGGAUAUUGCAGCAAGCCAGCUUUGACUCUUGGCUAAACUAUCCUAUGGAACUUCUCUAGUAAAAUAGUUUUCGCACACGAGUCCACUACUCACCAACACAAUACUCCACCGGGGAUCCUCCCUCGUCAUCCUACGAGAGGGCCAUCCUCGGUACUCACACUUAUCUUGAGUCUUUUAGUAGUAUCCAUUUACUUGUCUACGAACUGUAUAGGCAACCAAGUAGUCCUUUACCGCGGACGCGGCUAUUCGAAUAGUUUUAUACCCUGCAGGGGUGUACUUCGUCAUGCACGCUUUCACCACUUAUCGCCGUUUACACGACAUGUACUCGGCAACCUUCAAGCGGAAGCCCAGUGAGGGUGUCGGCCACGGCCUACCUAAACACUUAAGUCUCUAGUCCAGGUUUAUCGCCUAUCCAGGUUCCAUCCGCAGGGAGUCCGGCCGAGGUUUCCACAUACGGCCCGAACGAUGUGAACAGGGUCCCGAGACGCCAAUCGGGCACCCGGCAUACCCGGCCACGGUGUAUCUACCGCAACAUAGCCCACCCCUAGGGUCAGCACUACGCACGGCCGCCAACACAUAACCUACAAGCACCAGAAACUAUUUGCAACUCCUGGACAGAGUACUAGGGUGAUUAAGAAGCCGAGAGGGUCAAUUAAGGAUCCCAAUGCAUGGUAGUAGCUGAAUCUUAAAUCGCACAUACAGAUCUCAGUUCUUUGGGACGGUCUCAAUGAAACAACCCACCAUGUACUCCUACAUGGCCUCUCAUCGAUACCUUUACCAAAACAUGUUCAACACAUUCCUCAUAUUACCGACAUAAUCAUAUCACUCUAGCCCAUCACCCAGAUGAACCAGACCUGACACAACUCUAAGCAUAGCAGGCAUAGCAAGGUAGGAAUCACAGACAUGGCUCAAUCAACUCCUACACAUGCUAGUGGGUUUCAUCUAGUUACUGCGGCAAUGACAGAUCAUGUAGAGGAUAAGGGUUCAACUACCGUAGCACACAGUAGUUUGAAUCGCGUUGUCUUAAUCCAGUAAACAAGAGCAAAGGCGAGAACAUGGGUUGUAUCGGAAUGAUCAAUGGGUUGCUUGCCUGAUGGAGUGGUAGCGGGAUACUGCCCUUCAGUUGGAUACUCGUGAAUAUCCUCGGAGGCAGAACCUACCACGAAGAACACAUCGGAACACAAUCAACACAUGACGAUAUGCAACAAUAUGAUGCAUGCUAUGACAUGGCUAUGGUGUUGGCCUAAUGCAAGCUAAAAUAGAAAGGGAUGAACUCAUUUGAAUCAAAGAUUCAAAUAUUAGCUCAUUAAACAUGGCCUUAAUAGUGGAUUUCCUUAUUCUGCUUAAACAGCAAGGUAAACUUGUUUUUUCAUGCAUGAAACCAUUACAUAUGGAUAGAUUGAAUUUUUCUGAUAAAUUUUUCAUAUAUAAAUUAUUUCAUUUGGAGUUACGGUUGAAUUUCUAUGAUUUUUAGAAGUUUUAAACAUUUUCUGGAAUUUCCUGAAUAAAGAUAAAUCCAGAAAAUGCAUUACUGCAUCAGCAUUGCGUCAUGCUGACCUCAGCAGGUCAAAGGCGCCAGCCCAGGUCAAACCUGACUGGUGGGCCCCUUCUGUCAGUCUCUGAGUUAAAUAACAGGAUUAGAUUAACACUAAUUAGCUGUCAGUGGGGCCUGGGCCCACAUGUCAGUGACUGAUUAAAAUAAAAUUAGUUAAAACUAAUCCUAGAUUAGUUAGCAGACCGGCCCCACCUGUCAUAGACUCAGGGGGGUCUACCUGGGCCCACCCAGGGUCAAACUGGGUCAAACUCACCGGCGUUGAGCAGCCGGCGAGGCCCGAGACGGUGGCGCAGCUCGGAAAACGCCUAUAGGGCAUGAGGGAGGCCGUUCUUGGGCUCGUUGGAGAGCUCUUGCAAUCGCGCAUCUAGUGGUGGUGGUGGCCGAGCCUACGGUGGCCGGAGACGACGACGGCGAGCUCCAAGGCGGCGGCCGGAGUUCGGCCAUGUGCGGGGUGUGGGCUGCGGUGUGCAAACGUGGAAACUGAGGCGCUAGCGAGGCACUACGCGAUGCGGCAAGCAUGUUGCGUAGCACGGGAUGACCAAAUGGUCGCCGAAGCGGCACCGGCGACAAGCUCGAGCGGAGACGAGCUUCGGCCAUGGUGGAACUAUGGCCUAGAGGGUGCAAACGCGUGGAAAAGAAGAGGGGAAAGGUGGGGGAGCUCACAGGGAGGUCGAUGAGCAGCUCAGCGGGCUUGGGGGCGACCGGAGUGAGGCGAAUCGAUGAGCGGUGUCCGGUGGGUACCGAGGUUGAAGACGAUCCGAUGGCGGCGAUGCAGGGCCUCCGGCGAUGCGUGGCUCGGUGGGGAGGGCGAGGGCGUCACGGCAGAGCUUCUGGACAGGUCUGAGAGGCGAGAGGGUGACGGAGGGCGUGACUACGGCGGUGAGAGGGCGACGGGUGCGUCGGCCAUCGCGGGAGAGGGAGAGGGAGACGCGGUGGAGAGUGAGAGAGGAUGAGAGGGGGACGUGGGGGUCGCGUGGCAUUCCCUAGACGUCUCCCGGUGUCGGCGGAAGCAGGAGGUGGCCGGCGUGUGGCCGCGGGCGUCGGCCACGCGCUCCGCGUCCUUCUGGCACGAGGAGGACGACGACUGGCAGCGCCAGUAGGCUGGGCCGAGCCAGGUGGGCUGGCCAGCACAGGUAAGGCCCAGGUGGGCUUCUCCCUCUCUUUUUUUAAUUUGUUUCUGUUUUCUAUUUAACUGUAACUGUUGGGCUUUAUUUAAAAUACUAAAACAUUUCCAAAAAUCCUGAAAAUAAUUGUGGGCUCUAUUUGGAUUAUUUCCAACAGCAAACAUUUAUUUCCAGAAUUAUUUGAGCAUCUAAAUUAUUUAAUAGCAUUUAAAUGUCCAAAUUCAAAUACUUAUGAUUUAAAUCAAUGACCUUCUGUUGACCAAGAAAAAUUGUGCACCAAUUUUGCCAGAGGUUCUAACCCAAGACAAAGAGGGUGAACUUUUUAGAAGGGCAUUUCAGGUUCAUUGAAAAUAAUUUUAGUAAACCCUAGUUGUUUCCAGGGGGGUGUUGGGGGUUUGUGCCUUCCCCAACUCAAAUUUAAGAGGAAUUUAAACAUGAUGCACAUUCUAAUGCUUGAACUAGCUAGGGUGUGACAACUCACCCCCAGUCAAAAGAAUCUCGUCCUGAGAUUUAGGAUCCUCUGGAAAGAAGGUGGGGUACUCGAGUCGAAGACGAUCCUCCCUUUCCCAAGUGGCUUCUUUCUCGGAAUGGUGUGACCAUUGAACCUUGAGAAACUUGAUAUUAUGACGUCGAGUGGUACGCUCGGCUUGAUCAAGGAGACGAACGGGAUAUUAUCGUUAAGAGAGAUUAUCUUGUAGAUCAAGCGUUUUGUGGUCCACUCCACGAAUAGGAUCCGCGAAGCAACGCCUGAGUUGUGAAACGUGGAAGACAUCAUGAACUCUGGAAAGAUGCGGAGGUAGUUCCAAUUGGUAGGCAACUUCUCCUCGUUUGGCAAGAAUGCGAAAGGGUCCAAUGUAACGAGGAGCCAAUUUGCCUUUGAUACCGAAACGAUGGGUUCCUUUUAAUGGGGUAACCCGAAGGUAAGCCUUCUCGUCGACUUCAUAAGUCAUAGGCUUAUGUUUACGAUCAUAUUGACUCUUUUGACGAGAUUGGGCUGUUUUCAAUUUCUCACGAAUAACGCGAACCUGCUCUUCCGCUUCCUGAAUCAUAUCCGGUCCAAAGAGUUGUCUUUCCCCGGUUACUGACCAGUUAAGAGGCGUUCGACAUUUUCGUCCAUAGAGAACUUCGAAAGGAGCUUUGCCCAAGCUAGCUUGAUAACUAUUAUUAUAAGGAAACUCCGCGAAUGGGAGGCAUUUCUCCCAACUCAUUCCGAACAAGAUAACAUAAGCUCGGAGCAUAUCUUCCAGAAUUUGAUUGACUUGCUCUACUUGACAACUUGAUUGAGGAUGGAAGGCUGUACUAAAAGAGAGACGAGUUCCCAUAGCAUUUUGGAAACUUUCCCAAAAUCGAGAGGUGAAGAGACUCCCACGGUCUGAGUUAAUUUCCAAUGGGACACCAUGGAGAGACACUAUUCGGGAGAUGUAUAAAUCGGCUAGCUGGAUAGCAGUGAUAUUCUCACGAACAGGUAGGAAAUGGGCUACUUUGGAAAGACGGUCGAUCACGACGAAGAUGGCAUUAUUCCCUCUCUUGGUCCUGGGAAACCCAGUAAUGAAAUCCAUACUGAUUUUAUCCAAUUACCAUUCAGGAAUAGCCAAAGGUUGAAGGGUGCCAGCAGGCCGUUGAUGCUCUGCUUUAACACGACGACAGACGUUGCAGCUAGCAAUGUAUUGAGCGAUUUAUCUCUUCAUCCUAGUCCACCAAAACCUGUGGCGUAGGUCUUGAUACAUUUUAGUGCUACCGGGAUGAAUGGUGAGAGGGGAUUCAUGAGCUUCCUUAAGGAUCAAUUGGCGUAGAUGUUGUUUCUUGGGAACCACCAAACGAUUCUCAAAGAAGACAGCACCCCGCUUAUCCAUGAAAAAACAUUUAGCAACUCCACUAGUAAUGUUUUCCUUAAUCCGGGAUAUGCCCUUAUCAUACCACUGGGCGGUUAUGAUCUGAUCCAUAAGGUUAGGUUUCGCCACCAGGGUGGAUAGGAAUCCUCGAGGAACAAUGUGAAGAUUAAGCUUACGGAAUUCCUCAUGCAGAAGUGGUUGACUUUGUUGUAACAUCGGGUUGUUACAAUAGUAUUACGGCUUAGCGCAUCAGCCAUGACAUUGGCUUUGCAUGGGGUGUAGGUUAUUCCUAAGUCGUUAUCCAAGAUCAACUCAACCCAACGUCUUUGCCUGAGAUUCAAAUCUGGUUGGGUGAAGAUAUAUUUCAAGCUUUGGUGAUCGGUGAAGAUCUCGCAACGAUUACCGAGGAGGUAAUGUCGCCAAGUUUUAAGUGCAUGGACUACAGCUGCCAGCUCUAGAUCAUGUGUGGGAUAAUUUUCCUCAUGUGGGUGUAAUUGCCGUGAAGCGUAGGCAAUUACCUGAUGAUCUUGCAUGAGUAUGCAACCUAGUCCUUGUCGCGAGGCGUCGCAAUAGAUAAUAAAGUCCUUGGAGAAAUCCGGUGGUACCAGUACGGGAGAAGAUGUCAGGCGUCUUUUCAGUUCCUGAAAGUUGAACUCGCACUGUGGAGUCCACUCAAACUUUUUAUCUUUCUUGAGGAGUUCAGUUAGAGGUUUAGCAACCUUGGAUAAAUUCUCGACGAAGCGGCGGCAAUAGCUCGCUAAGCCAAGGAAGCUCCGAACUUGCUUGACCGUCUCAGGUGGAGUCCAAUCAAGGACGGCUUGAACUCGCUCGGGAUUGACGGCAAUACCCUUACCAGAGAUUACAUGGCCUAAAUAGGUUACUUCUGGCAACCAAAAUCGACACUUGGAGAACUUGGCAUAAAGGCGAUGCUCUCGAAGUUUCAUCAAUACCAGCCUUAGAUGUUCGGCAUGUUCCUCUUCAUUCUUGGAGUAGAUGAGUAUGUCAUCGAGGUAUACUACGACGAAUUUAUCCAAGUACUCCAUGAAAACCGAGUUCAUUAACCGGGAGAAGGUAGCCGGGGCAUUGGUUAAACCGAAGGACAUAACGGUGUACUCGUAUUGGCCAUAACGAGUAACAAAGGUCGUUUUGGGAAUGUCCCCGUUUCUGAUUUUGAUUUGAUGGUAGCCCAACCUCAAAUCCAUCUUGGAAAAGACUGAGGAUCCAGCGAGCUGAUCAUACAGAUCAUUGAUCCUGGGAAGCGUGUAUUUGUUCUUGAUGGUGACCAAGUUGACAGGUCGGUAAUCCACAACCAUUCGAUCUGUUCCAUCCUUCUUCUUGACGAAGAGGAUGGGGCAAGCCCAAGGAGAGGAACUAGGACGGAUGAAACCCUUUUUCAAGGACUCAUCGAGUUGGUUCUUAAGCUCGGCUAGUUCUAAGGGUGCCAUCUUGUAGGGUCUUCUAGAAAUUGGAACGGUUCUUGGAACAAGGUCUAUCACAAACUCGACAUCCCUGUCAGGUGGAACACCUGGCAGUUCUUCUGGAAAGACAUCCGGAAAGUCUCGGACUACCGGAACAUCCUCAAGGUCUAGAAGGGGGUUGAUAUUUAGGGAGUAAAGUUGGCGCUUGGCCACUCGAGUUAAGACAUUAACUGUCUUGCCCGAUGGGUAAGUUGAACGGUUCUAGUGGCACAGUCAAUCUUAGCAUAAUGAGCUGACUUCCAGUCCAUACCUAAGAUGAUGUUUAUGUCCGAGGACUUGAGAGCUAUUAAGGCUGCAAGGAAGACAAGUCUAUCGACAAGAAUUCGUUCCCAUGGCUUACUCUAGAAGUUUGCCAUCUAGAGCCAGGGGUUUGAAUUUCCAUGGUAGAGGGCAUGUCACAGAAUGUGGUGUUGUGCAAUCGAGCAUAGUUCUCGGAUAUGAAUGAAUGAGAUGCUCCAGUAUUGAAAAGAACAGAUGCCGGAUGGCAGUUAACAAGGAGCGUACUAAGGACGACGUUGGGAUCCUCAUGAGCCUCCUCGGCUGAAACAUAGUUGACAUGGCCACGUGCAGUGGUGGCCGGCUUGGCGUAGAAUGUUUUUCCGACGGGCUUACCACGGCCAACGGACUUUCCAGUUUGAUUGGGGUUGUUGUUCUGGGGACACUCUCGGCUAUAGUGACUCGGCUCUCCACACUUAAAGCAUGUCACCACAUUGGGGCGUGGAGCAGCAUUAGCAGCGGGGCCACCAUAGGGCUUGGGCGGUGCAAAUUGCUGGUUGGGACGUGGUACCUCAAAGGAUGGCCUCGGGAUGAACCUGGGUGGCAGUGCCGUGCUUGGAAUCCACACCCGGCGCUUCUCAGCUCCAGAGCCAGAUGAAGAGCCAAAAUCACGGGAGUGCUUGCGUGAAGCGUCAUAAUCAGUCUGGCUUGUCUCAGCACUGAUGGCUUUAUUGACCAACUUCUGAAAGGAGGUGCACUCGUGCAGAUGAAGAUCGCGGCGAAGCUCAGGGCUAAGUCCCUUGCGGAACCUUGCCUGCUUCUUAGCAUCAGUAGAUACCUCUUCGGGGGCAUAACGUGCCAGAUUCCCAAAUUCACGACUGUAAGCAUCCAUAGUCAGUCUUCCUUGGGUGAAGUUGAAUAACUCCUCCCUCUUGCGAUCCAUGAGACCUUCCAGAAUGUGAUGCUCACGGAAAACCUCACUGAAUUCAGCCCAAGUAGUGAUUUGGCCGACUGGGCGCAUAGCUUCGAAGUUUUCCCACCAAAGGCUAGCAGGGCCUUCGAGGUGAUAGGCAGCAUAAGUAACCUUCUCGGCUUCGGCUACGUUGGCAGAACGUAGCUUGUGGGUGAUGCUGCGAAGCCAGUCAUCCGCGUCGAGGGGCUCGACGGAAUGGUUAAACUUUGGUGGGUACAGCUUGAUAAAGUCAUUGAUUGACACCAAGUCAUUUUGCGGGUGGCGUGAAGUGUUUUGCUCAAUCCGCUCCAGCAGGCGGUUGGUCUCACGCUUGUUUCUUUCCGCCUCCAGCAUUACUUCAGCCAAAGAAGGCAUGUGAGGCAGAUUUUCACCUCUAGCAGCACUGGCUUCCCCCUGCUCCGGGGCUGCAGGGUUGCUGCGGGUGUUGACCAUCCUAGGAGAAAACAAGACAACGGUUUAGACAAGGAUGGCUCAAACUUAGCAAGGAAGUGCAUAAUGUAAUGGAUAACACGGAAUGCAGAGAUGUUCAUCCGUAUGUCAUGGUAAUAUAAAACUGCAAUAUAUAUACCAACGGUCAUACACAUCAUACAUAGUUUAGUACAAGCCCAGGCUACAGUACAACUAUGAUGAAAGACGUUACAUCUCAUCGGAGGCAUUCCAAGAUCCUAUACAUUAUUGUCUACACCUCCGGAAUUGAUUACACGCAAAGUCAUAUUCCACAAGUCACGCAGGACAGUGGAGAUACAACUACUACAAUACUAGUGGUACUACUAUGUCACGACCGGUUUUCCAAUAAAAAUAUUUAUUGAGAAACCAAUCUUUUGAGUCCAGUAUGAGGGAAAUCCUCCUCACUGGUAGACAAAAUUCUUGAUACAAUAAGCCAGUAGCAAAGAAUAUAUUACAAGGUUGAGCUAGGGCUGCUCAACAAUUUAUAACAAGCGCGCCAACAAUUAUAUAUAAUGGCGGAUAUACCACAAUGGUGUGGUGGCAUACUACUGACUCGGGGAUAAAGUGAUGGUGGAAUAACACAGUGGGGAGUGUGAUAACAUGACUCUCAAACUGGCAUCUCAUCGAGCGUCGAGGUGAGGCUCGAUGAAUUUUAUUCGGGUUGCGGAAGCGAAUAUAAUACAUUGACCGAAUCCAGGGUCGCACGAGACUGAUUGGGACUCCUCUAGGCGUCGGACUCGCUAUCGAACUAUUCAUCCAUGAGAUCGCCUUCGUCAGCAUCUGGCCAAAUCAACAAGCCAGUGAGUACUUUGAUAGUACUCGCAAGACAGUUUGGACUUAAGAUAUAACAAAUGCAUGCAUGAAUGCGUCAUGAUUAAUUCACCAAAUGUGCAUUCCAAAAAUUAGCAUAACAAAGCAAGUAAAAGGGAAACGGCGGUAGUCCGCCUGAAAUCCCAACAAAAGCAUAAAUGAAAACCGAUCGGGUGUCUGAAGCGAUGCCUCGAAAGGUGAACAAAUAAAUAAAGGAGAAAGUCAUGCCACAGUCGGGCGUCUUCACGACACCACAUAAAGGGCUUUGAAAGAAAUGCCACAGUCGGACGUCGGGGCGACAUCACAGAAAGGGCUUUAAAAGAAAUGCCACAGUCGGACGUCGGGGCGACAUCACAGAAAGGGCUUUAAAAAAAUGCCACAGUCAGAANNNNNNNNNNNNNNNNNNNNNNNNNNNNNNNNNNNNNNNNNNNNNNNNNNNNNNNNNNNNNNNNNNNNNNNNNNNNNNNNNNNNNNNNNNNNNNNNNNNNNNNNNNNNNNNNNNNNNNNNNNNNNNNNNNNNNNNNNNNNNNNNNNNNNNNNNNNNNNNNNNNNNNNNNNNNNNNNNNNNNNNNNNNNNNNNNNNNNNNNNNNNNNNNNNNNNNNNNNNNNNNNNNNNNNNNNNNNNNNNNNNCGGACGUCGGGGCGACAUCACAAAAAGGGCUUUAAAAGAAAUGCCACAGUCGGAUGUCGGGGCGACAUCACAAAAAGGGCUUUAAAAGAAAUGCCACAGUCGGACGUCGGGGUAACAUCACAGAAAGGGCUUUAAAAGAAAUGCCACAGUCGGACUUCGGGGCGACAUCACAGAAAGGGCUGUAAAAGAAAUGCCACAGUCGGACGUCGGAGCGACAUCGCAGAAAGGGUUUUAUUCACAAGUAAAUAAUAAUCAUAAUAAAUAUUCAAUUCAUGAUAAUAAACAGGUUAGUCCAUCCACAGGAAUAACAUUUAGCCGGGCUUAGCACUCAUGGGAUUCACCGGAGUCUCUGUCAUCAAACUGAUACUGUUAGGCCAAGAUGAUACGAAUUUGGACAUGGAAUAGAUGAUUCAAGGAAUGUAUGACUCUGCAGAGUUUGUACAAAAUUUUUUCCCACAGCCAACGGAUUUCCGUAGUCACGAGGGACUAGUUCCGUUUACGGUUUUUCGGAAGAAAACACAGCUAACCAAUACACACCCAUCCUACCUCUCGAUGCCAGGACUCACCCUAGACAUCGUCCAAGAAAAACUUUUGAGACGGGGAGAUCACAAUCUCGAAUAGCAUGGGAUCAAAUUUAUAUAUGCGCGCUCUAAGGGGUGCCCCCCUCUCGGUCCCAACCGGAAACACCCAUGCCCCCUGACCGGAUGACUGGCUUUAAUCCAGGGCCAUGGAACCAUCAUCCUGGCCUCUCCUUUUGGUGUGUACCAGGAAAGCGGUUUGCAACUUACUAAGCCAUAUUCCUUGCGAAAAACAUGUGGUAGUACAGGGAAGGAAAUGGGAGGAACUGGACUGGUACGGUUUGACCCUGAAGUCAUAUAGUCUGGCAUAAGACUGGCAUGCUACAACACUGCCAUCUUACCCAUCCUCAUGCCAACACAUGGCCAUUCAUACUCACAUCCAUCCACUUAUGGAUCAUCGAACUCACUUACCUCAACAUUUCAUAAAAAAAAUAACGUUCAUCGGUAUGCUCAUCAACAUGCCAUGAAACUAACUAAAUGCAAAACAUGCCAAGACACUCAUCAUAUCAAAAGUUCAAACAUGCUUGCCUGGUUCAGAGUAGUCGGAGCCUAGCUCGGUGAAGUUCGCGGCUCCGUCACCUCCUUCGGUAUCUAUGGUAUAAAGAAAAUAUAUGCGCUAUCGUAAAUUCCAAGAGGUGCACAGAAAGUAUUCCAAAUAUUUUUCAAAUAAAUAUGAUAAAAAACUAGACAAAAAUCUGAAGAGGACAGGAAAAGAAUCACUCAAAAAUUCCUUUCUGUUAAAAAGUUAUAAGGGUUUUAAUCCAAGGACUUAUCUGUAAUGAAACAGAAAGUUUCCAGGGGCUAGUUUAUAAAAACAGAAAACGCUUCGGCAGAAACUACGCCAGCCCAGAGGGAAGGCGCAUUUGGCAGAAGGCGUUUUCAGAAAACGAUUCGCUUAGACAGGAUAGAGAGGCUGACAGCGGGUCCCGCCCGUCAGGUUUAAACUUUCAAACGGGGGGGGGGGCAGAUUUCGCCGGUGCCCGAGAGCCGCGGUGGUCGCCGGCGGCGAUCCACGGCCAGGCAGGGUGAUCGGAGAUUACCAACGUGCUCACCGUGUCCUUCCGCAAUGGUGGGUGGUGGUGUUGGUCGCCGGUGAGCACCACGUCGACGCAGAGCUUGGUCGGGAAGGUUUAGGGAGUUGGGCGUCAUCGCGAAGUUGCACCGGUUCCAUUUAGGUGCUAAGCGAGCUUGGAUUGGGGUGCUAAGGGCGAAGUCGACGGAACGGGGCGGCGCGGGCCCGUCGGCGGCAGGGAGCAUGUUUCGUGCUUGCCGGGCCGCAGUGAUGGUGCCACGGGCGUGCGCUGGCAUGCAUGAGGACAUGCGGAGAGCCAGGGAGCUUUGGGUGGCGCCGAACGGCGUUCUGCCGUGGUGUGCCUUCUGUCGGCCGCCACAGGAGGUCCCGACGCCGCAGAAGACGCCGGCGAGGGCGGGCCAGCGCGCCACUGACGCCAGGAAAGCUCCAAGCACGCGUGUGAAGCUCCGGACAAGAGGGAGGGGCUGCGAGCAUCGAGCCAAAGGCACUGUGAGCAUAUGCCUGAAACUCUGAAGAAAACGACACUGUAAAACUGAAUUUUACUGAACUUUUCUGAAAAAUGCAAAGAACAGUGCAGCUCAGGUGAUCGACAGAAUGUUUUUGGCAUCUAGGGAUUUUUCCUUGAGCUAAAACUUGGUGGAGUGGCCUCUCAUUGCUCCAGUAGGCUGCCUGAAUUUUGGUGGAAUUUUUUUGGAGAAGUGUAGAUAUGAAUUUCACCAAAUUUGGCAAAUCUGGUCCAAACUUGCAGUGAGUGAAAUUGAAAUAUUUGAAAAGAAUAAGAGUGGAUCAAGAUGGUUCUAGGUUGUGGGUACUAAAGACAAUCCAGGGAAGUUGGUUUGGGAUAAAAACUCAAAGGCAAAGUGAUACUUGCUUUGAAAAUCACUUAAGCUCAAAAUAAAUGGCAGAAAUGUUUUGGGGGAUAAAAUAAUUGAAAUAAAAUCCAAAACUUGUUUGGACUUGUUGAGACAGAGAAUUUAGAUUGUUCAAAGGUGGAGGGAUGGAUUUUGAGAGGAUUUACUAUAGGAGACAUGGUAAAACCAUGGGUGUUUUCAAAAAGAAAGAAGUCCCAAAACUCCUAGGGUUUCCUUUUUUUUGAAAAAAAUAAGUUUGAGAGGGUAACAACCAGAAGGAAAAGCUCCCAAAAACUUCAACACCAAAUUUGAAAAGGGAAAAGAAAAUCCUUGACAAAGGAAAGGAAGUUUUUAAGAGGAAGGAUUUCUGGAAAAGAAAUUUUUAAAAAACCCUCUUUUAAAAUCCAACAAGGUUUUGAUAAAAACCAAAUUAAAAUUUUGGAGUGUCACAGCACUUACCCCCUUAGGAAAAAUCUCGUCCCCGAGAUUUCAGCUGAUCCUUAAAUAAGCGAGGAUGCUCUGUCCGAAGAAAAUCCUCUCUUUCCCAAGUUGUUUCACUGUCGGUGUGAUUGCUCCACUGGACUUUGAAAAACUUGAUGGUCUUCUGUCGGGUCCUCCUUUCAGACUCCUCUAAUAUUCUUACAGGACGUUCCCGAUAAGUGAGGUCUGGCUGCACGUCGAUGUUCUCAUGGGAUACUUGUUUCUCUGGGUUGCUUACGCACUUCCUCAAUUGCGAGACGUGGAACACGUCGUGGACAUCGGAUAAUUCCUCGGGUAAGUCUAGCUGGUAGGCUACCGUGCCUCUUCGUGCCCUUAUACAGAAAGGUCCGAUGAAUCUUGGUGCUAGCUUCCCUUCAAUCUUGAACCAUUGCAAUCCGCUCAUAGGGAUACUCUUAGGUAUACGAACUCACCGGGUUCGAAGCUGACCCCACGAUGUUUCUGAUCGUAAUAACUCUUCUGUCGACUUUGAGCAGUCUUAAGUCGGUCUCUGAUUAGUUUGACUUUUUCCUCGGCUUCUCUGAGCAUGUCUGGUCCGAAGAUGCGGCUGUCUCCGGUCUCUGACCAAUUUAACGGGGUACGACAUCUUCGUCCGUAUAAGGCCUCAAAUGGUGCCAUUUGCAGGCUGGCCUGGUAGCUAUUGUUGUACGCGAACUCGGCGUAUGGCAGGCUUUCUUCCCAACUAUUUUCAUAGGUGAGGACACAUGCUCUCAGCAUGUCUUCUAAAACCUGGUUUACGCGUUCUGUUUGCCCAUCGGUCUGUGGGUGGUAUGCGGUACUGAAGGCUAGUUGGGUUCCCAGAGCCUGUUGUAAAUGCUCCCAAAAGCUCGAGACGAACUGAGUGCCUCUGUCGGACAUUAUAGUCUUCGGGACACCGUGCAGACAAACUAUGCGGGAAAGAUAAAUCCUGGCAAGCCUCUGAGUGGUGUGGGUCGUCUUUAUUGGAAUAAAGUGUGCCACUUUGGUUAACCUAUCAGUGAUGACCCAUAUGGCAUCAUUCCCGUGUCGUGACCGAGGUAGUCCGACAAUGAAAUCCAUCCCUAUUUCAUCCCAUUUCCACUCAGGUAUUUUGUUCGGUUGCAGUAGUCCGGCUGGUCUCUGAUGCUCAGCUUUUAUGCGUUGACAUGAGUCGCAGCGCGCAAUGAAGGUGGCUAUGUCCCUCUUCAUACUGUGCCACCAAAAUCUUUCCUGAAUAUCUUUAUACGUUUUGGUUCCUCCAGGGUGGAUCGAGUACGAGGCGGUGUGGGCUUCAGCUAAAAUUUGCUAUUUAAGGUCUUCUAUGUUUGGCACGCAGAGUCUGUCUCCGUACCAUAAUAUUCCUUCAUUGUCUAUGACUAAUUCCGAGGCUUUGCCCAUACUCACCUUUCUUUUGAUGCCUUCGAUGCUGGGGUGACCGGGCUGAGCUCCUUUAAUUUCCCCCACAAGGUCGGGUUGUAUUUCCAAGUUUGAUAUGGUGCCUUCUGCUACCAUCAUCAAGUUGAGCUUGGCAAAUUCUUGUUGGAAUUCGGGCCUCAAUCUGUGCAAAUUGUUGUCGUCGGAGCUGGGAUUCCGACUAAGAGCAUCGGCCACUACAUUUGCUUUUCCUGGAUGGUAAUGGAUACCAACAUCAUAAUCCUUUACCAAUUCCAACCAACGUCGUUGCCGUAAGUUUAGUUCUGGCUGUGUGAAAAUAUAUUUGAGGCUUUUGUGAUCCGUAUAUAUUUCACAUCGAUUCCCAAGUAAGAAAUGCCUCCAUUCCUUGAGUGCAUGAAUAACUGCUGCCAUUUCUAAGUCAUGAGUGGGAUAAUUUUCCUCAUGCUUACGAAGUUGCCUUGAAGCGUAGGCGACAACCUUGCCUUCCUGCAUCAACACGCAUCCGAGGCCCUUUCUGGACGCGUCACAAUAUACUUCAAAAUUCUUGUGUAUGUUGGGUACAAUUAAUACCGGUGAUGUCGUUAAUUUCCGUUUUAGCUCUUGGAAACUUUUCUCGCAGGCUUCUUUCCAUUCAAACUUCUUGUCUUUCUUGAGUAACUGUGUCAUAGGCUUGGCUAUGGUGGAGAACACUUCAAUAAAACUGUGGUAAUAUCCUAACAUUCCCAAGAAACUUCGUAUGUCCGUUACGCUGGCUAGUGACAUCCAGCCAAGUAUGGCCUUGACUUUCUCUGGGUCCACUGCGAUACCGUCUUGGGUCAGUACGUGGCCUAGAAAGCCUACUUUUCUUAGCCAAAAUUCGCACUUGCUGAACUUGGCAUACAAUUGGUGUUUUCUGAGCUCUCCUAGCACAAUCUUGAGAUGUUCUGCGUGCUCUUCUGGUGUCUUGGAGUAUACCAGAAUAUCGUCGAUGAAUACCACGACGAACUUGUCCAUAAACUUCAUAAAUACUUUGUUCAUGAGGUGAACAAAAUAUGCGGGGGCGUUAGUUAAUCCAAAUGGCAUCACUGUGAACUCGUACAGUCCAUAUCUGGAGGUGAAGGCUGUUUUGGGAAUAUCUUCUGUUCGCACCUUUAAUUGAUGGUAUCCUGACCUUAAGUCAAUUUUUGAGAAUACCUUGGCCUGAGCGAGUUGAUCAAACAAAUCGUUUAUCCUUGGCAUCGGGUAUUUGUUCUUGACUGUGACCAUGUUAAGUGCUCGAUAGUCAAUACACAAUCUCAGUGUUCCAUCCUUCUUUUGGCAAAUAAAAUUGGUGAUCCCCAAGGUGAGGAGCUGGCUCGAAUGUAUCCUUUGUCUAGCAAUUCCCUUAUUUGUUUCUUCAACUCAACUAAUUUGGAUGGUGCCAUUCGGUACGGUUUCUUGUAUAUGGGGGUGGUUCCUAGUGCGAGCUCAAUGCUGAACUCUAUCUCUCGGUCUGGUGGCAUGCCUGGUUGCUCUUCAGGGAAUACGUCUGGAAAUUCACACACUACUGGAACCUUGUUUAGCUCAGAAAUGUCCACCUUAUUCAAUCUCGGUUGGCAGGGUAUUUUUCCUUCCUUGGCUGAUACUCUUAUUGUCUUCCCUUGGUGGUGUGUGAGAAUUACGGUCCUGUUGAAACAGUCGAUAAACCCCUUGUUGGUGGUUAGCCAAUCCAUCCCUAGGAUGACAUCCAGUCCUUUAUUUUCCAACACAAUAAGAUUUGCGUGAAACUCCAAUCCUUCGAACUCAAUGACCACAUUCUGACACUAAUUCUGAGUAACUUGCUGAAUCCCAGGGGACUUGAUGAUCAUGGAUUUCUCCAAAGGAAGCAUCGAAAAAUUAUUUUGCAAAGCAAAACUUUUCAAAAUGAAAGAGUGAGAAGCUCCAGAAUCAAACAAAACCGUUGCAGGUA
RNAcentral lists this long non-coding RNA (259635 nucleotides) under Triticum aestivum (bread wheat). RNAcentral describes it as "long non-coding RNA (TAES_LNC009704)". The record is from RNAcentral. Lineage: Eukaryota; Viridiplantae; Streptophyta; Magnoliopsida; Poales; Poaceae.